This 235922-nucleotide long non-coding RNA is filed under the name Gossypium raimondii (Peruvian cotton). Its description in RNAcentral is "long non-coding RNA (GRAI_LNC005952)". Lineage: Eukaryota; Viridiplantae; Streptophyta; Magnoliopsida; Malvales; Malvaceae. The record is from RNAcentral.
CUUCCAUAGUUGUUCAAUGUGACUAUAUGGUAAAAGAAGUGCGACAAGGUUGUCCGGUUGAAAGCUUGAAGGCAAGUAUCUUAAAGGAUAUCCUUUCCAGUCUAAAAGUCUUAGCUCAUUAGAAAGAUAUUUGAUAUCAUCACAAUUUGAGACACAAAGCACUUUGAGCAAUCUCAAUUUUUUCAUCUUCGAGAAGGUAUCGGUACUCAAAUUGAGGAUCUUGCUUGAUUCCCUAAUAACCAUGAGCAAAAUAAAAAUAAACUUAAGAAUAUACAAAAACAUUCAAUAUCUAAAAGCCAUGCUGGAUCAAUAUUACUUUUUUAAGUAUCCAUAUCUAGCACUUAUAUCUAUUGCAUAUCUGAAUAUGGUAUUGAGAUAUGAUUAAUAACAUAUUAGAAAAUACUUUAUCUAACACUUAUAUUCGACUUUUAAUUACCUAAGCCUAAAAAAAUGGAACUAUUAUUUUGAUUUAUGUUCGGUGCACUGAUGUAUAGUUCUAUACAUUACCAGUGAACCAAAUGGUGGCAUGACCUGAAUUUAUUUUUAAAAACUUUUAAUGACAUGUUAUAACCUAGUUCAUUGAUAUAGAUUUUCAUUACAUCAAAUAUAAACCAUUAACAUUAGCAAAGACAAUGACACACAUCUCUUUAUAAUUUCUUUUGAAAGAGUAAUGUGUUCCUAUAUAAAUUUUAUAAAUAGAACAUAAAAAAAAAUUACGCUUUAAGGGUGUACUUGGUUGAGUGGAAAUGUCAAGGGAUAUGAGGAUGAAUUGUGCUUGGUAAAGAAGAAAAGUGAGAAGAAAAAAAAAGGGGAGAAAUGAUCAUUUUAUAUUAGUGAGAAGGGAAAUGUAGUAUCUACAAUACUAGGAGUACAUAUUGAUAAAUUUAUAUGUUUCUUUUCCUACCUUUUAUUGUCUAUGAUCAUGCCUUCUAUCACUUCGGUAGCCUGAAAGUAAUCAAGAAUCGAUAAUAAGAAGAUAAAAUUAAUGCUCUAAAUUGUAUGAUAAAACUUUUAAAAAUUUACCUACAUGUUCAACAUUAUAGCAAUCUUUUGGUCGAAAUACAGUAAAUAAAAUAUAUUCUAAGAGAGUAAUUCAAUAAAAUUAAACAUUUAAUUUACAAAUCAUUAUUAAUAUUUAUAAUCAACAAAUGAAAAUUAUCUUAAAGCUACUCAAUGUCACUUAAGGAUUGAUAUAUAAACAAAUUAGACUAAACUUUAGAUUUACACCAUAUAUUGAUAAAAAGAAAAUUUUGUAUGUAAAUUUUGUUUAAUGGUUUACCGUUUUUUUUGUUAGAACAUGAUGAACAUCCUUUUCCUUCCACAAUCUGCAACGUUUUCCAGGUUCAUUAAUACAUUUUUCUUCAACAAUUUUUCUUCCCAUUUCUUGCAACAAGGCAUGCAUCCACAAAUAUUGGUUGUCGUCAUCAACUUUUAUGAGAGAUUUCUUAAAGAGAACAUCAAUUCCAAUAUCUGGGAAAAACUCACAACCAUCCAAUACUUUCAUUACCAAAUCUUUCUUCUCCCCAUUAAAAAAACAUGCUAUAUCUAGAAAUAUAUUCUUCUCCCUUUCUUCUAAUCCAUCAAAGCUGAUUCUUAGUGUGUUAAGAAUUUCUCUGUUACAAUCUUGUUCAAGUCUUUCAAUUGCACUUCUCCAUUGAACUAUAUCUCUACCGCACAAAAAUGAACCCAAAACUUCAAGAGCUAAGGGAAGACCAUCAACAUAAUGUACAACAUGUUCAGAAAGUUGAUUGAAAUCAUCUUUUGUAGUUGUAUCACCACCAAAAGCUUUCAAAUUGAAAAGCCUUAGUGCAUCGUUGGUGUUCAAUGUUGUAGGCUUAUACACAUCAUCGAUUCGAUAAGAUCGGAGCAAAUGUUCAUCUCUUGUUGUUACAAUGAUCCUACUACCUAAACUGAACCAAUCACGCCUUCCAACCAAGCAUUUCAAGUGUUGUACAUUAUCAACAUCAUCAAGAACAACAAGAACUUUUUUGCUAGACAACCUGCGGCUAAUUAUGGCAUUCCCUUCAUGAACAUUGAAAAAAUUGAAGCAUUCAUUUGGCAAUAUUUGAUAAAGAAGUUGUUUCUGUAAAGAAACAAGUCCAUACUUGUUUGAAACUUCUCGAAUAUCAGCAAGAAAGGUUUUACCUUCAAAAUGAGGUGACAUUUGAGUGUAAACAACCCUUGCAAGAGUUGUUUUACCGAUGCCACCCAUUCCACAAAUUCCUAUAAUGCGGACAUCGUCUUCCCCAAUAUUUAUUUUCGAAUACAACUGCUCCAAACGUGAACUAAUUCCAACCAACUCAUCAUGAAGAACUGGAUAUGUCUGACAUAAUUUUGCUGAUAUCUUCUUAACGAUGUCUCCAAUAAACUCUGAUUCAUGCCUACAAUGAAAUUAAAUUUAGAUGCUAUAUUUCAAAUGCACUUCUUCAUUUUUAGUUCAGUGAAUAAUGAAAUAUAAUAUAGUUGGAAGCAAACAAAAAGCAAAAAUAAGACAGCAAGAUCUGUUAUAGCAUCAAAUGACACAACUUGCUCCUUAGUUGAAAUAUGGGAAUUCUCAAUUACACACAAAAUUAUAUUAAAAAAAAUGCAAUCCAAGAAAAAAAUAGUCAUUAAAAUUAGAAAAUAUAGAAGAAAAGAAAGAAAUACCUAUUAUGUAAAUGCCAUCCUUUGAUGUUAGCUACUUGAGUCAAAGCAUUUCGCCACUUUUGGAUCUUGUCUGUAUCUUCCUUGUACCUCUCUUGGUGUUUGGCGAAGGCUUCUUCAACUUUUCCUUUUUGUUUUCUUAAAUCGGAUGGAUCCACAUCAUAGAAAAUUGGAAAUACUUUAUGUCCGUUCACAUUUUUUUGUUGAACAAUCUCAGCAAGCUCCUCCAAGCACCAUCCUGAAAAGGUAUAGGUUUUUGAAAAAACGAUGACCGAGCACCAUGAUUGCUGAAUUGCAUUGAAGAGUUCAGGUGCGAUCUCUUCACCAGCCUCCAGCUUUGGAUCAUCUCUGAAGGUGACGAUCCCACUCCUCUUUAGAGCAUCAUAAAGAUGAUCCGUGAAGUUGUUGCGAGUAUCUUCACCUCUAAAACUCAAGAAAACAUCAUAUUUCUUUUUAGAAAUGGAGGAAGAAGUUGACGGUAACGAUAACAUGAGGAUGUAUGAAAGGAGAUGGAUAUCUCAAUCUGGUGUUCAAAAUCAGAAAAUAGAUCGCCCGAUACCCACAAAGAAACUAGAAAAAGUAAGUAUAUGAGCAUAUAUAUGAGCAGAGGGGCGGAAAUUAGGGGUCAAAAGAUGAGCAAUGGAUGUUCUUGCCAAGAAGUAUCCAAGAAGGUGAGAGUUGGCAAAAUGGAAAUUACGUAAUAAUUAAAAAGUUGGACGGUUUGUAUUUUACGUAUUUAAGAAUUAUGAGUAGAUAAGAUUAUGACUAAUAAUUAGAAUUAAUUUAUGGGCGGGUUAAAAAGUUUACCAAGCAACCAACUACUCGCAUCCACACGUGGAAGAUUUCUAUCUCCAGAUACAGAUCCAUUUCGACCGGCUUGUCCAGAAUUUCUACAAUGGAUAACAGCUCUGGAGAUGAUAACCCUGGCAGGGCAGAAGUAUUUUUUUUUUAAGGUACAAACUUAAAUUGUAACUUUUAUUAUAGUAAAAAUAUAAUUUUACAAUUUUAAUAGUUUAUAUCUUCAUAAUAUUUAAAAGAUUAAAUUAAAUUUUUAUUAUUUUUAAGAGGGUCAACGUGUAAUUUUGUUUUUAUUAAUUUAAAGUUUUAUCAUAUCAUUUUUUAUUUAUUAAAUGUGUGGUAUUUAUAUCUAGGAUGAUUCAACUUUUAAUUUCAAAAUGCAUUUUGCCUUUCUUUGAUUUACUACUCUCAAUAUCAAUUUCGUGUUGGUGUUAUGAACACCAAUAUAUUUCUAGUUCCAUCACAUCAAUCAAUGUUCCCAAUAUAAUGAAUCUAUUUGUACCAUCAAACAAUCACAAAGAAACUUAACUAAAUAGGAGAAAAAACCUAUUUGUACGAAAGGGCUAGUGAAGUAGUUUACACAAUUAUUGCUUCUUCCCUGAUCGGCCGGUUAUAAAAUUGAAAAUGUUUUGCAGCCGUUUAGGCUUCGGCCCUUCUUCCUCUGUUUCCUCGUCGAUAUCACGUUUUCGUUUUACAAAGGAAGUGCUGCCUGCGGAUCCAUCGUUUUCAGUAGAGUGAUGAUGGAUAUGUUCAAAGUUUGGAGAAGAUUGAGUGGUAUGGCACUGCACCUCUUUUAUAUCUUCCAAAUCUUUCUCAUACAUUAUUCUAACACCACACUUCUUCACAUUAACAGAAGGAUACCUUUUUGCAGAUUGGAAGGACAUCUCAAGCGAUAAAUUCUUGGUUUCCCAAUUAUCCUUUAAGGAUAAUGGAUAAAAUACUUCACGCGAGAAAUAACGAAGUAAAAGGUGGUCCUUCUUUAUGGGUCGUCGAUCAAAAUCAAUGAAAUUGAAAUCGACCCUUCGACUAUUUUUAACUUGAAAAACAGAUCCAUCACUACUAGAUUGUCCAGAAUAUGUAGAAUGGAUAUAAGCUGGACCACCGAUAACCUUUAUCUCGGAACCAUCAUCAUCGCCAAAAAUGCAGCAGACAGCAACUCCAAUCCAUUGUCUGUCAUUCUGAAUAUUGAAAGGCAAAGGUAUUUCAAUUACAGAGCCGCCUCUCUGUUGGCUGAACCAUUCUGGGAUUUCACUGCCAGGUAUAACAACAUCAAGUCUUUUUCUUGAAUUCUCAAAUGCCUGCAAAUUAAAACAUCAGUCGUUCUUGAAUUUGCAAAAUAAAAUAUCGGUGGUUCUGUAACUAAAACCAUGAAAAAAAAAAAAAAAGAGGGAUCAAUGAACCUUAAUAUGUGUUUUCAGCAAUGUUAUUGCACUCAUGUUCUCAGCCAAUCUGUAGCUGUUAAUGGCUAUAAAGUAAGACCGAUUAUGUUUCCAAUCACUUGUCUUCUUUGCUAGAAGCACAGGCAACGAUUCAAGCUCACUGCAAUUACACACUCCAAGCCUUUGAAGAUUGGAAAGACGAGCAAGAGACGCACCUAUGCUGGUGAAAUUGUUACCAUGAAGAUCAAGAAUUCUCAAUGAGGAUAGACCAGAAAUAUCACUAGGAAUAUCUCCUUCACCCAUAUUGCGCAGGCCGCACCUUGACAAACUAAGUUCUUCAAGCUUGGAGAGCCCAGUAAGAGAUGCCGGUAUUCUGUUGAAAUUGUUAACGCUAAGAUCAAGAAAUGCCAAAGAGGAUACACAAGAAAUAGCACUAGGAAUAUCUCCUUCACCAAGAUUGCAGCCCCUUAGUUUCAACUUUGUUAAUGACCUCAAACCGGAUAAUGAAGGUAGCAUUGGAGCUAUGAAAUUCAUCCUUCCUGUUUGGCGUACCUUGAAAAGCGAAAGGAGAUUUCUUUUCAACUUAUACGGACCCUUGCAUCCAUCAAAAGACAAAACUUUAAGAUUUUUCAAUUGAGAAAUGAAGGAUGGUGGUUCUUUUAUGGCUGUUUCACACAAGUCAAGCUUUUCCAAAGAUUCUGCUUGAUGCAAAUUCUCUGGCAAAUAUUCAACUUUAUAACAACCAGAAAGAUCAAGAGUUUUUAGAUGUUCCAUUUUCCCAUCAAUCUCUGGAAACCUUGCAAGAUUUGAGCAACCCGAAAGAAUUAAAGUUUCAAGGGAUUCCAUUUCAAUUUUGGUUGGAAGUCUCCUAAGACUUUUGCAAUCUCUUAAAUUCAAAAGUUUCAGUCUCUUAAGCACUCCAAGUGAUGGAUGAACAUCUACUAAUCUGGUACAAUCUUGCAUAAUCAACACUUCAAGAUAUGGGGCUGUUGUGAAGUCUGGUGUCUUGAUGAGGUUUUGGGACCCUUUAAGGCUGAUUAUUUUCAACUUAUACAAGGCCUGUCCAAAACAAUAACAGAUUAGAGAGAAAAGAGAAAACAUAAUAAACCUCAUUAUUAUUAUCUUAUUCAAAUUUUAACAGUUUAUAAUAUUAAAAACUUAAUAGUUUAUAUUAAAAUAAGCUAAAACACAAGGAUUAGAUGAAUUUAAUUCUUACUCUAUUUCCCUUCCAUAGUUGUUCAAUGCGACUAUAUGGUAAGAGAAGUAUGACAAGGUUGUCCGGUUGAAAGUUUGAAGGCAAUGAUUUUAAAGGAUAUCCUGUCCAAUCUAAAAAUCGUAGCUCAUUGGAAAGAUAUUUGAAAUCAUUACAAUUUGAGACGCAAAGCACUCUCAGCAAUCUUAAUUUUUUCAUCUUCAAGAAGACAUUGACACUCAAAUUGAGCAUCUUGCUUGAUUCUCUACAAAACCACGGGCAAACAAAAAAUAAGCAUUAAAAUAUACAAAAACAUUCAAUACCUAAAAGCUAUGUUUCUCCAAUAAUACUAUUUUUUAGGAUUUUCAUCCCUUACUUAUACCUAACAUGUGUCCAAAUAUGAGCAUUGAUAUAUGAUCCCUCAAGAACUCUUUAAAUAUAUAUGAAAAAACUUCUUAAAAAAAUCACACAUACCCAUUUUAGACAUAUAUCCCAUUUGACUUCGAAUUACCUAAGUUUUAAAAACUAGAAUUAAAAUCUUGAUUUAUAUUGGUGCAAUGAUAAUGCAUAAUUUUAUUUAUUAUUACUGAACGAAACAAUAACACAUCAUUAAAAAUUUAAUUGGUUUUAUUUUGAAAAUUUUUUGAUGACAUAUUAAAAUCUUAUUUAUAAAGAUACACCAUAGUGCAUCAAAUAUAAGCAUUUAAUAUUAGCAAGGAUAUAUCUUGAUUGUGUUUCUUUUGAAAGUGUUAUGCCUUGCUAGAUAAAUUUCAUAAAUAUAACAUUAAAUAUUAAGCAUUAAUGGUUUUUUUUUUCCAUCGAUUUUCAUUGGAUACUUUUACCAAAAAAAACCAAUAACAAUAUUAAUAAUACACAUCAUAAAUGUGUAUGUAUGUUUUCUUACCUUUGAUUGUCAAUGAUCAUGCUUUCAAUCAUUUCUGUAACCUAAAAAAGCAAGAAUAGAGAAUAAAUAACUUUUUGAUCGAAAUAGAGUAAAUAGAUCAUUUUAAAUAAGGUAAAACAUUUCCGAUGAGAGAGAUUCAAUUAAAUUAAAUACUUAUUUAUACAAAUCCUUAUUAACAGUAAUCAUCAACAAAAGGCAUUUAUGUCAGUCAAAUUUUUAAUGUACUCCUAUAUUAAUCAAUUGGACUAAGCCUUACUCAAUUUUAUUUCAGAAAUAAAGUAAAAUAUUUUCGAAUGAGAGUAAUUCAAUAAAAUUAAAAACUUAUAUUACAAAUCAUUAUUAAUAUUUAUAAUCAACAAAUGGAAAUUAUUUUAAAGCCACUCAAUGUCAGUUAAGGAUCGAUAUGUAAACUAAUUAGGCUAAAUUUUAGAUUUAUAUCAUAUAUUGAUAAAAAGAAAAUUUUGUAUAUAAUUUUUGUUGAAUGAUUUACCGUGUUUUUUGUUAGGACAUGAUGGACAUCCCUUUCUUUCCACAAUCUACAACGUUUUCCAGGUUCAUCAACACAUUUUUCUUCAACAAUUUUUCUUCCCAUUUCUUGCAACAAGGCAUGCAUCGUCAAACGUUUGUUGUCAUCACUAACUUUUAUCAAAGAUUUCUUAAUGAGAAUAUCGAUUCCAAUAUCUAGAAAAAACUCACAACCAUCCAAUGCUUUCGUUAUAAAAUCUCUCUUCUCACCAUUGAAAAAGCAUGCUAUAUCUAGAAAUAUAUUCUUCUCUUUUUCUUCCAAUCCAUCAAAGCUAAUUCUUAGCGUGUUAAAAAUUUCUUUGUUAGAAUCUUUUUUAAGUCUUUGGAUUGCACUUCUCCAUUGAACUAUAUCUCUAUCGCACAAAAAUGAACCCAAAACUUCAAGAGCUAAGGGGAGACCACCAGCAUAACUUACAACAUCUUCAGAAAGCUCAAUGAAAUCAUCUUUUGGCACUGUAUCACUAUGAAAAGCUUUCAAAUUGAAAAGUCUAAGUGCAUCGUCUGGAUUCAAUGUUUUAGGCUUAUACACACAAUCGACUCCGUAAGAUCGGAGUAAAUGUUCAUCUCUUGUUGUUACAAUGAUUCGACUCCCUAAACCAAACCAAUCACGCCUUCCAACCAAGCAUUUCAAGUGCUGUACAUUAUCAACAUCAUCAAGAACAACAAGAACCUUUUCACUGCACAACCUGCGGCUAAUUAUGGCAUUCCCUUCAUGAACAUUGAAAAAAUUGAAGCAUUUAUUUGGCAAGAUUUGAGAAAGAAGUUGUUUCUGUAAAGAAACAAGUCCACAUUUGUUUGAAACUUCUCGAAUAUCAGCAAGAAAGCUUUUGCCUUCAAAAUGAGGUGACAUUUGAGUGUAAACAACCCCUGCAAGAGUUGAUUUACCGAUGCCACCCAUUCCGCAAAUUCCUAUAAUGCGGACAUCAUCUUCCCCAAUGUUUAUUUUCGAAUACAAGUCCUUCAAAGGUAAGCUAAUUCCAACCAAUUCAUCAUGAACAAUUGGAUAUGUCUCACAUAAUUUGGCUGAUAUCUUCCUAACAAUGUCUCCGAUAAACUCUGAUUCAUUCCUACAACGAAAUAAAAAAUUGUUUCUAUCUUUCAAAUGCUCUUUGUCAUUUGUAGUUCAAUGAAUCAUGAAAUAUAAUAUAGUUGGAAGCAAAGAAAAAGCAAGAAUAAGACAGUAAGAUAUAUUAUGGCAUCAAAAAACACAACUUUCUCGUUAGAAUUCUUAAUUAAACACAAAAUUAUAAAAAAAUUACAUGCAAUCUAAGAAAAAACAAUUUUUUAGUCAUUAAAAUUAGGAAAUAGAGAAGAAAUGAAAGAAUUACCCAUUAUGUAAAUGCCAUCCUUUGAUCUUAGCUACUUCAGUCAAAGCAUUUCGCCACUUUUCGAUCUUGUCUUUAUCUUCCUUGUACCUCUCUUCAUGUUUGGCAAAGGCUGCUUCUACUUUUUCUUUUUGGUUUCUUAAAUCGGAUGGAUCCACAUGGUAGAAAAUUGGAAAUACUUUAUGUCCAUUAGCAUUUUUUUGUUGAACAAUCUCAGCAAGCUCCUCCAAGCACCAUCCUGAAAAGGCAUAGGUUUUUGAAAAAAUAAUUACCGAGCACCAUGAUUGUUGAAUUGCUUUGGAGAGUUCGGGGGCGAUCUCUUCGCCAGCCUCCAGCUUUGGAUCAUCCCUGAAGGUGACGAUCCCACUACUCUUUAGAGCAUCAUAAAGAUGAGCCGUGAAGUUCUUGCGAGUAUCUUCACCUCUAAAACUCAAGAAAACAUCAUAUUUCUUUCUUGAAAUGGGCGAAGAAGUCGAAGGUAACGACAACAUAAGGAUGUAUGAAAGGAGAAGGAUACCUCUAUCUGGUGUUCAAAAUGAGAAAAUAGAUCUCCCGAUCCUCGCAAAGAAAGUAGAAAAAGUAAGUAUAUGAGCAUAGGGGUGGAAAUUAGGGGGUCAAAGAUGAGUGAUGUAUGUUCUUUCCAAUAAGAAUCCAAGAAGGUGAGAGUUGGCAAAGUGGAGGCUGUUAAAAAUGUUGGACGGUUUGUAUUUUUCGUAUUUAAUAAUUAUAGAGUAGAUAAGAUUAUGACAAUAAUCAUUAGAAUAUAUCUUUAAUAAUUAUUCUUCGUUAUGGGCUGGUUUAAAAGUUGACCAAAUAACCAACUACUCGCAUGACACGUGGAAAACUUCUAUCUCGAAAGACAGAUCCAUUUCAGCUGCUUAAGAUUAUUUUUGGUUAGAGCCGACCCGAUUAAUGAACAAAUAAAUAAAAAUAAGAAAAAAAUUUAAAAUAUGAACACAACGUGGAAAAACUCUCUGAAAAUGAUAAAAAAUCACAGGUAAUGAUAAUUUUAUUAUAAUGGUAAAAGAAUGAAUGGUACAAAAGAUGAAGAUAAAAAUUAAACUCCGAAAACAAAGAACUCUCAAAACAUAAACACAAAAUUCUCUAAAAGUGUUAUGAAUUCUAAUCUCUAAUAGGUGUAUUUUCUAAUACUGUAAAAAAAUUCUAUUGAUAGGCUAAAUUCGUAUGUGAAAUAAUAAUAAAAUAAUCUAGACUAAUCAGAUUUUGAUUGAAACAAAUAAAUAGAGUUUAAUUGGAAGAUUAUUUAUCAAAUUUGACUGAAAUAUGAGUCAUACUCAACAAAUCUCCACAUUGACUGGUAUUUCCACAACGCCACCUUUGCUAAAGCCUACCAAGAGCCUAUCUUGACCUAUGUAGGGAAUUAAUUGAGUUGAAUUUGUGUUUAGAAGCUGGAAUGCUUCUAGACUUCAACUUGUGCAUUGUCAAAUCAAAACUAACCCGGAUCUGAUUUUCACAAACACAAUGCUCUAACUUUUUAAAAUCGACAUCUAAAAGAGAACCUCCGCUCCAAACGAGUUAACUUUGACUCCGUAAUAGAUGAGGGACGUCCGAUUUCACUAAUCACUGUAGAACCUUUAAAAAAAUAAAGACUGUCGGUCCUUUUACCUUUUAACAAACUGAGAGUCCCACAAGACACCUUAAUGUCGUUAGACUCGAUGUUGAUUCUGUAACUUUUCGAGUCUAAAUUACUUAAGCAGAUGAGAUUCUUUCGUAAAUCAGGUACAUACCUGACAUCUGAGAAUGCCCUAAUCGCCUCAUCGUGCAUCCUAAUUUUAUAGUAACAAUACCAAUUACCUUACCAGAUGAAUCAUUUCCCAUACGCUUAGCUCCACCUUCAACCGAACUGUAUGUGAAGAACCAUUCUCUAUUGGGACACAUGUGGAAAGAACAUCCCGAAUCUCGGAUCCACUUGGACAUAAGCUCAGAACUACCGCUUGUUAACACUAAUAAAAAAUCAUCACCGCUUUUGUCGGCCAAAUUAGCACAAGCUACACCUUCCUCAUUGCUCUCAAUAGCCUUUUUAAUUUGCAGUUUAUAACAAUCUGCUUUGACGUGACCUAACUUCUAACAAUAGCGAAAUCUUUUGUCUCGCUUCUUUCGCUUCUUUGAUGUUACCAAAAUAGAAGCUUGCCUAUUUUCCUUGCUAUCCAAACCAAACUCAUUGUUGAGUUUAUCUUUGCUUAACAAAUGACCCUUCACGUCCUCCAAUGAGAGAUUAUCUCUCCUAUAAGUCAUUGUUUCCCUGAAAGACUUGUAUAAAGGGAGUAAAGAGCACAAAGAUAAUAUAGUCUGCUCCUCAUCAUCAAUUUGAACCUCAACGUUAUUUAAAUCAUUUAAAAGAGUAAUGAAUUGACUGAUGUAAUCUCUAAGAAGCUCACAUUUGUUCAUGCGAAAUGUAAAUAGUUGUUGCUUUGGAGAGUUCGGGUGCGAUCUCUUCGCCAGCCUCCAGCUUUGGAUCAUCCCUGAAGGUGACGAUCCCACUACUCUAUAGAGCAUCAUAAAGAUGACCCGUGAAGUUCUUGCGAGUAUCUUCACCUCUAAAACUCAAGAAAACAUCAUAUUUCUUUCUAGAUAUGGGCGAAGAAGUCGAAGGUAACGACAGCAUGAGGAUGUAUGAAAGGAGAAGGAUAUCUGUAUCUGGUGUUCAAAAUCAGAAAAUAGAUCGCCCGAUCCUCGCAAAGUAUAUGGGCAUAGGGGCGGAAAUUAGGGGUCAAAGAUGAGUGAUGGAUGUUCUUUCCAAUCCAAGAAGGUGAGACUUGGAACAGUGGAGGAUAUUAAAAAUGUUGGACGGUUUGUAUUUUACGUAUUUAAUAAGAUUUUGACAAUAAUCAUUAGAAUAUGUCUUUAAUAAUUAUCCUUCGUUAUGGGCUGCUUAAAAAGUUUACCAAACAACCUACUACUUGCAUCGACACGUGGAAAACCUCUAUCUCGAAAGAUAAAUCCAUUUGGGCUGGUUAAGAUUAUUUUUGGUUGGAAAUCGAUUCGAUUAAGCAACGAAUAAGUAAAAAUAGUAAAAAAAUUGAGAAAUUAAACACAUAAAUUUAACAUGAAAAAACUCUCCGAAGAGGAUAAAAAAUCACAGGUAAAGAUAAUUUUAUUAUAAGGGAAAAAGAACGAAGAGUAUAAAAGAUGGAGAUAAAAAUUAAAUCCCGAAAAUAAAGAACCCUCAAAAUAUAAACCAAAAUUCUCCAAAAGUAUCAUGAAUUCUAAUCUCUAAUGGAUGUAUUUUCUAAUAUUGUAAAAAAAUCUAUUUAUUGACUAAAUUUGUAUGUCAAAUAAUAAUAAAAUAAUCUAAACUAAUUAGAAUUUGAUUAAAAUAAACCAAUAGAGUUUAAUUGGAAGAUUAUUUCAGUUGUUGUAAGGAUCAUGAGUUAUAGUGGUGAUGCUGGGUGAAUUCACAGACAAAAUAGCCUCAAAGGUUGCUAUUUGACAGAGAUUGAGAUGCACUGUAAAAACAAAUUCCACCAAUUACCCUCUUGGAUUUCAACACCUGACAAGGCUUUCACCCGAAGAAGUGCUCUAAGCUUGGUAAGAAAGAGAAUCUCUUCAACCGGAGCAAUUUUCGCAUUAAAAGUAAAAUCGUUACGCGCCUAUAUCGACCAUAACGCCGCUGCACAACAGAGGAGCCACCACUGCUUAAUAUCAUCUUUAAUUUUAUUUUUCAUAGAAGUUUGGCUUUAAAGCUAAUGUCAAAUGGAUUUAUGGAUGGUAUUUAAUUAUAAAUUAGACAAGGCUUGAGGGGUGGUUUUAAUUUAUAAAUUUAGGAAGCUUUAAAUGUAAUUUAUAUGGUAAUUAUUAUAAUGCAACGAUUAAAGAAAGAAAAGUUUGUGCAGAAUUUUCAAAAUUGGAUGGCGCUGGAAUUAUAAGUUGCAAUGAAUAAAAGAAAGAAAAAGUUGUGCAGAACUUUCACCAUAUUCACUAAAUUAUACUGCUUGCCCCUCCUUUUCUUUUCAAAUAUUUAUUUAUUUUUGGUGACGGGUUCAUGCUUUUAAUUUCUUUAUUACUAUGAUUACGAAUCAAACUUUAUUUUAAUAUUUGUGGUGUUUUAUAAGUUGUUACAGGGAGAUGUUUUAUUGGGAUCAAUUACAUUAAAGAUCACUAAAUUAUUAAUAAGUUUAUAUUUUGGUCAUUGAAUUUUAAAAAGUUAUUAAAUAAUCGCUAAAUUAUUUAAAUUUUUUUAUUUAAGUCACUGAAUUAUCCAAAAAAAUUUAUUAAAAUUAGUUAUUCGUUACAUUUUUUUAUUUUUCUUUUAAAUAUACAUAUAUUUAUUAGGAAAGGGUCAAAGGUUUUGAUUUGUUUAUUAUUAGGGAUAAAUGUCAAAUUUAUAUAUGAACUUUGGUUCAAAGUGCAAUUUGAUACAUGCAUGAAUUUUGACUUGGUGCAAUUAUCCACAUGAAAUUUAAAUUGUGGUUCAUAUAUAUACAUGAAAUUUAAUUUUGAUUCAAUUGAACGCAUUUAAAGAAAUGAAUACAUAUAAUUAUUUUCACAUUGAAUAAAAGUUCAUGUCUUCUGUUAUUAUCAUGGGUGAUACAUGGAUUUAAAGGAGCUCAUGUGUUCAUAGCGAUGAACUAUUAUUGAGUGUUGAUUUUCACUUACCGUAGUUAAAGUGAGUUGGGAGAGAGUUUACUUAAUUGUAUAAUAGUGAGGUUGCACCAAGUUAGGCUUGAAUAAUUUUAUUGUAUUGUGAAGUUUAUAGUGGAUUCAUCUGACAGAUGUAGGACGAGUUUCAAACUACACAAUCAUCUUGGUUGUGCUCUUUAUUUUGCUUGUUGCAUGUGUCAACUCAAAAAUUAAUUUUUGUUUUUCAAAAAAUUUAAACUUAUAAUUAUAUCAAUAGUCUCCAUUAAAAUUUAUCUAUCAAAUUAAAUAAACAACUCAAAAAUUAACUUGUCUGCACAUAAUUAUAGAUAUUAAACUUUUUUAACUUUUUGAAUUUUUAAUGAUUUUUGUCUCCAUUAUUGUAAAAAUUUAAAUUAAUUCCCAAAUAUGUAAUGCUUGUGAUUAUUUUUGGUUGGGGAUCGACCCGAUUAAGCAACGAACAAGUAAAAAUAACGGAAGAAUUGAGAAAUUGAACACACAAAUUUAACAUGAAAAAACUCUCUGAAGAAGAUAAAAAAAUUACAGGCAAAGAUAAUUUUAUUAUAAUGGCCAAAGAAAGAAAAUUACAAAAGAUAGAGAUAAAAAAAACAAAUAAUUUUACUAUAUUUAGAGUAUAAAUACACAAGGUUGAAAUGAAGCAAUGGUGGAGUAGGAAGGCAGUGUUAUUAAAUACUAAAUAAUUGUUUUGUGAAAAGGGGAUAUUUUUACUUUUUUAUCCAUUACAUAUCACUGUUCCUGUCUUCCUUUCCAUGUUUUUGUAAAAACCAGAUUCCCACCAUUCUUUUCUCUUUGGUAAAUGUUGAUUGCUGAGAGGACAAUCUUUUUGCACAUUCCCGAACUCUAUGGACAUGAUUUUUUGCAUCUCAAUCAAAGGUUUGAAAAUCCCAUUCAAAGCUGCAAAGUUGAAAUUAUGUUUAGGAUUUUAUUUUACUUCCGAAUGGUAUCCAAGUAUUGAACUUUCAUGUUCGUAUUAUGGACACGAAUAGUCCAUCACAUCAAUCAAUGUUGCGGAUAUAAAGAAUACUUAAUUAUGGUAAAUAAGAAUCUAUUUGUACAAUUAAACAAAAACAGGGAAAAAGAGAAACUUAAUUAAAUAGGAGAAAAUAUCUUGAAAAGGCUAGUCAAGUAGUUUACCACAAUUACUGCUUCUUCUCUGAACGACCCAUUAUAAAAUUGAAUUUUGUUUUCAUCUGUUUAGGUCCUCUGUUUCCUCGUGGAUAUUACGUUUUCGUUUUACAGGGGAAGUGCUACCUGCGGAUCCAUCCUUGUCAGUAGAGUGAUGAUGGAUGUGCUCAAAGUUUAGAGAAGAUUGAGUGGUAUGUCACUGCAAAUCUUUCUCAUAGAUUAUUCUAACACCACACUUCUUCACCUUGAAAGAAGGAAAACCAUCUGCGCCUUUGAAAGACAUCUCAAGCUUAUCGCAUUCAUGAUCAGAGCAAUCCAUUGUCCAUGCAUAUUGUAAUUCACGAGAGAAAUAACGAAGAAAAAGGUGGUUGUUCGUUAUGGGCUGCUCCUAUUCCCCACCUAAACCAAUGAAACUGGGAUCGACCGUUCGAGGAUGUUUAACUUGAAAAACAGAUCCAUUAUGACUAGAUUAUCGGGAAUUUCUAUAAUGGAUAUAAGUUAUACUACCGAUAACCCUUUCAUCGGAAAAUGCAGCAGAAAGCAACUCCAAUCCAAUUUGUUUGGUAUAUGUGAAACGUUUUGUGAGUUUGUUUUUUAAAAUAAAGGUAAAUUUUAACAAUUAUUUUUUAAUCAUUAUUAGUAAUAUAAUUGAAAUCACAUGCAAUAUAUGUGACAUUAGAAAGUAGUGAUUAUGAAAAAUUGGAAUGUGCAAUACUCUUGAUGUGUUUAGAAAAGGUUAUAGUUAUAGAAAAAAUUAUAUAACCAUCAUGGCAUUGGUUGAAUUUGUUAACUUAAAUGUUUUAGAAAUCCAAUGUUUUAGAUUUUAAUCUCAAUUUUUUAUGAAAAGAUAAAAAAAAAAUUACUAUAAUAAUAUUUGUUACUUUUAAAAGUAGUAAGUUUUUUAGUCAUUUUUUAAAUAAGUUAAUAUCUAAUUGACUUAUGACUGAUAAAUAAAGUAUAAUAUAAAGUAUGUUUGGUUAAAAAUAAAAUUAGAUGAAAAUGAUAUAUAUUUAAAUAUAGAAUAAAUUAAAUUUUAUAUAAUGUAAGUUAUUAAUAUAGUAAAAUUGGAAAUAAUUUAAAGAUAAUUAUUAUAUUAGAAAAUAUAGGCAUUAAAGUUGAGGCAUUUUAAGAAAUUUACCAAAUUUUAUAUAAUGUAAAUCAUAAAAACUGUUCCUUAAUACCACCGCGCACGAUUAGCGCUGUUGGAACCGUUAGUCCCCUGCUUUAACUUUACCUCCAUAACAUGCCGAGACCAUGAAAGGCACUCAUUCCUUAAUACCAUAUAUAGUUCCUGCAACGCCACUACUGAUAACAAAGGCAUUUCUAUUUUACCAAAGUUUCUAGCAGCCAUAGCAAAAAGAGUACCCCAAUCAGUUCCUUCCACAGAAAAAGUUCUUUGAGCUCCAGAGAAACUCAAUGCUCUCCCAUUUCCUAGCGCCCAAUGGACACCAUUUACUACAUCUUCCAAAAUAUUGGACAAAACCCUCCAGAGAAGCGAGCAAUUAGAAGGAUGUAUUGAAGCCGACCAUCUACUUAUUACCCCAUACUCGUUUCCAAGGACUUCAACCCAUAGCACAUUCACGUUAGAAAUGACAUUAAAAGCUACCUUAAUCAUGCAAGCUUUGUUGUGGUCUCGUACUUUCCUCAACCUAACUCUACCAUUCUUCAAAGGCAUACAAAAUUUAUACCAGCUCACUAAUGUUGGUUUCCGAUUGCCAAAUGUUGACCCCAAAUGAAUCCUCGAACCAGCUUCUCAUUUUUGUUGCAAUUGCUUAAGUGAUCACCUAAAACAAGACCGUACAAAGAUUGAUCGGUCUAAAAUGAGAUAGUAAUUCCUGUCUUGCCACCUUGGGAACCAACACAAUAAGAGUUUGAUUCAAAAUAGAAGCAAACAUUUGAUAAUUUCAUUCUAUUGGUUUUUAAUUUGAAUAGUUCAUUCAUUUAAAACAAUCAUAAUUGUGCAUCAAUUAUGAAAGAAGUCACAAGAAAAUUGUGCAGUAAUCAAAUGCAAUUUUCUUCACUUUUAUCACGUCUUUGAGUUGGAGGAAAAGAUGGUCCAAUUGAGAUAUACUUGAAAAGUUUAAUGAUGAAUGAAAUGAAUUCACUAUUAUGUUAUGUCAACACUGUUAAAUUAAUAGUUCAAUCAGCAUUUUGCGUUAAAAAAUUCAUAAUUUGACUCAAUAAAAUGUUGAGAGCCAAAUUACUAAGAGGAAAUGAAUACGGGUCAACUUGUCAAAUUUUAUAAACACUAAGAACUUUUUUUUUUAUCAUUAUGCCUAAUUUUAAAGGUUUUAUUUACAUUACAAUUAAAUUACUAUUUGAAUUUACAUUUUAAAAACAACGUUCAUUUCAAUAUGUAUAAUUUACAUUACAUUACAUGAUAAAAACAACUAAUUAUAUUUUGCUAAUUCCCUAAAUUCGUCCAACUUGAUGACUUUUGUUGGUCCCUCACUUGCAUGAUCCUUUGAGCAGACUUUCAUGCUUCUAUUGGUCUAGGGGACAAACAUAAAACACCAUCAUUAUUUUUGUUGCAUUGAGAUCAUCUAUAUUAAUUUACCUCAAAUUGAGAAAUUUUUGUUGAUAUCACAUAAAUACAAUCAUUGAAAAUCUUACUCGUAUCGACCAAAAAUCAUAUUUUUAUUUCUCUAAACAAUAAGUACAUUAGACAAUAACAAAAAUGAAAUUAUUGAAUUUUGAAAAAAAAAUAUUGGAUAUGAAAAUGUCUCUCACAUGGGAAAGAUUUUCCAAAUAAUUAAAAGAGCAUACUUUUUUUUUUAAUAUUUGAACAAGUGUUAAAAAUAAACGUCUAAACUUAAAUACUUUGUAAAAAAUAUAAAUUGAAGAGUUAGAAUAAUAUUGUUUAUACUUCAAGCCAUGAAAUUUAAAUGGUACUUUUGUUAGAAGGAAUUAAACCUACUAUUAAGGACUUAUAUUUAAUCUUCCAAAUAUAUAAGAAAACAAUUUUGACUGAUUAAAUUGAACACAUAAAUUGAUUUCAAAUAAAAAUAAAAUUGUUUUUAACUCAGCCGAAAUUAUGAUCUAAUCCUCAUUAAAGGAUUUUCACCUUAUUAUUACAACCUAAAAAUAAAAUAUAGAUGUAAGUGAAUUUAUAUAAUGAGAAUAAAGUUUUAAUAAAUAAAAAAAUAAACCAAUCAAAAUGUACACAUUUCAAUUAUGUAAAAAGGAAUGAAUUAAGUGAAUAAAAUUUUAAAUGGUAUUUUUUAAAAAAAAAUUAGUAUAUAAUAAAAUGGUCAUAUCUCAUAUGCAAAUAAGUCUAGAAUGAUUACUUUAAAUGAAAUAAAAGAUGUAAACAAGGUAGAUGAGUAAAAAAAAAUUUAGUAGGACAAGGUUGGUUAAGUAAUUUACCAUAGUUAAUGCGUCUUCCCGGAUUGGCCAAUUAUAAAAAAUUGAAAAAAAGUUGCAUCCGUUUUGGUUGCGGCCCUUCUUCCUCCUCUUCAUCGUAGAUAUUAGGUUUCUAUUUUAUGUGAGAAGUGCUACCUACUGAUCCAUGGUUGUGAGCAGAGUGUUGGUGGAUGUGUUCAAAAUUUGGAGAAGAUUGAGUGGUACGGCACUGCAACUCUUUUAUCUCUUCCAAAUCUUUCUCAUACACUAUUCUAAAGCCACACUUCUUCACUUUACCACUGCAUCCCAUGAAAGACACCUCAAGCUCAUCGCAUUUUUUAUCUAAGCAAUGUGUUGUCCAUAAAUUAGUGGUUUCACAGUCGUCAUAUUUAUCCUCCAAGGAAGGAUAUAUUGUAUCACGCGACCAAUAACGAAGUAAAAGGUGAUCUUUCAUUAUUGGUUCACACAGCCCCCAGCCUCUCCAAUCAAUCCGUCGAUAAUUUCUACCUCGAAAGAUAGAUCCAUUACAGCUGGCUUGUUCAGAAUUUCUACAAUAGAUAUAUGCUCCACAACCGAUAUAUUCGUCAUCCCUUGAAGCAUCAUUACUGACAAAAACGCAGCAGCAAGCAACUCCAAUCCAUUGACUAUCUUUCUGAAGGUUGAUAGGCAGGGGUAUGUUAAUUGAAAUGGCACUUGUUUGUUGGCUAAACCAUUCUGGGAUUUCACUUCCGGGCAUAAUAAUAUCAAACUUUUUUCUUGAAUUUGCGAAUGCCUGCAAAAUAAAACACAAGUCGUUUGGUAACUAAAACCAUAAAUUCUCAAGUACGUAUGAGAUUUUGUAAGGGAGAAAAUGGAGAUUAAUCGACCUUAAGCUGUUUUCUCAGCACUGUUAAUGCAUUCAUAUUCUCGGCCAAUUUGAAGCAGUUAAUGGCUCUAAAGGCACCCGAACCUAUUAAAUUGCAUACUUCACGUAGUGUUAAUGCAUUGAUAUUCUCAGCCAAUUUGAAGCAGUUAAUGGCUCUAACGGCAGCCGAAUCCACUAAAUUGCAUACUUCAAGUGAAGAACAACCAUCUAGACACACGUGUCCUAACCUUGUCGGUAUCUCAGGCAACGAUUUAAGCAUCUUGCAAUAUGACAGUCCAAGAAACUGAAGCUCGGAUAUUCGAGUAAGAGAUGAAGGUAUGCUGAUGAAAUUGUUACCACUAAGACCAAGAUGUACCAAAGAGGAUAGACCAGAAAUAUAACUAUGAAUAUCUGAUUCACCAAGAGUGCACAUGUUGCAAUUUGACAAGUCAAGAAACCCAAGCUUCGAGAGUCCAGUAAGAGAUGCAGGUAUGCUGAUGAAAUUGUUACCACGAAGAUCAAGAUGUUUCAAAGAGGACAGGCCAGAAAUAUCACGUGGAAUAUCUCCUUCACAAAGAUUGCAGUCCCUUAGACUUAGCCGUCUUAAUGAACUCAAACCUGACAACAAAGGCAACAUUGGAGCCAUGGGAGUUGUCCUUCUUUCUUGGAUUACCUUGAAAAGAGAAGACAAAUUUGGUCGCAACUUUGCUUGCUGCAAAUUCUCCGAGAAAUUUUCAACUCUAUAACAACCAGAAAGCUCUAGAGUUUUUAUACGUUCCAUUUUCCCAUCAAUCUCCGGAAACCUUACAAGACUUGAGCAACCCGAAAAAAUUAAAGUUUCAAGAGAUUCCAUUCUAAUUUUUCCCGGAAGACUCCUAAGACUUUUGCAAUCUCUUAAAUUCAAAUGUUUAAGGCUCUUAAGCACUCCUAUUGAUGGAUGAACAUCCACUAAUUUGGUACAGCCUUCCAAAAUUAAAACUUCAAGAUUUGAUGCUGUUGUGAAGUCUGGUGUCUUGAUCAGGUCUUGGGAACCUUUGAGGUUCAUUAUUUUCAACUUAUACAAGGGCUGUUGAAGACAAUAAUAAAUUAGAGAGAAAAGAGAAAGCAUAAUAAUUCUCAUUUUUGUUUUUGUAUUUUUACCUUAAUCAGAGUUUAAUAAUUUAUAUUAAAAUAAGCUAAAACACAAGGAUAAGAUGAGUUAAUUCUUACUCUAUUUCCCUUCCAUAGUUGUUUAAUGUGACUAUAUGGUAAAAGAAGUGCAACAAGGUUGUCUGGUUGGAAGCUUGAAGGCAAGCAUCUUAAAGGAUAUCCUGUCCAUUCUAAAAGCCGUAGUUUAUUAGAAAGAUAUUUGAGAUCAUCACAAUUUGAUAGGCAAAGCACUUUGAGCAUUCUCAAGUUUUUCAUCUUUGAGAAGGUAUCGACACUCAAAUUGAGCAUCUUGCUCGAUUCCCUAAUAACCAUGAGUAAAACAAAAAUGAGAUUCAAAAUAUACAAAGACAUUCAAUAUCUAAAAGUUAUGUUGCACCGAUAGAUGAUAAAUUUCAUUUGUAAUUAAAAAAAAUCAUUCCAAAUUGGAAUGAGAAGGAAGACAAUGGGAGAGAUUUUUUAUUUUCAAAUGUUUUAUUUUCUUUCCUUCUCACUUUUCGCUAUACCAAGCAAUAGUGAGGAGGAAAAUAUAUUUUCCAUUCAAUUUUCCAUCUUUCCAGUCAAGUUUUCCAUCCCCUCAGUUUUCCACCCUUCUGAUUUUAUUUCCACUCUGCCAAGCAAAGCCAAAAGGUUUUUUGUUGUUGUUUUUUAUUGGAAUUUUUACAACAAAUAAUAACAAUAUUAAUAGUACAUAUUGAUAAAUUUAUAUGUAUGUUUUCUUACCUUUUAUUGUCGAUGAUCAUACCUAUGUUUUCUUACCUUUUAUUGUCGAUGAUCAUACCUUCAAUCACUUCGGUAGCCUAAAAGUAAUCAAAAAUAGACAAUAAGAAUACAAAAUAAAUUAUCUAAAUUGUACAAUAAAACUUUUGAAAUUUACAUAUAUGUUCAACAUUAUCACAAUCUUUUGGUCGAAAUAUAGGAAAUAAAAUAUUUUCAAAUGAGAGUAAUUCAAUAAAAUUAAACACUUAUAUUACAAAUCAUUAUUAAUAUUUAUAAUCAACAAAUGGAAAUUAUUUUAAAGCCACUCAAUGUUAGUUAAGGAUCGAUAUCUAAACCAAUUAGACUAAGCUUUGGAUUUACAUCAUAUAUUGAUAAAAAGAAAAUUUUGUAUAUAUUUUUGUUGAAUAAUUUACCGUGUUUUUUGUUAGGACAUGAUGAACAUCCCUUUCUUUCCACAAUCUACAACGCUUUCCAGGUUCAUCAACACAUUUUUCUUCAACAAUUUUUCUUCCCAUUUCUUGCAACAAGGCAUGCAUCCGCAAAUGUUGGUUGUCAUCACUAACUUUUAUGAGAGAUUUCUUAAUGAGAAUAUCGAUUCCAAUGUCUGGAAAAAACUCACAACCAUCCAAUACUUUCAUUACCAAAUCUCUCUUCUCACCAUUGAAAAAGCAUGCUAUAUCUAGAAAUAUAUUCUUCUCCUUUUCUUCCAAUCCAUCAAAGCUAAUUCUUAGCGCGUUAAGAAUUUCUUUGUUAGAAUCUUCUUUAAGUCUUUCGAUUGCACUUCUCCAUUGAACUAUAUCUCUAUCGCACAAAAAUGAACCCAAAACUUCAAGAGCUAAGGGGAGACCACCAGCAUAACAUACAACAUGUCCAGAAAGCUCAAUGAAAUCAUCUUUUGGCACUGUAUCACUAUGGAAAGCUUUCAAAUUGAAAAGUCUAAGUGCAUCGUCUGGAUUCAAUGUUUUAGGCUUAUACACACCAUCGACUCCGUAAGAUCGGAGUAAAUGCUCAUCUCUUGUUGUUACAAUGAUUCGACUCCCUAAACCAAACCAAUCACGCCUUCCAACCAAGCAUUUCAAGUGUUGUACAUUAUCAACAUCAUCAAGAACAACAAGAACCUUUUCACUAGACAACCUGCGGCUAAUUAUGGCAUUCCCUUCAUGAACAUUGAAAAAAUUGAAGCAUUCAUUUGGCAAGAUUUGAGAAAGAAGUUGUUUCUGUAAAGGAACAAGUCCGCAUUUGUUUGAAACUUCUCGAAUAUCAGCAAGAAAGCUUUUGCCUUCAAAAUGAGGUGACAUUUGAGUGUAAACAACCCUCGCAAGAGUUGUUUUACCGAUGCCACCCAUUCCGCAAAUUCCUAUAAUGCGGACAUCAUCUUCCCCUAUGUUUAUUUUCGAAUACAACUCCUUCAAAGGUAAGCUAAUUCCAACCAAUUCAUCAUGAACAAUUGGAUAUGUCUGACAUAAUUUGGCUGAUAUCUUCCUAACAAUGUCUCCGAUAAACUCUGGUUCAUUCCUACAAUGAAAUAAAAAAUUGUUUCUAUCUCUCAGAGGCUCUUUUUCAUUUUUAGUUCAAUGAAUCAUGAAAUAUAAUAUAGUUGGAAGCAAAGAAAAAGCAAGAAUAAGACAGUAAGAUAUAUUAUGGCAUCAAAAUACACAACUUUCUCGUUAGAAUUCUUAAUUAAACACAAAAUUAUAAAAAAUUACAUGCAAUCUAGAAAAAAACAAUUUUUUAGUCAUUAAAAUUAGGAAAUAGAGAAGAAAUGAAAGAAUCAUUCCUUAUGUAAAUGCCAUCCUUAAUCUUAAAACUUCAGUCAAAGCAUUUCGCCACUUUUGGAUCUUGUCUUUAUCUUCCUUGUACCUCUCUUCAUGUUUGGCAAAGGCUUCUUCUACUUUUUCUUUUUGGUUUCUUAAAUCGGAUGGAUCCACAUGGUAGAAAAUUGGAAAUACUUUAUGUCCGUUAGCAUUUUUUUGUUGAACAAUCUCAGCAAGCUCCUCCAAGCACCAUCCUGAAAGGGCAUAGGUUUUUGAGAAAAUAAUUACCGAGCACCAUGAUUGCUGAAUUGCUUUGGAGAGUUCGGGUGCGAUCUCUUCGCCAGCCUCCAGCUUUGGAUCGUCCCUGAAGGUGACGAUCCCACUACUCUUUAGAGCAUCAUACAGAUGACCCGUGAAGUUCUUGCGAGUAUCUUCACCUCUAAAACUCAAGAAAACAUCAUAUUUCUUUCUAGAAAUGGGCGAAGAAGUCGAAGGUAACGACAGCAUGAGGAUGUAUGAAAGGAGAAGAAUAUCUCUAUCUGGUGUUCAAAAUCAGAAAAUAGAUCGCCCGAUACUCCCAAAGAAACUAGAAAAAGUAAGUAUAUGAGCAUAGGGGCGGAAAUUAGGGGUCAAAGAUGAGUGAUGGAUGUUCUUUCCAAGAAGAAUCCAAGAAGGUGAGAGUUGGCACAGUGGAGGCUAUUAAAAAUGUUGGACGGUUUGUAUUUUACAUAUUUAAUAAUUAUAGAGUAGAUAAGAUUAUGACAAUAAUAAUUAGAAUAUAUCUUUAAUAAUUAUCCUUCGUUAUGGGCUGGUUAAAAAGUUUACCAAACAACCAACUACUCGCAUCGACACGUGGAAAACUUCUAUCUCGAAAGACAGAUCCAUUUCGACUGGCUUGUCCAGAAUUUCUGCAAUGGAAGCAUCAUCACUGACAAAAAUGAGACAGGAAGCAACUCCAACCCGUUGACCAUUCUGAAUAUUGAGUGGUAGAGGUAUCUAAUUGUAGAGCCACCACUCUGUUGGCUAAACCAUUCUGGGAUUUCACAUCCAGGUACAAUAACAUCAAACAUUUGUCUUGAAUUUGCAAAUGCCUGCAAAAUGAAACUUCUGUCGCUUGGUAAAUAAAACCAGAAAUUCCCAAGUAUGAGAGGGAAAGAAAGAGAGAUUAAUUAAACUUGAGAUGUAUUUUCAACAAUGUUAAUGCAUUGAUGUUCUCAGCCAAUCUGUAGCAGUUAAUGGCUUUAAUGGAAGCUAAAUCCAAUAAAUUUCAUACUUUUGAUGGACUUGCAACUACUUCAAGUGAAGCACAACCAUCUAUGCACACUCUUGCUAUACUUGUUAGAAGCUCAGGCAACGAUUUAAGCUCAUUGCAAUUUCAUAACAUAAGCUCUUUGAGUAAGAGACGCAAGUAUGCUGAUGAAAUUGUUACCACUAAGAUCAAGAUCUGUCAAGGAGGAUAGGCAAGAAAUAUCACUAGGAAUAUCUCCUUCACGAAGAUUGCAGUCCCUUAGCUUUAACUCUCUUAAUGAACUCAAACUUGACAACGAAGGCAACGUUAGAGGCAUAAAACUUGUCCUUCCUUUUUGGGUUUCCUUGAAAGGAGAAGGAAGAUUUUGUUGUAACUUUGAUGGUCCCUUGCAUCCAUUGAAAGACAGAGCUUUAAGAUUUUUCAAUUGAAAAAUUAAGGAUGGUGGUUCUCUUAUGCUUGUUUUAGCUCUUCCAAAUAUUCUACUUGCUUCAUAUUCUCUGGCAAAUUUUUAACUUCACAACAACUAGAAAGAUUAAGAGUUUUUAGACCACCUAUUUUCCCUUCGAUCUCCAAAAACCUUACAAGAUUUGAGCAACCCAAAAGAAUUAUUGUUUCAAGAGAUUCCAUUCCAAUUUUGGUUGGAAGACUCCUAAGACUUUUGCACCCUCUUAAAUUCAAAAGUUUAAGCCUCCUAAGUACUCCCAAGGAUGGAUGACUUCUACAAUUCUUGUACAACCUUCCAAAACCAGAAUUUCAAGAUUUGGGGCCAUUGUGAAGUCCGGUGUCUUGAUUAGGUUUAGGGACACUUCAAGGUUGAUCACUUUCAACUUAUACAUAGGCUGUGAAAAACAAUAAUAAAUUAGAGAGAAAAGAGAAAAAAUAAGAAAACUUAUUUUUGUUGUUUAUUUUUUAUCUUAAGCUAAAAAAUAAGGAUUGGGUGAAUUAAUUUUACUCUAUUUCCCUUCCAUAAUUGUUCAAUGCUAUUGAAUGGUAAGAGAAGUGCAACAAGGUGGUCCGGUUGGAAGCUUAAAGACAAGGAUCCUAAAGGAUAUCCUAUGUAAUCUAAAAAUAGUUUUUCCAUUGAAAGAUAUUUGAAAUCAUCACAAUUUGAAGGCCAAAAGACUUUGAGUAAUUUCAACUCUUUUAUUUUCGAGAAGACAUCAACAUUCAAAUUAAGUGUCUUGAUCGAUUCUCUAAUAACCAUGGACAAAACAAAAAACUUAGCUUCAAAAUAUACAAAAGCAUUAAUACCUAAAAACCAUGUUGCCACGAUACUUUUUUUAAGUAUCCUAUAAGGUAUAUCUAAAUAUGGGCAUUAAGAUAUGACUCUUCAAGAAUUCUUUAAUACAUGAAAAAAUCUUUUGAAAAAUGAACAUACCCAUUUUGAACAGUUAACACGCACAAUUGACUCCGAAUUACCUAAACCUAAAAGUAUUAGAACUAAAAUUUUCAAUUAUAUUUGGUGCACUCGUAAUAUAUAAUUUUAUGCAUUAUUAGUGAACUAAAUGGAGACGCAUAAUUAAGGAUGAAAUUACUUGAAUUUAUUUUAAUAAAAUUUAAUGACAUGUUAUAAUCUAGUUUAUAUAUUGUCAAUUUAUCAAAUAUAAACUUUUAUUUUUCAUAAAAAAGAAACAUCUCUCUCUAUUUUUAUUUUUUUUAGAAAGAAUAAUGUGUUACUUGAUAAAUUCAUAAAUUAGCAUUCAAAUAUUAAGUACUAAGUGUUUUUUUUUUCACUAUAUAUUUUUUACAAAAUAAAACUAAAUAAUAACAAUAUUAAUAAUACACAUCGAUAAAAGUAGAUAUAUACUUUCCUACCUUUUAUUGUCGAUGAUCAUGCCUUCAAUCAAUAAAUAGGUUUUUUCUCAAAGCUAGUGAAUAUCACUUUUUAGGGAUUGUUAUAUAGAUGAAUUAGAAUAAACUUUAAGUUUAUAUUAUAUAUUGGUUAGAGAUCCAAUAAAAAAAAUUAGUAUGUAAAUUUUGUGGAAUGGCUUACACUGUUUUUUGUUAAGACACAAUGGAUGUCCCUUUUUUCUCACAAUUUGUAAUGUUUUUUCGGUUCAUCAACAUAUUUUUCUCUAUUAAUUUUUCUUCCCAUUUCUUGCAACAAGUCAUGCAUCCAAAAAUAUAUGUGUGUUCAUUGAAGAUCUUUCUCUUCUCCAUUGAAGAAACAUGCUAUAUCUAGAAAUAUAUUAUUCUCCCUAAUUUCUUCCAAUCUAUCAAAGCUUAUUUGACGUCUAUUGAGAAAUUCCUUAUUAGAAUCUAGUUUAAGUCUUUCGAUUCCACUUCUCCACUGAAAAGCAUCUCUACUGCACAAAAAAGAACCCAAAACUUCAAGAGUUAAGGGGAGACCACUAGCAUAAUGUACAGCAAGUUUAGAAAGGACAAAAUUGUAACAAUUUGGACUAAUUUGAAUAAAAUUAAGAACAUAGAUAGUGAUGCUCCAAAGGGAAUAUUAAGAUAAAGUGAGACCGAAAGGUAAUCUUGUCGUGCACCUGUUCAUUAGUCCCGGAUUAACUGGUAAGAUUGGAAGAUAAACUAGACCUAAUCUGUCUAAGUUGGCAAAAUUAAGACCGGAAGAUAAAAUAGAGCCACUUGGUAAUUAUGUGAUUUAUGUCAUUGGUCCAAGAUUUGGUGAACCACAUCGAAGUCAACCAACCCCUAUUAGUCAUUUGCUAGAUUGUCCUUCUAGUUUACAUUUCUUGUAAUUUAGUCCCUAGAGUAGAAUAUUUAAUUUUCUUGUAAACUUAUCUUUUAUGAAUCACCGUAAUAUAAAAUUGUAUCAAUAGCCACUUAGCCUCUAUUGUGUACGUUAGUUAUUGCUCAAUCGCCUAUUCCUUUGGGUUGAAUCCUUAGAAUACUUUUGCAUUUCAUUAUAACACUAUAAAUAUAAAUAUUAAAACUGACCUGUACGCUUGCAGUAAAAUUGGGCUUUUAAAAUAGUUAUAUAAAUUUAGUGUUUUAAGCACACGCAUGCAACCGGUCAGUAGUCAAUCUCACCCCAUUAGCCACCAUGACAUGAAGUUGACUAAAGUGCUCCACUAAUAAAUCCAACCUCUUAACCAGCUUAGAAUCUAGAAAAUUGUGUGUACUUCUUGAGUCAACCAGGAUAAUGACAUUGGAGUGACCAAUACUUGCUAAAAACUGCAUAGAAUUAUGUCUCUAUAAGCCUUGAAGGGCGUGUAAGGAUAAAACGGGGGCAGUGUGUUUCGUUUCCUAUUCUAACACUUUCAGUUGUUCAGGACAUUCUUGGAAUUCUUCAAACAUUGGACUCUUGCUUCCACCCUCAUGAUCUGAAUAAAGUUCCAGAACCAGCUGAUAAAGUUGAGACUUGGUGCACUUAUGACCUGGGGUGUAUUUGGAUGCACACCGAAAGCAAAGUCCCUUCUUUCUUCUCUCUUCUAUUUCAGCUUGAGAAAAGGGUUUGGUUUGGAAUUUUUACCCCGAGUUACUAUUUGGAGGUCCAUUUAGCCUUAUCGAGUUACAGUGGUGAUAUUGCACCUUGGGACCAAGAAUUAGGGGGCUAAGGUGACUUAUUCCCCCACUUACAUUCAAACUCUUCUUUGUGAACUUAGCCACAAUGCGUUCAACCUAUCGAGCUAUUUGAUAGUCUUCCACCAGUGUUUGAGCCUUGAACAACCGUAGAUACUACCCCAUCUCAGGUUUAAGAUUGCAAGUGAAAACACUAAGGACGUAAUCCUCAGUUAGAUGUAACUGAUUAAGCAAACUUACAAAACGGUCAUGGAAUUGGUCCAUUGACCCUUUCUCCUUGAGUGAAAUAUGUCCUAACAUGGGGUCUAAGAAGGAGUUAGAUCUAAAACGAUCCCUCAGCCCUCGAACAUAUAUCUCCCAAGUCAGGUGAUGUAAUCCCCCUGUCAUUGCACAAAAGUGAUGCCAAUCUAGGCCUUUACCUUCUAAGUGCAACAUUACCAUUCUAACAUUGGUCUACUUUAUUAUAUUUGCAGCUUCAAAGAAUCGUUCUAACUUGGACCACCAAUCUUGAUAAUCUGUCCCAUCAAAUCAUGGGCAUUCUAGCCGAAGAGUUUUACUGACAAAGUCCACAAGACCAACUUGAGAAAAAGUAUUCAUGUUUUCCAAAUCCGACACAGGUGAUAAUGUAAGUGGCUUUUUGGAAGGGAACUUAGGAGGAGAGCCUCCCAUAAUGCCCUUGUCUUGAACUCUUCCAGUUACACUGGUAGAAGCAUUUUGACCAAAAUAGUGUUCAAAAAGAGAGUGGAGUUCAGUUUGAAUCUCACCUUUGAUACUUUCAUGAAAAUCCUUUAACCGAGAUUCGAUCUUAGCAUCAAUCUAGCUAACCUCUAAUUGCAUCUGAGAGAGCUCGUGUUGCAGCACUCCCAUCUUUUUUUGUAACCUGGUGGUGACUCUAUCAUUUGCCAUAAAAAUCGGCUUCAGCUCUAAUACCUUUGUCAUGGGAAAAUCUUUAGGGCAGAAGAGAAAUUGGAUAGCAAGAGGAAGAAAAAGGAGUUGAGAGAAAUCAGAGAGAUAGAAGGAAAGAGAGAACUGUAUUCAUUCCAAUAGCUGCCUUCCCCUACCUUGAUUGGUGUUUUUAGGGCGGGUAACGACCCUCUCAAACAAAUUGACGGUUGUUAAUACAACUAUAGCAAAACGCACCAUUUUUUAGUAAAUGACAAAACGUCUCUAAACGCAGUCGUUUGGACCAUAUUUAACCCUCCCCCCUUAAACCUGUUGUUUCAUUAUAACAUUAAACUAAACGUUGUGUUUUACAAUAAUUAAGGCUAAAACAGAAGUAAACAGAAAUUAACAGAAAUUUAAACAUAAUUGUUGUCUUUAGUUCUAUUCCGUGACAUGCAAUCCUUUCACCGCCCUCUAGCCUCGGCUCAUCCCUAAAAGUGAUGAUUCCAUUCCUUUUUAGAGUAUCAUAAAGAUGAUCGGUGAAGUUCUUGUGAGCAUCUUCACCUUUAAAACUCAAGAAAACAUCAUAUCUAUAUCUAGAAAUGGAUGAGAAAGACAUGAGGAUGCCUGAGAAGAAAAAUAUAUCUCAAUCGAGCGUUCAAAAUCAAAACAAUAUUUCCCAUCAUUUAUUUUUCCAAAUGAAUAUGGAUAAUAAUAAUAUUAAAGCUUUUAAUCAAUUGUACAUAUCCUUUAUUAAAUUCCCAAUUUUUUUUGUAUUAAAUAUUACAAAAUCAUUCAGAUUCUCUUAAUAUGCUAAUCAAUUCUUGUUGGCUCAAAAAAAAAAAACAUUUUUGUACACGUAGACAAAUAUAUUGAAAAUUUGUCGUGAAUAUCAUGCCACCACCUCAUGAUAUUCAAUAAAUUAUUAAAUUUUGGACAGAAAAUUCACCAACCAAAGAUGAAAAAGUAAUUUUAAUUUGUAAUUCAAAUUAUUAAAUUUUAUCAGUAUUUUCUACAUUUUUCUAAUGUUUAAAGUAUUUAGGGUAUCAAAUGUGUAAUAUAUCCAUCAAAAUGUUCUGUUUUUUAAUUAUAUAAACCCCCAAAAAAAUUAAACAAAAACCAGAUAAUCCAUUCCUACAAGAUAAUCCACUCCAUUGAUUUGUGAUUUUGAGAUUUUAAUUUAAAAGAUAAAUAUCGAAAUAUAUAAUUUUUUAAAAAAUUAAAAACUGAGACCAGUAUAAAAUUAUUUAUCUCAGAUGGAAUGCUCGCUUAGGUGAUAUUUUAUUAGGAUCAGAUAAACGAUCUCAUCGAGAGAGAGAGUCAUCACAGGAUGGAUGAUUGGGAUUGGUAGACGAUGAGACUCCAUGAGUGUGGAGCCUUCCUUGAGUGGACAACGGCAGCGUUGGGUUCACACCUGCGCUUGGAGAGGACUUUGAAGCCUUCACAAAUCAUGUAAAGAAAUGAAAGAAAAUGAAGAAAAUGUUAAAAGCAUGUGCCAAACGUACCAUGAUUAGGGAAAUGAGAUACAACAUUACAAAGCAUGAGUCCAACUAAUAAAAUUAAAGCUGACUUGAAUUUUAUAGGAUGGGAUAAUUUCAUUUUCGGUCCUCUAUAAUCUGCACUAUAUGCGUAGCUCCUGAUUUUAUGUUAUGUUAUGUUAUUUAUUUAAUUCAAUCCCUACCGUUUUUUAGUUUUUUCUUAAUUAGUAUUUGUGACUCUUAACAUUAUUAUUGUAGGUAUUUAGAUAAUAUUUUUACUAUUUGUAUUUAUAAUUUAUUUUAAAUAUUAGAAGCUAUUAUUCUCUUAUCUUUAAUUACUUUUAAUAAUUUUGAACUGUUAUUAAACAAGUGCAAUCUAUUACACAUUAUAUUGUCAAAUAUAUUUCACGUGAUUAAAUUUUAUAAAAAUGAUAUGUAUAAAUUUGAAAUUUAUUUUUUCUACUUUUAUUUGUAAGAAUUUAAUUUAUUUAUUUUUAAAAUUUUAAAAUUCAGAUUUAAUUGUUAACACAAAUUUUUCCUUAAAUUUAUGUGAUAUUUUGAAAUUAAAAAAAAUACACAUUCACUUUCUAGAAAAAGUUGAAUUGGAAUUAUGGUAGAUAAAACGAAUGAAGCAUGAAGAUCACCGUGUGCCAAAUCCAACCACCUUCCUUUUCUUAUACAAAAUUUUAAAGAGUUUCACAAUGAUGCCCUCAAGAAAAGAAAGUAUACAUCAAAGGAAAAAGGAAUUGUGUAAUGAGCGAUGUCAGCUUCACCGAUUAUUUCUUCUUAUCACAUGCCAAAGCAAUUUCCUUGUACAGACUGGGAAAACUCCUGGAAUUUCGUCUAAGUUUGAACGAGGUCGAGUUUUAUAUAAUACUGGACUACCAAGUGUAUGAAGUCGACCAAACACAGAUUACUUCGUCUGUAAUAAAUAAUUAUCAUAAUGUCGUGUUUGAUAAUGCUUGUGUUGCUGCUUUUCCUCCUGGUUGUUGCAUCUUCAGAUAUCAACCAGGGCCAGUUUAGUUUCAAUGGUUACUUGAAUGUCGAGGGAGUUGCAGGCGUAGAUUCAAGUGGGCUGUUUACACUUACAAAUACCACAAGCCGAAUAAUUGGUCAGUUCUUCUACCAGAAUCCGAUCCAGUUCAAGAACUCCACAAAUGCAACUGUUUCCCCCUUCCCCACUACAUUCAUUUUUGCAAUUGUACCUGGAUACACCGACCUUGGUGGCCAUGGAUUGGCCUUCGUUAUCUCCCCUAACGAUGAAAUUUCUGGAGCUCUUCCCACCCACUAUCUCGGUCUUUUCAAGGAAACAAACAUAGGCUUAGACUCGAACCAUGUUGUAGCGAUUGAGCUGGGCACGGCCCGGACCAUUGCGGUCGGUGACAUAGACGGCAACCACGUCAGCAUCGACAUCAAUAGCCCAAGAUCAGUGACAGCUGCUUCUGCUGGGUAUUUCACUGAUGAAAGUGAGUUCAAAAAUCUCAACCUCAAGAGUGGAGAUCCAAUGCAGGUUUGGGUUGAAUACGACGGGCUCUAGAAGCAACUCGAUGUUACAUUGUACCCAAUCAAUGUAACGAAGCCAAAACCUCACUUUUAUACUUGAAAAAGGAUCUGUCUCCAUAUUUGUAUGAGUCUAUGUUUGUCGGCUUCUCGUCGUCCACCGGUGUUCUUGUAUCGUCGCACUACAUAUUGGCUAUUCUAAGGACAUGAUUUUUUUUGCAUCUCAAUCAAAGGUUUGAAAAGUUGAAUUCUUUGAGGUGCCCAUUCAUUAGACUAAGAAAGCUGAAAAGUUGAAAUUAUAUUUAUCAAAACAUAUCAUUUUUUAUUUAUAUCAAGGAUUUUAUCAUGUUAGUAUUAUGAACACGAAUAUAAUGAAUACUAAAUUAUGGUAAAUAAGAAUUUAUUUGUACGAUCAAACAAAAAAAGGGGAAAAAAUCAGAAAAGAGAAAGUUAUAAAAUUAACUAAAUAGGGGAAAAAAUAGUGAAAAGGCUAGUGAAGUAGUUUACCACAUUUAAUGCUUCUUCCCUGAUUUGGCAAUUAUAAAAUUGAAAGUUUUUUGCAUCCGUUUUGGUUGCGGCCCUUCUUCCUUCGCUUCAUCAUAGAUAUUAGGUUUCUGUUUUAUGUGAGAAGUCCUAUCUACUGAUCCAUCGUUGUGAGCAGAGUGUUGGUGGAUGUGAGAAGAUUGAGUGGUAUGUCACUGCAACUCUUUUAUUUCUUCCAAAUCUUUCUCAUACACUAUUCUAGCACCACACUUCUUCACCUUAGCAUAGUCUUCAUCAUUUGGGUUUGAGAAAAACACCUCAAACUCAUCACAUUUUUCAUCUGAGCAAUCUGUUGCCCAUAAAUUAUUGGUUUCACAAUGACCAUAUUUAUCCUCCAAUGAAAAUGGAUAUAAUUUAUCACGCGACCAAUAACGAAGAAAAAGGUGAUCUUUCAUUACGGGCCCGUUAUAUCGUUUACCUAAACACCAGCCGAGCCUAUCAACCACUCGAGGGUUUCUACCUCGAAAAAUAGAUCCAUUACAACUGGCUUCUUCAGAAUUUCUACAAUAGAUAAAUGCUCCACAACCGAUAGACUCGUCAUCCCUUGAAGCAUCAUUAUUGACAAAAAUGCAGCAACAAGCAACUCCAAUCCAUUGACUAUCUUUCGAGACGGGUAUCUUAAUUGAAGAGUCACUUCUUUGUUGGCUAAACCAUUCUGGGAUUUCACUUCCAGGCAUCAGAAUUUCAAACAUUUUUCUUGAAUUUGCGAAUGCCUGCAAAAUAAAACACAAGUCGUUUGGUAACUGAAACCAUAAAUUCUCAAGUAUGAGAUUUUGUAAGGGAGAAAAUAGAGAUUAAUCGACCUUAAGAUGUUUUUUUAGCAGUGUUAAUGCAUCGAUAUUUUCAGCCAAUUUGAAGCAGUUAAUGGCUCUAAUGAUACCCGAAUCCACUAAAUUGCAUACUUUUGAUGGACUUGCAACUACUUCAAGUGAAGAGCAAUCAUCUAUACGCACAUCUGCUAUACUUGUUAGAAGCUCUGGCAACGAUUUAAGCAUCUUGCAAUUUGAUAAUGCAAGGAAAUCAAGCCUGCUAAGUUGAGUAAGAGCCAAAGGAAUGGUGAUGAAAUUGUUACCCGUAAGAUAAAGAUAACUCAAAGAGGAUAGACCAUGAAUAUCUGCUUCACCAAGUGUGCACAUGUUGCAAUAUGACAAAUCAAGAAACCGAAGCUUCGAGAGCCCAGUAAGAGAUGCAGGUAUGCUGGUGAAAUUGUUACCACCAAGAUCAAGAUGUUUCAAGGAGGAUAGACUAGAAAUAUCACGUGGAAUAUCUCCUUCACAAAGAUUGCAGUCUCUUAGUUUUAGCUUUCUUAAUGAACUCAAACCAAACAGCGAAGGCAACAUCUGAGGCAUGGGAUUCUUCCUUCUUCCUACGAUUACCUUGAAAAGAGAAGACAAAUUUGGUCGUAACUUUGCUUGCUGCAAAUUCUCUGACAAAUUUUCAACUCUAUAACAACCAGAAAGAUCUAGAGUUUUUAGACGUUCCAUUUUUCUAUCAAUCCCCGGAAACCUUACAAGACUUGAGCAACCCGAAAGAAUUAAUGUUUCAAGAGAUUCCAUUCCAAUUUUGGUUGGAAGAUUCCUAAGACUUUUGCAAUCUCUUAAAUUCAAAAGUUUAAGGCUGUUAAGCACUCCGAUUGAUGGAUGAACAUCCACUAAUUUGGUACAACCUUCCAAAAUCAAAACUUCAAGAUUUGAUGCUGUUGUAAAGUCUGGUAUCUUGAUCAGGUUUUGGGACCCUUUGAGGUUCAUUAUUUUCAACUUAUACAAGGGCUGUUGAAGACCAUAAAUAAUUAGACAGAAAACAUAAUAAUGCUAAUUUUUGUAUUCUUUACCUUAACCAAAGUUUAAUCAUUUAUAUUAAAAUAAGCUAAAACGAUGAGUUAAUUCUUACUCUAUUUCCCUUCCAUAGUUGUUCAAUGUGACUAUAUGGUAAAAGAAGUGCGACAAGGUUGUCCGGUUGAAAGCUUGAAAGCUUGAAGGCAAGUAUCUUAAAGGAUAUCCUGUCCAAUCUAAAAGUCGUAGUUCAUUAGAAAGAUAUUUGAUAUCAUCACAAUUUGAGACACAAAGCACUUUGAGCAAUCUCAAUUCUUUCAUCUUCGAGAAGGUGUCGAUACUCAAAUUGAGCAUCUUACUUGAUUCCCUAAUAACCACGAGCAAAACAAAAAUAAGCUUCAGAAUAUACAAAAACAUUCAAUAUCUAAAAGCCAUGCUGGAUCGAUAUUGUUUUUUUAAGUAUCCAUAUCUAGCACUUAUAUCUAUUGCAUAUCUGAAUAUGGUAUUGAGAUAUGAUUAACAUAUUAGAACACUUAUAUUCGACCUUUAAUUACCUAAGCUUAAAAAAUCUAGAACUAAUAUUUUGAUUUAUGUUUGGUGCACUGAUGUAUAGUUCUAUACAUUCCCAGUGAACCAAAUGGUGGCAUGACCUAAAUUUAUUUUUAAAAACUUAUAAUGACAUGUUAUAACCUAGUUCAUUGAUAUAGAUUUUCAUUACAUCAAAUAUAAACCAUUAACAUUAGCAAAGACGAUGACACACAUCUCUUUAUAAUUUCUUUUGAAAGAGUAAUGUGUUUCUAUAUAAAUUUUAUAAAUAGAACAUAAAAAAGUAAGCUUUAAGGGUGUACUUGGUUGAGUGGAAAAGUCAAGGGAUAUGAGGAUGAAUUGUCCUUAGUAAAGAAGAAAAGUGAGAAGAAAAAAAAGGGGGAGAAAUAAAUAUUUUAUACUAGUGAGAAGGGAAAUGUAUUAUCUUUCAACUUUCUGUUUACUCUACCAAGCAAAGUCAAAAGGUCUUUUUCUUGUUAUUUUUUAUUGGACUUUUUACAAAAAAAAUAAUAACAAUACUUGGAGUACAUAUUGAUAAAUUUAUAUGUUUCUUUUCUUACCUUUUAUUGUCGAUGGUCAUGCCUUCAAUCACUUCAGUAGCCUGAAAGUAAUCAAGAAGAUAAAAUUAAUGCUCUAAAUUGUACAAUAAAACUUUUAAAAAUUUACAUGCAUGUUCAACAUUAUUGCAAUCUUUUGGUCAAAAUACAGUAAAUAAAAUAUAUUCUAAUGAGAGUAAUUCAAUAAAAUUAAACAUUUAUACCACAAAUCAUUAUUAAUAUUUAUAAUCAACAAAUGAAAAUUAUCUUAAAGCUGCUCAAUGUCACUUAAGGAUCGAUAUAUAAAGCAAUUAGACUAAGCUUUGGAUUUACACCAUUUAUUGAUAAAAGAAAAUUUUGUAUGUAAAUUUUGUUGAAUGGUUUACCGUUUUUUUUGUUAGAACAUGAUGGACAUCCUUUUCCUUCCACAAUCUGCAACGUUUUCCAGGUUCAUUAACACAUUUUUCUUCAACAAUUUUUCUUCCCAUUUCUUGCAACAAGGCAUGCAUCCACAAAUAUCGGUCGUCAUCAUCGACUUUUAUGAGAGAUUUCUUAAAGAGAACAUCAAUUCCAAUAUCUGGGAAAAACUCACAACCAUCCAAUACUUUCAUUACCAAAUCUUUCUUCUCCCCAUUGAAAAAACAUGCUAUAUCUAGAAAUAUAUUCUUCUCCCUUUCUUCUAAUCCAUCAAAGCUGAUUCUUAGUGUGUUAAGAAUUUCUCUGUCACAAUCUUGUUCAAGUCUUUCAAUUGCACUUCUCCAUUGAACUAUAUCUCUACCGCACAAAAAUGAACCCAAAACUUCAAGAGCUAAGGGGAGACCAUCAACAUAAUGUACAACAUGUUCAGAAAGUUGAUUGAAAUCAUCUUUUGGAGUUGUAUCACCACCAAAAGCUUUCAAAUUGAAAAGCCUUAGUGCAUCGUUGGUGUUCAAUGUUGUAGGCUUAUACACAUCAUCGAUUCGAUAAGAUUGGAGCAAAUGUUCAUCUCUUGUUGUUACAAUGAUCCUACUACCUAAACUGAACCAAUCACGCCUUCCAACCAAGCAUUUCAAGUGUUGUACAUUAUCAACAUCAUCAAGAACAACAAGAACUUUUUGCUAGACAACCUGCGGCUAAUUAUGGCAUUCCCUUCGUGAACAUUGAAAAAAUUGAAGCAUUCAUUUGGCAAUAUUUGAUAAAGAAGUUGUUUCUGUAAAGAAACAAGUCCACACUUGUUUGAAACUUCUCGAAUAUCAGCAAGAAAGGUUUUACCUUCAAAAUGAGGUGACAUUUGAGUGUAAACAACCCUUGCAAGAGUUGUUUUACCGAUGCCACCCAUUCCACAAAUUCCUAUAAUGCGGACAUCGUCUUCCCCAAUAUUUAUUUUCGAAUACAACUGCUCCAAACGUGAACUAAUUCCAACCAACUCAUCAUGAAGAACUGGAUAUGUCUGACAUAAAUUUGCUGAUAUCUUCUUAACAAUGUCUCCAAUAAACUCUGAUUCAUGCUACAAUGAAAUUAAAUUUCGAUGCUAUAUUUCAAAUGCACUUCUUCAUUUUUAGUUCAGUGAAUAAUGAAAUAUAAUAUAGUUGGAAGCAAACAAAAAGCAAGAAUAAGACAGCAAGAUCUGUUAUAGCAUCAAAUGACACAACUUGCUGCUUAGUUGAAAUAUGGGAAUUCUCAAUUAAACACAAAAUUAUAUAUAAAAAAAAUGCAAUCCAAAAAAAAAAAAAAAUUAGUCAUUAAAAUUAGGAAAUAUAGAAGAAAAGAAAGAAAUACCUAUUAUGUAAAUGCCAUCCUUUGAUGUUAGCUACUUGAGUCAAAGCAUUUCGCCACUUUUGGAUCUUGUCUGUAUCUUCCUUGUACCUCUCUUGGUGUUUGGCGAAGGCUUCUUCAACUUUUCCUUUUUGUUUUCUUAAAUCGGAUGGAUCCACAUCGUAGAAAAUUGGAAAUACUUUAUGUCCGUUCACAUUUUUUUGUUGAACAAUCUCAGCAAGCUCCUCCAAGGACCAUCCUGAAAAGGUAUAGGUUUUUGAAAAAACGAUUACCGAGCACCAUGAUUGCUGAAUUGCAUUGAAGAGUUUAGGUGCGAUCUCUUCACCAGCCUCCAGCUUUGGAUCAUCUCUGAAGGUGGCGAUCCCACUCCUCUUUAGAGCAUCAUAAAGAUGAUCCAUGAAGUUGUUGCGAGUAUCUUCACCUCUAAAACUCAAGAAAACAUCAUAUUUCUUUCUAGAAAUGGAGGAAGAAGUUGACGGUAACGACAACAUGAGGAUGUAUGAAAGGAGAUGGAUAUCUCAAUCUGGUGUUCAAAAUCAGAAAAUAGAUCGCCCGAUACCCACAAAGAAACUAGAAAGAGUAAGUAUAUAUAUGAGCAUAGGGGCGGAAAUUAGGGGUCAAAAGAUGAGCAAUGGAUGUUCUUGCCAAGAAGUAUCCAAGAAGGUGAGAGUUGGCAAAAUGGAAAUUACGUAAUAAUUAAAAAGUUGGGCGGUUUGUAUUUUACGUAUUUAAGAAUUAUGGGUAGAUAAGAUUAUGACUAAUAAUUAGAAUUAAUUUAUGGGCCGUUUAAAAAGUUUACCAAACAACCAACUACUCGCAUCCACACGUGGAAGAUUUCUAUCUCCAGAGACAGAUCCUUUUCGACCGGCUUGUCCAGAAUUUCUACAAUGGAUAACAGCUCUGGAGAUGAUAACCCUGGCAGGGCAGAAGUAGAAUUUUUUUUUUAAGGUACAAAAUUAAAUUGUAACUUUUAUUAUAGUAAAAAUAUAAUUUUAUAAUUUUAACCGUUUAUAUCUUUAUAAUAUUUAAAAUAUUAAAUUAAAUUAUUAUAAUUUUUAGGAGGGUCAACGUGUAAUUUUAUUUUUACUAAUUUAAAAUUUUAAAAAUCUUAAAAAACUUAAAUAAAAAACUUUUCAUUUUAAGAGAAGGAACCCUACUAUCCCCUAGAUUCGCCUCUGUAUCUCUGAGAAGCAUCAUCAUUGAUAAAUAUGCAACAGGAAACUACUCCCUUCAUUUGUCUUGAAUUUGCAAAUGCCUGCAAAAUAAAACUUCAGCGCUUAGUAAAUAAAACCAUAAAUUCCCUUCAUGGACAUUGAAAACUUUUGUAGCUAAAUACGCCUGAGAUUUUGCUCCUGAUUCAUCAUGUCUUAUCUGCCUGCCUUUGCCUUUCCAUUUAUUCCUGGAUAAAUUUCUGUUCUUCAUAUUUCUUCUAUUGAGAGGACAUUUGCUCCUCCAUAACUCUUAUUCUCUUCUGCAUGUCCAAAUAUUGCUAACUACCAGAUUGAUUAUGUUAGAACCUUUGAUCCAUUGGUGAUGCUUCGGCAUGGUGUUUAAUUUUUGGGGUUAUAAUACCAUGAAGGAGUAUUGGUAAAACUGAUGGUAUGAAUUGUAUUAAAAAAAAGUUUAUGCAUAUAACAUAAAAUGUAUUAAAAAAUCCAUUAAACUUUACAAGUUUCAAUCAGGCACAAAAGAAUGAAUUGUAUGAAUAAAAAUUUAAAUGGUAUAAAAAAUUAUGUUCUACAAAUUCGAGAUAUGUGUAGAAUAUGAGUUUAGUGUUUAACAUGUUCAUACUCAAAAUUUAGAAUUAGUUAUAACAUUUCAAGAAUAUUACCAAAUCCUAUGUUGAGUAAAGAUGUCCAAAAUGAAUACUUCAAAUCAAAUAAAAGACGUGCAUAAAAUAGAUUAGUAUGUCUAAAAAAUAAUUAAUAGUCGAUUGAGUUUUAGCUCGAUUGAUAUCAAUAUUUUUGUCAAUACAGGUGUGAAAAUAGAAUAUUGGUAAUGACAAUGUGUCACAAAGAAAAAGAGAGAAAAAUAAAGAACACACAGAUUUUACGUGGAAACCCUUUCGGAAAAAAAUCACGGGCUGAGGAGAAGAUAAUACACUAUACCGAAUUCGAAUGAAUACAAGAGGAGUAGACUAUGUCUAUUUAUAGGCUUGUAAAACUAUAUUCUAAUAAGAGUGUAGUAAGAUUGAAACACCUUAUUCUAAUUAAUAUCAAAUAGAUGGAGUUUAAUAAGGUUUAAAAACCUUAUUCUAGAAUAAAAUAAAAGAAGUGUAGUUCUAUAUGGAUUUUACUUUUAUUUUAUUUUACCAUUGUAUUUUAUUUAAAUAAGAAUUCAGGUCACUCAAUUCUAACAAUCUCCACCUUGACACGAAUUUUUAAUGAACAAGUUCUUCAUUGCAAACUCUCAACGAACAAGUUCUUCACCUCUUUCAUAAAACCCCAUUACAGGUUUAACUUCAACAAUGAACACCAACCAAGUCUAAGCAAUGCUCAAAUUUGGUUAUAGGAAGUGACUUAGUCAUCAUAUCUGCAGAAUUUUCAUGAGUAUUAAUUUUACUCACAACAAUAUCACCACGAGCAAUAAUAUCAUGAACAAAAUGAUACCGGACAUCAAUGUGUUUUGUUCUUUCAUGAAACAUUUGAUCUUUUGUAAGGAAGAUGGCACUCUGAUUGUCACAAAAUACUGUACUGAUUUGAAGGUCUUCAUUGAGUUCACUAAAGAGUCCCUUCAACCAAAUAGCUUCUUUACAAGCCUCAAUAAUCGCCAUGUACUCAGUUUCAGUGGUAGACAAAAUGACUGUAAUUUGCAAAGUGGCUUUCCAACUGAUUGCACAACCUCUAGUUGUAAAGACAUAACCUGUGGGAGAUAUUCUUCUAUCAAGGUCUCCAGCAAAAUCAGCACCAACAUACCCAAUGACUCCACAUCUCGUUCUUCCAAACUGUAAGCAAACAUCAGUAGUACCUAGUAAGUAUCUUAAAAUCCAUUGAACUUCUUUCCAAUGUUCUUUAUCUGGAUUUGCCAUGCAUCUGCUAACUUCACUGACUGCAUAUGAUAAAUCUGGACGUGAACAAAACAUAGCAUACAUGAGAGAUCCCACUGCACUAGAGCAUGGAACAUGUGACAUGUACUCAACCUCAUCAUAUGAUUGUGGAGACAAAGCUGAUGAAAGUCUGAAAUGGGCUGCUAAAGGAGUAUUAACAGGCUUAGCACUCUGCAUAUUGAACCUGCAAAGAACUUUCCCCUUCUGACUUAGGUACAAUUUACUUGCUUUUUUGUCUCUGAGAAUCUUUAUACCAAGUAUCUUCUUUGCUGGUCCCAAAUCUUUCAUCUCAAAUCUUUCACUUAGUUGGGCUUUGACCUUUCUUAUCUCUUAUUUUUCUUUCGCUACUAUCAACCUAUUAUCAACAUAAAGGAGUACAUACACAAAAGAAACAUCAUUGUUUUUCUUAAAGUAAACACAACUGUCAUAGCUACUUCUUUUGAAAUCAUGAGAAGUCAUAAAGAAAUCAAACCUUUUGUACCACUGUCUUGGUGACUGUUUCAAACUGUAAAGGGACUUUUUUAGCAAGCAAACAUAGUCCUCUUUUUCUGAGACUAUAAAACCCUCUAGUUGUUGCAUGUAAGUAUCCUCCUCAAGUUCUCUAUGCAAAAAUACAGUUUUUACAUCUAACUAUUCAAGCUCCAAAUCAUGCAUAGCCACAAUACCAAGUAAAGCUUGAAUCGAACUAUGCUUCAUAACUGGGGAGAACACAUCUGUGAAGUCCACUCCUGGAAUUUGACUGUAACCCUUUGUAGCAAGCCUUGUUUUAUAUAUGGGUUCUUCAACUCCUAGAGUCCCUUCAUUCUUUUUAAACACCCAUUUACAACGAACAAUCUUUUUAUCUUUAGGAAGUUUCACAAGAUCUCAUGAUUUGUUUUUCUGGAGUGAUUCCAUCUCUUCUUGCAUAGCAAACAUCCAAUUUUCUAAGUCUUCACAGCUAACCGCCUCAAAAUAAUUAGAUGGCUAUUGGUUUGCAUCUAUAUCUUCAACCACAUUUAAAGCAUAAGCAACUAGAUCAGCCUCGGCAUACUUCUUUGGGGGUUUAAUUUCUCUUCUACUUUUGUUUUUGGCAAUAAAGUAUUAUGGCGAAGAAGCAACUUUAUUCUGAAUUUUUGUACUGGCUUGAAAAGUCGACUCUAUUGUAGAUUCUGGAUUAAUCUGAUGCUCCACCUACUUUUGAUUUUCUUUAUUGGAAGAGAGAUAAGUUAGGUAGCAUAGUAGUUUCAUCAAAAACAACAUUUCUACUAAUCACAACAUUUCUAUUUUUAGGACACCAUAACUUAUACCCUUUUACACUAGCUUUAUAACCAAGAAAAACACAUUUAAUGGAUCUCGGUUCUAAUUUUCCAUUAUUAACAUGAGCAUACGUACGACACCUAAAGAUCUUUAAGUCAGAAUAAUCAGCAGGAUUACCAAGCCAUACCUCUUGUGGAGUCUUUUUCUCAAUGGAAAUGGAUGGAGAUCGAUUGAUCAAAAAACAUGCAGUAGAGGUUGUUUUGGCCCAAAACGACUUUGGUAAGUUGGCAUUUGACAACAUACAUCGAACCUUCUCCAUGACCAUUUUGUUCAUUUGUUCUGCAAUGCUGUUCUGCUGUGGAGUAUGACAAACUGUCAAGUGUCUCACGAUCCCUUCUGACUUGCAUAGUUAAUUAAACUCAUCAAAACAGAACUCUGAGCCAUUAUCUUUGCGGAGGUAUUUUAUUUGUUUUCCCGUCUGUUUUUCAAUCAUAUUUUUUCAAGACUUAAAUGCAAAAAACACAUCGCUUUUUUGUGUAACUCAUACCCAACCGUUUGAUUGUAUCAAUAUUCUGCAGAAUUGUAAUGUAGGACAAGAUUUCCAUGAACUAAACUAUAUCACAUGUUACACAAUACGAAAUUAAUACAAACAUGAAACAUAUUUGCUCAUGUGCACACACUUGUAUAUACGUGAUUUAAGUUAAACAAUAUAUUAGACAUGGCAUGAUUAACAACUGAUUAUAAAAUAAAGGUAUUUAGUUACACGCAGACACACAUGUAUCUAAACUCUUUACCGUUGAUGGAGAUGAAAGGAAAAUAUCCCCCCAAAUGUUAGAAUGAAAGUUGGUUGAGGGACGCUUCUGGUUGGACAUGGAUCCAUGAAUUGAAGAAGGAAGCUUUGAUGAAGACAUUUCGUUAGCUAGUAACUAUGUAUGUUGGAAACCCUACGAAAUGAGAUGAAGUGGUGUGAGGCAAAGAGCUCCUAUGUUGACUUAUUUAUACAACUUUCUCAGCAUGUGAAAAUCCUACAUUUACCUAUACAUCUGGAAAUUGAACAGUAGGAUUCGGUAAAAAUCAAAUCGCAUAGUGCCUUAUUAAUUAUUUUUUAAAUUUAAAAAAAAAGAAGAAAGUUAUUGAGAUUAUUUAAAAAUUUUGUAAAAAUAAAAAAUAUAUUAUAAAAUUUUAAAAAUUCAAAAAAAUAAAAAUUUAAUUAUUGAUUUGACAUCCACGUGUAUGUCCACGACAACAAAUUAAAUGUUUGAUUAAAAAAUUCAUCCAUUUUGGGUGAUUUGACAAAAAAAAAUAAGUUCAAAGAUUAAAGAGGUAGAAAAUUAAAUAGAGGGCUAAAAAGAUUUGGUUUUUUUUUUUUGUAAUGUUGGAAGCCUAAAUGUGUCAUUAUACCAAAUUAACUCAAUCACUUAAAAAUAUAACUAAACUAUAAACAAAACAAUUUUUAUAUGUCAUUCAAUCAUAAGUGAAGUGAUAAAUAAUUUGUAUUCAAGUUUUAAGUUGAUAUUGACAUUGUUGCCAGUGUAGGAGGAUGUGGGUUCAAGCAAGCUGAAGCGUGUCAUUCUCCUUUUUCAGGGUUAAGAAGGGAAUAUAAAUAGUUCUAGGUAUUAUAUCAAAAAAUAAUUUUUAGUUGACGUCAAAAUUUAAUUUCAUCCUCAUCCUUAUAAACAACUACUUUUUUGAAAAACAAAAUUUAAUGAAGUAUUAAUAAAGAAAUAAAAAUGUAAAUGGUUUUGAAAAAAUUUACUAUUGCUAGCAAGAAGUGUGUUGCUAAUAGAGACAGGACACUAAGAAAUUGGUGCCUAAGUUGGUGGGCACUUCUUUAGGCACUAAACGAGAAAAAUAGAAAAACACACGAACAUGAUUACGCAAUUCAGUUACUCUACGUCUGUGGAGCCUAGCUCAGUUAAAAGUUUGUACUCUUUUCAACAAUUACAAAGUGAACCCUAAUUGUAGGAAAAAAAAAUCCAAUUUGAAAAUGGUUUUCUUGCCCAGUAAAAAAUUAAAAUUUUAAAAACUGACCCAGUUUGUGAUAUUUAUAGCAGUAAACCUUAGACCGAAAUUAUACCUAUGUUUUUGGUUAAGCGAAUCCUAGACGUUUUUCGAUUUUCAACUAAACGAGUUACGUGAUUAUCAAGUGAAUUUUAAAAAUAAAAAUAAAAAUGUCACGCAAGAGAAUUUAAUAGAAAAAUUUUAACAAAAUUUUUCAACUAAACGAGUUUUUGGUUAAGCGAAUCCUAGACGUUUUUUGACUUUCAACUAAACGUGUUACGUGAUUAUCAAGUGAAUUUUUUAAAAAAAAUUUAAAAAUGUCACGCAAGAGAAUUUAAUAGAAAAAUUUUAACAAGGGUAACGAUCAAUCCUGAAUUUUUAAAUUCAAAAACUAGAAAAUUAUGCUCCUAAAAAUAAAAAUAGAGGACUAAAUUUCAAAUGUAAAAGUAUAUAGGGAUCUAGUGUAUAUUUUAAUAUUCAAAUUUUUAGUCUUUAAUUUGACACAAAUAAUAAUUAACCUAACGUGGAAUGUGGGUCGAGUCCAUACUAGUUUUGGGUCAAAGCCUAAAAACGUGUUAUAUUUCUGUUUUUCCUACAAAACUUUGUUGUCAAGAGUUCAAAUUUUACAUAUAAUUUAUCUAUAUUACAAUGAUUAAUAUAACAAUAUCUUAAUGGGUUGAGUAGAAUGGUUCAACAAGUACAAAGAUGAUGAAGGAAACUUUAACAUGUCCUUAACAAGUGAUGUGAAAGGCUUACUAGAAUUAUAUGAAGCUUCACAUUUACGUGUGCAUGGGGAAGAUAUACUUGAAGAAGCUCUUGGUUUCACCACCACUCAUCUAGGUUUAGCCAAAGCUGCGGGCACUAUCGAAUAUCCCCUUUCAGCCUUAGUCUCCCAUGCUCUAUACCAACCCAUCCGCAAGGGCUUGCCAAGGUUGGAGGCUAGGCGAUUCAUUUCCAUUUACCGAGACGAUGCUUCACAUAACAAAACACUGUUGAAGUUUGCAGAGUUGGAUUUCAACUUGUUACAAAUUUCACACAAGGAUUUCAAGGCAAUAUAUUACUCCUUCAACAUUCAAUAUUUUAAUUGUUUAUCCUAAUUUAAAAGGACUAACUGAUACCUAAUGAUGAACUAUACAUAGGCUAAUUUGAGUUUUGUUUCAGGUGGGGGAAAAGUUUAGACUUACCUACAAAACUACCUUUUGUUCGAGAUAGAUUGGUAGAAGCUUACUUUUGGGCACUGGGAGUGGAUUUUGAGCCACAAUACUCUUUUGCUAGGGAGAUAUUAGCAAAAACAAUGGUCAUGACAUCAAUAAUGGAUGACAUAUAUGACGCAUAUGGCACACUUGAAGAACUUCAACUCCUCUCGAAUGCAAUUCAGAGGUUAGCAACUUCACACGAUUCAAUUUUAAAUUUGAAAGUUGAUUCAGUUAGUUCAUUGUAAUCAUGUAUAAAAAACAUUACUCAAUAUGUUUGAUUUUGAACUUUUCUCUAAUUGAUUUUGCAGGUGGGAUGUUGAUUAUAUAGAUCAACUCCCAAAAUACAUGAAGUCAUUUUACAAGCCAUUGUUAGAUCUUUUUGGAGAAAAUGAGUAGGCAAUGAUUAAGCAAGGAAAAUAAUGUUAUGUCAAAUAUGCGAAAGAUUAUACAUUCGUACCUUAUCUCAUUUUUUAAAUAAUUUUACAUAAGCAGUAAAAAUUAGUAACCCCUUUCUCCUUUUCUCAUAUAUUAUAUGAGGAAAAUGACAAGUAGUGUUGGCAAUGAAGCAAGGUGGAGUGGGACUAUUCACCUUAACCCCAUCCAAUCUUUAUAUCUCCUACCUUGACACCACUCCGAACAUGAUUUUAUUUGAAAUUUCAUAUCCAACAAAUUUUUUUUUUCUCAACUUUACCCAACUCACACAAAAAUAUUAAAUAAUUUUUAUGUUGUAUUACUUUUUACAAUAUCAAAUAAAAUGCAUAAUAUAAAAUCAUAUAAAAAUUUAAAAUAUCUAACUAAAAAAUAAAAAAUUUAAAAUUUUAUAAAAUCUUAUAGAAGUUUAAAAAAUUUAUAAUUAAAAUAUAUAAAAUUAGUUAUGAAAUUAAAAAGGUAUUUUGGUAAUUUUUUAAGAUAGUGCAAGUUUAAGUAAAACCUUAUCUCUUCCCAAACUCUAAUUUUCAUAAAAAUAAAAUAUGUUUUAUAGGGUUGGAUCGAAACAUAUGGAUUUGGGUCAUUUUUAUUAUCCCUAAAUAUACAUAUAUGUUUAGCAUGAUUAUAUUCCAUUUUAUAAAAAUAUAUAUAUAUUUAUAUAUGAAGGAUUAUAAGUUGGUACUUAUAUACUCUAAACUUGAAAAUUUAUUAUGACCUAAAGGUAAUGACUACAAUGAAAACUUUGUACCAAUAAUGGAGGAGUAUAUGAGGAACGCGGUUUUAUCUGUUGGUUAUAUCAUGUUAACCGUCACAUCUUUUAUUGAGAUUUUUGAUUGGGCAUCCAAGAACCCUAAAAUCACUGAUGCUUCUUCCGUUGUUGAUCGUCUCAUGAAUGAUGUUACUUCACACAAGGUACCUUUUUUUCCCGAAUUUUGCAAGAGUAUUUUCAAUAAGUUAUAUUUGAUGAAUAAAACUAAUAUAAAUAUAUAGUUUGAGCAAGAGAGAGGGCACUGUGCAUCAGCUUUGAAUGCUACAUGAGAGAACAUGCAGUUUCAGAAGAAGAAGCAUGUACUGAAUUGAAGAAGCAAGUGGAGAAUGCUUGGAAAGAUAUCAACCAGGAAAUCAUAUUUAGUGAGAUAUCUAAAGUUGUUCCAAGACCGGUUCUUACACGAGUUCUCAAUUUUACAAGAUUGGAGAUGAGUACACACAUGUUGGGAAAAAUACAAAAGAUGGGAUAACUCUGUGCUCAUUGAUCCAAUCUCAGUCUCCUAUUGAGGAAUUAAGACUCUAUAUCAUCUAGCGAUCCAUUUCCUGUUUGUGUUGCUUUUAUAUGUUAUAUGCUUUUAAGAUGUUAUUUAAAUCCUAACAUCUCAGUAAUCCAUGGUGUAUAUUUAUGUUACUCUUUUUUACUAUGUUUUAUGUCGUAUUUUGAUAAAUUUUCAAAUCUCAAGAUUUCUUGAGACUUAAAGGGUUGGUGAAUGAAUCAAGGCGUUGUUAUUUAAAUGGGUUUUAUGGUUGUUCUUUUGGUGCAGUUCUGAUUGUGUCUCAACUGCUUUUUGUUUAUGAGAUUUUAGUGCAAGGGAUCAUGAGUGGUAGUUGUGUUGCAAAGGGCUAAUCCUUACAGUAUAUCAACAUGGGAUGAUGGUGAAUGAACCUUGGCUUUAAAGUUUUUUAGGUGUUAAUGAUGGUAAGUAUGUGAUUGCUUAAGAGAUUAAAGGUAUGGGUUUUAAAGAAAAUGGGUGGAUGGAAGGAAUUGUGGGUAAUCAGCAGUGCAUUUUACUGGAGGAGGGAAGUGCAACUGGUAGGGGAUUUCUAAGUUCUUAGAAUGGUUUGCAUGUAAAUUUUGGAGUUCUAAAAAAAAAAAGAGUUAACUUAAAUCACUUUUGAGAUGAAUUUCAAUGGAAAUGUGAAAUUCCCAACUAUAUGUUUUCUAAAAUGAAGAAACAAGAGAGAGAAAAUCUAACUAUUUUGCAAAGAGAAAAAAAAGAAGCCAUUUUUAUAUUACCCACUCUGCAUUGAGAAAUUAUUUUAUGGACCUUUUUAUCACAUCAUCUAGGAUUUUUUACACAAAUAAUACAAAAAAAAUUAAAAAAAUAACAAAGUAAUACAACCAUUUUAUUAUGUACCAAAAUGGUACAAACAGUAAAAAACCUAGUCGAGGGCCUGCCACAGGCGGCACCUGUGUCAUGUUUUCCUGGGGCUCCCCAAUUUGUUUGUUUUUGUUGUUUAAGGUUUAUGAUGUGAUUGGUUUUGAUUUAAUUGAGAUUUAAUUUUAAAUUUAUUUUUUUACAAGGUAUUAUUUGAUUAAAAAUAGAUAUUAAGAUAUGUUUAUAUUUAUCUAUAUUUUCAUUCAUUCAUAAUUUAAUUUUAAUUUUUAUGUUAUGUACAUUCUAUGUUUUAUUAUUUAUGUUAUGUACAUACUAUGUCUUAUUAUUUUAUCAUUUAUGUUAUUAUUUAUGUUUUAUUAUUUAUGUUAUCUACAUUCUAUGUUUUAUUAUUUUAUUUAAUUUAUUUGUUAAGUGUGUUUUAUGUUGAUUAGAUAUAUUUUUUAUGAAACUUAUUUAGCAUGUUGUAAUGAGAUUUUUUUACAAAAAUAGUAUUAAAAAUAAAAUACCGAAAAAAUAUUUUUAUGACAAAAUAAAAUACAAAAAGAAAUAAAAAUGAAAAUAGUAUAUUUACUGAAAGUAAUAAAAUUCGAAAAAAAAAAAAUUACGAACAAAGGGUCAAAAUAAAGGUUUUUUACUAAAUUUAUAAAAAAAACACACAAAAAUAAUAUAUUUCAGACAUUAUGUACUAAAAUAAUAUAAAAUAAUAAAAUACAAAAAUAGUAUAUCUUUUGAAAGUAAUAAAAUCCGAAAAUAAGAAAAAUAUGAACAAAUAGGCCAAAAUAAGGGUUUUUUUAUAAAUUUAUAUAAAAACACACUAAAUUAAUACAUUUCAAACUUUAUGUACUAAAAUAAUAUAAAAUAAUAAAAUACGAAAAUAGUAUAUUUUUUGAAAGUAAUAAAAUCUGAAAAUAAGAAAAAUACGAACAAAGGGCCAAAAAAUCGGGAAAACAUGGCACAGGUGCCGCUUGUGGCAGUGGCAUCUUUGGUGCUGCCUCUGCCACUGGCACCUUUGGUGCCGCCUAUGGCAGACCCUCGACCAGGUUUUUUACUGUUUGUACCAAUUUGGUACAUAAUAAAAUGGUUAUAUUAUUUUGGUAUUUUUUUAAUUUUUUUUGUAUUAUUUGUGUAAAAAACCUCAUCAUCUAUGGUCCCACCCAAUUAAAAGAAGACGCAUCAUCUUUGAUUCCACUUCUCCACUGAGAAGCAUCUCUACCGCACACAAAAGAACCCAAAACUUCAAGAGUUAAGGGGAGACCACUAGCAUAAUGUACAACAAGUUUAGAAAGGACUAAAUUGUAACAAUUUGGACUAAUUUAAAUAAAACAAAGAACAUGGAUAGUGAUGCCCCUAAGGGAAUAUUAAGAUAAAGUGAGACCGAAAGGUAAUCUUGUCGUGCACCCGUUCAUUAGUCACGGAUUAACUAGUGAGAUUGGAAGAUAAACUAGACCUAAUCAGUCUAAGUUGGCAAAAUUAAGACCGGAAGAUAAAAUAGAGCCACUUGGUAAUUAUGUGAUUUAUGUCAUUGGUCCAAGAUUUGGUGAACCACAUCGAAGUCAACCAACCCCUAUUAGUCAUUUGCUAGAUAGUCCUUCUAGUUUACAUUUCUUGUAAUUUAGUCCCUAGAGUAGAAUAUUUAAUUUUCUUGCAAACUUAUCUUUUAUGAAUCACCGUAAUAUAAAAUUGUAUCAAUAGACACUUAGCAUCUAUUGUGUAUGUUAGUUAUUACUCAAUUGCCUAUUCCUUUGGGUUCAAUCCUUAGAAUACUUUUGCAUUUCAUUAUUACACUAUAAAUAUAAAUAUUAAAACUGACCAGUACGCUUGCAGUAAAAUUGGGCUUUUAAAAUAGUUAUAUAAAUUUAGUGUUUUAAGCACACGCAUGCAACCGGUCAGUAGUCAAUCUCACCCCAUUAGCCACCAUGACAUGAAGUUGACUAAAGUGCUCCACUAAUAAAUCCAACCUCUUAACGAGCUUAGAAUCUAGAAAAUUGUGUGUACUUCUUGAGUCAACCAGGAUAAUGACAUUGGAGUGACCAAUACUUGCUAAAAACUGCAUAGAAUUAUGUCUCUAUAAGCCUUGAAGGGUGUGUAAAGAUAAAACUGGGGCAGUGUGUUUCGUUUCCUAUUCUAACACUUUCAGUUGUUCAGGACAUUCUUGGAACUCUUCAAACACUGGACUCUUGCUUCCACCCUCAUGAUCUGAAUAAAGUUCUACAACCAGCUGAUAAAGUUGAGACUUGGUGCACUUAUGACCUGGGGUGUAUUUGGAUGCAAACCGAAAGCAAAGUCCCUUCUUUCUUCUCUAUUCUAUUUUAGCUUGAGAAAAGGGUUUGGUUUGGAAUUUUUACCCCGAGUUACUAUUUGGAGGUCCACUUGGCCCUAUCGAGUUACAGUGGUGAUAUUGCACCUUGGGACCAAGAAUUAGGAGGCUAAGGUGACUUAUUCCCCCACUUACAUUCAAACUCUUCUUUGUGAACUUAGCCACAAUGUGUUCAACCUAUAGAGCUAGUUGAUAGCCUUCUACCAGUGUUUGAGCCUUGAACAACCAUAGAUACUACCCUAUCUCAGGUUUAAGAUUGCAAGUGAAAACACUAAGGACAUAAUCCUCACUUAGAUGUAACUGAUUAAGCAAACUUACAAAACGGUCAUGGAAUUGGUCCAUUGACCCUUUCUCCUUGAGUGAAACAUGUCCUAACAUGGGGUCUAAGAAGGAGUUAGAUCUAAAAUGAUCCCUCAGCCCUCGAACAUAUAUCUCCUAAGUCAGGUGAUGUAAUCCCCCUGUCAUUGCACAAAAGUGAUGCCAAUCUAGGGCUUUACCUUCUAAGUGCAACAUUACCAUUCUAACAUUGGUUUACUUUAUUAUAUUUGCAGCUUCAAAGAAUCGUUCUAACUUGGACCACCAAUCUUGAUAAUCUGUCCCAUCAAAUCAUGGGCAUUCUAGCUGAAGAGUUUUACUGACAAAGUCCACAAGACCAACUUGAGAAAAAGUAUUCAUGUUUUCCAAAUCUGACACAGGUGAUAAUAUAAGUGACUUUUUGGAAGGGAACUUAGGAGGAGAGCCUCCCAUAAUGCCCUUGUCUUGAACUCUUCUAGUUACACUGGCAGAAGCAUUUUGACCAAAAUAGUGUUCAAAAAGAUAAUCCACUCCUACAAGGUAAUCCAUUCCUACAAGAUAAUCAACUCCAUUGAUUUGUGAUUUUGAGAUUUUAAUUUAAAAGAUAAAUAUCGAAAUAUAUAAUUUUUUUAAAAAAAUUAAAAACUGAGACCAGUAUAAAAUUAUUUAUCUUAGAUGGAAUGCUCAAUUAGGUGAUAUUUUAUUAGGAUCAGAUAAACGAUCUCAUCGAGAGAGAGAGUCAUCACAGGAUGGAUGAUUGGGAUCGGUAGACGAUGAGACUCCAUGAGUGUGGAGCCUUCCUUGAGUGGACAACGGCAGCAUUGGGUUCACACCUGCGCGUGGAGAGGACUUUGAAGCCUUCACAAAUCAUGUAAAGAAAUGAAAGAAAAUGAAGAAAAUGUUAAAAGCAUGUGCCAAACGUACCAUGAUGAGGGAAAUGAGAUACAACAAUACAAAGCAUGAGUCCAACUAAUAAAUUAAAGCUGACUUGAAUUUUAUAGGAUGGGAUAAUUUCAUUUUCGGUCCUCUAUAAUCUUCACUAUAUGCGUAUAGCUCCUGAUUUUAGUUUAUUUAUUUAAUUCAAUCCUAACCGUUAUUUAUUUUAGUUUUUUUUAAUUAGUAUUUGUGACUCUUAACAUUACUAUUGUAGGUAUUUAGAUAACUUAAUAGAGAUAAUAUUUUUACUAUUUGAAUGCAUAAUUUAUUUUAAAUAUUAGAAGCUAUUAUUCACUUAUCUUUAAUUACUUUUAAUAAUUUUGAACUGUCAUUAAACAAGUGCAAUUUAAUAAUCUAUUACACAUUACAUUGUCAAAUAUAUUUCACGUGAUUAAAUUUUAUAAAAAUGAUAUGUAUAAAUUUGAAAUUUAUUUUCUGUACUUUUAUUUGUAGGAAUUUCAUUUAUUUAUUUUUAAAAUUUUAAAAUUCAAAUUUAAUUGUUAACCCAUUUUUUUCCUAAAAUUUAUGUGAUAUUUUGAAAUUUAAAAAAAUACACAUUCACUCCUACUAUUGUUUCUAGAAAAGUUGAAUUGGAAUUUUGGUAGAUAAAACGACUGAAGCAUGAAGAUCACCGUGUGCCAAAUUCAACCACCUUCCUUUUCUUAUACAAAAUUUUAAAGAGUUUCACAAUGAUGCCCUCGAGAAAAGAAAGUAUACAUUAAAGGAAAAAGGAAUUGUGUAAUGAGUGAUGUCAGCUUCACCGAUUAUUUCUUCUUAUCACAUGCCAAAGCAAUUUCCUUGUACAGACUGGGAAAACUCCUGGAAUUUCGUCCAAGUUUGAACGAGGUCGAGUUUUAUAUAAUACUGGACUACCAAGUGUAUGAAGUCGACCAAACACAUAGAUUACUUCGUCCGUAAUAAAUAAUAAUAAUAAUGUCGUGUUUGAUCAUGCUUGUGUUGCUGCUUUUCCUCCUGGUUGUUGCAUCUUCAGAUAUCAACCAGGGCCAGUUUAGUUUCAAUGGUUACUAGAAUGUCGAGGGAGUUGCAGGCGUAGAUUCAAGUGGGCUGUUUACACUUACAAAAUACCACAAGCCGAAUAAGUGGUCAAAUCUUCUACAAGAAUCCGAUCCAGUUCAAGAACUCCACAAAUGCAACUGUUUCCCCCUUCCCCACUACAUUCAUUUUUGCAAUUAUACCUGGAUACACCGACCUUGGUGGCCAUGGAUUGGCCUUCGUUGUCUCCCCUAACGAUGAAAUUUCUGAAGCUCUUCCCACCCACUAUCUCGGUCUUUUCAUUGAAACAAACAUAGGCUUAGACUCGAACCAUGUUGUGGCGCUUGAGCUGGGCACGGCCCGGACCAUUGCGGUCGGUGACAUAGACGGCAACCACGUCGGCAUCGACAUCAAUAACCCAAGAUCAGUGACAGCUGCUUCUGCUGGGUAUUUCACUGAUGAAAGUGAGUUCAAAAAUCUCAACCUCAAGAGUGGAUAUCCAAUGCAGGUUUGGGUUGAAUACGACGGGGUCUAGAAGCAACUUGAUGUUACAUUGUACCCAAUCAAUGUAACGAAGCCAAAACCUCACUUUUAUCCUUGAAAAAGGAUCUGUCUCCAUAUUUGUAUGAGUCUAUGUUUUUCGGCUUCUCGUCGUCCACCGGUGUUCUUGUAUCGUCGCACUACAUAUUGGCUAUUCUAAGGACAUGAUUUUUUUGCAUCUCAAUCAAAGGUUUGAAAAGUUGAAUUCUUUGAGGUGCCCAUUCAAUAGACUAAGAAAGCUGAAAAGUUGAAAUUAUAUUUAUCAUAACAUAUCAUUUUUUAUUUAUAUCAAGGAUUUUAUCAUGUUAGCAUUAUGGACACGAAUAUAAUGAAUACUAAUUUAUGGUAAAUAAGAAUCUAUUUGUACGAUCAAACAAAAAAAGGGGAAAAAAAUCAGAAAAGAGAAACUUAUAAAAUUAACUAAUAGGGGAAAAAUCUUGAAAAAGCUAGUGAAGUAGUUUACCACAUUUAAUGCUUCUUCCCUGAUUUGGCCAUUAUAAAAUUGAAAGUUUUUUGCAUCCGUUUUGGUUGCCUUCUUCCUUCGCUUCAUCAUAGAUAUUAGGUUUCUGUUUUAUGUGAGAAGUGCCAUCUACUGAUCCAUAAAGGUGUGAGCAGAGUGUUGGUGGAUGUGAGAAGAUUGAGUGGUAUGUCACUGCAACUCUUUUAUUUCUUCCAAAUCUUUCUCAUACACUAUUCUAGCACCACACUUCUUCACCUUAGCAUUGUCUUCAUCAUUUGGGUUUGAGAAAGACACCUCUAACUCAUAACAUUUUUCAUCUGAGCAAUCUGUUGCCCAUAAAUUAUUGGUUUCACAAUGACCAUAUUUAUCCUCCAAGGAAAAUGGAUAUACUUUAUCACGCGACCAAUAACGAAGAAAAAGGUGAUCUUUCAUUAUGGGCUGGUUAAAUCGUUUAUCCACCAACCAGCCGCUCCCAUCAAUCCGUCGAGGAUUUUUACCUCGAAAAUUAGAUCCAUUACAACUGGCUUCUUCAGAAUUUCUACAAUAGAUAAUUGCUCCACAACCGAUAUGCUCGUCAUCCCUUGAAGCAUCAUUAUUGACAAAAAUGCAGCAACAAGCAACUCCAAUCCAUUGACUAUCUUUCGGAACGGGUAUCUUAAUUGAAGAGUCACUUUUUUGUUGGAUAAACCAUUCUGGGAUUUCACUUCCGGGCAUCAUAAUAUCAAACUUUUUUCUUGAAUUUGCCAAUGCCUGCAAAAUAAAACACAAGUCGUUUGGUAACUAAAACCAUACAUUCUCAAGUAUGAGAUUUUGUAAGGGAGAAAAUAGAGAUUAAUCGACCUUAAGAUGUUUUUUCAGCAGUGUUAAUGCAUUGAUAUUUUCAGCCAAUUUGAAGCAGUUAAUGGCUUUAAUGAGACCAAAAUCCAAUAAAUUGCAUACAUUUGAUGGACUUGCAACUACUUCAAGUGAAGAGCAAUCAUCUAUACGCACAUCUGCUAUACUUGUUAGAAGCUCUGGCAACGAUUUAAGCAUCUUGCAAUUUGAUAAUGCAAGGAAAUUAAGCCUGCUAAGUUGAGUAAGAGCCAAGGGAAUGGUGAUGAAAUUGUUCCCCGUAAGAUAAAGAUAACUCAAAGAGGAUAGACCGUGAAUAUCUGCUUCACCAAGUGUGCACAUGUUGCAAUUUGACAAAUCAAGAAACCAAAGCUUCGAGAGCCGAGUAAGAGAUGCAGGUAUGCUGAUGAAAUUGUUACCACUAAGAUCAACAUCUGUCAAGGAGGAUAGACUAGAAAUAUCACGUGGAAUAUCUCCUUCACAAAGAUUGCAGUUCCUUAGUUUUAGCUCUCUUAAUGAACUCAAACCUAACAGCGAAGGCAACAUCCGAGGCAUGGGAUUCUUCCUUCUUCCUACAAUUACCUUGAAAAGAGAAGACAAAUUUGGUCGUAACUUUGCUUGCUGCAAAUUCUCCGACAAAUUUUCAACUCUAUAACAACCAGAAAGAUCUAGAGUUUUAAGAUGUUCCAUUUUUCUAUCAAUCUCCGGAAACCUUACAAGACUUGAGCAACCCGAAAGAAUUAAUGUUUCAAGAGAUUCCAUUCCAAUUUUGGUCGGAAGAUUUCUAAGACUUUUGCAAUCUCUUAAAUUCAAAAGUUUAAGGCUCUUAAGCACUCCUAUUGAUGGAUGAACAUCCACUAAUUUGGUACAACCUUCCAAAAUCAAAACUUCAAGAUUUGGUGCUGUUGUGAAGUCUGGUAUCUUGAGCAGGUUUUGGGACCCUUUGAGGUUGAUUAUUUUCAACUUAUACAAGGGCUGUUGAAGACAAUAAAUAAUUAGACAGAAAACAUAAUAAUGCUAACUUUUGUAUUCUUUACCUUAACCAAAGUUUAAUCAUUUAUAUUAAAAUAAGCUAAAACGAUGAGUUAAUUCUUACUCUAUUUCCCUUCCAUAGUUGUUCAAUGUGACUAUAUGGUAAAAGAAGUGCGACAAGGUUGUCCGGUUGAAAGCUUGAAGGCAAGCAUCUUAAAGGAUAUCCUGUCCAAUCUAAAAGCCGUAGUUCAUUAGAAAGAUAUUUGAUAUCAUCACAAUUUGAGACACAAAGCACUUUGAGCAAUCUCAAUUUUUUCAUCUUCAAGAAGGUAUCGAUUCUCAAAUUAAGCAUCUUGCUUGAGUCCCUAAUAACCAUGAGCAAAACAAAAAUAAGCUUCAAAAUAUACAAAAACAUUCAAUAUCUAAAAGCCAUGCUGGAUCGAUAUUGCUUUUUUAAGUAUCCAUAUCUAGCACUUAUAUCUAUUGCAUAUCUGAAUAUGGUAUUGAGAUAUGAUUAACAUAUUAGACAAUACUUUAUCUAACACUUAUAUUCGACUUUUAAUUACCUAAGCCUAAAAUAACUAGAACUAAUAUUUUGAUUUAUGUUUGGUGCACUGAUGUAUUGUUCUAUACAUUACCAGUGAACCAAAUGGUGGCAUGACCUGAAUUUAUUUUUAAGAACUUAUAAUGACAUGUUAUAACCUAGUUCAUUGAUAUAGAUUUUCGUUACAUCAAAUAUAAACCAUUACAUUAGCAAAGACUAUGAAACACAUCUCUUUAUAAUUUCUUUUGAAAGAGUAAUGUGUUCCUAUAUAAAUUUUAUAAAUAGAACAUAAAAAAAAAUUAAGCCUUAAGGGUGUACUUAGUUGAGUGAAAAAAUCAAAGGAUAUGGGGAUGAAUUGUGCUUGGUAAAGAAGAAAAGUGAGAAGAAAAAAAAGCGGAGAAAUGAUCAUUUUAUAUUAGUAAGAAGGGAAAUGUAUUAUCUUUCAAUUUUCUGUUUACUCUACCAAGCAACGUCAAAAGGUCUUUUUGUUGUUUUUUAUUGGACUUUUUACAAAAAAAAAUAAUAAUAACACUACUAGGAGUACAUAUUGAUAAAUUUAUAUGUUUCUUUUCCUACCUUUUAUUGUCGAUGAUUAUGCCUUCUAUCACUUCAGUAGCCUGAAAAUAAUCAAGAAUCGAUAAUAAGAAGAUAAAAUUAAUGCUCUAAAUUAUACGAUAAAACUUUUAAAAAUUUACAUACAUGUUCAACAUUAUCGCAAUCUUUUGGUCAAAAUAUAGUAAUUAAACUAUAUUCUAAUGAGAGUAAUUCAAUAAAAUUAAACAUUUAUAUUACAAAUCAUUAUUAAUAUUUAUAAUCAGCAAAUGAAAAUUAUCUUAAAGCAAUUAAGAUAAAAGAAAAUUAUUAAUAUUUACAUACAAUGUCAGUUAAGGAUCCAUAUAUAAACCAAUUAGACUAAGCUUUGGAUUUACACCAUAUAUUGAUAAAAGAAAAUUUUGCAUGUAAAUUUUGUUGAAUGGUUUACCGUAUUUUUUGUUAGAACAUGAUGGACAUCCUUUUCCUUCCACAAUCUGCAACAUUUUCCAGGUUCAUUAACACAUUUUUCUUCAACAAUUUUUCUUCGCAUUUCUUGCAACAAGGCAUGCAUCUGCAAAUAUUGGUUGUCAUCACUGACUUUUAUGAGAGAUUUCUUAAUGAGAACAUCGAUUCCAAUAUCUGGAAAAAACUCACAACCAUCCAAUACUUUCAUUACCAAAUCUUUCUCCUCCCCAUUGAAAAAGCAUGCUAUAUCUAGAAAUAUAUUCUUCUCCCUUUCUUCCAAUCCAUCAAAGCUAAUUCGUAGUGUGUCAAGAAUUUCUUUGUUAGAAUCUUGUUUAAGUCUUUCGAUUGCACUUCUCCAUUGAAUUAUAUCUCUACCGAACAAAAAUGAACCCAAAACUUCAAGAGCUAAGGGGAGACCAUCAACAUAAUGUACAACAUGUUCAGAAAGUUGAUUGAAAUCAUCUUUUGUAGUUGUAUCACCACCAAAAGCUUUCAAAUUGAAAAGCCUUAGUGCAUCGUUGGUGUUCAAUGUUGUAGGCUUAUACACAUCAUCGAUUCGAUAAGAUUGGAACAAAUGUUCAUCUCUUGUUGUUACAAUGAUCCUACUACCUAAACUGAACCAAUCACGCCUUCCAACCAAGCAUUUCAAGUGUUGUACAUUAUCAACAUCAUCAAGAACAACAAGAACUUUUUUGCUAGACAACCUGCGGCUAAUUAUGGCAUUCCCUUCGUGAACAUUGAAAAAAUUGAAGCAUUCAUUUGGCAAUAUUUGAUAAAGAAGUUGUUUGUGUAAAGAAACAAGUCCACACUUGUUUGAAACUUCUCGAAUAUCAGCAAGAAAGCUUUUACCUUCAAAAUGAGGUGACAUUUGAGUGUAAACAACCCUUGCAAGAGUUGUUUUACCGAUGCCACCCAUUCCACAAAUUCCUAUAAUGCGGACAUCGUCUUCCCCAAUAUUUAUCUUCGAAUACAACUGCUCCAAACGUGAACUAAUUCCAACCAACUCAUCAUGAAGAACUGGAUAUGUCUGACAUAAUUUUGCUGAUAUCUUCUUAACGAUGUCUCCAAUAAACUCUGAUUCAUGCCUACAAUGAAAUUAAAUUUCGAUGCUAUAUUUCAAAUGCACUUCUUCAUUUUUAGUUCAAUGAAUAAUGAAAUAUAAUAUAGUUGGAAGCAAACAAAAAGCAAGAAUAAGACAGCAAGAUCUGUUAUAGCAUCAAAUGACACAACUUGCUCCUUAGUUGAAAUAUGGGGAUUCUCAAUUAAACACAAAAUUAUAUAUAAAAAAAAUGCAAUCCAAAAAAAAAAUAGUCAUUAAAAUUAGGAAAUAUAGAAGAAAAGAAAGAAAUACCUAUUAUGUAAAUGCCAUCCUUUGAUGUUAGCUACUUGAGUCAAAGCAUUUCGCCACUUUUGGAUCUUGUCUGUAUCUUCCUUGUACCUCUCUUGGUGUUUGGCGAAGGCUUCUUCAACUUUUCCUUUUUGUUUUCUUAAAUCGGAUGGAUCCACAUCGUAGAAAAUUGGAAAUACUUUAUGUCCGUUCACAUUUUUUUGUUGAACAAUCUCAGCAAGCUCCUCCAAGCACCAUCCUGAAAAGGUAUAGGUUUUUGAAAAAACGAUUACCGAGCACCAUGAUUGCUGAAUUGCAUUGAAGAGUUCAGGUGCGAUCUCUUCACCAGCCUCCAGCUUUGGAUCAUCUCUGAAGGUGACGAUCCCACUCCUCUUUAGAGCAUCAUAAAGAUGAUCCGUGAAGUUGUUGCUAGUAUCUUCACCUCUAAAACUCAAGAAAACAUCAUAUUUCUUUUUAGAAAUGGAGGAAGAAGUUGACGGUAACGACAACAUGAGGAUGUAUGAAAGGAGAUGGAUAUCUCAAUCUGGUGUUCAAAAUCAGAAAAUAGAUCGCCCGAUACCCACAAAGAAACUAGAAAAAGUAAGUAUAUGAGCAUAGGGGCAGAAAUUAGGGGUCAAAAGAUGAGCAAUGGAUGUUCUUGCCAAGAAGUAUCCAAGAAGGUGAGAGUUGGUAAAGUGGAAAUUAAGUAAUAAUUAAAAAGUUGGACGGUUUGUAAUAAUUAUGAGUAGAUGAGAUUAUGACUAAUAAUUAAUAGAAUUAAUUUAUGGGCUGGUUAAAAAGUUUACCAAACAACCAACUACUCGCAUCCACACGUGGAAGAUUUCUAUCCCCAGAGACAGAUCCAUUUCGACCAGCUUGUCCAGAAUUUCUACAAUGGAUAACAGCUCUGGAGAUGAUAACAGCUCUGGAGAUGAUAAACUUACUCUGGCAGGCAGAAGUCAGAAUUUUUUUUUUAAGUUAACUUUUAUGAUAUUAAAAAUAUAAUUUUAUAAUCUUAAUAUUUAAAAUAUUUUAUAACUUUAUAAUAUUUAAAAUAUUUAAAGGAUUAAAUUAAAUUUUUAUUAUUUUUAAAGAAUUAAAGUGUAAUUUAAUCUUUACUAAUUUAAAAUUUUAAAAAUCUUAAAAAGUUUAAAUGAAAAACUUUUCAGGAGAACCAAACCUACCAUCCCUAGAUUCGCCUCUGUAUCCCGAGAAGCAUCAUCAUCGAUAAAAAUGCAACAGGAAGCUACUCCCUUCAUUUGUCUUGAAUUUGCAAAAUAAAACUUCAGCGCUUGGUAAAUAAAACCAUAAAUUCCCUUCAUGGACAUUGAAAACUUUUGUAGCUAAUUACGCCUGAGAUUUUGCUCCUGAUUCAUCCUGUUCGCCCUAAGCUGCCUGCCUUUGCCUUUCCAUUUAUUCCUGGAUAAAUUUCUGUUGUUCUUCAUAUUUCUUCUAAUGAGAGGACAUUUGCUCCUCCAUAACUCUUAUUCUUUUCUGCAUGUCCAAAUAUUGCUAACUACCAGACUGAUGAUGCUAGGACCUUUGAUCCAUUGGUGAUGCUUCGGCAUGGUGUUUAAUUUUUGGGGUUAUAAUACCAUGAAGGAGUAUUGGUAAAACUGAUGGUAUGAAUUUUGUUGGUUUUGAUUUUGUGGGGAUAUUGUUGAAACAUACAUUAGAUCCUGGUUUGAUUUCUUAGUUUGCUCCAUAUUUGCUUCGAUACUCUGACCAAUGAGGUUUGUAACUUGAACAUUGGCAAGGUCAAACUCAAUAAUAGGAGGAUCAUUGGGAUCUAGAUGUUUCAUGCUUGUCUACGCUUACCGCACCAAUUGUUAACUAGUGAGGUGAACAAAAGGAAGAAGAUGUUGGUUUGAUGAAGGAGGUGUUGGAACAUUUUCAAAUAUUUAUAGUAUCCCAAAAGGUCGUAAAUAAACCAUGCAAUGCAUGCAUACUUAUUCUAAAAUGGACACGACACCUUUUACUAAUAUUAUUCUUUCUUGCACUCCCAUUGGCUUAGGUACACUGCAUGCGUUGUCCCUUCAUGCCGUCUAUUUAAUAAUGUCGUUAAUAAUUUUAAUGUGGUCUUCACUCCAUCCAUCGAUCGUGUCUAGCCUCAGUUUUCCUCCAUACAUCAAAUCAUUUGCAUUUGAAUAUCCCAUCUCUCCUUUUAAUUUUAAUUAUACUGAGUCUUCUUAUGUAAAUUUAGUUUAUUCAGGUUGUGCUUAUGAAUUUAGAUUCAAAAUAUGGAGUUAAAGACGAUUAUAUGAUAAAAGGCAUUGUCUAUGGUUUUUGCUGCAGAAAAUUGUUAACUUUCGGGAUGACGCCAUUAUAAAAUUUGUUUGCAUGAACUAAUUAAUCCAUAGACUUUAAUUAUGUACUAUGUAACGAUUGUAUGAUGAAAGGAAUUGUCUAUGGUUUCUGCUGCAGAAAAUUGUUAACUUUCGAGAUGACGCCAUUAUAAAAUUUGUUUGCAUGAACUAAUUAAUACAUAGACUUUAACUAUGUACUAUGUAGGCGUCCUAGUACAAGGAUUGGGUUGUGAGCAAUACUAAUGGCAGUUAGGCCAUCACAGUACAACUUCAUUGGUGAAGUUAUUGGUUUCCUCAGCUCUUCCAUAAUUCUUUUUAACGACAUCAUUUCACAAAUUCCUUGAGCCAUUGAUCUAAACUCGGCCUCUGCACUACUUCUUGCUACAACACUUUGUUUUUUGCUUCGCCAAGUCACAAGGUUUCCCCAAAAAAAUGUACAGUAUCCUGAUGUAGAUAUUCUAUAUGUUAUUGAGCCUGCCCAAUCUGUAUCUGUAUAAGCUUCAAUUCCACUUUCUUCAAAUUUCUUGAAGAAUAAGUCUUUUCCAGGUGAACUCUUCAAGUAUCUCAGAAUCUGAAACAUUGUUUCUUCAUGUUCUUCCAUUAGGGAGUGCAUAAAUUGACUCACUAAGCUCACUGAAAAAGCUAUGCCUGGCCCUGUAUGUGAUAAGUAAAUUAACUUACCAACUAAUCUUUGGUACUGCCCUUUAUCAACUAAUCGACCUUCUUUAUUUCUGAAUUUUACAUUUGGAUCAAUUAGUGUGUCAGCUGGGCAGCAACCACUCAUCCCAGCCUCUUUUAAAAAAUCAAUCAUAUAUUUUUUCUAAGAGACCACAACACCCUUCUUGGAUCUCAAACUCCAAUGCUAGAUGCUCCUUGAGACGCCUUAUUUAAUCUACAUCAUCUUCUGUAAGAAUGAUAUCAUUGACAUAAACUAUAAUAAUUGUUAUUUUACCUUUUUGACAGUGCCGAUAGAAGUAAGCUUGUUUUUUAACAACUUGAGUGAAUCAUUCAAACCAAGCUCGAAGAGAUUGCUUUAGACCAUACAAAGAUUUCUUGAGCUUACAUACUCGAGUUCCAAAUUUUUACCUUUUUGACCGAGCAACUUUCAUUCCAAGAAAGUAUUUCAAAGGACCCAAGUCUUGGAUCUCAAACUCCAAUGCUAGAUGCUCCUUGAGAUGCCUUAUUUUAUCUACAUCAUCUCCUGUAAGAAUGAUAUCAUCGACAUAAACUAUAAUAAUUGUUAUUUUACCUUUUUGGAAGUGUCGAUAGAACAUUGUGUGAUCAGCUUGCCUUUGUGAGUAACCUUGUUUUUUAACAACUUGAGUGAAUCGUUCAAACCAAGCUCGAAGAGGUUAAUUUAGACCAUACAAAGAUUUCUUGAGCUUACAUACUCGAGUUCCAAAUUUUUCUUCAAAACCUAGAGGAGGAUCUAUGUAAACUUCUUCUUCAAGUUUUUCAUUUAGGAAAGCAUUCUUCACGUCUAGCUGCUAUGAAGACCAAUCAAGAUUAACAGUAAUUGAUAAAAGAACUCUAACAGAAUUUAAUUUGGCUACUGGAGCAAAUGUUUCAAGAUAAUCUAUCUCGUAUAUUUGAGUGCACCCUUUAGCUACCAGCCAGACUUUGUAUCUAUCUAAAGAUCCAUCUGGUUUGAAUUUGGUUGUGAACACCCAUUUACAACCCACUAUUUUUUUCCCUAUAGGUAAUUCUACUAUUUCCCAUGUACCUAUUUUUUCAAGAGCGCGCAUCUCCUUUAAAAUAGCCUCCUUCCACUCAAGAACCUAUAAAGCAUCUUUCACAUUUUUGGGUAUUUCACAGUAUCGAGAUACGAAACAAAGGCUGAGAAUGUCAAAGACAAUGUUUUAUAGGAUACAAAGUUAGACAUGGGGUAUUUGACAAAAUUUCUAACACAUUUUCUUUUAACAAUUGGAAUAUCUAAAUCAGAAAAUUCAUUGGCUGGAUUAUGAGCUUUACCUGGACUUUUGACAAGAUCUUGUAGGUCGGAUUCUUGGUGAUGAAUCUGGUAGAUUCCACUUUCUUGACUUCAGUUUCUUUUUGAGUAAACAAUUAACUCCUUUGUUUGUUCUUUAUUCUCAUGAUCAGACUUUACGCCUUUAUACUCAUUUUUAUUAAUAACAUUAACAUCAUUAAUUUCUGUGUUAAUCAUAAAUUUACCUUCCCCAUUAUUAGAAUCUCUAUGUUGUAUAUUUCUAGUCUUUUCUUGAUCAAUUAUAGAAUCUUCCUUACUAUAAUUUCCUCCCUGAAGAUUAGAAUCAAAAUAAGAUUGCAUUUCAACAAAUGUGACAUCCAUGGUACAAUAAUCUUCCUAUCAAUUGUAUCAUAACAUUUGUAACCUUUUUUAUUAGAAGCAUAGCCAACAAAGGCGCAUUUUUUUUUCUCUAGGAUCUAGUUUACCAUGGUUGUAAAGAUGAACAAAAACACUACACCCAAAAACUCAAAGGGAUAAAUCUAUGAUCAAUUUAAAGUUAGGAAAGUUAUCUUUAAAGAGACGAAAAGGAGCUCUAUAGUUUAGAGUUGUACUGGGCAUUCUAUUAAUAAGAUAUGUAGCUGUUAACAAGGCUUCGCCCCAAAGAUAACGUGGUACCUGACUAGUGAACAUCAAGACUCUAGUUACUCUAAAAAGAUGUUGGUUUUUUCUUUCUACAAUCCCAUUUUGUUGUGGGGUAUUUGUACAAGAGCUUUGGUGGACUAUUCCAUGUUUGAUUAAGAAAACACUUAAUUGGUCACUAAAAAAUUCCCCACUAUUGUCACUCCGAAAUACUUCUAUUUUCACACCAAAUUGUGUUUUCACCAUAGCAUAAAAAGACUGAAACACAUUUUUAACUUCAGACUUAUCUUUUAAUUUAAAAAAACCCAACAAAUACGAAUAUGAUCAUCAAUAAAUGUGACAAACUAACGUUUUCCUGAAAAAGUUGAGACUCUUGAAGGUCCCCUGUAAUCACUGAAUUUUGCCUGGGUUGGAUUUUGGGCCGGGCUGGUCUCGUAUGGGCCCGAUGAUCGGGCCCAUUAAGAUUUAAUUUUGAACUUGUUUUAGCCUAUUUUUAAUUACUGUUUUAAAUAUUAAUAAAAUAGUAGUAAAAAAAAUCUCAAAAAAAAUAUAAAAAAUACAAAAAAAUAUAAAUUACAUUUUAACCCCUCUACUUUUUAAAAUUUACAUUUUGACCCCAAAAUUUUCUUUAAAUUACACUUUGACCCCUAAUAUUUCGUAAAUUACAGUCAAGCCCCUAAACUUUCCAGAAAUUACAUUUUUGCCCUAUAUUUUCCUAAAAUCGCAUUUUUGCCCCAGAAACUUUACACCCGUUACAAUUUAGUCCUUCUGGGCAUGACAAGACUGCCCCCAACCAGCAUCCGGGCGUGCACCGCACCCUACGCCUGACACCGCCAAUCAGCCAUGCUCCCCACCUCCAUGCCACCUGAAAACAAGAAGGAAAAAGACAAAAUUGAAAGAUUAAAAGGAGAAAAUUGAAGAGAAAGGUGGGGAUUUUUGGGCAGCCAAAAACAAAAAAAAACAGCAGAGAAAAGAGAAAAAAAACAGCAGCAAGCCAAAAGCCUCCACCACCACCCUCCCGCAACCAUCGUCGUCGCACCACCAUUGUGACGCCACCACCACCGUCACACCUACACAAAUGAGGGAAGCAACAAGCAAAUUAUAAAAGCAACAAGCAAAGAAAAAAUAGCAACCAAAAAGAAAAGGAAGAAAGAAAAGAAGAGAAGAAGAAAGAAAGAGAGAAGAGGAGAGGCCGACGAUCGUCACACCGGACGGAGGAGGCGGCGGCGGCGUAGUGACUUGGGGCUAAGGUGACCCGAAGAAGAAAGAAAAAAGAAAGAAAAAAGAAGGAAAAAGGGAAAGAAAAUAGAAAUAUAUAUAUAUAUGCCGGGCUAACCCGACCUGAUGACCCGGAUCCGACCCGCGCCCGACCCAGCCAGCAGCCAACAGGCCAACAGCAGGCCACUCCAACUGUUGGGCAGCAGCCCACUAAGGCCCAAUUCGCAGCAAAAAAAAAGAGGCCUGUCUUUCAAGCCCAAAAUUUGGGCCUUUGGUAAUUUUUUUCUUUUUAAUCUAUUUUAUUUUAUUUAAUGUAUUUAAAUUGUGUUUUAUUUAAUUUAAAUUAGUAUGUUUAAAAAUAGUUUUCAUAGAUAUUAUUAUGUCAUUUUAAUUACAUAUUUUUUUAAAAUAAUAAUGAUAAAUAUUUUAAUGCAUAAGGCAACGAACCGAUUUAGCAUCGAAUCAUCGAAUUCAUCGCUAUGUUGGAUGAAUAUCGAUGGCUCGUGUUAAAUACGGGACGCCCUUCUAAAAAAUCAAAAAUAUUCAAAAUUCCUCGUAUUUCAAUAAAAAUCCUCCUGUUUCAUUAGAAUCCCGAUUAAAUAUUAAAUUGAAUUGAUUUAACACUAAUUCGAUGGUUUCAUCGCCAUAUCGGGGUGAAUAUCAUCAAUUCGUGUUAAAUACGUUAUUUUUUAAAGAAAAAUCGUUUUUAAAAAAUUUUCAUGUUUUCAAAAUUUUCUCGUAUUUCAAAAUUUUUGACUUUUUGCGUUUUCAAAAAAAAUUCUCGUGUUUCAAAAUUGUCGUGUUUUCAAAAAUCUUCGUGUUUUUAAGAAUUUUUGUGUCUCUAAAAUUCUCGUGUUUUAAAAUUUUUUCGUGUUUCCAAAAUAAUAAUAGUAAUAAUUGUUUCAAAAAUCUGUGUUAAAAAAAUUCGUAUUUUGAUCGGAUCGCGAUUAACUAUUAAAUUGAACUCGUAUUUUUGAAAAUGAAGACAACGCGCGUUUAACGAGAUACCAAUUUUGGGCGUCGCGAGGGUGCUAAAACCUUCCUCGCGCGUAACCAACUCCCGAACCCUAAUUUUCUCUGGAUUUCAACGUAGACCUAAAAUUGCCUCUUUUUUAGAAAAGUUUAAAAUUAAAUUUUUUCUUCUAAAAAGAGAGUUUUGAAGGUGUCCGAUCACACCUAGAAAAAGAUUGGUGGCGACUCCUUUUUUUUUCAAAUAAAAUCAAAACUCCGCUUUCAAAUUUUUCAACAAUCAAUUUGAUUAGCGCCCGUACUCGAAAUUUUUUAGGUCGCUACAUCCCCAAACAUCACUAUGAAUUAAUGAAAAAGGUUUGGAAACUUAAUAUUUUUAAGGUGGAAAGACUGACCGAUGAUGUUUAGCCUGUUCACAAAAUUCACAAUGAUAUGAAUAAGGACUUUUAUUUUUAAAUAGAUUAUUUAACAAAUAUCUUAACUAGUAAAAAUUAGGAUGAACAAGCCUAUAAUGCCAAAUCAUAAUUUUAUCAAAACCAGAAACAGAAUUUAAACAUAAAGUAGUUGUUGGUUGACUUAGAUGGUCGUCGUCAAUAAAGUAAAUUCCACCAGAUUCUUUAGCAUUGCCAAGCAUCCUCCCUGAGACCAUGUCCUGAAAUUUACACAGAGAUGAGUUAAAUAUAACAUUGACAAUUCGAGGAUUGGAAUAAUUUACUGACUGAUAUGAGAUCACAAGCUAGAUUUGGUACAUGUAAAACAUCAUGUAAAACCAAGGAAGAAGAAAUUUUAACAGUGCAUUUCCCAGCUAUUGCCGAGAACGACCCAUCUACUACUUUGAUCUUUUUGUUUCCUGCACAAGAUGUGUAAGUUGAGAAAAGAAAAUGACUACUAGUCAUGUGAUCACCUGCUCCAGAAUCGAUGAUCCACGUGUUGUUUUACAAGGCUUGACACUGAAAAAAAUAAAAAAAAUUUAGUACCUGAUUGAGCAAAGGAGAAAGAAGGAUUAUUGGAUGAGUUAAGAAUAGAAGAAUUCGUCCAAAAUUGUGGUGACUGAAAAAGUUUGUGUAGAUGCUCUAAUUGUUCCUUAAUGAAUGGAGACCCUUCUAAAGAACUUUGACCCUCAUAAUUUUUAGUAGUUGUUUUAAAAACUCUACUAUCCCCUAAUUAUGAACCACGACCAUUGCCACUCUUUUUUUUCCAUUCAUCGGUUUUCCAUGGAGCUUCCAACACGUUUCUCGAGUGUUAAGGGUUAAGGGUUCAACUAAGAAACUUAACAAAAUUCUGAAAUUUAUGUAACUCAAACCUCAAACCUUUAGUGAGCAAACAAAGCACACAACCACAGAAGCAAACACAUUUUCCUUGACACAACUUAGCAAUUAAAAUUCAAAUUUUGGGGCGUUACAAUGUUGCAAAGCUAGUUUGUAACAAAACAUAUAUAUAAAUUGAAUUCAAAUCAUGCAUAAAAGUACAAACCAUAUUCGAGUUCCAAUCGUGUGUUCGAGAUUUUCCUUUCAGAGUUUUGAACUAACAAUUUUAAUGUAAUAUUUCAUGAUGACUACUACAACACAUGAAAGUGGAACACUAAGGGAGUUGGCUUCCAACUUUGUUGAACUUGAUCGUUUUGAUGGUGGCAAUUUUCGACGAUGGCAGAAAAAGAUGCACUUUUUAUUAUCAACUUUGAAGAUUGCUUAUGUUUUGGAUACUCCAAGACCUGAAGAGAAUGAAAACGAAUCUGUUGCUGCAACCCGAGAAAGACAAAAAUGGGACAAUGCUGAUUGCAUGUGCAUGUGUAAUACCCCAAAAAUUUUUACAGUAAGAUAUUAUCUUUGAUAUAAUAAAUAAGGAAAUAAAGUGAAAAAAAGGGGAAAUUUUGGAGCUAUGUCAACAUUGGGAAGUAUAUUAUGACAUAUUAGUUCAAGAAAGGAUUAAAUCGCAAAAGUGAGAAAAGUUUUGUUGCCCAAGAGUAAAUACUCAAAAUUUGAGGGGUUAAAGUGUAAAUAUGAAAAGUUAAAGGACCAAUGGUGUAAAUAUUUUAAGAGUAGAAUGAUCUAGAAACUAAGUAAAAUGGAUGGAUUAGGACCAAAUUGAAAAAUGUGAAGAAUUUUAAGGGACUAAAUUACAAUUUUACCAAAUUAAAUGAUGACUAAAGGAUGGAAUUUUAAAAGAUUAUAAAGGGAAAAAUGGUCAAUUAGAGAGAGAGAAUUCUAGAAGGUAAUGAUGAUGUUGGUGAUAUUUUUAAUUAAUUAAUUAGAUAAAUGUUAUUUAAGUUUUUUUUUUUUUGAAUUUGUAAAUUGCUGCAAAAGAAAACAUUGGUCGUUUGGGAACGAGAACCAUAAAUUAUCAAGAACCUUCGGUUUUUUUCAACAAUGUUAAUGCAUUGAUGUACUCUGCCAAUCUAUAACAGUUAACCACUUUAAUGAAAGUCGAAAGCGCUAAAUUGGGUACUUCCAAUGGACUUGCAAGUUCAUCUACUUCAAGCGAAGCACAACCAUCUAACCGCACAUCUUCUAUACUUGUUAGAAGCUCAGGCACUGAUUUAAGCUCCUUGCAAUUUGACAAUCGAAGGGUUUAAAGCUUUGAAAGUCGAGUAAGAGUUGAAGGAACGCCAUUGAAAUUGUUACCACUAAGAUCAAGUAAUAUCAAAGAGGAUAAACCAGAAACAUCACUUGGAAUAUCUGCUUCACAAAGAUUGCGAACAUUGCUAUUUGACAAUCAAAGAUAUUGAAGCUUGGAGAGUCGCAUAAGAGACACGGGUAUGUUGCUGAAACUGUUACCACUAAGAUCAAGUUUUUUCAAAGAGGAUAAACAAGAAAUAUCACUAGGAAUGUCUCCUUCCCGAAGAUUGCUAUCCCUUAGAUUCAACUCUCUUAAACGGGACAGGAAGGCAACAUCAGAGCCAUGGAAUUCAUUCUUCCUCUUUGGAUUACCUUGGAAAGAGAAGAAAGAUUUCUUUGUACCUUAGAUUGCAUCCAUUGAAAGAAAAAACUUCAAGAUUUUUCAAUUAAAAAAUGAAGGAUGGUAGUUUUGUUAUAGUUGUUUCACUUAAGUCAAGCUCUUCCAAAAAUUCUAAUUGCAGUGAACUAUGGCAAAUUUUCUAACUUUAUAUAACAGCCAGAAAGAUCAAGAGUUUGUAGGCAUCCCAUUUUCCCAUCAAUCUCUGAAACCUUACAAGAUUUGAACAACCGAAAGAAUUAAUGUUUCAAGAGAUUCCAUUCCAAUUUUGGUUGGAAGACUCCUAAGAUUCCAUUCCAAUUUUUGUGGUCAUAGGUGGCGAUUAUAGUGGUGAGAGGUUCGUGUCUUUAAAGUGUAAGAGUGAAGGAAACAAUCAAGAUGUGUGUGAUUAAGUAGGUUUAUUUUGUAAUUGUAGAAAAUAGUACACACUUUAAACUGAGUUAGGCUCCACAGACGUAGGGGGUAACUAAACUGCGUAAUCAUCUUCGUGUGUUUUGUGUGUUUUUUUGUUUUUCUCAUUUAGUACUUGAAGAAGUGCCCACUAACUUAGGUACCAAUUUCUUAGUGUUGUAUCUCUAUUAGCAACGCACUUCUUGCUAGCAAUAGUUUUUUUUUUUUCAAAAGCUUUUACAUUUUUAUUUCUUUAAUGAUUCAUUAGUUUUUGUUUAAAAAAAAAGUUUUUCAUAAGGGCAAGGAUGAAAUUAAAAUUUGACGUCAACUUGAUUUUUUUUUUAAUAAUAGCUAAAGCUACUCAUAGUCUCUUCCCAACCCUUAAAAAGGAGGAUAACAUGCUUCAGCUCGCUUAAACUCACAUUCUCCUACGCUGGCAACAAUGUCAAUGUCAAUUUAAAACUUGAAUACAAAUUAUUUAUCUCUUCACUUAUUAUUCAAUUAGAUAUAAAAAUUGUUUUGCUUAUAGUUUAGUUAUAUUUUUAAUUGAUUGAACUAGUUUAGUUUAGUUAUACAAAAACUUGAUGACAUAUUUAGGCUUCCAACAUUACAAAAAUAAAAGUCUUUUUAGCUUUCUAUUUAAUUUUUUGCCUCUCUUUAAUCCUCAAACUUAAGUUUAUUUUUUUGUCAGAUCACAGCAAAAGUGAUCAAACGUUUAAUUUGCUAAUGUGGAACAAAUAAUUAAUUUUUAAUAUUUUUUGAAUUUUUAAAAAAUUAUAAUAUAUUUUUUAUUUUUAUAAAAUUUUUAAAUAAUCUUAAUAACUUUCUAUUUUUUGGAAAUUUUUAAAAUUAAUUAAUAAGGCAUUAUGCCAUUUGAUUUUUACUGAACCCGACUGUUUUAGCUUUCACUAAAAUACUGCCAGCUCUACCAACUUUGGAGCAUUGUAGAGAUGAUCUGUGAAGUUGUUGCGAGUAUCUUCACCUCUAAAACUCAAGAAAACAUCAUAUUUCCUUUUAGAAAUGGACGAUGGAGUUGAAGGUAACGACAACAUGAGGAUAUAUGAGAAGAAAAAGAUAUCUCAAUUUAGUGCUCAAAAUCAGAAAAUAGUUCGCUCAAUACCACAGAAAGAAACUGGGAACAAUGGGUUGAUGAGGAUAAGAAAGAGAAAAGCAGAUCUACAAAUAGAUGAGGGAUGAUGUUCUUUCCAAGAAGGUGAGAGUUGAUUUUAUAUCGGAUAUAUAUAAUAGUGCUAUUAAAUUAUUUGUAUGCAAUUAUUGAAUAAAGUUAUCAAACAUAAACUCAGUGAGUCACAUGGCCUGGACAUACACCUGUGUGUCUCACCUGUGUGACUCUAAUAUGAAUUUAGUGAGUUACACGGCCUGGACACACGCCCGUGUGUCUCACCCGUGUGACCCCUACAUCUCAUUACCCACACACAGCCUCUCCCACGCCCGUGUGUCUACAAAUUCAAAGUCAAGGAGUUACACGGCCCGCCACACAGCCUCCCACAUAGUCGUGUGACUCACACGGCCAGCACACGCGCCCGUGUGCAGUUGACACUCCCGAUUCUGGCGAAGAAAAAAACACAGAAAAAGAGGGGUUUUGGCACCCACCUGUUACCCGAUGCUGAAGAAGCACCCAAUUAUAAAAUCCAAGCCUAAAACAAGUUCAAAACACUCAAUUCAAUAAAACUUCCGCAAAAUACGCAAGCACCAACAAUCAAACUUCGUCGAAACAAGUGAAAGAUUACUUACCACGGAUUCCUAGUACUCACUCAAUUCCUAAGUAAACGAUAGGCGUUAGGCAUCUUUUGAAUUCCUCCCUAAUGUAACGAAACAACGCAUAACAAGUUAUCAGACCCCAAGACUUAUGAAAACCCCAAAUUCAAAAUGACAGACUUUAUGAAAAUAUCGACUUAACUUACCUUGAAACACACCAGAACAAGCAAAAAGGCGAUCUAACGAAGCAAUUUAUACGAAAGAACAGACAAUAAAAGAAAAGAAUUAAGGAAAUAUGAACAGAAAAGAAAGAAAGAAAAAGAACAAUUUGGGAAAGAAAAAAAAUGAAGAAGAACGUCAAAUCCAAGAGGGAAGGACAUUUAAAUUUCAAAUCAAUUUUUACUGAAUAUCCAAAAAUAAAAUCAUUGUUGCAAACGCUAUAACUUGAACGCAGAAUUAGAGAGUAGACAGACAUUUAACCGGUGAACCAGCAAGUUUAUUUUUGACAUAAGCUGCACAAAACUAAACUUAAACAAAGAAUCCUAAGUUAAGGGUUCAAGUAAGAAAUUUAACAAAAUUCUGAAAUUUAUGUAACUCAAACCUCAAACCUUUAGUGAGCAAACAAAGCACACAACCACAAAAGCAAACACAUUUUCAUUGACACAGCUUAGCAAUUAAAACUCAAAUUUUGGAGCGUUACAAUGUUGCAAAGCUAGUUUGUAACAAGACAUAUAUAUAAAUUGAAUUCAAACCAUGCAUAAAAGUACAAACCAUAUUCGUUUCUCGUCUACGACUCUCGCAUUUCCUUUUUCUCGAGACAAUCUAACAUCAUCUUUAGCUAUGUACAAUAAUAUAAGUAUAGAAACGAUAUUAGUUUUUCAUCCAAUCACAUUAAAAACAAAUAAUCAAACAUAUUUUGCAUUUUAUUCAUUUUAGUCAAAUACUCAUAUUUUCCAAUAUUUAAUAGCGGAUGAAAAUCUGAUUUCAUAUAUAUCCUUUCAUUAGAGACAUUAUACUUUUAAUCUAUAGCAUAAUUUAUUAAAAAUUUUUAAUUUAUUAAAUUCAUCCCUAAGGUCACAAAAUUAUAUUUAAAGCUUAACUUGAUUUCUAACUUAAACCUUAACAUGAUUUAAGUUUACUAACUAACAAUCUCUUCAAUUUCAAGCUUAAUUUUAUCAAUUAUACAUCAAUGGUAACUUGCUAGACAUCUAACAAUUAAAGAAAUCGAUACAUGGGUAGCUAAACCAAACUCUAAUGUUUCAAAAUUCAUAAAAAUCUUAAGGAAAGAACUUAAUUACCUUGAUUAAUUUUGGAUUAAAAUGGAAAAGAAAAGAAAGAAGUUUUUCCUUCUUCUUAGCUUGGGACGACCAAACACAAUAAGAAAGAUAACUUCAUCUUUCUCUCCACUCACUUUUAAAAUCUUAAUUAGAUUAAUUAAUCAUCAUUAAUAAUAUAAUUUUAAUAAGUUAGUUUUAAUUAAUCAAGUCAAUUAAGAUAAGUGGAUGUAAUCUUACCAUUGCACUAUCAUAUUUUAAUAAUCAUCAAUUUAUUUUAAGGUCCUUAGAUUAAUUAUUAAUUAAGUCCUCAAUUAUUUUCUAAAUUAAAAUUUAAUAGCGAUUAAACUUUUAAAAUUUACGGCCUAAACUUUAAUUAUUGAUUUUCUGACUUAAUUACCGGUUUUUUAAUAUAUUUUUAUACUAACUUUGUCAAUACUUCUAUUCAUAUUUUCUAUCUCUAAGUAAAUAUAUAAUGAAAAAAUUUUAAUAAAAAAAUGAAACCAAUCAAAAUAUACACAUUUCAAUUAUAUAAAAAAAUGAAUUAAAUGAUAAAAAUUUUAAAUAGAAUAUGAGCUUAUGUUCAAAAUGAGUAUGAAUGAAGAUUUUAAUUUUUUUUGGAAAGAUCAUAUCUCAAAUGCAAAUAAAUUUAGAAUGAUUACUUUAAAUGAAAUAAAAAUUAUAAACAAGGUAGAUGUUUAAGUAGCUUACCACAGUUAAUGCUUCUUCGAUUGACCCAUUAUAAAAUUGAAAAACUUUUCCGUUUUGGUUGCAGCCCUUCUUCCCCUGCUUCCUUGUAGAUAUUAUGUUUUCGUUUUAUGUGAGUAGUGAGCAGAGUGUUGGUAGAUGUGUUCAAAAUUUAGAAAAGAUUGAGUGGUAUGGCACUGCAACUCUUUUAUUUCUUUCAAAUCUUUCUCAUGCAUUAUUCUAACACCACACUUCUUCACCUUGGCACUGCGUCCAAAAGGAUCUAUGAAAGACACCUCAAGCUCAUCCCAUUUUUUAUCUAAGCAAUCUGUUGCCCAUAAAUUGCUGGUUUCACAGUCACCAUAUUUAUCGUCCAAGGAAGAUGAGUAUAAGUUAUCACGAGACCAAUAAUGAAGAAAAAGGUGAUCUUUCAUUAUGGGCUCGUUAAGUCGUUUACCCACCAACGAGCCUGUCCAAUCAAUCAGUCCAGGAUUUUUACAAUAGAUAAAUGUUCGACAAUUGAUAACCUCGUCAUCCCUUGAAGCAUCAUUAUUGACAAAAAUGCAGCAAGAAGCAACUCCAAUCCAUUGACUAUCUUUCCGAAGGGGUAUCUUAAUUAAAGAGUCACUUUUUUUUUGGCUAAACCAUUCUGGGAUUUCACUUCCGGGCAUAAUAAUGUCAAACCUUUUUAUUGAAUUUGCAAAUGCCUGCAAAAUAAAACACAAGUCGUUUGGUAACUAAAACCAUAAAUUCUAAAGUAUGAGAUUUUGUAAGGGAGAAUAAAGAGAUUAAUCGACCUUAAGAUGUUUUUUCAGCAGUGUUAAUGCAUUGAUAUUCUCAGCCAAUUUGAAGCAGUUAAAGGCUUUAACGGCAGCCGAAUCCACUAAAUUGCAUACUUUUGAUGGACUUGCAACUACUUGAAGUGAAGAACAACCAUCUAUCUCCAUAUUUCUUAUGGUUGUUAGAAGCCCAGGUAACGAUUUAAGCUUCGUGCAAUUUGAUAAUGCAAGCACUUGAAGCCUGGAAAGUUGAGUAAGAGCCAAAGGAAUGGUGAUGAAAUUGCUACCCCUAAGUUUAAGAUAACUCAAAGAGGAUAGACCACGAAUAUCCGCUUCACCAAGAGCGCACAUGUUGCAAUUUGACAAAUCAAGAAACCAAAGCUUCGAGAGUAGAGUAAGAGAUGCAGGUAUGCUGAUGAAAUUGUUACCAAUAAGAUCAAGAUCUAUCAAGGAAGAUAGGCAAGAUAUAUCACUAGGAAUAUCUCCUUCACGAAGAUUGCAGUCCCUUAGCUUCAACUCUCUUAAUGGACUUAAACUUGACAACGAAGGCAACAUCAGAGGCAUAGAAUUUGUCCUUCCUUCUUGGGUACACCAGUUAAUAUACGAUUUCCCAUCAUCUCCAUAUGGAUCCAACAUUCUUAUAUUCAUUCUCAACCUAUAUAUAUACAUUUUAUUUUGAUAUUAUUUAAAUAUAUAAUAAAAAUAAAAUUAAUAAAACAUAAAAUUUUAUCAUAUAUACCUGAGCAAGAAUGAUGUUUCCUUGGGAUGCAAGUAGUUUCUUUUUUUGACCAUAUCAACUAUCAAAGUUGUGAAGUUUUUCAUUUCAUUCUAAAAAUAAAGGAAAAUAAAAGACAUUAUUUAUAUAUAAAAUAAACAAAAAUAGAAUUGAUUUUUUUUAAAAAAUUUACUGAAAAUUAAAAGAAUUACCAUAAAGACAUCAUUUUUAGUAUGGAGGGAAACUCCAAGCAUGUUAUGCAUCCAUACAGGAAAGCCUCUAAUAAAAAAUAAUAAUAAAACUAUUAAUACUGAAAAAUAGUUAAAUAAUUUAUGAAAUAACAUAAUUAGUUAAAAUUUUAAAAUAAAUUAAUUUACCCAUAAUUCCACUCGGCACAAGUAUAAGAUCCAAUUCAAAGAAUUGCAUAUAAACCUUGGUCUUGAAUCGUUUUAAGAAAUCAAAUAAGAUCAAGAUUUUCACUAAAAUCAUAUUGACGACGAGCUGGUUCAUGUGCAUUUCAAAAUACAUAUGUUUCAACCGCAUCCAAUCCACCUUCUUUGGCUUUUCUUAUAAGAUCCGACCACAUCUAAUAAAAAUUUAAAAAAAUCAAUCAAUCGUUCAAAUUCAAAUUAUAAAAAAUAUUCCGGAUAACUCAAUUGUAAAUUAUUACCUGAGCAGUACUUCUCGGAUAAUGAACCGAACCCGAAAAAACAAUUCUAUGAUUUCCAUAAAUUAUGAUGGAUCUUGAAUCAUAAGUGACAUUAAGCGCAUUCAAAUAAAAUAGGAUGAAAGAAAAAAUAAGAUAAGAAAAUAAAAUAGUGAAUAUAUUCUUCUUCUUCUUCUUUUUUUUUUCCAUCUACUAAAGCUAAAAGGAAGUGUUGAUUGAAAAAUCAGUAGAGUAUGAUAACGUCUUUAUAAGCGUGGUGAUUGAAUUCAUAUCAAAUACUUGAUUUUUAGAAGAUAUUUACUUUGAUUUAUUUGCUGUUUUAAAUAGAUUUAUAUAAUCAGUGAUAUGAGAUUAAAUCAGCAAAUUGUGUUGAAAGUUGAGUUUUAGUUCUAUGUAGCAGCAUUAAUUAAAUAUUUUUGAUAAUUAAAUAAACUUUUUUAAUUAUAAUUAAUUAGAGUAUUGCUUUCAUACGACGGGAGUCAUUGGUUCAAAUCCAAUAAUAGGUAGAAUUUAUUAGAUACCAUCGAUCCCGGUGUCUAAUAAGUUUUUCUAUCCACCUUCUUUUAUUGAUUUUCUAUCUUUUUCAUCCUAUUUUAUCUCCGUUUUCAAUUUUUAAAUUUUUUGUUGGAUCAAGAUCCGAUUUCACUUUUGAUUAUAUUUGAUUCUAUUUAAUUGGCAGAAUCAACAUGAGAUGUAUAAACGAAAGUUUUGUUUUUACGAAAAUUCUCCAACUUGUUACGAAAUCGCGUUGAUAACCUCGACUUGUGUCCUAGCCUGUUUGACAGCUAGAUUUGCCUCAAUUGUUUGCCUCUUGCCUUCAGCUUUCCUCAUGUUAGCUUGCUGAGCUUCUUGUGGACUCAUCUAUAAAAUUCUCGUUUAUUAAAACUUGUAGAGUUCUAGUUAAAUUAAAUUAAGAUUUCUUUCAUCAACAAAUGAGACUUGCUUUUUGAAGAAUAAAGAUUAUAUACCGAAAAGAAUAAGCGAGCAAUUAGUAAAGGGUAUAUCCAUAAUAACUUUUUACAUCACUGGUAAAUGAUACGACACAGUCACGAUUCAGCUAUAAUAUUAUCCAUAAUAACUUUUCACAUUGCUAGUACACGAAUCAAGUAGUUGCCAUCCCAAAGGAUUGUUAGUAGAUCAAUCUUGCUAACACCUGUUAGAGAAAACAGGAUGAAGUACUUCCCUGUGUAACACCAACAAUGGCUCUAAUCCGAAAAAGAGAUUGCAUUUAAAGUUGUUAGCAAACUCAUUCAUUCCUAGCUACCCACAAUGACCAUAACAUAGCGCCAUAGAAACAAGCCAUUUCCUCUUAACAUUCCAAACAUGCAGCAAUAUUCAUACACAACAUUUCAAGGAAUCGCACACAUAACACCCCACCAUUGAAACAACACUCCCCAAGCUUUCCAAGAAAGGAAGUAAGAAAGAAAAAUAUGAUCACAGUUCCCUUCAACUUCAUUGCACCAACAACAAUUGAUGGAAUCAUUAAUUGUUAUAAUACCUCGAUCCCUUAAAAAAUAUUUUGAAGGCAUACCAUUCUGGAAUGAGAGUGUCGAAACCGUUUUUUUGAAAACAAAAAUUUGGUUGUCGACUUUAAAAAUAAAACUGGAGUCGCCACCGAUCCUUUAUUAGGGUGUGAUCGGCUCACCUUAAAAAUUAUUUUGGCCUUUUGAGAAAACGAGUUCGGGAGUCAGUUACGCACGAGGAAGGGUUAGCACCCUCGUAACGCCCAAAAUCGGUACCAAAUUGACUAUUUGAUGUCUUAGUGUCGAAAGUUAAAAAGAUUUUAAAAUCAACUCAAAUGAUGGAAUUUGAAAAGAGAUAAUCAAUUGUUCAAGUCAUGUAAAGAAAUCGAGUCCCAAUACGUUAGGGUACGAUUCCUCAUAAUCUCCAAACUUUGAAUAUCACUUUAUUUUAUAUGAAAAUCUUCAUUUUGAGAAAGUAACAUGCCACACCCAAUACGUUAGGACACAGCAAGUUAGGUUCCCAAAAAUGAUUCUUUAGACUCAUGCAUUUUGAAUAAAAAAAAAUUCCCAAAUACCGAAUUGUGCCUUUUGUUUGAAAAUUCUUAUUUCGAGAAGAAAAUGUCAUGACCAGUAAGUUAGGACCCAACACUUUGAAUUCCCGAGAAUAAGCUUUUAUUUAAAAUUUGCGAACUUAUUGCAAAACAAAUACUUGGCCUUCUAGAUUCAUCGAAAAAUAAUCGCGAUCCAAUAAGUUAGGACACGACCUUCCUCGAGAACCACGAAUACCAAAUAUUUUGGAAUUUAUAAAACAUGAUGAUUUUAAUGCUUUGACGCAACCAAAAUACAUUUUCUUUAGAAAGUGUAGAAAAAUGCUAAUAUAUCACAUAAAAUCAAUAUUUUAAUUUAAACUAUACAUGUAAAAAAAAUGUUAAUACAUAUAUAUACACAUAUACAAAAAAUUAUAAAAAUAAUAAGACAUAUACAUAUAUUUACAAAAUAAAAUAUGAUAUAUAAGUAAAUUUUAAAAAUAUGUAUAUGCAUAUAUUAAAACAUAUAUAAUAAAAUUAUAAAAAUAAAAUAUAAAAAUAUGUAUAGGUAUCUAAAAGUAUAUAUAGAAAUAAAUAAAAAUAAAUAAAAUAUAUAAAAAAAAUAUAUGUUUAUAUAAGGAAAAUGCGGAAAGAAGGAAAAAAAAUAUUUAAAAGUUUUAAUAAUGUACGUAUAUAUAUUAUAAAAAUGUAUAUAUAUUUAGAUUAUAAAAUAUAUAAAAACUAUAUAAAUAUUAUAAAAUAUAAAUAUAUAUGUAUAUAAAAUAAGAAAAUAAAAUACUAAUAAUAUAUAAGAUAUGUAUAUGUAUUUAAAACCAUUUAAAAUAUAUACAUAUAUAUGUAUAAUAAGAUACAUAGGUGCGUAUAUACAUAAAUGUAAUAAUAAUAUAUAAUACAAUAAUGAUAAUAGCAAUAAUAAUAACAAAAACUACAAAAAAGCCUUAAAAAGGACCGUUAAGGAUUAAACUGAAAGCUAAACGAAGUUAAAAGGCCAAGUAAAAAUAGAAAACACCAGGAAGGUCCAAAGUGAUACGCGCGCCAUGAGGGGAGGACUUAAAAAGAAAUUUUCCCAAGUCACUGAAGCGCUGGCAGUGACAUGGAUUAAAUCGUCACGUGAGCAAAAUAUUUGGGCCGAAUUUUAAAAGAAAAAAAAACUUGAUUGAAACACGCAGCAAAAGGGGAAGGGCCAGGCGCGAAAUUUCCCCAUUCAGGGCCAGAACGCGCGGAUCCCCCCUCCGGGUCGGGUCGACGCGCGGGUCAUGGCACCCUAAACGGCGCCGUUUUGUCUUUAGUAUUAAAACUAAAAUUUUUCAAAAAAAAACAAUCUUAUUUCAUUUUUUCUUUUUUCCUUAAAACAAACAGAGGGAGAAAGGGGAGUGCUCUGCUAGGGUUUCCUUAACCUAGCCCCCCCAAGCCGCCGCAGCUCCUCCUUCUCUGCCGUUUCAGACCCCACGGCGGCGAAACGAAGGGAUCCUCCGACAACGCUCCAAAGGUAAGUUCCCCCCUUUUCCCUUCCUUCUCGUUUAUUUUUGUUUUAAAAAUUAAGGAAGAACAAAAUAAAAAAACAAAACAGUACAAGAACAGAGAGAAAGAAAAUAAAAUCAAUCACCUUUAAAAAAAAAUCUUUUUUUUAUCUCUUAUUUCUGUAUUUUUUUUUGGAACCGAUCCUCUUCCUUUUACAAAUUUUCAUCGGCUUUUAAAUAGCCGAAAAUCAGAAAGAAAAAAUGAAACAAAAAUCUAAAGAAAUCUCUUCUGUUCGUGGCUUGUGGUUUUCAUGACAGGUGUGCGACGACUGCAGCAACGUGGGAAGCGACGUGCUGCGAUGGAGGCGCGCGAGCGGCGCGAUCUGCGGAGGUGGUUGUGGCUUGCGGCGGCUGGAGCGGGGAGGCUACUUAGGGUUUCUGAAAUUUCUUGUUUGGGUUAAUGUAAUUGGGCUGAAUUUUUGGGUUUAGUUUGUAGAUGGGUAAUUGGGCCUGCUAUGUUUUUAUUUUAUAUGGGCCCGGGCAGAAAAAAUUGGGUAUUACAGAGAGCAAUAGGAAGCAUUGCACCUUUGAUGCACCAAUGAACCCUCAGAAUCAAGAGAAAACACAAAUUUCUUUACAGUAAAUUUCCCUUUGCUGUCCACCUCCCACAUUCGCCUUAUUACAUUAAUCACUGAAUCCAUACAUAGCCAAUUUCCAUACCGAUGUUCCCUCAAGUAAGCUUUAAUCACACCGUGGUCUCAAAAUAGUUUGCUCAAGGACUGGUGUUUCAGAGAAGUCAUCCCUUGGAUUAUUGCAGAGCCGAAUGAUUUGUGAUAUGGUUUUGUCGAUAUGGGAUCUUCUGUUAGCAUGAAUUGAAGCCAUUUAAGUAGUAUUAACUAUUAAGGACCUAUAUAAACUACAAAAUGAAGCUAUUUAAAUACUAUUUAAGCAACACCAAAACAGAGUACAGGUUCCCAUGGCGUUUUAUUUAGCGAAAAUAGUCUGAUGACAAAGAUAAAAGAUGAUUAUAUUUCACCCUAUUACCUGCUUCUUCAUGCAGUGAAAUAUAGAUGUAAGUUUAUACUAUAACAUAAAAUUUAAUAAAUAAAUAAAUAAUAAAUUUCAUUAAACAGUACAAGUUUCAAUCAUGUAAAAAUUAAUUAAUUAGAUGAAUAAAUUUUUAAAUGCAUAAAAACACUAUGUUGUCUUUCAACCAAAACAUGUCAUUCAAUAAAAGUUGGUGUUCAACAUGUCUAUACUCAAAAUUUAGAGUUGAUUACAUAAUUUGAAGAAUCAUAUUUCAUACUCGUAUCAAAAUAUAUGUUGAGUAAAGAUGUUCAAAAUGAAUACUUUAAAUGUAAAUAAGGUCGGUAAAAAGGUCUAAAAACAGAAUUUAUAGGGCAAGGCUAGUGAAGUAGUUUACCACAGUUACAGCUUCUUCCUCGAUCGGCUCAUUAUAAAAUUGAAAAAAUUUUGCAUCCAUUUUGGUUUUUGUUUUACAAGGGAAGUGCUACCUAUUGAAUCUAUUGAUCCAUCGUUAUUAGCAGAGUGUUGAUGGACAUCUUCAAGAUUUGGAGAACAUUGAGUGGUAUGGCUAUGCAGCUCUUUUAUGUCUUCCAAAUCUUUCUCAUUCACCAUUCUAACACCACACUUCUUCACCUUAACACAGGGAACAUCCGGGUCUGUGAAAGACAAUUCAAGCUCAUCGCAUUCCUGAUCUAAGCAAUCUAUUGUCCAUAAAUUAUUAAUUUCACAUUCACCACAUUUAUCCUCUAAGGAAAAUGGAUAUAAUUUAUCACGCGACCAAUAUCGAAGAAAUAGGUGAUCCUUCGUUAUGGGCUGGUUAAAACGUUUCCCAAACAACCAACUACUUGCAUCGACACGUCGAAGAUCUGUAUCUCGAAAGACAGAUCCAUUUCGACCGGCUUGUCCAGAAUUUCUACAAUGGAUAACAGCUCUGCAGUUGAUAAACUUAUCCCGGGAAGCAUCAUCAUUGACAAAAAUGCAACAGGAAGCUACUCCAAUCCAUUGACUAUCAUUCUGAAUAUUGAAUGGUAGAGGUAUCCUAAUUGUAGAGCCACCUCUCUGUUGGCUAAACCAUUCUGGGAUUUCACUUCCAGGUAUAAUAACAUCAAACAUUUGUCUUGAAUUUGCAAAUGCCUGCAAAAUGAAACUUCAGUCACUUGGUAAAUAAAACCAUAAAUUCCCAAGUACGAGAGGGAAAGAAAGAGAGAUUAAUUAACCUUGAGAUGUUUUUUCAACAAUGUUAACGCAUUGAUGUUCUCCGCCAAUCUGUAGCAGUUAAUGGCUUUAAUGGAAGCUAAAUCCAAUAAAUUGCAUACUUUUGAUGGACUUGCAACGCCUUCAAGUGAAGCACAACCAUCUAUGCACACUCUUGCUAUACUUGUUAGAAGCUCAGGCAACGAUUUAAGCUCUUUGCAACUUGAUAACAUAAGAAGUUUAAGCUUGGGAAGUCGAGUAAUAGACGCAGGUAUGCUGAGGAAAUUGUUACCACUAAGAUCAAGAUGUGUCAAGGAGGAUAGGCAAAAAAUAUCACUAGGAAUAUCUCCUUCACGAAGAUUGCAGUCCCUUAGCUUCAACUCUCUUAAUGAACUCAAACUUGACAACGAAGGCAACAUCAGAGGCAUAUUUGGUCGUAACUUAGAUGAUGGUCCUUUGCACCCAUUGAAAGACAGAAUUUUAAGAUUUUCCAAUUGAAAAAUCAAGGAUGGUGGUUCUGUUAUCGCUGUUUCACUCAAGUCAAGCUCUUCCAAAAACUCUACUUGCUGCAAAUUCACUGGCAAAUAUUUAAUUUUAUAACAACUAGAAAGAUCAAGAGUUUUUAGAUGUUCCAUUUUCCCAUCAAUCUCCGGAAACCUUACAAGACUUGAGCAACCUGAAAGAAUUAAUGUUUCAAGAGAUUCCAUUCCAAUUCUGGUUGGAAGACUCCUAAGACUUGUGCAGUCUCUUAAAUUUAAAAGUUUAAGCAUCUUAAGCACUCUGAUUGAUGGAUGGACAUCUACUAAUCUGGUACAACCUUCCAUAAUCAAAGCUUCAAGUUUUGGUGUUGUUCUGAAGUCUGGUGUCUUGAUCAGGUAUUGAGACCCUUUGAGGUUGAUCAUUUUCAACUUAUACAAGGGCUGUUGAAGACAAUAAUAAAUUAGAGAGAAAACAUAAUAAUGCUCAGUUUUGUUUUUGUUUUUCUUUUUUUACCUUAAUCAAAGUUUAAUCAUUUAUAUUAAAAUAAGCUAAAACACAAGGAUAAGAUAAGUUAAUUCUUACUCUAUUUCCCUUCCAUAGUUGUUCAAUGUGACUAUAUGGUAAAAGAAGUGUGACAAGAUUGUCCGGUCGAAAGCUUGAAGGUAAAUAUCUUAAAGGAUAUCUUGUCCAAUCUAAAAGCCGUAUUUCAUUAGAGAGAUAUUUGAGACCAUCACAAUUUGAUAGGCAAAGAACUUUGAGCAAUCUCAAUUUUUUCAUUUUUGAGAAGGUAUCGUCACUCAAAUUGAGCACCUUGCUCGAUUCCCUAAUAACCAUGAGCAAAACAAAUAUGAGUUUCAAAAUAUACAGAACCAUUUGAUAUCUAAAAGCUAUGUUGCAUCGAUAUUGUUUUUUGAAGUACCCGCAUCCUACACUUAUAUCUAAUGCAUAUCUGAAUAUGGUAUUGAGAUAUGAUUGAACAUAUUAGACAAUAGUCUAUCUAACACUUACAUUUGACUUUGAAUUACCUAAGCCUAAAAAACUAGAACUAAUAUUUUGAUUUACGUUUGGUGCACUGAUGUGUAAUUCUAUGCAUUACCAGUGAAUCAAAUGAUGGCAUGUUAUAGCCUAGUUCGUUAAUAUUAGCAAAGACAAUAACAUACAUCUCUUUACAAUUUCUUUUGAAAGAGUAAUGUGUUUCUAUAUAAAUUUUAUAAAUAUAACAUUGAAAAAUUAAGUAUUAAGGGUGUGUUUCAUUAGGUGGAAAAGUGUUGUUUUUUCAUUGUUUAUUAUUGGAUUUAAAAAAAAUAUAUUUUCUUUUCCUUCAAAUUUUCAUCCUUCCAAUUUUUUAUUCACUAUACCAAGCAAAGCAAAAAUGUUGUUUUUUCAUUGUUUAUUAGUGGAUUUAAAAAAAAAAUAAUGACAAUAUUAAUAGUACAUCUUGAUAAAUUUAAAUGUAUCUUUUCUUACCUUUUAUUGUUGAUGAUCAUGCCUUCAAUAACAUCGGUAGCCUAAAAGUAAUCAAGAAUAGACAAUAAGAAGGCAAAAUAAAUGCUUUAAAUUGUACGAUAAAAUAUUACCACAAUCUUUUGGUCAAAAUAUAGUAAAUAAAAUAUUUUGAACUAAGUAAAACACUUUUUAAUGAAAGUAGUUCAAUAAACUUAAACACUUAUGAAUCCUUAUUAAUAAUUAUAAUUAACAAAUCGGUACGUAAACCAAUUAGACUAAGCUUUGGAUUUACAUCAUAUAUUGAUAAUAAAAAAAAUUGUAUGUAAUUUUUGUUGAAUGACUUACCGUGGUUUUUGUUAGGACAUGAUGGACAUCCCUUUCCUUCCACAAUCUACAACGUUUUCCAGGUUCAUCAACACACUUUUCUUCAACAAUUUUUCUUCCCAUUUCUUGCAACAAGGCAUGCAUCCACAAAUAUUGGUUGCCAUCAUCAACUUUUAUGAGAGAUUUCUUAAUGAGAACAUCAAUUCCAAUAUUUGGAAAAAAAUCACAACCGUCCAAUACUUUCAUUACCAAAUCUUUCUUCUCCCCAUUGAAAAAGCAUGCUAUAUCUAAAAAUAUAUUCUUCUCCCUUUCUUCCAAUCCAUCAAAGCUAAUUCUUAGUGUGUUCAGAAUUUCUUUGUUAGAAUCUUGCUUAAGUCUUUUGAUUGCACAUCUCCAUUGAAUUAUAUCUCUACCGCACAAAAAUGAACCCAAAACUUCAAGAGCUAAGGGCAGCCCAUCAGCAUAAUGUACAAUAUGUUUAGAAAGCUCAAUGAAAUCAUAGUUCGGCACUGUAUCACUAUCAAAAGCUUUCAAAUUGAAAAGCCUAAGUGCAUCGUUGGGAUUCAAUGUUGUAGGCUUAUACACAUCAUCAAUUCGAUAAGAUCGGAGCAAAUGUUCAUCUCUUGUUGUUACAAUGAUCCUACUCCCUAAACUGAACCAAUCACGCUUUCCAACCAAGCAUUUCAAGUGUUGUACGUUAUCAACAUCAUCAAGAACAACAAGAACUUUUUUGCUAGACAACCUGUGGCUAAUUAUGGCAUUCCCUUCAUGAACAUUGAAAAAAUUGAAGCAUUUAUCUGGCAAAAUUUGAGAAAGAAGUUGUUUCUGUAAAGAAACAAGUCCACAUUUGUUUGAAACUUCUCGAAUAUCAGCAACAAAACUUUUACCUUCAAAAUGAGGUGACAUUUGAGUGUAAACAACCCUUGCAAGAGUUGUUUUACCGAUGCCACCCAUUCCGCAAAUUCCUAUAAUGCGUACAUCGUCUUCCCCAAUGUUUAUUUUCGAAUACAACUCCUCCAAACGUAAGCUAAUUCCAACCAACUCAUCUUGAACAAUUGGAUAUGUCUGACAUAAUUUUGCUGAUAUCUUCUUAACAAUGUCUCCGAUGAACUCUGAUUCAUGCCUACAAUGAAAUAAAAAAUCGCUGCUAUCUUUCAAAUGCACUUUUUCGUUUUUAGUUCAGUGAAUCAUGAAAUAUAAUAUAGUUGGAAGCAAACAAAAAGCAAGAAUAAGAUAGUAAGAUAUGUUAUAGCAUCAAAAUACACAACUUGCUCGUCAGUUGAAAUAUGGGAAUUCUCAAUUAAACACAAAAUUAUAAAAAAAAUAACAUGCAAUCCAAAAAAAAAAACAAUUUUUUAGUCAUUAAAAUUAGGAAAUAGAGAAGAAAAGGAAGAAAUACCUAUUAUGUAAAUGCCAUCCUUUGAUGUUAGCUACUUUAGUCAAAGCAUUUCGCCACUUUUGGAUCUUGUCUUUAUCUUCCUUGUACCUCUCUUGGUGUUUGGCGAAGGCUUCUUCAACUUUUUCUUUUUGUUUUCUUAAAUCGGAUGGAUCCAUAUCGUAGAAAAUUGGAAAUACUUUAUGUCCGUUAACAUUUUUUUGUUGAACAAUCUCAGCAAGCUCCUCCAAGCACCAUCCUGAAAAGGCAUAGGUUUCCGAAAAAAUGAUUACCGAGCACCAUGACUGCUGGAUUGCUUUCAAGAGUUCCGGUGCGAUCUCUUCGCCGGCCUCCAGCUUUGGAUCAUCCCUGAAAGUGAUGAUCCCACUUCUUUUUAGAGCAUCGUAGAGAUGAUCCGUAAAGUUCUUGCGGGUAUCUUCACCUCUAAAACUCAAGAAAACAUCGUAUUUCUUUCUGGAAAUUGAUGAGGAAGUCGAAAGUAAUGACGACAUGACGAUGUAUGAGAAGAAAAAAAUAUGUGGAUGUAGUGUUCAAAAUCAGAAAAUAGAUCGCUCAAUACCUUAGAAACAAAGUAGAAAUAAUGAGCAUGAGGACGGAGAAAAAUAAAUGAAAUUUACAGGGAAUAACAAAGGACUUUUCCAAAUGAAUCUUUCUGUAUGAUAAUACCUAUGAAAGGGAGUCGGUAACAAUAAAUUCUGGGGCCAUCGAUGAGCGUUAGAUGUUCUUUUCGGGAAGACUGCAAGAAGGUGAGAGUUGACAAUUGCUGCCUACUUUAAUUACAACUAAUAACGAUAGAGUUUUAAGAGUUUUUUUCACUAUUAGCGUCACAUCUGAUAGUGAAGAAGAGGCCCAAUAGGGUAAACAGGCAAUGCGCGUAGGCGUAGGUCUUCCACAAUCACCUCUGGUGUGCCACUCGUCAGUUGAGAAACCUGGGGGAGCUAUCUUCGUGGUACCAAUGACUGGGGGCAGGGGCCCAUUAUAUAAAACAGGGCAACUUAAACAUAUGCUUUGAAGGUGGAGCCUAUUGCUACAGAAGGGAGGCCGGACUUUUCCAACUAUGGCCUUAUUUAUUGCUAAUAAGAUAAUGCAAAAAAUGGGCUAUGACUUGGAAAAUCCUGUCGGACUAAAAAAUGGGAAGGGGCUUGACGAAGGCACAAAAGAAUACAUUAAAAGAUGGGGAGGCUAUCCUCCGACGUACGGCCUGGGGUACAUCCCAGAUUAUGGAACGAGAGAUGGGUCAGAAUUUGAAGCUUAUGAGUCGUCCACUACUUGUUAGAAUGUGCCACAACUUUAUGUACUUUUUGUAAAUUUAAAAUUUAAUCCCUAUACCAUUAGUUACUAAAUUAUAGGUAAAUUUUUAUUUUAAUCACUUAAUGUAAAAAAAAGUUACAAUUUGAUCAUUGAAAUUUUCAAAAUUAUUUUUUUGUCACUCAACUAUUAAGUGACACUUUUUUUAUGUGAUAUAAUAUACGUGGAUGUAGUGCUCAAUAAACAAGAAGUAAAUGAACAUGAGGGAGGAGAAAAACAGAAGAAAUUUACAGGAAACAAAGGACUUGUCUAGGAAAUUUGUGUAUACGUUUCCCACCUUUUACUUUUCCAAAUGAAUCUAUCUUCAUUAUAAUACCUAUGAAAGGGAGUCGGUAACAAUUAAUUCGGGGGCCAUAGAUCAGCGUUAGACGUUCUUUUCGGGAAGACUCCAAGAAGGUGAGAGUUGACAAUUGGUGCCUACUUUAAUUACAACUAAAACUUACAGAGUUUUAAGAGUUUUUUCUGGUUAAAAUGUGUUACAAGUCAUCGUACUUUUUAUAAAUUAAAAUUUAGUCCCUACAUCAUUAGUCAUCAAACUAUGGGUAAGUUUUUGUUUUGGUCACUUAACUAAAAAAAAUUAUGAUUUGAUCAUUGAACAUUGAGGAAGCGCAUAAUGAUCUAACAUUGUUUUGUUUUGUUCUAUUUUUAAUUUUUUUAUAGGAUUCUAUUGAAGAAUAAAUUUCUAUAUUUUCCAUACAUAUUAGUUCUUGAAAAACAACAUUUUCGAGAUUUUAUUUUUCUAUAAUUUUCAUAUAGAAUUUUCUAUUUUUUAAAUAGUUUUGAUUUUUUUUUUAUAAAUUUAUGUAGAACCAUGGUCAAGUUUACAAAAUAUAAAAAUUGAGGACUAGCGUGUUAUUUUACCAACUAAAAAGUGCCAUUUAACAGUCAAAUGAUCAAGAAAAACAAUUUUGAAAAGUUUAGCGACCAAAUUGUAACUUUUGCAGUUAAGUAACAAAAAUGAUAACUUACCUAUAAUUUAGUGACUAAUUAUGUGGUUUACCCUAAAAAAAGUGUCUUGGAUUUGGUCCUAAGCCCCAUUGGAACAUACGGGCUGUAAAGGAAUCAUUACCCAAUCUAUAUAAUAUAAUAUACAUAAAAGCACGAGUUUGAAAAACUUUUGAAUUGACGAGAAUAUCAUUUACUUUUCAUCAAAUUAAGUUCACAUUUAAAGGUUAAGCUAAUUUUAUUGAUGUAAAAUAAAGUUAUUACGUGAAUAUAAUUUUGAGCAUCUUAAUUAUCCCUUAAUUAAUAUUAGAGUUACACAUCAAUUCAAAAUUUAAGUUUAACUUUGUAAAUAACAUCAAAUAGUUAGACAUAUUUGAUUAAAUAGCAUGUAAGAAAAAUCAUCGACAAAAAAAUUGGAUAUUGUUAGCAUUAAUAAAUUAAAAUUAUAUGUAUAUAGAGAAUAUAUAUAUAUAUAUAUAUAUAUAUAUAUAAAGAAAAGCAAUGGUUCUUUGAAUAGGAAAUAGUGAAUCCUAUUCAAAUUGAAUGGCAUUAAAGAAAAAUGAAAGAUUAUUUUAAUUGAUGAUGAGAUAAUAGAAUAUAAUAUUUUUUUAUAAUUAUGUUGUAUGUUAUUCAUACUAUGUGAAGCAAGCACUCUUAAAAUUAUUUUUUUAUCUAUCUAUAAUUUGUUUGGUAUACAUGGAAAACAUUAUAUAAGUUUGUUUUGAAGAUAAAAUUAAAUUUUAAGAAUUAUUUUUUAAUCAUCAUUAUUAAUAUAAUUAAAAUUACAUGCAACGCAUGUGACAUUAGAAACUAGUGAUUAUAAAAAAUUGGAGUGCGACAAACUCUUGUUGUGAUUAAAAAGAGUUGUAUUUAUAAAAAAUUAUAUAAACAUCAUCAAACGCAUUGGUUGAAUUGCUUAACUUAAAGUUUUGCAAAAAUCAUCAUGAUAAUAUUUUAUAAUUAUUUUUAUAAAAAAGAUAAAAAUACUAUUAUAUUAAUAUUUGUUACUUCUUAUAAAUAGUAAAUUAUACAUAGGGUCUGUUUUGAAGUCAUACGUAGGCAUCUUAAAUGCCAUUUACAUAUAGCAGAUGCCUAUUUCGGUCUUUUAGUUGUUGGACCAAAUGGCGGCAGGGCUAUAAGACUGGCUAUUUCAGCGGCAAAUGGAGCUUCAUUUCUAAAUGGGCUAUAAGCUUGAAGGCAAUGAUCUUAAAGAAUAUCCUAUCCAAUCUAAAAGACGUAGAUACUUGAGAUCAUCACGAAAUUAAUUUUCAUUUCUAAAUAUAAUUAAGUACUUGUUAAUAAUUAAUAACACUAAUUGUCAUGAGUAAUUUCAUAAAUUAUAAUAAGCUUUUUGAUCCAUUAGUAACCGUAUUAUAAAACAUCACAUUCCACUACCCUAUAAAAGAAUAAUUAUUUUUCUAUAAUUUUCAUAUAGAAUAAUUUUUUUACUUUACCGAUAGCAGCACUCUUUUUCAAAGAAGGUACGGUACAUCUUCUUCCUCUUUUUUGCUUCUAAAUUAUCAUGAAUCGUUGAUUCUAUUCAGGGGGGCCUUAUAUAUAUAUAUAUAUGAUCGAUAGGGGAAUUUACACAUAAAUAAUACGUAUAGAGAUUUUUCGAAUCGAAAGGAUAAAUUAUUCUUUAAUUGCGCAGGGAUGCUGACUUUCUGAUAAGUUCCGGUGAUAGAACCGGACGGCUGUUGAAGUACAAUCCUUAUAACGGAGACGUGUCCGUCUUGUACGACGGCUUAGCUUUCCCUAACGGGGUUGCCUUGAGUGCAAACAAUUCGUUUCUUCUAGUGAACGAAUCGAUAAAAAGACGAAUACUGAAGUUCAAUGUGCACGACCCCAAAGCAGCUCCCAAAGUAUUCCUCGAAUUACCCAGGGUUCCGAAUAAUAUAAAGAGGAACGAAAAGGGCGAAUUCUGGGUGGCCCUAAACAGCGGAAGAUUAGGAACGCUUGGAAACGGUGUUCCGGAUCCAAUUGGAAUGAGGUUUAACGAAGAAGCCAAGGUUUUGGAAAUCUUGGAUGGAAAGGGCGCGCCCACUUUUAAUUCGAUAAGUGAAGUCCAGGAACACGGGGGGAAAUUAUACAUAGGGUCUGUUUUGAAGUCGUACGUAGGCAUCUUAAAUGCCUAGUUGAUUUUUGUUUUCUUUUCUUUUCUUUUUUGCGACUUUUUAAUUGUUCCUGUAAUUUGUUUUUCUUUUACUCGAUAAAUAUAAUAAAUAAAUGUUAACGAUUUUAUUUUCGAGAAAUUUUUAAUUAUCUUGAUUUGCCUAAUUGAGACAUUACAUCUUCACGCCUCGUGCACAAGACGAAGUAAGCCAGGCUUGGCGUACCUGAUGGGUUAGUUGUCGAACAUUUUAAAGUUGUCCUUUAUCCCCUUUAUGCUUCGGGGUACACUACUUUUUCCCGUCACAGAAUGUUUAUGUUGUAAACUUGAUAAGCAUGGCACCGAUUCCCAUAACACAAAUUAAAGAACAUCUGCUUCAAUUGAUUGGUCAAAAGAAAAGGUCAAUACCACGACCUAAUUUCUCAUCUCAACAAUGCCUAAUCAGUGUUCCUAAUAGGCUACGGAAAUUGAAUGAGUUGAGAUGCUACUAAGUGUAUCAAAGUAAAAGAAGGACCAAAUAACAAAUUAGGCUAAGCAACCACUCAAUCCUUGCAACACUACUCCCUGCUUCUAUUGCCUGGGGAUAUGAACCAAUAGAUCACGAUGAUAAUUCUAAAGCAACCAUUAUUUGAUCGUCCUCUUACUAGACAAUGGAUAUAAUAAUUCGUGAAGAAAAAGGUGGUCCUUCGUUAUGGAUUGUCCACCUAAAACUUUGAAACUGGAAUCGACCCUUCCAGGAUUUUUAACUUGAAAAACAAAUCCAUUAUUACUAGAUUGUCCAGAAUUUCUUUAAUGGAUAUAAGUUGGGCCACCGAUAACUUUUUCUUCGGAACCACCAUCAUUGACGAAUCCAAUCCAUUGACUGUCAUUCUGAAUAUCGAGAAACAGAGGUAUUUCAAUUACAGAGCUGCCUCUGUGUUGCCUGAACCAUUCCGGAAUUUCAUCAUUUUCGUUUUUUGAAUUCGCAAAUGCCUGCAAAUUUAAUUAUCGGUGGCUCUGUAACUAAAACCAUGGAAAAUAAUUGAGAUUAAUCAACCUUAAUCAGAAAUUUUAUUGCACUAAUGUUCUCAGCCAAUCUGUAGCAGUUAAUGGCUGUAAUGUUAGCACCAUAACUUAUCCACUACUCACUUCUCAUUCUUCCUAGAAGCACUGGCAACUAUUCAAGCUAACUGCAAUCUGACACUCCAAGCUUUUGAAGAUUUGAAAGAAGAGUAAGAGACGCAGCUAUGCUGCUGAAAUUGUUACACCUAAGAUUAAGAACUCUCAAUGAGGAUAGACCAGGAUUGAACCUGAAAUUGUCAUAUUAAUGGCAUGAAGCUACAACCAACUGAGCUAGUAAGCCAAUUGGUUUUUUUUUUAGACACUGUCUUAUAUUAAGCUUUUCUCCGUUGGUUAAAUGAUAAUAUUUUUAAAUUUUGGAUUUAAAAAAUAUAUUUAUUAUACUUUCAACAUAUAUACAUCCCAAAAUACAACCAAAAAUAAAUAGAAGGUUCAUUUUAUUUCCCCAAUAUUUUAAUGCAGAGUAAUGCUUGUUUUGUUGGGUUUGACAUAACCUGUAUGGAUUCGACAGUGAGAUUCGUGGACACCUUUGACAUGAUGAAAGACAACAACAUGCAGUAAAAGAUGUAAGAGGAAAAACCAACGUUAUGUCAUGAAAAGGAACAACACCCCCCCCCCCCCCCCAAAUGGAUCCCCCCCUAUUAAAAUUGAUCACUAAUGGCAAUUUGCUUCUUUUGCUAUGUGUAGUGUAGAGAAGAAUAAAAAUGAAGUUAACACAUAAACAGAGAGUUUUCACCUAUUGGCAUGGAUAUUGGCGGGUAAAUGAAAGAGUAAAUUAUUAAAUCCCGAUACUUUUCGAAAUUUUCAAAAAUUAAGUGCCCUUAAAACUAAUAUAUGUUGCAGUGGGCAAAAAUCACGUCGGUUGCUGCAUAGAUAAGUCGCUGAACCAAUCGUCACAACUCUUUGCCAAAGAUGCAUCAAUCCACACAGCGCCACUAUUCUAUAUAUAGAUCAUCAGCGUCUCUUAUCAUUUGGAUAUUCAAGGAAGUUAAUUUUUCUGGUUACAUUAGCAAGAGGUAAGGCAUAUCAGUGAAGAUGGAAGAUUACGGAUGCGGUAUCAGUUCGAUAGCCAUGAUGCUGUUGGUGGUUGCUCUGCUGUUUUUGGGUCCGCUUGGAAUGCCACCGUUGCAGCCUCCUCCCGCUUACAUUUUCCUCAUCUUCGCUUUCGUCUUGAUCUUCGUUUUCAUCUACCUCUCUCAUGCCUCCAAAUGAUGAUCCAUGGCGAUUUCGUUUGCUUUCCAGUAUUAUUAUUCUCUUUUAUUCAGUUGUUAUCUGAUGAUAAUAAGCUUUGCGGUGGAUAUUAACCACCAAUAGUACACAGUUAUUUGUUGUUUUCAGUCGUUUAUUAAUAAAUUAUAUGAAGUCGAUGGAAGAAUGUCUCUGUUUAUCUAGUACGUAAAUAAACCAUGCAAUGCAUGCAUACUUACGUUGCUCUAAAAUGGACACGACGCCUUUUACUAAUAUUAUUCUUUCUUGCACUCCCAUUGGCUUAGGUACGCUGCAUGCGUUGUCCCUUCAUGCCGUCUAUUUAAUAAUGUCGUUAAUAAUUUUAAUGUGGUCUUCACUCCAUCCAUCGAUCGUGUCUAGCCUCAGUUUUCCUCCAUACAUCAAAUCGUUUGCAUUUGAAUAUCCCAUCUCUCCUUUUAAUUUUAAUUAUACUGAGUCUUCUUAUGUAAAUUUAGUUUAUUCAGGUUGUGCUUAUGAAUUUAGAUUCAAAAUAUGGAGUUAAACACGAUUGUAUGAUAAAAGGCAUUGUCUAUGGUUUCUGCUGCAGAAAAUUGUUAACUUUCGGGAUGACGCCAUUAUAAAAUUUGUUUGCAUGAACUAAUUAAUCCAUAGACUUUAACUAUGUACUAUGUAGGCGUCCUAGUACAAGGAUUGGGUUGUGAGCAAUACUAAUGGNNNNNNNNNNNNNNNNNNNNNNNNNNNNNNNNNNNNNNNNNNNNNNNNNNNNNNNNNNNNNNNNNNNNNNNNNNNNNNNNNNNNNNNNNNNNNNNNNNNNNNNNNNNNNNNNNNNNNNNNNNNNNNNNNNNNNNNNNNNNNNNNNNNNNNNNNNNNNNNNNNNNNNNNNNNNNNNNNNNNNNNNNNNNNNNNNNNNNNNNNNNNNNNNNNNNNNNNNNNNNNNNNNNNNNNNNNNNNNNNNNNNNNNNNNNNNNNNNNNNNNNNNNNNNNNNNNNNNNNNNNNNNNNNNNNNNNNNNNNNNNNNNNNNNNNNNNNNNNNNNNNNNNNNNNNNAUUGCUUCUUCAUGUUCUUCCAUUAGGGAGUGCAUAAAUUGACUCACUAAGCUCACUGAAAAAGCUAUGCCUGGCUCUGUAUGUGAUAAGUAAAUUAACUUACCAACUAAUCUUUGGUAAUGCCCUUUAUCAACUAAUCGACCUUCUUUAUUUCUGAAUUUUACAUUUGGACCAAUUGGUGUGUCAGCUGGGCAGCAACCACUCAUCCCAGCCUCUUUUAAAAGAUCAAUCAUACAUUUUUUCUAAGAGACCACAAGACCCUUCUUUAACCGAGCAACUUUCAUUCUAAGAAAGUAUUUCAAAGGACCCAAGUCUUGGAUCUCAAACUCCAAUGCUAGAUGCUCCUUGAGACGCCUUAUUUCAUCUACAUCAUCUCCUGUAAGAAUGAUAUCAUCGACAUAAACUAUAAUAACUGUUAUUUUACCUUUUUGUCAGUGUCGAUAGAACAUUGUGUGAUCAGCUUGCCUUUGUGAGUAACCUUGGUUUUUAACAACUUGAGUGAAUCGUUCAAACCAAGCUCGAGGNNNNNNNNNNNNNNNNNNNNNNNNNNNNNNNNNNNNNNNNNNNNNNNNNNNNNNNNNNNNNNNNNNNNNNNNNNNNNNNNNNNNNNNNNNNNNNNNNNNNNNNNNNNNNNNNNNNNNNNNNNNNNNNNNNNNNNNNNNNNNNNNNNNNNNNNNNNNNNNNNNNNNNAUUGAUAAAAGAACUCUAACAUAAUUUAAUUUGGCUACUGGAGCAAAUGUUUCAAGAUAAUCUAUCUCGUAUGUUUGAGUGUACCCUUUAGCUACCAGCCAAGCUUUGUAUCUAUCGAAAGAUCCAUCCGGUUUGAAUUUGGUUGUGAACACCCAUUUACAACCCACUAUUUUUUUCCUUACAGGUAAUUCCAUUGUUUUCCAUGUACUUAUUUUUUCAAGAGCAUGCAUCUCUUUUAAAAUAGCCUUCUUCCACUCAAGAACCUAUAAAGCAUCUUUCAUAUUUUUGGGUAUUUCACAAUAUCGAGACACGAAGCAAAGGCUGAGAAUGUCAAAGACAAUGCUUUAUAGGAUACAAAGUUAGACAUGGGAUAUUUGACAAAAUUUCUAACACAUUUUCUUUUAGCAGUUGGAAUAUCUAAAUCAGAAAAUUCAUUGGUUGGAUUAUGAGCUUUACUUGGACUUUUGACAAGAUCUUGCAGGUCGGAUUCUUGGUGAUGAAUCUGGUGGAUUCCACUUUCUUGACUUCAGUUUCUCACAAUAAAUUUGCCUUCCCCAUUAUUAGAAUCUCUAUGUUGUAUAUUCCUAGUCUUUUCUUGAUCAGUUAUAGAAUCUUCCUUACUAUAAUUUCCUCCCUGAAGAUUAGAAUCAAAAUAAGAUUGCGUUUCAACAAAUGUGACAUCCAUGGUAACAAUAAUCUUCCUAUCAAUUGGAUCAUAACAUUUGUAACCCUUUUUAUUAGAAGCAUGGCCAACAAAGACGCAUUUUUUUCUCUAGAAUCUAGUUUACCAUGGUUGUAAAGAUGAACAAAAACACUACACCCAAAAACUCAAAGGGAUAAAUCUAUGAUCAAUUUAGAGCUAGGAAAGUUAUCUUUAAAGAGACGAAAAGGAGCUCUAUAGUUUAGAGUUUUACUGGGGAUUCUAUUAAUAAGAUAUGUAGCUGUUAACAAGGCUUCGCCCCAAAGAUAACGUGGUACCUGACUAGUGAACAUCAAGGCUCUAGUUACUCUCAAAAGAUGUUGGUUUUUUCUUUCUACAAUCUCAUUUUGUUGUGGGGUAUUUGUACAAGAGCUUUGGUGGACUAUUCCAUGUUUGGUUAAGAAAACACAUAAUUGGUCACUAAAAAAUUCCCCACCAUUGUCACUCCAAAAUACUUCUAUUUGCACACCAAAUCGUGUUUUCACUAUAGCAUAAAAAGACUAAAACACAUUUUUAACUUCAGACUUAUCUUUUAAUAAAAAAAACCCAAUAAAUACGAACAUGAUCAUCAAUAAAUGUGACAAACUAACGUUUUCCUAAAAAAGUUGAGAUUGUUGAAGGUCCUCAAACAUCACUAUGAAUUAACGAAAAAGGUUUGGAAACUUUAUAUUUUUGAGGUGGAAAGAAUGACCAAUGAUGUUUAGCCUAUUCAUAAAAUUCACAAUGAUAUGAAUAAGGACUUUUAUUUUUAAAUAGAUUAGGUAACAAAUAUCUUAAAUAGUAAAAAUUAAUAUGUACAAGCCUAUAAUGCCAAAUCAUAACCUUAUCAAAACCAGAAACAGAAUUUAAACAUAAAGUAGUUGUUGGUUGACUUAGAUGGUCGUCGUCAAUAAAGUAAAUUCCACCAGAUUCUUUAGCAUUGCCAAUCAUCCUCCCCGAGACCAUGUCCUGAAAUUUACACAUAGAUGACUUAAAUAUAACAUGACAAUUCGAGGACUAGGAUAAUUUACUGACUGAUAUGAGAUCACAAGCUCGAUUUGGCAUACGUAAAACAUCAUGUAAAACUAAGGAAGAAGAAAUUUUAAUAGUGCUUUUCCCGGCUAUUACCGAGAACGACCCAUCUGCUACUUUGAUCUUUUUGUUUCCUGCACAAGAUGUGUAAGUUGAGAAAAGAAAAUGACUACUAGUCAUGUGAUCACUAGCUCCAGAAUCGACGAUCCACGUGUUUGUUUUACAAGGCUUGACGCUGAAAAAAAUAAAAAAAAUUUAGUACUUGAUUGGGCAAAGGAGAAAGAAGGAUUAUUGGAUGAGUUAAGAACAGAAGAAUUCAUUCGAAACUGUGGUGACUGAAAAAGCUUGAGUAGAUACUCUAAUUGUUCCUUAAUGAAUAGAGACCCUUCUAGAGAACUUUGACCUCAAAAUUUUUAGUAGUUGUUUUGAAAACUCUACUAUCCCCUAAUUAUGAACCACGACCAUUGCCACUCUUUUUUUUUCCAUUCAUCAGUUUUCCAUGGAGCUUCCAACAUGUUUCUUGAGUGUUCCAAUAUUUUUUGCAUUGAUCGCACCAAGGUUUUUUUCUUUUUUCACUAUCAUCAUUAUUUUUAAUAGUUACAAUAGUAGAAUUAUCAUCAUUAGCUUCAAACCCUGGCUUUAACAUUACUUUUCUCCUUGUUUCCUCUUUUCUAACCUUAGAAAAAAUCUCACAGAGUUUUGGAAGCAGUUUUUUUCCUAAGAUCCGAGAUCUCACUUCAUCAAAUUCUUUAUUUAAACCAACCAGAAACAAAUAAGCUCGUUCAUUCUCUUCUGUUUUCAUAGCUUUUACACCAUCUCUUGGACACUCCCAUUCAUCAUUAUAACACUAACCCAAUUCUUUCCAAAGAGACAUCAUCUCGUUAUAAUAAAAAGUAACUUCCUUUUAAGUAACUUCCUUUUCCCCUUGUCUAGCUUUAUAGAGUUUUAUUUUUAACUCAAAUAUCUGUGAAGCGUUUUCUAUAUCUGAAUAAGUGUCUUUCACAACAUCCAAACAUCUUUAACAGUCAAGAGAAAAAGAAAAGGGUUACCUAUGGAUGCUUCCAUGGAAUUAAUAAGUCACGUAAUUAUCAUAGAAUUUUCUGACCUCUACUUGCUCAUCUUUGGUUCGCCCACCUGUGGUUGAUUGACUUCUCCAGUUAAAUGACCUAACUUGCCGUGCUCAUCAAUUCUUAACUUUACGGACUGCGACCAUUCCAGAUAAUUCUUGCCAUUCAUCUUGUGAGAUGUCACCUGAAAAGAAAGGUGGGACGCCUCUGUCCCUUGAGUCAUUGUACUCUCGGUAGUUGUUUCAACAGUAGAACUUUCUUCCUCUGUUUGAUUGAUGGAUCUUUUAUCUCUAGUGAAGGUUGUUUUAACCAUGAUGUUACUAGAGAUUUAAUCUAGCUCAGAUGCCAUGAAAGUUUUCAAGAGAGUAUUUAAUAAAAAUGUUCUAUAAUUUAUUAACUAAAAAGCUGAACUUAAAUAGAGAAAAUAGUCAUAACCUAAUUGAGAAAAUAAUUCCCUUAUUCUAAUAAACUACUAAAAAUAAAAUAAAAUAUUCCUAGAAUAUCUAAAAUGAUUUAUUCUAACAUAUAUCUACCUAAAUAAGAUUUAUCUACCUAAAUAAAUUUAAAAUAUAUGAGUUUCACAUAUUUCAAUAGAUUACUCUUAUUAAUUCCUUCAACAUUUCAUAGUCUUCCCUCCAUUUUUCCUACUAAAAAUCAGUUUGGGCUCCUUUUUUCUCAGAAAAAGAAAAAAGAAGUAACAGCAUACUUUUGCUCUUUAGCCCCUUUCAGUCUGCAUGAACGAUUUCAAGGCCUUGGCUAAUAUUUGAAUAUAUAUUCAAUGAGGUUUUGGUUUUGGUUUAAUAUUUGAUUAUGUUUGAUGCGUCGUUGAGAGCACCAAAAAUAUCAUAUCCCUAUAAAAUAACAAAAAGAAUAGUAUAAAAGAAGUAGGGUCAAAUCCUCAGGGACUGGACUUGCACAAGUUCAUGUUCCUCAAGAUCCCAGGUAGAGUUGUGCCCAAGAAAAACGGCGUACCUAGAAAAAAAUAAAAAAAACAGAAUUAAAAGUUUAGUUGAAUUGAGAUUGCGUAAAUUGAAAUUGAAAUUGUAAAAAUAAACAGAGUUGAGAAAAGAGAGUUUUUUAUGGAGAGAUUCCAACCUCUGGUUAUCUCGAUCCUCCUUGGGUUCNNNNNNNNNNNNNNNNNNNNNNNNNNNNNNNNNNNNNNNNNNNNNNNNNNNNNNNNNNNNNNNNNNNNNNNNNNNNNNNNNNNNNNNNNNNNNNNNNNNNAUAGUGGAAGAGGAUGCCUACAACCACCAGCUCCACUUAGAUUUUAGAUUUACAAUUUAGAGGAACUUGACUCUAGCCAACCGUUGCUUUUGUGGGACCGUCUUACAGUAGAUCAUCACUUCUCAAUGGCGAAUGCCACACCAUCUUGUCUCUUGGGCUCGACAAUCACUGACGCAAUAAGCUAACGAACCGACUGUGAAACCUUCCCAAAACAUACAAAGCAGCCGCCUUUGCACAAGAUGAAAAGACUACUUUUGGAAGGACAUGGACAGAAGUGUCAGUCCUGUAACACGGAGAAACGAUGAAUACUCGUUGAGAAGGCUAAGUGUGGAUUCUAAGCCUUAUGAACCCUUUUUGGGGAAUCUCGACAAACUUUGGCUAGAUAAAUUUAGUGGCUAAUGCUUUUUUGGGGAAAAAGAAAUAAACUUAAUAAAAAUGGAAUUUUAUUGAAUAAAUGAAAUGAACAAAAGCUAGAGCUUUUUGGGAGAGGGAGAUUUUACAAAAAAAGAUGAGUGAAAUUUGUGUCACUCCAUCCCCUAUUUAUAGUACUUAGAAAACCUAAUUUAUUCCUAUAUAAAUUCUAAAAGAUAAAUAAAGAUAAAAGCUAAAAUUAAAUCUAAAUAAUAAUCUUAACAAUAAUCCUAAUACAAUUAAAAUUCAAAUAGAGUUUUGUGUUUAUAAAAUCUCUUCUUUGAACUAUUGUCCCCAAGUCUUCCACACUUUGCAUUUUCGGCACCACUUCUUUCCUAUUUUGCAUCCUGGCCCAUUUUAUCUUCAAAUUUAUGCUUUUUGCCCCUAAAUUUCUUUUUGCCUUUAAUUUAGUCCCUACAAGAUAAAAAAACCAUAAAUAGCUCAAAUUAGUAAGAACAUACUCAAAAUAAAUAUGUAAUUAAUACAAAAAAAUAUGUCAUUCCAGAAUAUUAUCAGAUUCCCCCUACUUAGCCCAUGCUUGCCCUCAAGUAUGGUUCCUAUCCACUGUGAAAUUUAGUUUUUACCAUGAAAGAAAUAUCACUCUAAAGUUUUAUAAAAAUUAGGCAUAAUACAUACGAAAAAUAAAGAGAACCUUUAACUUCCUUUAAGUAAAACCGAAAAAAGUAUUCCAAUUAAUACAUACAAAAAUUAAAAUCAUCUUGAAUUAUUUCAUGAAAAUUAGGUAAUUCACUAAACUUACCAAGACACCCUAUUUGUUUCCACCUUUAGUCCCCAAAUGUAAUUUUAUUAUUAAUAUUCUUUUUCUUUUUCUUUUUCUUUUUCUUUUUCUUUUUCUUUUUCUUUUUCUUUUUCUUUUUCUUUUUGCUUAAGAAUAUAUUGAACCUUUUGACGCGAAAAGAGACAACAGCCAAGCACCCCACCCUGGUUACUCAGCCUAACAUACUCCUAAUUUAUUAUAUUUAAAUAUAUAUUUUUCUUAAGAAUAUAUUGAACUUUUUGACGCGAAAAGAGAUGACAGCCAAGCACCCCACCCCGGUUACUCAACCUAACAUACUCCUAAUUUAUUAUAUUUAAAUAUAUAUUUUUCUUAAGAAUAUAUUGAACCUUUUGACGCAAAGAGAGAUGACAGUCAAGCACCCCACCCCGGUUACUCAGCCCAACAUAUUCUUAAAAAAAAUUUCUCGGUUAGCAGAGUUUUACCUAACAAGUCACACAACUUUUGACGCGAAGUAGGAUGACAACCCAAGCACCCUACCCCAGUUACUCAAUCAGUCACGUUUUAAGCUGCACUCAUAACCACGGAGGCAUCAAAAUUUAUUAUAAUGAAACAGAAUUUUUAAUUUUGGAGAAUUAGGAAAAACAAUCAAGUGUCAAAAAUAAGUUUCGGCAACUACCUAACAGUCAUGAACAUAAAUUUAGCAUACAAUUGUAUUAAGUGUUCUCUUUGCAUUAAACUUAAUCUAUUUUACAAAAAGCAAGAUAGGGUUAACUCUAUUAAUCAUAAUUAUUUUAGCCUAAUAGAAAUAAAAUAGUGGAGACGAAAUCAAUAUGGCAAAAUCAUAACUAACUCAAUAUAUAGGAAUCAUGCUCGCAAAUUAAAUAGUGGGCGAUUUCUGGUCAAAAUCUUAGGCAUGAAAAAGGGCAGGAUAUACUAAAAAAAUUAAAUAUGGGUAGAAACUAGCACAAUGCAGCAACAACAGUAACACAACAGUAAAAGCAGCAGAUAAAAUGACAGAAAUAAUGAGGAAUGCCUCCCCCUACUUAAAACACAUUGUCCUCGAUGUGAAAGAAAAAUAACAAAUAGGGGGAAGAGAAAAAAGUUUAGAAAAACUCCCCAUAUAUUUACUGUCGUUCGCACAGAGCUGCAAUAAGAUCAGUCAUCUACUGGCCGAUGGUGUCGAGUCGUGCCUCAAUGCGUUCCAAUCGUUGCUCGAUGGUCACGGAAGGUUGGUCUUGAUUGGGUACCUCGUGCAGAUUUUGCCGCCGAAAGAUUCGUUCAGCCGGUGUAGAUCGGGUGCCUGGAGGUACAAAAAGAAAGGAAGUAGGAGUGCCAAGAAGCAAUCCCAUCGAAUCGAGACAGCAGGCAACUAAUGGAUCAGCUUGGUAAACAAUAUGUAAGUUUGAAAUAGGGGCAUUAGAGCCAUGUAACAUGUAAAAAGAAUAACAGUUGUGUAAUAAAAAAGCCUAAAAUGAGAAGACGCUUUGCAUUUAUAAUAUGCUCAAAUUGAAGCACAUACCAAUAGCCCAAAUUUACCGGACGACCGGUGUACAUACACCAUAAUAAGAAUAAUUUCAUCUUCGAGACGAUAGCCGGUACAUCUCUCCGACCUGAGAAAUUAUAAGCCAAAUAACAAUGUAUGUAACAUAAGGCAGGGUUACGAAACCACAAAUCCUUUGAUGUUUUAGGGCUAUAUAUGGUUUCAACAUUAUCUAUUAAUAACGCAAAGGCCUCUAUAGCCUUGAAGUCUGCUGGAAAAGUACACAAGUUGUUUUCAUAAUCAGUGGACAAAGCAUAAUCCUCUGUUACAAAAGCCAAUGCAAUAUUAAAAUCAGUUAGGGAUAAACUGUGUGGUACCAAGCAAUCGAAAUGUGAUAAUGCCAGAUAUGUCCAAUGAGAAUUGGUCGUGCCGUUGAAAAUGGAAGGUGGAAUAAAACUCUAAAAUCAGUUCGUAAUAAGUGCAGUGAGUGAUAUCAAAAUUUCCAACCCAACCAAUAUUGCGAAAAUAAUCGGCAACCAUAGUGUCUGUCGAAACCACUUUUUUUAAAAAACAAGUCUACUUGGAUUUUGAAAAGCGAAAACGGAGUUGCCACCGAUCCUUUUUAUUUAGGUGUAAUCGGAUCACCUCAUAAUUUAAUCAUUUUAAGAAAAGUUUAAAUUUACUAAAACGAUAAUUUUUGGUCUACAAAAUCCAGAAAAUGAGUUCGGGAGUCGGUUACGCACGAGGAAGGAUUAGCACCCUCGAUACGCCCAAAAUUGGUACCUUGUUGAUUAAUUAGUGUCCUAAUAUCGAAAAUUUACAAAGAUUUUAAAAUACGAUCCUUUUAUUUAACCAGAAACUUGUAUAAAUCAAGUUGCACGUUAAGACCCUCUUAUUUCAGAAAGAGAAAAUGUCAUGCCCAAUGAGUUAGGGUAUGAUAUUUCACAUCCUCAAAAAUGAGUUUGUCUUUUGAAAAACUCAUGCAAUGAAAUUUAAAAAGGAUAUUCAAUUGUUUAAGUCAGAUGAAAAAUCGAAGCCCAAUAAGUUAGGGCACGAUAUCUCAAAAUUCCAAACAUUGAAUAUUGUCUUUAUUAUUUUUUAGAAAAAAUCCUCAUCUCGAGAAAAUAAAAUGCCGUAUCCAAUGAGUUAGUAUGCAACGUAUCGAAUCCUCGGGAAUGAGCUUUUUAUUUACUUGUUUUAAUUUAAAAAAACUCGAUUACUUAGAUUCAACGAGGAAAAUUAGAACCCAAUAAGUUAGGGUCCAAUCGCCUCGAAGAUCCCAAAUACCGAGUAUUACGUUAUCUUCAAAGCUUUUGAAUAAAAUGAUUUCGACACUUAAGUGAUAUCAAACAUAACCUUUUAAACGAAUAAAAUGCGAUGGAACGAUAAUGUAUAACGCGGAAUGAUAAUUCGUAAGCCAAAAUGUACACUAAUGAACACAAAUAAUCAAUAGAUAAUACAAACAAACAUAGCAACAAUAAUCUCAAUCAUACAUUAUGCAAAUACCGAUAACAACAUCCAACAAUUAAAUGAAUUAAUAAUCAAAUUUAAAAGGUACACUAAAAAAAUUCAAUAGCAAGAGGAGAAAUCAUAAUCAAUAAAUUAUACGUACAAAAGUUUUAAAAUAAACAAUAUAUAUGAGUUUAAAAUAGAUUCAAAAUAGAGUUAAAAAUAAACACUUCAUAAAAUAACAGUAUUUAAAUGAAUUUUGAAACAAUUAUUAUACAAGAAGAAGAUUCAAAUAUAUAAAAUAAUUUACAUAUAUUAAUUUAGAAUAAGUAAUACAUAGGGAGUGAAAAGCCUCAUGUAAAUAAUAAUAUUUAUAAUAAUAUGUAAAAGGUUGAAAUAUGCCAAAUAUAAUAAAAAAAAAGGAUUUUUUGUACAAAAAUAAAUUAUGUAUUUAUAGAAAUAGGUAAAAGAUAUAUAAUAAUAUGAAAUCAAUAAUAUAUUAUAUGUACAUAUACAUAUAUAUACAAAAAUAGUUUAAUAUAAAUUGUGUACAUAUAUAAAAUAGUAUUGAAUAAGAAUAUUAUUGUAUAAAUCUUUAAAGCAUAAAAGUAUGUAUAAGUGAAUUUUAAAGAUGUAUUAUAAAAUAAAACCAUAAAAAAAUGUACAAAUUAUAUUGGACCAAAAUAAAAAAUAUAAACUAAUACAUCUUUAAAACAGUGAUACAGCACAUAUCAAAUUCUCUCGGCUCGGGGGGUGCAAUUUAAUUAUUGCAAAACUCUUUUUGUUGACUGCAUCCAAUCUUCAGCAGCGGACGGAUCAAUUCCUUUUAGUCCCAAAAACUCCGUGGCACUAUAUUUCCGUAGCUCUUUAAUCGUGGCCCAUCUGACAGUUGAUUCUGAUGUAGUAACAGGUACAGUUCCCGCUACACGCUGUAAUGCAUCAGCUAUAGUUCUUAACAAUUGUGAAUCAUCUCUUUCUCUUCCUACAUUAGGAGGUUGAUUAUCUAACGGAUUCACACUAGGUGUAGCAGAUUCAGUUUCUUCAAUUUCUCGACUUCCAGUAUGCAUUUCCUGUUCAUCAUCAUAUAUUCUUUCAUCUGACAUUUUAUCUAUAAAACAAAAUCAAAUAAAUAUAUUAGCAUCCAAAAACCCGACUCAGUUUCGACUUAAAUGUGCCAUGUAAUCUAGACUCUACUUUGAACCCGAUUUAGGCCGAGAAUCGACUAAACCUUAGCUCUGAUAUCAACAAUUCUAACACCCCCUAACCCCAAAUCGUCGCCGAAACAGGGUUACGAGGCAUUACCAGUCCUAUCAAACAAUCUACGGAUAAUUCAUAAUAAAAUAACAUUCAAAAUAUAAUUGCAUAACUAAGUCUGUGUAAUUAAACUUUCGAAGUUUUAAAUAUAAAUUAAAAGGGAAAUGAAACUCGUUCGAGUACUCUAAAUUUUUUUUUGACAAAAUUUCGGCAACAUUUCUGCUUAUUUUUACGUAAAACCCCUGCAAUUAUAACCACAUCAUUUCCAAAUAUAACCAAUUCAUUUCACAUUCUCAUUUUCUAUUCUAAAUACAGUCUAAUCGAACUCAAUCAAUGUAAUACCAAUUUAAAUUUAUCAAUAUGCUAAUUAAAUAAAAAUAGAUAAACUUCUUUCAUUAUAAUUCAUAGACUUAUAACACUAACAUUUUUAACCAUUUAUAUUAAAACAAAAUAACCUCUAUACUCAUCCUAUUUACAUGCCACAUUACCAAAAUAAAAUGUACUUCACCAAAAUUAUGCUGAAGUCGAGUCUAACUUUGGAUGCUGGUUCAGUACUUGACUUCUACAACCUGAGCACGAAAACAACCGCACGCUGAGUAUGCAUAUACUCAGUGGUAUCACUAUAAUUCAAUUUAUAAUUAAAUACAUUAAAUCACACACAUACUUUUCAUUACAAUUAUCACUACUAAUAAACAAUUCAAUCUUUUUAUAUUAUCAAUUAAUUAUAUAUAUAAAUAUCAUUCUUAUUUCUUUAUUUCAAAUUUCACUUUUCACAUAUACUAUGUCAUUCGAGAUUAGUUUUAUCAGUAAAUUUAUUUCAUUUAUCCCUAUUAACUUGACUCGGACUCGGCGGAUACACGGAUUCCAACCAAACACACCAGUAAACAGUAAUCAGUAACGGUAGCAGUAACAGUAACAGUAUUCAACACACAAAGUGCUGAAUCUGUAACAGUAAUAGUAACAGUAUUCGACACACAAAGUGCCGAAUCGGUAACAGUAACAGUAGUCGGCACAUAAGUGUCUGAUCAGUAAGCCGGCAAAUACCCUGUACUCUUUCAUAUCCUAUGGCAUGCCAACUAUAUCCGACUUUCCCGACUAGUUAAUAGGGUAUUUAAUUUACUUUUCAGUAUAAUUUCCAUCUUAGCUCAGUAUCAAUUAUAAAUUCAUUAUUUCAAUCGGUUUCACAGUAUUACAGUAAUUCUUUACUUCAAUAAUUUCACAAUUCAAUGCAUUAUAUAUAACAAUAUUCGGUAUCUUCAUAAUUCAGUUCAGUAUCAGUUUCAAUUUCAAUAUCACAUUAUAAAUUUAUCAUUUAUUAAACACUUACCUUAAAAUACUUACCACACAUAACUAGCAAAUUAAACACUUAAUAAUAAUAAAGUUUGAAUUAUAGUGAUACAAACCAGAAUUCUCUUCGAAUUUAAUCCUCGACGAUCUUUUCUUUUCCUUUUUGGCCCGAUGCUUCAGGCUCGAUAUUAGCUACGAACAAUUAAAAUAAUUUCACAAUCCUUAGGACAAAACAAUUUAAUUGCUGAAAUUUUUAUCUAACUUUUACUUUAAUUCUAAUUUAAUCCUAACUAAACCUAUAUAUUUUUCUUUCUCAAUUCAUACAUUUUUGCUACUCAAUUUCUUGCCAAACUCACACUUAACUAUCUAAUUUUUAUCAUAUUUUCAAUUUAAUCCCUAAAAUUCAAAACUUAUAGUUUAGUUUACAACUUAAUCUUUUAUUCAAUUCCAAACAAAAUUUCUAUCAAAUAAAUCCCUAAUUUAACAAUUUAUUCAACAUGAACCAUGCUUAAAAACCUAUAAACUUUCAAAAUCUCAACUUAUUUUCAACAAAACUUUGUUUUAAAACUUCUAAAACAUCUAAAUUAAAAGAAAAAGACUUGAUUAAACUUACCUUUAAAACUUUAAAACCUUAAACCCUAAUUUUUCCUUUCUUUAUCUUUCUCUUUUUCUUUCUUUCUUUCUCCCUUGUUUCUUCUCUGUUUCGUCUCCUUCAAUUCUGUUUCUUUCUUUUCUUUUGCUUUGUUUUAUUUUAUUUUAUUUUUAGUUAAUUAAUUAUAAGUAUUACAAAUGUAUGUAUUUUAUUAAUACACUUGUAUUAAAUCAUCACCAUACACUUGUCUUUAUUUAUUUUGUUUAUCAAAUAAAAAUCUCAUAAUAUAAUUAUUUAAUUAAUUAAUAUCUUUUACUUAAAUUUUAAGUAAAUAAUAAUUAUAAUACAAGUGUAUAAAUAUUUAUUAUUACACUUGUACCAUCUUUUCACCAUACAUUUGUCUUAAUUUUAAUUUAUUCCAUAAUAAAAUAAUAUAAUUAAUAUAAAUUGCCAUUUGAAUAAAUAAUUGUAAUAAUUAUAAUAAUUAUAUACAUAUAAUAUUUAUAUUUAACUUAAACAAAAUCUUGAAUUUAAUGCAUAUAUGCCGCCUCAUUUUAUAUAAAUGGCUUAAUUGCCAUUUUAGCCCUUUUUACUUUCUUUUAAUCUAUAAUUAGACUUUCACUCUUUAUUCAAUUUAAUCCUUUUCGCUAAUUACUCCUAAUUAAGCCAAAUUCACUUAUCUAAAACCUAAUUAAACACACAACUAGUCUCGUAAAUAUUUCUAAUAAUUAUUUUCGAACUCAAUUCACUAAGACGGAGGCCCGAUAAUACACACACUUUUCUGGUGUCCACGGAUUUUGGGUCGUUACAAGAGCUUUGUGUCCUUGACCAUGCAUGCCAUAGCCUGUGAUCAUAAAAUUCCAUGAUAUAACAUCUUUAGAAAGGGACACAUCUUCGAAUACCCUCUCAGCAUCCUCGAAUACACAUCUUUAAAAAAUGUCUAGAAAAAGAUUUAAUAGGAUAAGGCUAGUAAAGUAGUUUACCACAAUUAAUGUCUCUUGCAAGAUUGGCCCAUUAGAAAAUUGAAAAUUUCUUUUAUCCGUUUUGGUUGCAGCCCUUCUUCCUUCAUCCCCUCGUAGAUAUUACGCUUUCGUUUUACAAGGGAAGUGCUACCUAUUGAUCCAUCAUUAUCAGCAGAGUGUAGAUGAAUAUCUUCAAAAUUUGCAGGACAUUGACUCCUAUGGCUAUGCUGCUCUUUUAAUUGAUCUAUCUCUUCCAAAUCUUUCUCAUACACUAUUCUAACACCACACUUCUUCACCUUAACACCGGGACCAAUUGGGUUUGUGAAAGACAGCUCAAGCACAUUGCAUUCCUGAUCUGAGCAACCUAUUGUUGAUAAAUUCUUGGUUUCAUUUUCAUCUUCCAAGGAAGACUGAUAUAAUUUGUCACGCGACCAAUAACGAAGAAAAAGGUGAUCCUUCGUUAUAGGCUGGUUAUUUUGUUUACCUAACAACCAGCCCAGCCAGUCACUCUCAUCAACUUGUCCCGAUUUUCUACAAUGGAUAACCGCUCUACAGAUGAUAACCUCCUCAUCCCUAGAAGCAUCAUCAUUGACAAAAAUGCAACACCCAGCAACUCCAAUCCAUUGACAAUCAUUUUGAUUAUUGAGAGGUAGAGGUAUCUUAAUUGAAGAGCCACCUGUCUGCCGGCUAAACCAUUCUGGGAUUUCACUUCCAGGCAUAAUAACAUCAAAUAUUUUUUUUGAAUUCGCAAAUGGCUGCAAAAUAAAACACCAGUCGUUUGGCAACUAGAACCAAAAAUUAUCAAGUAUGAGAUUCUAUAAGCGAAAAAUAAGAGAGAUCAAUUCACCUUGAGAUGUUUUUUCAGCAAUGUUAAUGCAUUGAUGUUCUCUGCCAAUCUAUAGCAGUUAACCGCUUUCAUGAAAGUCGAACCCACUAAAUUGGUUACAUCCAACGGAUUUGCAAGUUCAACUACUUCAAGCGAAGAACAACCAUCUAACCGCACAUCUUCAAUACUUGUUAGAAGCUCAGGCACCGAUUUAAGCUCCUUGCAAUUUGACAAUCGAAGGGUUUUAAGCUUGGAAAGUGUAGUAAGAGCUGAAGGAAUGCCAAUGAAAUUGUUACCACUAAGAUCAAGUAAUAUCAAAGAGGAUAGACCAUAAAUAUCACUUGGAAUAUCUGCUUCACAAAGAUUGCGAACAUUGCAAUUUGACAAUCCGAGAUAUUGAAGCUUGGAGAGUCGCAUAAGAGACACGGGUAUGUUGCUGAAACUGUUACCACUAAGAUCAAGUUUUUUCAAAGAGGAUAAACAAGAAAUAUCAUUAGGAAUGUCUCCUUCCCGAAGAUUGCUAUCCCUUAGAUUCAACUCUCUUAAACUGGACAAGGAAGGCAACAUCGGAGCCAUGGAAUUCAUCCUUCCUCUAUGGAUUACCUUGAAAAGAGAAGAAAGAUUUCUUUGUAACUUAGAUGGUCCCUUGCAUCCAUUGAAAGACAAAACUUUAAGAUUUUUCAAUUGAAAAAUGAAGGGUGGUAGUUUUGCUAUAGCUGUUUCACUUAAGUCAAGCUCUUCCAAAAAUUCUAAUUGCUGUAAACUCUCUGGCAAAUUUUCAACUUUAUAACAGCCAGAAAGAUCAAGACUUUUUAGACAUUCCAUUUUCCCAUCAAUCUCUGGAAACCUUACCAGAUUUGAACAACCCGAAAGAAUUAAUGUUUCAAGAGAUUCCAUUCCAAUUUUGGUUGGAAGACUCCUAAGACUUCUACAACCUCUUAAAUUCAAAAGUUUAAGGCUCUUAGAACUCCGAUUGAUGGAUGAACAUGCGCUAAUCUGGUACAACCCUCCAAAAUCAAAACUUCGAGAUAUGUGGCUGUUGUGAAGUCUGGUGUCUUGAUCAGGUUUUGGGACCCUUCAAGAUUGACCAUUUUCAAUUUAUACAAGGGCUGUUGAAAACAAUAAUAAAUUAGAAAGAAAGAUAAAAGGCUAAUUUUUUGUUGUUAUUUUUCUAUCAUAAUAAAAUUUUAAUCAUUCAACUUAAAACAAACUAAAACACAAGGAUGGGAUGAAUUAAUUCUUACUCUAUUUCCCUUCCAUAGUUGUUCAAUGCAACUGUAUGGCAAGAUAAGUGCAACAAGGUUAUCCGGUUUGAAGCUUGAAGGUAAUGAUCUUAAAGGACAUCCUUUCCAAUCUAAAAGUCGUAACUCAUUAGAAAUAUAUUUGAGAUCAUAACAAUUCGAGAGGCAAAGGACUUUAAGUAAUCUCAACUUUUUCAUCUUUAAGAAGGCAUCGACAUUCAAAUUGAGCAUCUUGUUCGACUCCCUGAUAAGCAUGGGCAGAACAAAGAGGAGAUUCAAGAUAUAGAAAACAAAUUCUCUACAAUUAUGUUGCUUCAGCAACCUUUUUUUCUUGAAAUAGACAUGUCCAACACUUAUGUCUGACUCAUAGGUAUAAAAAUAUGAUAUUUCAAAGACUCUUCAAAGAUAUAAAACACUUAAAAAUAAAAACGAACAUACUUAAGUUAAACACAAACUCAUUCUUAACAGCUACAUCUGAGUUCAAAUAACGUAGCUUGAAAGAAUUGGAACUAAUAUUCACCAACACAUCACUAACUCUUUUUCUUUUUUAAAAAGAUUUAAGCAUUGAAAACUUUGCCAAUGCUUUUUAAUUUCUUACUUUUUACAAAAAUAAAAAUAACAACAAUACUAAUAAUAUGCAUAGAUACCUGUUUAUAUAUGUUCUCCUACCUCUUAAUAUCGAUGAUCACACCUUCAAUCACUUCUGUAGCCUAAACAUCAAGAGUAAAACAUAAAAAGACAGAAAAAUAAUGGUUUUAAACCAUAUAAUCAAAUUUGUGAAAACUUACAUUUAUAUUUAUCUAGCGUGUUCAAAAUUAUACAUAUAUUUAGGAAUAUAAUAAAUAGAUGUAUUCUUGAUUAUACAUAUUGCAUAAGUCUUAUUAAUACUUAUAAUCAACAAAAAGAUUUAAAAAGACAUAUAUUUAGAAAGAUAAUGAACUGGUCUAUUCGUUUUACUCAAUCAAGCAUUUAAAACAUAACUUCAAAAAUAUGAAGUUGUAAAAAUGAGUUAUAGACAUUUUUUCACCAGUUAUUCUUGACAAUGUAAAUAGAUAAUUUAUUUAAAUCAAUAAAUAUAUACAAAGAAGUGGUUAUAAUAAUGUAUGUUAUGCCUAAUGAAACUCCCAAACUGUCCUGUAAGGUCCAUGUGUUUUGUACCCAAAAACAUAAUAGUUUGGGAUAAAUGGAAUGACUGCAAGAUUCAAAUUGAACAUAAAAUCUACUGAAUGUCACCUCUUAAAACUUAAUCUUAACCAAUUGAAUUCAACCCGGAAUAUAUAUAAUGCAAUUUCAAUGUAAUGACUUACACUGUUUCUUGUUAGCACAUGAUAAACAUCUCUUUCCUUCCACAACCUGCAACGUUUUCCAGGUUCAUCGAUAGAUUUUUCCCUAACAAUUCUUUUUCCCAUUUCUUGUAUCAAGUUAUGCAUCCACAAAUACUUGCCUUCAUGAACCUUUAUGAGAGAUUUCUUAAUGAGAAUAUCUAUUCCAAUAUCUGAGAAAAACUCACAACCAUCCAAUACUUUCGAUACAAAGUCUUUCUCCUCCCCGUUGAAGAAGCAUGCUAUGUCUAGAAAUAUAUUCUUCUCCUUUUCUUCCAAUCCAUCAAAGCUGAUUCGAAGUCUAUCGAGAAUUUCUUUGUUAGAAUCUCUUUUAAGCCUUUCGACUACACUUCUCCAUUGAGCUACAUCUCUACUGCACAAAAAAGAACCAAAAACUUCAAGAGCUAAAGGGAGACCAUCAGCAUAACGUACAACAUGUUCAGAAAGCUCAAUGAAAUCAUCUUUUGGCACUGUAUCACUAUGAAAAGCUUUCAAAUUGAAAAGUCUAAGUGCAUCGUCAGGAUUCAAUGUUGUAGGUUUAUACACACCAUCGACUCCGUAAGAUAGGAGUAAAUGUUCAUCUCUUGUUGUUACAACGAUUCGACUCCCUAAACCGAACCAAUUACGCCUUCCAACCAAGCAUUUCAAGUGUUGUAUGUUAUCAACAUCAUCAAGAACAACAAGAACCUUUUUACCAGACAACCUGUGGCUAAUUAUGGCAUUCCCUUCAUGAACAUUGAAAAAAUUGAAGCAUUCAUCCGGAAAGAUUUGAGAAAGAAGUUGUUUCUGUAAAGAAACAAGUCCAUGUUUGUUUGAAACUUCUCGAAUAUCAGCAAGAAAGCAUUUACCUUGAAAAUGAGCUAACAUUUGAGUGUAAGCAACCCUUGCAAGAGUUGUUUUACCGAUGCCACCCAUUCCGCAAAUUCCUAUAAUGCGGACAUCGUCUUCCCCAAUAUUUAUUUUCGAAUACAACUCCUCCAAAUGUAAACUAAUUCCAACCAACUCAUCAUGAACAAUUGGAUAUGUCUCACAUAAUUUGGCUGAUAUCUUCCUAACAAUGUCUCCGAUAAACUCUGAUUCAUUCCUACAAUGAAAUAAAAUUUAAUUCUUUCAAAUAAUAUUUUGUUGAUAUCUUUCAAACGCUCUUUUUUUUCUAUUUCAAUGAACAAUAUAGUUUAGAAGCAAACAAAAAGCAAGAUAACACAACUUGUUCUUUAGUAGAAAAAUUAAACUUUACAAUUAAACACAUGUAAUCCAAAGAAUAACAAUUUUGUAGUCAUUAAAACUAUAAAAGAAAGAAUACCUGUUAUUUAAAUGCCAUCCCCUGAUGCUAGCCACUUCAGUCAAAGCCUUUCGCCACCUUUGGAUCUUGUCUUUAUCUUCCUUGCAUCUCUCUUCGUGGUUGGCAAAGGCUUCAUCAACUUUACCUUUCUGAUUUUUAAAAUCAGAUGGAUCAACAUUGUAAAAAAUUGGAAACACUUUAUGACCAUUUUUUCUUUGUUCAACAAUCUCAGCAAGCUCCUCCAAGCAAUAACCUGAAAAGCCAUAAGUUCCCGAGAAAACGAUUACCGAGCACCAUGAUUGCUGAACUGCUUUGAGAAUUCCUGGUCUGAUCUCUUCACUCGCCUCCAGCUUUGGAUCAUCUUUGAAAGUGACAAUCCCACUUCUCCUUAGAGCAUGAUAGAGAUGAUCCGUGAAGUUCCUGCGGGUAUCUUCACCUCUAAAACUCAAGAAAACAUCAUAUUCCUUCCUAGAAAUGGAUGAGUGAAUUGAAGCUAACGACAUCAUGACAAUGUAUGAGAAGAAAUUUGCCGUUUAAAAUCAGAGAACAAAACGCCCAAUACCCAGAAAGGAACCAGCAACAAUUAGUAUUUAUAAGCAACAAGAAAGAGAAAAACAGUUCAAAUUUCUAGGGAAGAAUUAAGUUUUGUAAGCAAAAGUUCUCAAUACAUUUCUCACCUUCCCUUUUUCCAAGUAAAAACGCGUAGCAGUAGAAAGUGGGGUCAUAGACGAAAUAUGAUGGGUUUUUCCACGAAGAAACCAAGAAGGCGAGAGUGGACACAGUGGAGCCUACUUUAAUUGAAGUGUUUGACGGUUUGUCGUUUUUUUAUUACAAACAAUAAUAAGUGAAGAUACAAUAUUCUUCCGUAUUAAAAAACAAUAAAAAAUUAAAUAUCUUUUAUAGAAAUUAUUUUAUGCGGAUCAUAUCAUUUAUGGUCAUUUUUUUUUGUCAUUGGCACGUAAUUUUAGUAACUGUUUAUCCUAAACUCCGAAUUCAAAUUCCGACUCCUAAAUUAUAAACCUAAACUUAAAUUUGAAACCCUGAACCUCAAACCCGAACAUGAACUCUGAACCCCAAAUUGAAAACUUGUCUAAAGUUCAAGAUUUUUAAUUUGAGGUUUAGAGUUCAUAAUUCGAGUGUGAGUUCAAGGUUCAAUAUUUAAAUUUAUGGUUUAGAGUUCAGGGUUUAAAGUUUAAGUUCAAGGUUGUGGAUUUUGAGUUUAAGAUUCAGUGUUUUAAGUUUGGAGUUCAGGGUUCAUUGUUCAAGGUAAAAAAAUUAUCAAAAUUAUAUGUCAAUAACAUUAAAAAAUUACUGAAAUAUUAUUACAUAAUUAGGAAGUGACCUUGAAUGAUAUGGUGGAAAGUAGAGGUGCUCAUGGGCUGGGCCGCCCGGCCCGUUCCGAUAGCCCGCCUGAAAUAUGGGAGGGUUUGGGUAAAAAUAUAGGCCCGAAAUAUGGGCUUGGGUAAAAAAACGAGGCCUGUUUAGAAAACGGGCCGAGCCUCGGGCACAACUUUUUUGGCCCGACCCAGCCCGGCCCGAUAUAAUAAAUAUAUUUAUUUUUUAACUUUUUAAUUUUUUUAAUUUUAAAAAUAUUUUAAAAAUACUUUUUUUAAUUUUAAAAUAUUUCUAAAAUACUUUUUUUAAUUUUUAAAAUAAAAUUUUAAUAUUUAUUAAAAAAUGGGCCGGGCCCGGGCUUAUGAUUUUUUCCCGGGCCGGGCCUGGGCAAAAUUUUAUGCUUCGGGCCGGGCCGAGCCAAGCCCGAGCCUAGGACCCGGGUCAAAAAAAUUUUAUGGGCCCGGCCAGAACCCGACCCGGCCCAUGAGCACCUCUAGUGGAAAGGAUCCAUAAAAUAAUUUCAAAUCUUUUAAAGAUGGCAAAACCCGAACCGUCUAAUGAUUCAAAACUAAUGCUAAAAAAAACUGGUCCAAAAAAACAGAUUGAAUGACUAAUUGAACCGAUUUUUAUUAUUUUAAUAAUUUAUUUAAUUAAACCAUGGAACCGAAAAUUAUUGGUCUAAUCAAUUCAACCUUCAGAGUAAUUCAGAAAAUCUUUCAUUUUGCAGGUUUCUGUAGAGACCAAAGUGAAAAGCAGAUAGUAUCACAAUUUCAAUGCAGGCGUGAGAGGAUUAAUUAUUUUAACAUCGCAAUCAAAUCAUUUUCACCAAUAAUCAUUGCAUGAACAUUUGCCAUCAACAAAGUGAUGGAAACAGUUAGCAUCUCUUACGAUAAUCUCCCUCUUUACCACCUUUGAUAUAUAUUUAGUCACUGUAUGGCAAUCACCACAUACACGGAGGUUCUUACUGAUCCUUAUCAAGCUUCUUGCCGGUGUAUGUAAAAGUCCGAAAGCAAUAGCUAACCUCUCACUAUGCCUCCACAGUGAUUUGAUCUUCAUUGCCUCAUCUACGUCGCGAAGAACACAACUUGUAUCCGGUACAUAACCUAAAGCUUCAAGUUCUGAUUUCAAGUUCUCAAGAAUCCGAUCGAUUUCAACCGAGUUCGGAUGUGAAUCUUCACCAGCGAAAAACGCAUGGAGCUGUUUUCCAACUUCAAUCAGGCUGUAUCCUGGUGUUUUUUUCAGUCCGUGUCCCCUCAUGAGACCUCGAAUAUGAUCUACCGCAUCCCAUCUCCUUGCUUCAGCAUAUAUGUUUGAUAACAUGAUGUAAAUACCCGGGUUUUGUUGAAGUCAGCUCUCAUGCAGCAACAAAGGUGGCCAUGCAAGGAACGUGCUUCAAGCAGCAAACUGGUGUAGCAAGCUAAAGCCAUUUUUGGUUCAUUUAGUUUCUUUAAAUGAAUGUUUUGUAUUUAGUUAGGAUCAAAUUUAGUUGGUAGCUGCAUUUUGAUGUAAUUAGGUGAUGAAUGACAAGUUUAGGUAGCUGUUUAUGUAUUCAAACAAGUUUACCAAGUUACUAGGCAAGUUAGUGGUGUUAGGUGUGUUAUUAGGUGGUAACUUGUUUGUUUUGUUGUUGUUAUCUCAUAUAUGUAUUGGCAUUAUGCCUUCUAAAAUUUGCAAUGAAAAAUCAGCUCAUCAUUCAUUAAAAUCUCUCUCUUUCUUUACUGUUUUCCAUUGCAAAUUUUUUUUCUUUCUUCUUCGGUUGUUUCUGCUCCAAGUCUCGAGGCUUGCUUACCAAGCAAAGCUUGAAAAUCAGCUUGCUGCUGCCUCUUGCACCAACAAUUGGUAUCUAGAGCCCUUGUCUCAGUGGACCUGUUGCUUAAAAUCAAGGAACAUGAUGGCUUCUUCAGGAUUUUCACCAGCAGCCCCACCAGUCUUCAAUAGAGAAGGCUUUCACAUAUGGCUGGUCAAGAUGAAGACUUACCUGCAGGCCUUUGAUCUGUGGGAAGUUGUCAACAUAGAUGCUGAGCCAGCACCACUGAGGGCCAACCCCACAGUAGCUCAGAUCAGACAACAUGAUAAUGAGAGGACCAAAAGGCACAAAGCCAUGUCCUGCAUCCAGAACUGUGUGUCAGAUGUUAUCUUCACUAGAAUUAUGGCCUGUGAGACUCCAAAACAGGCCUGGGACAAGCUUAAGGAUGAGUUUCAAGGCACUGAGAGGACAAGGCAACAGCAACUAUUGAAUUUGAGAAGGGAUUUCGAGAAUCUGAAGAUGAAGGAAGAAGAAACAGUGAAGCAGUAUGCAGAUAGAAUCAUGGCAGUGGUUAACAGCAUAAGGCUCCUUGGUGAGCACUUUGAUGAGGCAAGAAUUGUGGAGAAAGUCCUCUCCACUUUGCCUGAGAGAUAUGAGGCAAAGAUAUCCUCCUUAGAGGACUCAAGAGAUCUUCCUAGCAUCUCUUUGACUGAGCUAAUUAACACCUUCUAUGCUCAGGAACAAAGGAGAGCUAGCAGAUCUGAAGAUCACCAGGAAGGUGCAUUUCAAGCCAAGGCCAGAGAAGUCUUGAGCACAAAUGCUCAAAAAGGCAAAAAGCCUUGGAAAAGCAGGCCUAAGCCUAAUGCUGCAAGGAGCAAUGACCAGCCCUGCAGAUAUUGCAAGAGGUCAGGACAUUCAGAGGAUAGAUGCUGGUUUAGGCCAGAUGCAGUAUGUCAACACUGCAAGAAGAAAGGCCAUGUUGAAAGAUUCUGCAAAAACAGAACCAAGCCAAGGCAGAACCAAUUUCAGCAGCCAAAAGUUGAAGCUCGAGUGGCUGAAGACAGUAGUGACCAAGAAGAGCAGGUCUUUGCUGUUUCUUGCAUAGCUACUGAGAAGAAAUCUUCAAAAGGAUGGUUAUUGGACAGUGGUUGCACCAACCACAUGUCACCUGAUACCUCUUUGUUUAAAACCUUGGAUAAAAGUUGCAAAACCAAGGUCAAGGUUGGAAAUGGUCAGUUUAUAAGAGUUGAAGGAAGAGGAGAGGUGCUGAUAUGUACUCCUACAGGCAACAAAGUUAUUUUAAAUGUCUUGCUGGUACCUGAAAUUGACAGAAACCUUCUCAGCAUAGCUCAAUUGCUUGAGAAAGGCUAUUCUGUUGUGUUUAAGGACAAACAGUGCCACAUUGCUGAUCCCAGUGGAUCAAGCCUUAUGACAGUCACAAUGACUGAUAAAUGCUUUGAGGUUCAUUGGCCAAAUGACUCAAAGUCAGCAUACACAGCCUCCACAGAUGAUUCCAAGCUCUGGCAUCAAAGGCUUGGGCAUGCCAACUUCAGGUCAAUGGCUCGAUUGGCCAAAGAAGGCUUGGCAGAGAACUUCACCAACUCAGUAGAGCAUGAUGAUGUGUGUGAAGUGUGCCAGAUAGGAAAACAGGCAAGACUACCAUUCCCAACAAACUCAGCAUGGAGAGCCACUGAAAGCUGGUGCACUCUGAUGUAUGUGGACCUAUGAGGAUAGAAUCACUCAGCAAUAACAGGUAUUUCAUCCUCUUCAUUGAUGAUUUUACAAGGUUUUGCUGGAUUUUCUUCUUGAAACAUAAGUCUGAGGUAGCUCAAGUGUUUGUGAAGUUUAAAACUGCUGUAGAAACAGAAACAUGUUGCAAGCUGAAAUCAAUAAGGAUAGACAAUGGCACUGAGUACACUUCAGCUCAGUUCCAAGCCAUUUGCAAUGAUGCUGGCAUCAAACAUCAGCUUACAAAUGUUUACACACCUCAGCAGAAUGGGGUAGCUAAAAGAAAGAACAGAAGUCUGAUGGAUAUGGCUAGAUGUCUCCUGUUCGAGAAGAAACUGCCCAAUACCAUGUGGGCUGAGGCAGUAAACACUGCUGUUUACCUUCAAAAUAGGCUUCCUACCAAAUCUCUUGCAUCCAAGACACCUUUCGAGGCUUGGUUUGGAUUCAAGCCUUCCUUGGCACACCUAAAAGUGUUUGGUUGCCUGUGUUAUGCACAAAUACCAGCAGCAAAGAGAGACAAGCUCUCUAAAAGGGCUCAACCAGGUGUCUUAGUAGGCUACAGCUCAGUUAAGAAGGGCUACAGGGUGCUGGAUCCCUUGACAAACAAAGUCCAAGUGAGCAGAGAUGUCAUCUUUGAUGAAAAAGCUUGCUGGAAUUGGGAAAAGAGUGAACCAGAAGCUGCUUCAGAAGACCUGGUGCCUGUAAGAGGCACAAGGUCUUUGGAUGAAGUUUAUGAAAAGGCACAGGUUGCUAUAGCUGAACCUAGCAGUUUUGAAGAGGCUGAGGCAGAUGAAGGUUGGAAACAGGCUAUGGCUGAUGAGAUCAACAUGAUUGAGAAGAACCAUACAUGGGAGUUGGUUGAAAAGCCUGCCAACAGAAAGACCAUUGGUGUAAAAUGGGUCUAUCGAGUGAAGCACAAUGCAGAUGGAAGUUUGAACAAGCUAAAGGCCAAGCUAGUUGUGAAGGGCUUCAGUCAAAGGUAUGGUCUGGACUACUUGGAAACAUUUGCUCCAGUAGCCAGACUCGAUACAAUCAGAUUGCUAGUUGCUGUAGCUGCUCAGAACCAGUGGACAAUCCAUCAAAUGGAUGUCAAGUCAGCAUUCCUCAAUAGAUUCUUGGAAGAGGAGAUAUACAUUGAACAACCUCCAGGUUUCAUAAUGUCUGGAAAGGAACAUUUGGUGUACAGGCUAAGAAAAGCCUUGUAUGGCCUAAAACAGGCUCCUCGAGCCUGGUAUACUCGAAUUGACUCAUAUCUGGUCAGUUUGGGAUUUGAAAGAAGUGCUAGUGAGCCAACACUUUAUGUUAAAAGAAAUCGAGGUGAAACACAGCUCAUUGUGUCACUCUAUGUUGAUGAUCUUCUAGUGACUGGAGGAGACAAAUUCAUGCUGGCUGAUUUCAAAACAAAAAUGAAAGAGAUGUUUGAAAUGUCAGACCUGGGAUUGAUGACAUACUUCCUAAGAUUGGAAGUUAAUCAAGCAGAAGGAGGAAUCUUCUUGAGACAAAAAUAAUUUGCCUUGAAAGUUCUAGCCAAGUUCUCAAUGGAGAAUUGUAAACCAACCAGCACUCCUAUGGCUGUUGGCAUGAAGCUAUCGAGCCAAGAAGAUUAUGAAUCUGUUUGUGAAACUGACUACAGAAGCCUGUUGGUUGUUUGCUGUAUUUGACAGCAACAAGACCGGAUAUUCUGUUUGCUGUGAGCAUGCUAUCAAGAUUCAUGCACUGCUGUAACCAGCAGCAUUAUAAAGCUGGAAAACGAGUGCUAAGAUACAUCAAAGGCACCUUAAGCCAUGGAAUACAUUUCAGUAGGGCUGAUGAAUUGAAAUUGAUUGGCUACACUGACAGCGAUUGGGCUAGUUCAAAAGAUGAUAUGAAGAGCACUUCUGGUUAUGCCUUUACACUAGGCUCAGCUAUGAUUUGUUGGAGUUCAAGAAAACAAACGAUGGUGGCUCAGUCUACAGCUGAAGCUGAGUAUGUAGCAGCUGCUAAUGCAGUUAAUCAAGCUAUAUGGUUAAGGAAAAUUUUGAAUGAUUUGAAUCUACAGCAGAAUGAAGCAACUAUGAUACAUUGUGACAAUAAGUCAGCAGUUGCUAUUGCUAAAAAUCCUAUCUUCCAUGGCAGGACAAAGCAUUUCAAUAUAAAACUGCAUGUGAUAAGAGAAAUGGAGCAAGCUCGAGAAAUCGAGCUGAUUCACUGUAGCUUUGAGAAUUAGAUUGCUGAUAUCUUUACAAAGUCACUUGGUGUGUCAAGAUUUCUAAAUUUAAGAAAGCUACUAGGAGUCUGCUGCAAAGAAGUUGAGGAGGAGUGUUGAAGUCAGCUCUCAUGCAGCAACAAAGGUGGCCAUGCAAGGAACGUGCUUCAAGCAGCAAACUGGUGCAGCAAGCUGAAGCCAUUUUUGGUUCAUUUAGUUUCUUUAAAUGAAUGUUUUGUAUUUAGUUAGGAUCAAAUUUAGUUGGUAGCUGCAUCUUGAUGUAAUUAGGUGAUGAAUGACAAGUUUAGGUAGCUGUUUAUGUAUUCAAACAAGUUUACCAAGUUACUAGGCAAGUUAGUGGUGUUAGGUGUGUUAUUAGGUGGUAACUUGUUUGUUUUGUUGUUGUUAUCUCAUAUAUGUAUUGGCAUUAUGCCUUCUAAAAUUUGCAAUGAAAAAUUAGCUCAUCAUUCAUUAAAAUCUCUCUCUUUCUUUACUGUUUUUCCAUUGCAAAUUUUUUUUAUUUCUUCUUCGGUUGUUUCUGCUCCAAGUCUCGAGGCUUGCUUACCAAGCAAAGCUUGAAAAUCAGCUUGCAGCUGCCUCUUGCACCAACAGGUUUGUUGCGUCCAAACUUAAUAAAUAGUCUGCAGCUUUUAUGCCGAUAUCAAUGUUCUUGUGCAUUCUACAUCCAUUUAUGCCUCCUAGAUUCUGUUAAUAGCAAAGGUACUGUAUAAGCUACUACUCAGUUUGUACAUUACUCUUGAAAUACACCCUUUAUAUCAGAUGAAUUGGAAAUUAGAAGUAAACUUACGACAUAUAUUACCCUUUUUUUGUUUUGUUGGAAUGUUUUGGCUGAUAAAUAAUAUACUUCAUGCAAUCUCCUUUAUCAGAAAAGAAAAGAGUGGUAUAAAUAAGCUGUUAUUCCAUGUUGGUAUAACUAUUGUAGUAUUUGGUAUAAGCUGCAAUUUCAAGAGGAUUUUACAAGAAAAAUUGUGAGAUUAUUAUGAUUGAUUUAAAAGUGAAACAAUUAGAUAAAUUACUACCUCCUUUUUUUUUGCUUAUAAAUUCUUGAUGAUUUGCCAUAUAUUAUGAAAGAUGAUAAACGGAGAACUUGUAUUUGUAGGAGCAACGAAGGAAAUUCAAUUUUAUUGUCUAUAUAAAAGGAAUCAUAUUUCGAUAAGGAAAUCAUCAUUCUCCAACUUGAAUGAAAACUACAAUGAAUAUAUAUAUAUAUACAAAGGCAAAAGAGCUCGUAGGUUGAAAGUGAAACAGAGCUUCAGUAACAAAAUUUGACUCAAAUUCUGAAAAAAAAAUCUAUAAAAUUUAUUGUUUUUGGUUUCUCUCCAACUUAUCAGAAUCAUUCAACUUUUUAUUUGCAAUGCGAAACAUUUGAGAUAUUAGAAGCAUGUCCACAAACACUUUACUCUUACAAUCCAACUUCACAUUUUCCUUGAAAAUUUGAAAACAUAUCACGUGAAGCCAUGGUGAUUUUCAAAUAGAAAGAAAUCAUAGAUACUAGACGCACAAGUAUCCCAUAGCUUUUCGUUGCUUUUCCUGCUGGUAGGAACUAAUCAUUUUCUUAACCUUUGUUCCUCUAAAAUUUUUCUCCUUUCCAGCAAGACACUAUUAGGAAUGUUAACACCAGAUGGUGGUGGAAUAUUUCGAGGCUGUAAUAUUUUUUGCUGUUGAAAACAUGGUAAAGAAUCUAUUUGUACCAUCAAACAAAAACAUGGGAAAAAGAGAAACCUAUAAAAUUAACAAAAUAGGAGAAAAUAUCUUGAAAAGGCUAGUCAAGUAUUAUUGCUUCUUUUCUGAUUAGCCCAUUAUAAAAUUGAAAGUUUUUUGCAUCCGUUUCUGCUGCGGCCGUUCUUCCUCUGUUUCCUCGUGGAUAUUGCGUUUUCAUUUUACAAGGGAAGUGCUACCUGCGGAUCCAUCGUUGUCAGGAAAGCGAUGAUGGAUAUGGUCAAAGUUUGGAGAAGAUUGAGUGGUAUGGCACUGCAGCUCUUUUAUUUUUUCCAAAUCUUUCUCAUACAUUAUUCUAACACCACACUUCUUCACCUUAAGGGAAGGAUAACCAAGUGUGCCUUCGAAAGACAUCUCGAAAGACAUCUCAUCGCAUUCAUGAUCAGAGCAAUCCAUUGUCCAUAAAUUAUUGGUUUCCCAUUCACCACAUUUAUUCUCGAAGGAUAAUGGAUAUAAUUUAUCACACGAGAAAUAACAAAGAAAUAGGUGGUGCUUUGUUAUGGGCUCCGAAUAUUCUCCACCAAAAGCAAAGAAAUUUGAUGAGAUCUGUUGCGCGGAAGCGUGUAAAAGAGUAAAAUUAUUGUACUAAAAAAUCACACUAAGUUUAAUUCCCAGGAAAGAGAGAUGGAUCACGAGGAUCGCUUAAGUACCAGGUCUUUCCUAGCCAGAAUAUCCCUCUAUCGUAAUUUAAUAGCACAAUAAAUCACUACAAUCACACUCACAAAAUAUGCAAAAUAAACAAUAAAGAACACUAGAAUUUUAACGAGGUUCAGCAAAUUUUGCCUACGUCCUCGGGCACUACCAAAUAUAUUUCACUCCAAAAUACAAGUGAAAGUUUACAAAUAAGGAGAGAGAACAAUUGCCUUAAGUAGAGAAUGGCAAAUGUGGGAUGGAGAAAAUGAGAAAUAGCUAGGCCUAUUUAUAGUUGAAGCUCAAGGAUUAACUUGCAAAGUCCCUAUACAAUUAGGGACCAAAAUUGCAAUUAUCCCAAGCCAAAUUUCAACCCAAAAAUCUGUGCCUUAAAUGCUUAGAUUUUCUGUGCCAAAUUUCUGACACCAUCCAUAUCUUUGAAAAAGUCAAAGAUGGUUGCUAAUAAUCUCCACCUUGAAGAUUUGAUUAGGAUAAUCUUAUCUUCACACAUUCUUUCUGCCUUUGACAACAAUACUUGAUAGUGCCUUCUUCAACUAUUAAACUUGCAGGAUAUUGAUCAAGUUCAAACAAUGUUCGAACUUGAUUGUUGGUACCACCUUGGUCAUCAUAUCUGCGGGAUUAUCUGCAGUCUUAAUCUUCUGUAGACGAAUUUUCCCCUCAUCAAUAAUUUCCCGCACAAAAUGGAAUCGUACGUCGAUAUGCUUUGUACGUGCAUGAUAGACUUGAUUCUUUGCUAAAUGAAUAGCACUUUGACUAUCACAAUACACAUUAAUAUGCUCCUGAACCAAUCCCAAGGUUUUAACCAUACCUUGUAACCAAAUAGCUUCCUUUACAGCCUCUGUUACAGCCAUGUAUUCGGCUUCUGUGGUUGACAACGCAGCUGUAGACUACAGUAUAGACUUCUAACUUAUUGGUCCUCCAGCAAGUGUAAACACAUAACCAGUGGUUGAUCUUCGUUUGUCCAAAUCACCGGCAUAGUCAGAAUCAACGUACCCAAUAAUACCUUUACCAAGUGUAGUGUCCUGCUUGAACAGUAAUCCAACAUCCACGGUCUUCAGAAUAUACAGUAGAAUCCAUUUCACAGCUUGCCAAUGUCCUUUUCCAGGACUAUGCAUAUACCUACUCACUAUACUAACUGCCUGUGAAAUGUCGGGUCUUUUACAUACCAUUGCAUACAUCAAGCUACCCACUGCAUUAGAAUAUGGAACUUGUAACAUGUAUUCUCGUUCCGUAUUUGUCGAAGGAGAUAGUUGUGCAGAAAGCUUGAAAUGAGAAGCCAACGGCGUACUUACAGGUUUGGUCUGCUCGUUCAUGCCAAACUGCUGUAGUACUUUCUUCAAAUACUGCUUCUGAGACAAACUAACUCUGCCUUAAGCUCUAUCUCUACAUAUUUCCAUACCAAGAAUCUUCUUAGCUUCACCUAGAUCUUUCAUCUAAAACUCAAGAUUGAGUUCAGUCUUCAAUCUCUCAAUCUCAACUUUGCUCUUAGAUGCUAUCAGCAUAUCAUCAACAUAUAAGAGAAAGUAUAUGAAAGUUCCUACUUGUAGCUUCUGAAAAUACACGCAAUGAUCAAAUUUACUUCUUGUGUACCUUUGCCCUUUCAUGAACUGAUCAAAUCGCUUGUACCACUGCCUCGGAGAUUGUUUCAAUCCAUAAAGUGACUUUGUCAGUUUGCAAACCCAAUUUUCUUUAUCAGCAACCUUGAAUCCAUCAGGCUGAGUCAUAUAGAUUUUCUCUUCCAAAUCACCGUGUAAAAAAGCUGUCUUCACAUCAAGCUGAACUAGUUCAAGGUCAUAUUGCGCAACCAAGGCUAGCAAAAUCCGAAUAGACGAAUGCUUCACAACUGGAGAAAACACUUCAUUGUAGUCUAUGCCUUCUUUCUGAGCGUAACCCUUUGCUACCAAUCUAGCCUUGUAUCGAAUUUCAUUUUUACCAGGAAAUCCUUCCUUUUUUGCAUAUACCCAUUUGCAUCCAAUUGCCUUCUUUCCCUUGGGCAGUGUCACCAACUCCCAAGUCCUAUUUUUAUGAAGAGACUGCAUUUCUUCAUUCAUAGCUUGCUUCCACUUUACACCAUCAGGGUUACUUAUUGCUUCUGUGUAUGUAGAAGGAACAUCAUCAUCUGCAAUUAGAAGUGCAUAGGCCACUAUAUCACCAAAGCGAGCAGGCCUACGAAUCUCUCUUCUUGGCCUCUUAUAUGCAAUUGAAUCUUGUUGCUGUACAAGUUCUUGGGUCGAAACUUCUUCAUCAUUUGUUUCUUCAAUGUUAGCUGGAUCAUCAUUAACCUUUUCAAGCUCCACCUGCUGCAAAGUACUACUGGUUUUGUCAUCCUUUUGUGAAUCCUUGUUCUUCAUUAUGGUUGAUUCAUCAAAAGUCACAUCUCUACUGAAAACAAUCUUCCUUGUAUCAGGACACCAGAGACGGUAUCCUUUUACUCCACUAGUUAUACCCAUGAAUAAUGCUUUCUUUGCUCUUUGGUCUAACUUAGAUUCUUUUACAUGAUAUUAUGCAGUGGAACUAAAAACAUGUAAAGAAUCAUAAUCAGUAGCAGGUUUACCAGCCCACAUCUCCAUAGGAGUUUUUCCAUUUAUUGCAGCUGAUGGCAACCGGUUAAUUAGAUGGCAAGCAUAUGUAACUGCCUCAGCCCAAAUUUCCUUGCCCAAUCCAGUAUUGGACAACAUACAUCGAACUUUCUCCAGUAUAGUCCGAUUCAUACGUUCUGCCACCCUAUUCUGCUGUGGUGUAUCUCGAACAGUGAAGUGUUGCACAAUGCCCUCAUCUUGACAUGUAAAAAUGAAUCAUUUUUGUACUCAGUACCAUUAUCUGAUCGAAGUCGUUUGACCUUUCGACUACUCUGAGUCUCCACCAUCUUCUUCCACUUUAGAAAUGCAUCCAAAACUCCACUUUUUCUUUUCAUUAGAUACACCCAUACUUUUCUUGAAUAAUCAUCAACAAAAGUAAUAAAAUAGUGCAUACCUCCCAAAAAAGCCACUUUGGUAGGUCCCCACACGUCACAGUGAACAUAGUCCAGAAUUCUUUUCGUAUUGUGAAUUGCUGAACCAAAUUUUACCCUCGUCUGCUUGCCCAGAACACAAUGUUCACAGAAUUCCAAUUUGCAAGAAUUUACAACUUUCAACAAGCCUUGCUUCGCCAAAGUCUGCAAAGCUUUUUCACCAGCAUGUCCUAAUAGCAUAUGCCAUAACCUGGUAGCCUCUGAAUCUGUAUCUUUCACAAAAGCUGUUGAUAUUGAUCUAAUAACUGUACUUCCAUUUAAAUAGUACAAGUUAUUUCUUCUAGUGCCUUUUAUCACCAUCAAUACCCCAGCUACUACCUUUAGUAAUCCAUCUCUCAAAGUGACUGUGAGCCCUUUAGAUUCUAGGGCCCCUAAUGAGAUGAGAUUUUUCUUCAAGCUAGGUACAUAAUGAACAUCUGUCAAGACUUGGAUUGAGCCGUCGUGAUUCUUCAAUUUGAUUGUACCUACUCCCAUUUUCUUACAAGCACUGUCAUUGCCCAUAAAAACAACUCCACCUUCUAGUUCUUCAAGACUAGAAAACCAGUCCUUAUUAGGACACAUACGGUAAGUACAUCCCGAAUCCAAGAUCCACUCAUCCGUAUGACAUGUCAUUGCCAUGCCAACCAAGCUAAAGUCUGACUCAUCAUCAUGCUCCGCUACACAUGCAUUAGAAAUAGCCUUGCCCUUUUGUAACUUAGGACAAUUCUUUUUCCAAUGCCCUUUCUCACGACAAAAAGCAUAUUCAUCUUUGGCGGGUCUCCCUUUGGACUUGCCUCUUCUACCAGGUUUGUUGCUGUGUGAACGACCUCUUACUGUUAAGACUUCUGCAGUUGUAUCUCUGUGAUCUCUUUUAUCUUUCUUUUGAGUCUCAGAUCUAUACAACGCACUGCAGACUACAUCAAAUGUGGUCGUAUCUUUCCCAAGAAGCACUGUGGUGGUAAGAUGAUCAUAUUCAUCAGGAAGAGAAUUCAACAACAAUAAUGUCUUGUCUUCAUCUUCAAAUUUCUCAUCCAAAUUUAGCAAGUCUGCUAAAAUUUUAUUGAAGGAGUUCACAUGGUCAUUCAUCGACAUACCGGGUGCAUACGUGAACCGAAAAAGUUUCUUUUUCAUGUAAAGCCUAUUUUCAAGACUUUUCGUUAGAAACUUUUCUUCCAGUGUAUCCCACAACUUCUUCGCUAAUGUCUCCCUCAGGACAGAGUACUUCUGCUCUUUGGCCAAACAUAGGCGGAUUGUACCACAUGUCUGUCUAUUGAUCUUGGCCCACUCCUUGUCAUCCCUCUUGUCAGGCUUUUCGUCAAGGGCUAUAUCCAACUCUUGCUAACAUAAGACAUCCAGGAUCUCACACUGCCACAUACCAAAAUUAUUAGCACCAUCAAAUUUCUCUACUUCAAAUUUUGCAUUGGUCACGGUAGUCUUUGUUGAUGACGAUGCCUCUGCCAUUCUUCUCCUCAACCCCAACUACUGUAUAUGUGAACAGUACCGUCUACGUGAAUAGUGCCAUGGAUGAACAACACCGUAUACGUAAAUAGUAUCGUAAACGGUCGUAUUCCCCAAGUACGAAUCUAGCUCGGAUACCAAUUAUUGCACGGAAGCAUGUAAAAGAGUAAAAUUAUUGUACUAAAAAAUCACACUAAGUUCAAUUCCCAGGAAAGAGAGGUGGAUCACGAGGAUCACUUAAGUACCAGGUCUUUCCUAGCCAGAAUAUCCCUCUAUCGUAAUUUAAUAGUACAAUAAAUCACUACAAUCACACUCGCAAAAUAUGCAAAAUAAAUAAUAAAGAACACUUGAAUUUUAACGAGGUUCAGCAAAUUUUGCCUACGUCCUCAGGCACUACCAAAUAUAUUUCACUCCAAAAUACAAGUGAAAGUUUACAAAUAAGGAGAGAGAACAAUUGCCUUAAGUAGAGAAUGGCAAAUGUGGGAUGGAAAAAAUGAGAAAUAGCUAGGCCUAUUUAUAGUUGAAGCUCAAGGAUUAACUUGCAAAGUCCCUAUACAAUUAGGGACCAAAAUUGUAAUUAUCCCAAGCCAAAUUUCAACCCAAAAAUCUGUGCCUUAAAUGCUUAGAUUUUCGGUGCCAAAUUUCUGACACCAUCCAUAUCUUUGAAAAAGUUAAAGAUGGUUGCUAAUAAGAUCCAUCGAUGAUUUCUACCUUGAAAAUCAGAUCCAUUAUAACUAGAUUGUCCAGAAUUUCUACAAUGGAUAUAAGCUCUACCACCGACAACCUUUUCCUCAGGACCACCAUCAUUGACGAAAAUGCAGUAGAAAGCAACUCCAAUCCAUUGACUGUCAUUCUGAAUAUUGAGAGGCAGAGGUAUGUCAAUUACAGAGCCGCCUCUCUGUUGGCUGAACCAUUCUGGGAUUUCAUUUCCAGGUAUAAUAACAUCAAACUCUUUUCUUGAAUUCGCAAAUGCCUGCAAAUUAAAACAUCAGCCUUUCUUGAAUUUGUAAAUGCCUGCAAAAUAAAAUAUCGGUGGUUUUGUAACUCAAACCAUGAAAAAAAGAAAGGAGAGAUUAAUCAACCUUAAUGGCAAUAAGGUGAGCACAAUCAACUAUCCACUCACUUGUCAUUCUUGCUAGAAGCACAUGAAACGAUUCAAGCUCACUGCAAUUUGACACUCCAAGCCUUUGAAGAUUGGAAAGAUGAGUAAGAGACGCAGCUGUUGGAACUUAGAAAAUAGAUUGAAGAAAUUUGACAGAAACUUGAGCUAAAAGGCUCAAAAACUUGUUGAGCAAUCAAGCAAAAAUCAGACAAAGAACUUGAGUAAAGAACCAGAGAACCAAGAAGAAUUUUGAGUGAUAUUUUCAUUACAUUUGAAAUGAGGCAUAUUGCCAUUACAUAAACCAAGCAUUGAGCUGGUCAAAAGAGACAAACUUCACCUAAUCAUCAACCUAACUCCACUAAGUAUCCUUGAAACUUAUAAAACAUGACUUGCACACAUAGGUAAGCUGAUUUAUCAAUCCAUCAGCACCUAAUUACAUCAAGUACAUUAACAACUUGGUUUAAAUCUAAAUAAGUUACAAAACAUCAAUUUGAAAGUAACAAAAGGAAACAGCAGCUUGAACUUCAGCUGCAACUGCAUGGCUCGGGCAGCUCCUCUGCUUCUUGGCUGCAUGCAGGCCAACUUCAACAGCAGCUAUGCUGGUGAAAUUAUUACACUAAGACCAAGAAAUCUCAAUGAGGAAAGACCAGAAAUAUCACUAGGAAUAUCUCCACGAAUAUUGAAUAAGUCGCAAUUUGACAAUGUAAGAUAUUCAAGCCUGGAGAGUCGUGUAAAAGACCCCGAUAUAGUGUUGAAAUUGUUAUCGCUAAGAUCAAGAUUUGUCAAAGAGGAUAGACAAGAUAUAGCACCAGGAAUAUCUCCUUCACCAAGAUUGCAGUCCCUUAGAGUCAACUUUCUUAAUGAACUCAAACCGGAUAAUGAAGGUAGCAUUAGAGCUAUGGAAUUCAUCCUUCCUCUUUGGCUUACCUUGAAAAGAGAAAGGAGAUUUCUUUUUAACUUAGACGGACCCUUGAAUCCACCGAAAGACAAAAUUUUAAGAUUUUUCAAUUGAGAAAUGCAGAAGGGUGGUUCUUUUAUGGCUGUUUCACUUAAGUCAAGCUCUUCCAAAAAUUCUUCUUGCUGCAAAUUCUCUUACAAAUUGUUCGUGUUUAGAACUCGAACUUUGAUGGUUGAUCGAGAGUUUUAAAGCAGAAAGAAGAGACGGAAAGUUUUAAGUAGAAAAAUAAUUGAAGACGUGAAUAUAUUAAUUGAUUUGCACCUCAACUAUUUAAAUACAAAAGUUCAAGCUAAAAAUAGGAAAAAAAAGGUUCUAAAAAAUCUGCUAAAAAUUUGUUAACAUAAUAGCAAACAAAUCAAAAAUCUAAUCUCCUAAAGUCAAGGAGAAUUAUUCAAACUUAAUAACAGAAAAAAAUUUAAAUGGCAGCAAUCUUAAACACAUUAUCUCAACACUCCUCCUUGUUUAGAUGCUGCAAACUCCAAUUAUAUUUCUGUCGAGAGGUCGAUCAACCAACUCCCAAGUUUUGUUUUUCUCGAUCGUCGCAAGCUCCUCCUUCAUUGCAGCCAUCCAAUGUUGACUAUUUUUUGCAUCAUGAUACCCUGCAGGCUCACAAAUAGCCAUGUUACAUCUUUGGUAAAUGUAGGAGAGCAGCCUUGUUCUUCUGACAGGUGCAUCAUCGGCCAAAACAUCUUGCCCUUCAUCUUCAAGCUCUUCUAACGUGCUGCCAAUGGUAAAACGAUUUGGUGCACUAGAAGUUUGGUUCGUCUUGGUUGAGUCUUCCCAAUUCCAUUGCUCAUUUUCAAAAAAAUAAACAUCUCUUCUCACAAUAACACGUCCAGUGUGUGGUUGAAAGACUCUGUAAGCUUUAGAUACGUGCUAUACCUAACAAAAAUGCUAGCUUCUACCUUUUUGUCAAGCUUAUCACACUUGACCUGUGGAAUGUAAGUGAAACAUAGGCAGCCAAACACUCUAAGAAACUUUAACGAAGGUUUGUAACCAUACCAAGCUUCAAAUGGCAUCUGAUCCUUCACAGCUUUUGUUGAAAUCUGAUUUGCAAGAACACAGCAGUGUUUGCAGCUUCUCCCCAAAAGCCUUUUGGAAGAUUCUUCUCAUGAAGCAUACAACGAGUCAUCUCCAUUAUGAAUCUGUUCCUCCUUUCACUGACUCCAUUUGUUGUGGAGUGUAUGGCGCCGUCAACUGAUGCUCAAUUCCAGCCUCUUCACAAAACCUAUUAAAGGUUUUUAAAGUGUACUCCUUGCCAUUAUCAGAUCUUAAAAUCUGAAUCAUGCAUCCACUUUCAUUCUCAACUCUAGCUUUGAAUUUUCAGAACAUAUCAGCAACUUCUGAUUUUUGCUUCAACAAAAAAAUCCAACACAUUCUUGUUAGAUCAUUAACAAAGGCUAUGUAAUAGAGGUUACCAUUUAACGAAGGAGUUCUCUGAGGACCACAAAGAUCAGUAUGAACAAGCUGUAACUUCUUCGAGGCUCUCCAGGCUUGUUUAGGAAAUGUUUGUCUAUGUUGUUUCCCAAAUUUACAAGCUCGACAAUGAGGUAGAUCAUCAUCAAUGUCUGUAAGUCCUUCCACUAGCUUCUUCAACUACAUUUGAAGUAAUCCUCAAUGGUGAAAGUGCCCAAGUCUCUUGUGUCAAGUCUCAGUAGCACUAACUCUGGAUUUAAAAGCCAUUUGCUCAUUUUCCAUUGGAUUAAGAGCAAAACUUUUUCCCUUCAUUUUGACAUUGAACAAGUCUCUGCCAUUAGCAUCUCUAAUCAAGCACUGCUUAUUCUCAAAUAGCACUUUAUAACCUUUAUCUAGCAACUGGCCAACACUUAAGAGAUUUUGAUCAAUUUUAGGUACAAAUAAAACAUCUGAAAUGAAUUUUGUACCUUCAUAGCUUGUAAUAGCUAUUGUGCCUUUUCCCUUGACUUCUAAGUACUCACCAUUUCCAAUCCUCACUCUUUUGACUUCAGUGUUUCUCAAUUCCUCGAAGAGCUCCUUGUCAUACGUCAUGUGAUUUGUGCACCCACUAUCAAUCAACCAGCUCUCACUUGAUUCUCUGCCUGAGAAACAAGUAACCAUGAACAAUUGAUCUUCUUCUUCUUGAUCAACUACCUGUGCAUCUACUUCUUGCACCUGGCCUUUAACCUUGCAAAUCACUGCUUCAUGUCCAAGUUGAUUGCAUUUGGAGCAUUUGGCGUCAGGUCUUUUCCAACAUUUGAAUGGUGGAUGACCUUUCUUCUCACAAUGGCGACAAGGUGGGUAGGAUUUCUUGACACCUCCUUUUUUGAUCUUCUGAUAAUUGCCUGAUGAAUUUUCUCCACUCGUCGAUUGGUUUUAAAAUUUUUCUUCUUUUUAUACCUGUUGUUAUCUUGAUGCUUGACAGGUAAGGCCCCUUCUAUCACUCCCUCUUGCCUCAUAUUCAACUUUACAACAACCAGAAAGAUGAAGAGUUUUUAGAUGUUCCAUUUUCCCAUCAAUCUCUGGAAACCUUGCAAGAUUUGAGCAACCCGAAAGAAUUAAAGUUUCAAGGAAUUCUAUUCCAAUUUUGGUUGAAAGACUCCUAAGACUUGUUCACUCUCUUAAAUUCAAGAGUUUAAGUCUCUUAAGCACUCCAAGUGAAGGAUGAACAUCUACUAAUCUGGUACAACCUUCCAUAAUCAAAACUUCGAGAUUUGGGGCUAUUGUGAAGUCUGGUGUCUUGAUUAGGUUUUUGGACCCUUUAAGGCUGAUUAUUUUCAACUUAUACAAGGGCUGUCCAAAACAAUAACAGAUUAGAGAAAAAACGAAAAACAUAAUAAAAACCCAUUUUUAUUGUUUUUAUUUUUAUCUUAUUCAAAUUUAACUGUUUAUAUUAAAACAAGCUAAAAUACAAGGAUUAGAUGAAUUUAAUUCUUACUCUAUUCCCUUUCCAUAGUUGUUCAAUGCGACUAUAUGGUAAGAUAAGUAUGACAAUAUAUUGAAGGAUAUCCUCUCCAAUCUAAAAGUCGUACCUCAUUAGAAAGAUAUUUGAAAUCCUCACAAUUUGAGAGACAAAACACUCUGAGCAAUCUCAAUUUUUUCAUCUUUGAAAAGACAGCAACACUCAAAUUGAGCAUCUUACUUGAUUCCCUAUAAACCAUGGGGAAAAUAAAAAUAAGCAUUAAAAUAUACAAAAACAUUCAAUACCUAAAAACUAUGUUUCUUCAAUACUAUUUUUAAGGACUUGCAUCUGAUAGCUAUAUCUAACACGCAUUCAAAUAUGGGCAUUGAUAUAUGAUCCUUCAAUAACUCUUUAAAUACAUGAAAAAGCUUUUCAUUUUUUUUAUAUCACACAUAAUAUAUCUAUCUAACACCCACAUUUGACUUCGAAUUACCUAAGCCUUAGAAACUAGAAUUAAAUUUUUGAUUUAUAUUGGUGCAAUAAUAAUGCAUAAUUCUAUUCAUCGUUACUGAACGAAACUAGGACACAUCAUUAAAAAUGAAAUCAAUUAGUUUUAUUUUUAAAAACGUUUGAUGACAUAUUAAAAUCUUGUCCACUAAGAUACACUAUGAGUGCAUCAAAUACAAGCAUUUACUAUUAGAAAGGAUAUAUCUCUAUGUGUUUCUUUUGAAAGAGUCAUGCGUAGCUAGAUAAAUUUUAUAAAUAUAACAUUAAAUAUAAAGCCUUAAAGGCUUUGUCCAUUGAUUCUUAUUGGAUACUUUUACAACUAAUAACAAUAUUAAUAAUACACAUCAUAAAUAUGUACACAUAUUUUUUUACCUUUUAUUGUGAUAAUCAUGCUUUCCAUUAUUUAUGUAACGUAAAAGAAACAAGAAUAGAGAAUAAGACAAAAUAAAUGGUGUAAACGGUAUGAUAAAACUUAUAAAAAAUUGCAUAUAUAUUUAACACUAGCAUAACCUUUUGGUCGCAAUAUAGUAUAUAAAGCAUUUUAAAUAAAGUGAAAUUAAAUAUUAUUUAUAUAAAUCCUUACUAAGAGUUCUAAUCAACAAAAGGAAUUUAUCUCAAAAGCUACUGAAUGUCAUUUUUUAAUGGACUCUCUAUAUAAAUAAAUCCGACUAAGUCUUUUUUUUUUUAUUAAAAAUUCUAUAAAAUGAUAGUAUGUAUAUUUUGUUGAAUGAUUUACCGUGUUUUUUGUUAGGAUAUGACGGACAUCUUUUUUUCUCCCACAAUCUGCAAUGUUUUCCAGGUUCAUCAACAGAUUUUUCCGUAACAAUUUUUCUUCCCAUUUCUUGUAUUAAGCAAUGCAUCCACAAAUGCUUAUGUUCAUCAACUUUUAUGAGAGAUUUCUUAACGAGAACAUCUAUUCCAAUAUUUAAGAAAAACUCACAACCAUCCAAUACUUUCAUUAUAGAAUAUUUCUCCUCUCCAUUGAAGAAGCAUGCUAUAUCUAGAAUCCUCCCUAUUGAAGAAGCAUGCUAUAUCUAGAAAUAUAUUCUUUUCGCUUUCUUCCAAUCCAUCAAAGCUUUCGAAGGCUAUCGAGAAUUUCUUUAUUAGAAUUUCGUUUAAGUCUUUCAAUUGCACUUCUCCAUUGAGCUACAUCUCUACCGCACAAAAAUGAACCCAAAAGUUCAAGAGCUAAGGGGAGACCACCAGCAUAAUGUACAAUACGUUUAGAAAGUUCAAUGAAAUCAUCUUUCAAUGUUGUACCACUACCAAAAGCUUUCCAAUUAAAAAGCCUAAGGGCAUCAUUAGGAUUCAAUGUUGUAGGCUUAUACACAUCAUCAACUCGGUAAGAUCGAAGCAAAUGUCGUUACAAUGAUUCUACUUACUAAACCAAACCAAUCACGAUUUCCAACCAAGCAUUUCAAGUGUUGUAUGUAAUCAACAUCAUCAAGGACUAUAAGAACCUUUUUGCUAGACAACCUGUGGCUAAUUAUGGCAUUCCCUUUGUGAACAUUGAAAAAAUUGAAGUAUUCAUCAAGCAAUAUAUGGGAAAGAAGUUGUUUCUGUAAAAAACCAAGUCCACAUUUAUCUGAAACUUCUCGAACGUCAGCAAGAAAGGUUUUACCUUCAAAAUGAGGUGACAUUUGAGUAUAAGCAAUUCUUGCAAGAGUUGUCUUACCAAUGCCACCCAUUUUGCAAAUUCCUAUAAUACGAACAUCAUCUUCCCCAAUGUCUAUUUUCAAAUACAACUCCUCCAAACGUAAACUAAUUCCAACCAGCUCAUCAUGAACAACAGUACAGGUCUGACAUAAUUUCACUGAUAUCUUCUUAGCAAUAUCUUCGAUAAAUUCUGAUUCAUGCCUACAAGGAAAUAUGAUUUAAUUCUUUUAAAAAAAUUGUUGAAUCAUAAUAUAGUUUGGAGCAAACAAAAAGCAAGAACAAGAAAGCAAGAUCUGUUACCACAUCAAAAUACACAACUUUCUCUUUAGUUGAAAUAUUGAACUUUACAAUUAAAUAUGUAGUAACUGAAAUUGAGUUCGAAUUUUAUAUUUUUUAAAUAUUAUUAUUUCUUAUUUCUGUAAUUUUAUUAUUAAUUAGAAUUAUAGCUAUUAUAUAUUAAUAAAAGGGAAAGGAAAGAGUUAAAAGAGAGAGAGAGAACUAAAACAAGACACACCCAGCGACAGGGUGAGCCAAUAGAAAGACAGAAAUAAAACAAAGAAAUUAACAAUAUUGUUAAUUUCAAUUCAAAAAAUAGUCUAGCGGACCAAAAUACUGUUUCGACAAAACAAAUAGGAAUAUUGGAAAUAAACAUAUAUAUAUAUAUAUAUCAAUUCAAAAAAUAACAAUAUUGUUAGACACUAAAACUAGAAAAUAGAGAAGAAAGAAUGACCUGUUAUUUAAAUGCCAUCCCUGACGUCAGCCACUUCCCUCAAAGCAUUUGGCCACCUUUGGAUCUUUUCUCUAUCGUCCUUAUAUCUCUCUUCAUGUUUUGCAAAGGCUUCUUCAACUUUUCCCUUCUGUUUUCUUAAAUCGGAUAGAUCCACUUAGUAGAAUAUUUUAUGUUCCUUAUCCUUUUUCUGUUUAACAAUCUCAGCAAGCUCCUCCAAGCACCAACUUGAAAAGGCAUAGGUUUUUGAAAUAACGAUGAUCGAGCACCAUGAUUGUUGAAUUGCUUUAAAGAGUUCAGGUGCGAUCUCUUCCCCGGCCUCCAACUUGGGAUCAUCUCUAAAAGUGACAAUCCUACGCCUCUUUAGAGCAUUGUAGAGAUGAUCUGUGAAGUUGUUGCGAGUAUCUUCACCUCUAAAACUCAAGAAAACAUCAUAUUUCCUUUUAGAAAUGGACGAUGGAGUUGAAGGUAACGACAACAUGAGGAUAUAUGAGAAGAAAAAGAUAUCUCAAUUUAGUGCUCAAAAUCAGAAAAUAGUUCGCUCAAUACCACAGAAAGAAACUGGGAACAAUGGGUUGAUGAGGAUAAGAAAGAGAAAAGCAGAUCUACAAAUAGAUGAGGGAUGAUGUUCUUUCCAAGAAGGUGAGAGUUGAUUUUUUAUCGGAUAUAUAUAAUAGUGCUAUUAAAUUAUUUGUAUGCAAUUAUUGAAUAAAGUUAUCAAACAUAAACUCAGUGAGUCACAUGGCCUGGACACACACCUGUGUGUCUCACCUGUGUGACUCUAAUAUGAAUUUAGUGAGUUACACGGCCUGGACACACGCCCGUGUGUCUCACCCGUGUGACCCCUACAUCUCAUUACCCACACACAGCCUCUCCCACGCCCGUGUGUCUACAAAUUCAAAGUCAAGGAGUUACACGGCCCGCCACACAGCCUCCCACAUAGCCGUGUGACUCACACGGCCAGCACACGCGCCCGUGUGCAGUUGACACUCCCGAUUCUGGCGAAGAAAAAAACACAGAAAAAGAGGGGUUUUGGCACCCACCUGUUACCCGAUGCUGAAGAAGCACCCAAUUAUAAAAUCCAAGCCUAAAACAAGUUCAAAACACUCAAUUCAAUAAAACUUCCGCAAAAUACGCAAGCACCAACAAUCAAACUUCGUCGAAACUUUUGACUCACUACACGAAACAAGUGAAAGAUUACUUACCACAGAUUCCUAGUACUCACUCAAUUCCUAAGUAAACGAUAGGCGUUAGGCAUCUUUUGAAUUCCUCCCUAAUGUAUCGAAACAACGCAUAACAAGUUAUCAGACCUCAAGACUUAUGAAAACCCCAAAUUCACAAUGACAGACUUUAUGAAAAUAUCGACUUAACUUACCUUGAAACACACCAGAACAAGCAAAAAUGCGAUCUAACGAAGCAAUUUAUACGAAAGAACAGACAAUAAAAGAAAAGAAUUAAGGAAAUAUGAACAGAAAAGAAAGAAAGAAAAAGAACAAUUUGGGAAAGAAAAAAAAUGAAGAAGAACGUCAAAUCCAAGAGGGAAGGACAUUUAAAUUUCAAAUCAAUUUUUACUGAAUAUCCAAAAAUAAAAUCAUUGUUGCAAACGCUAUAACUUGAACGCAGAAUUAGAGAGUAGACCGACAUUUAACCGGUGAACCAGCAAGUUUAUUUUUGACACAAGCUGCACAAAACUAAACUUAAACAAAGAAUCCUAAGUUAAGGGUUCAAGUAAGAAAUUUAACAAAAUUCUGAAAUUUAUGUAACUCAAACCUCAAACCUUUAGUGAGCAAACAAAGCACACAACCACAGAAGCAAACACAUUUUCAUUGACACAGCUUAGCUAUUAAAACUCAAAUUUUGGAGCGUUACAAUGUUGCAAAGCUAGUUUGUAACAAGACAUAUAUAAAUUGAAUUCAAACCAUGCAUAAAAGUACAAACCAUAUUUGUUUCUCGUCUACGACUCUCGCAUUUCCUUUUUCUCGAGACAAUCUAACAUCAUCUUUAGUUAUGUACAAUAAUAUAAGUAUAGAAACGAUAUUAGUUUUUCAUCCAAAUUAAAAACAAAUAAUCAAACAUAUUUUGCAUUUUAUUCAUUUUAGUCCUUAUAUCUGAAAUACUCAUAUUUUCCAAUAUUUAAUAACGGAUGAAAAUCUGACUUCAUGUCCUUUCAUUAGAGACAUUAUACUUUUAAUCUAUAGCAUAAUUUAUUAAAAAUUUUUAAUUUAUUAAAUUCAUCCCUAAGGUCACAAAAUUAUAUUUAAAGCUUAACUUGAUUUCUAACUUAAACCUUAACAUGAUUUAAGUUUACUAACUAACAAUCUCUUCAAUUUCAAGCUUAAUUUUAUCAAUUAUACAUCAAUGGUAACUUGCUAGACAUCUAACAAUUAAAGAAAUCGAUACAUGGGUAGCUAAACCAAACUCUAAUGUUUCAAAAUUCAUAAAAAUCUUAAGGAAAGAACUUAAUUACCUUGAUUAAUUUUGGAUUAAAAUGGAAAAGAAAAGAAAGAAGUUUUUCCUUCUUCUUAGCUUGGGACGACCAAACACAAUAAGAAAGAUAACUUCAUCUUUCUCUCCACUCACUUUUAAAAUCUUAAUUAGAUUAAUUAAUCAUCAUUAAUAAUAUAAUUUUAAUAAGUUAGUUUUAAUUAAUCAAGUCAAUUAAGAUAAGUGGAUGUAAUCUUACCAUUGCACUAUCAUAUUUUAAUAAUCAUCAAUUUAUUUUAAGGUCCUUAGAUUAAUUAUUAAUUAAGUCCUCAAUUAUUUUCUAAAUUAAAAUUUAAUAGCGAUUAAACUUUUAAAAUUUACGGCCUAAACUUUAAUUAUUGAUUUUCUGACUUAAUUACCGGUUUUUUAAUAUAUUUUUAUACUAACUUUGUCAAUACUUCUAUUCAUAUUUUCUAUCUCUAAGUAAAUAUAUAAUGAAAAAAUUUUAAUAAAAAAAUGAAACCAAUCAAAAUAUACACAUUUCAAUUAUAUAAAAAAAUGAAUUAAAUGAUAAAAAUUUUAAAUAGAAUAUGAGCUUAUGUUCAAAAUGAGUAUGAAUGAAGAUUUUAAUUUUUUUUUGGAAAGAUCAUAUCUCAAAUGCAAAUAAAUUUAGAAUGAUUACUUUAAAUGAAAUAAAAAUUAUAAACAAGGUAGAUGUUUAAGUAGCUUACCACAGUUAAUGCUUCUUCGAUUGACCCAUUAUAAAAUUGAAAAACUUUUCCGUUUUGGUUGCAGCCCUUCUUCCCCUGCUUCCUUGUAGAUAUUAUGUUUUCGUUUUAUGUGAGUAGUGAGCAGAGUGUUGGUAGAUGUGUUCAAAAUUUAGAAAAGAUUGAGUGGUAUGGCACUGCAACUCUUUUAUUUCUUUCAAAUCUUUCUCAUGCAUUAUUCUAACACCACACUUCUUCACCUUGGCACUGCGUCCAAAAGGAUCUAUGAAAGACACCUCAAGCUCAUCCCAUUUUUUAUCUAAGCAAUCUGUUGCCCAUAAAUUGCUGGUUUCACAGUCACCAUAUUUAUCGUCCAAGGAAGAUGAGUAUAAGUUAUCACGAGACCAAUAAUGAAGAAAAAGGUGAUCUUUCAUUAUGGGCUCGUUAAGUCGUUUACCCACCAACGAGCCUGUCCAAUCAAUCAGUCCAGGAUUUUUACAAUAGAUAAAUGUUCGACAAUUGAUAACCUCGUCAUCCCUUGAAGCAUCAUUAUUGACAAAAAUGCAGCAAGAAGCAACUCCAAUCCAUUGACUAUCUUUCCGAAGGGGUAUCUUAAUUAAAGAGUCACUUUUUUUUUGGCUAAACCAUUCUGGGAUUUCACUUCCGGGCAUAAUAAUGUCAAACCUUUUUAUUGAAUUUGCAAAUGCCUGCAAAAUAAAACACAAGUCGUUUGGUAACUAAAACCAUAAAUUCUAAAGUAUGAGAUUUUGUAAGGGAGAAUAAAGAGAUUAAUCGACCUUAAGAUGUUUUUUCAGCAGUGUUAAUGCAUUGAUAUUCUCAGCCAAUUUGAAGCAGUUAAAGGCUUUAACGGCAGCCGAAUCCACUAAAUUGCAUACUUUUGAUGGACUUGCAACUACUUGAAGUGAAGAACAACCAUCUAUCUCCAUAUUUCUUAUGGUUGUUAGAAGCCCAGGUAACGAUUUAAGCUUCGUGCAAUUUGAUAAUGCAAGCACUUGAAGCCUGGAAAGUUGAGUAAGAGCCAAAGGAAUGGUGAUGAAAUUGCUACCCCUAAGUUUAAGAUAACUCAAAGAGGAUAGACCACGAAUAUCCGCUUCACCAAGAGCGCACAUGUUGCAAUUUGACAAAUCAAGAAACCAAAGCUUCGAGAGUAGAGUAAGAGAUGCAGGUAUGCUGAUGAAAUUGUUACCAAUAAGAUCAAGAUCUAUCAAGGAAGAUAGGCAAGAUAUAUCACUAGGAAUAUCUCCUUCACGAAGAUUGCAGUCCCUUAGCUUCAACUCUCUUAAUGGACUUAAACUUGACAACGAAGGCAACAUCAGAGGCAUAGAAUUUGUCCUUCCUUCUUGGGUACACCAGUUAAUAUACGAUUUCCCAUCAUCUCCAUAUGGAUCCAACAUUCUUAUAUUCAUUCUCAACCUAUAUAUAUACAUUUUAUUUUGAUAUUAUUUAAAUAUAUAAUAAAAAUAAAAUUAAUAAAACAUAAAAUUUUAUCAUAUAUACCUGAGCAAGAAUGAUGUUUCCUUGGGAUGCAAGUAGUUUCUUUUUUUGACCAUAUCAACUAUCAAAGUUGUGAAGUUUUUCAUUUCAUUCUAAAAAUAAAGGAAAAUAAAAGACAUUAUUUAUAUAUAAAAUAAACAAAAAUAGAAUUGAUUUUUUUUAAAAAAUUUACUGAAAAUUAAAAGAAUUACCAUAAAGACAUCAUUUUUAGUAUGGAGGGAAACUCCAAGCAUGUUAUGCAUCCAUACAGGAAAGCCUCUAAUAAAAAAUAAUAAUAAAACUAUUAAUACUGAAAAAUAGUUAAAUAAUUUAUGAAAUAACAUAAUUAGUUAAAAUUUUAAAAUAAAUUAAUUUACCCAUAAUUCCACUCGGCACAAGUAUAAGAUCCAAUUCAAAGAAUUGCAUAUAAACCUUGGUCUUGAAUCGUUUUAAGAAAUCAAAUAAGAUCAAGAUUUUCACNNNNNNNNNNNNNNNNNNNNNNNNNNNNNNNNNNNNNNNNNNNNNNNNNNNNNNNNNNNNNNNNNNNNNNNNNNNNNNNNNNNNNNNNNNNNNNNNNNNNCCAUAAAUUAUGAUGGAUCCUGAAUCAUAGUGACAUUAGCGCAUCCAAUAAAUAGGAUGAAGAAAAAAUAGAUAGAAAAUAAAAUAGUGAAUAUAUCCUCUUCUUCUUCUUUUUUUUUUCCAUCUACUAAAGCUAAAAGGAAGUGUUGAUUGAAAAAUCAGUAGAGUAUGAUAACGUCUUUAUAAGCGUGGUGAUUGAAUUCAUAUCAAAUACUUGAUUUUUAGAAGAUAUUUACUUUGAUUUAUUUGCUGUUUUAAAUAGAUUUAUAUAAUCAGUGAUAUGAGAUUAAAUUAGCAAAUUGUGUUGAAAGUUGAGUUUUAGUUCUAUGUAGCAGCAUUAAUUAAAUAUUUUUGAUAAUUAAAUAAACUUUUUUAAUUAUAAUUAAUUAGAGUAUUGCUUUCAUACGACGGGAGUCAUUGGUUCAAAUCCAAUAAUAGGUAGAAUUUAUUAGAUACCAUCGAUCCCGGUGUCUAAUAAGUUUUUCUAUCCACCUUCUUUUAUUGAUUUUCUAUCUUUUUCAUCCUAUUUUAUCUCCGUUUUCAAUUUUUAAAUUUUUUGUUGGAUCAAGAUCCGAUUUCACUUUUGAUUAUAUUUGAUUCUAUUUAAUUGGCAGAAUCAACAUGAGAUGUAUAAACGAAAGUUUUGUUUUUACGAAAAUUCUCCAACUUGUUACGAAAUCGCGUUGAUAACCUCGACUUGUGUCCUAGCCUGUUUGACAGCUAGAUUUGCCUCAAUUGUUUGCCUCUUGCCUUCAGCUUUCCUCAUGUUUGCUUGCUGAGCUUCUUGUGGACUCAUCUAUAAAAUUCUCGUUUAUUAAAACUUGUAGAGUUCUAGUUAAAUUAAAUUAAGAUUUCUUUCAUCAACAAAUAAGGCUUGCUUUUUGAAGAAUAAAGAUUAUAUACCGAAAAGAAUAAGCGAGCAUUUAGUAAAGGGUAUAUCCAUAAUAACUUUUUACAUCGCUGGUAAAUGAUACGAUACAGUCACGAUUCAGCAAUAAUAUUAUCCAUAAUAACUUUUCACAUUGCUAGUACACGAAUCAUAGUAGUUGCCAUCCCAAAGGAUUGUUAGUAGAUCAAUCUUGCUAACACCUGUUAGAGAAAACAGGAUGAAGUACUUCCCUGUGUAACACCAACAAUGGCUCUAAUCCGAAAAAGAGAUUGCAUUUAAAGUUGUUAGCAAACUCAUUCAUUCCUAGCUACCCACAAUGACCAUAACAUAGCGCCAUAGCAACAAGCCAUUUCCUCUUAACAAUCCAAACAUGCAGCAACAUUCAUACACAACAUUUCAAGGAAUCGCACACAUAACACCCCACCAUUGAAACAACACUCCCCAAGCUUUCCAAGAAAGGAAGUAAGAAAGAAAAAUAUGAUCACAGUUCCCUUCAACUUCAUUGCAUCAACAACAAUUGAUGGAAUCAUUAAUUGUUAGAAUACCUCGAUCCCUUAAAAAAUAUUUUGAAGGCAUACCAUUCUGGAAUGAGAGCAAUAGGAAGCAUUGCACCUUUGAUGCACCAAUGAACCCUCAGAAUCAAGAGAAAUGUUGAAAUUGGCCAACCAUGCUGCUGUUUGAAGUGCAUGCAGCUUGAUGACAUGAUGCAGCACGUAUACUUGCUGUAACAGCAAGGUUUUCUCUUUAGUUUCUCUGUUAAGCUACUUAGUUGAAAAUGAACUAAGUUGGUAUUGUUUUGAUGUUUUUAGGUGCUGAUUGACAUAAUCAGCUUGUGUGCAAGUUAAGUUUUACUUGUUUCUAAGUAUAAUUAGUGGUAGUAGGUAGUAUUUGGUGAUGUAUUUGACUAUAUAUAUGUUGUUUUCUAGUUGAAUGAAUGAGUUGAAUGAGCUAUCAGCCAUAAGCUCCCUUGCUGCAGGUUUGUGAGCAAGUAAAAAUUUUCUUGCACCUUGCUUCAUGUUCUGUUCUCUCUGUUCUCUUAUUUUGCUGCUGCCAUUGUUCCAACAAGAAAACACAAAUUUCUUUACAGUAAAUUUCCCUUUGCUGUCCACCUCCCACAUUCGCCUUAUUGCAUUAAUCACUGAAUCCAUACAUAGCCAAUUUCCAUACCGAUGUUCCCUCAAGUAAGCUUUAAUCACACCGUGGUCUCAAAAUAGUUUGCUCAAGGACAGGUGUUCUAGAGAAGUCAUCCCUUGGAUUAUUGCAGAGUCGAAUGAUUUGUGAUAUGGUUUUGUCAAUAUGGGAUCUUCUGUUAGCAUGAAUUGAAGCCAUUUAAGUCGUAUUAACUAUUAAGGACCUAUAUAAACUACAAAAUGAAGCUAUUUAAAUACUAUUUAAGCAACACCAAAACAGAGUACAGGUUCCCAUGGCGCUUUAUUUAGCGAAAAUAGUCUGAUGACAAAGAUAAAAGAUGAUUAUGUUUCACCCUAUUACCUGCUUCUUCAUGCAGUGAAAUAUAGAUGUAAGUUUAUACAUAUAACAUAAAAUUUAAUAAAUAAAUAAAUAAUAAAUUUCAUUAAACAGUACAAGUUUCAAUGAUGUAAAAAUUAAUUAAUUAGAUGAAUAAAUUUUUAAAUUUAUAAAAACACUAUGUUGUCUUUCAACCAAAACAUGUCAUUCAAUACAAGUUGGUGUUCAACAUGUCUAUACUCAAAAUUUAGAGUUGAUUACAUAAUUUGAAGAAUCAUAUUUCAUACUCGUAUCAAAAUAUAUGUUGAGUAAAGAUGUUCAAAAUGAAUACUUUAAAUAAAAUAAAAGAUGUAAAUAAGGUCGAUAAAAAGGUCUAAAACCAGAAUUUAUAGGGCAAGGCUAGUGAAGUAGUUUACCACAGUUACAGCUUCUUCCUCGAUCGGCUCAUUAUAAAAUUGAAAAAAAUUUGCAUCCAUUUUGGUUUUUGUUUUACAAGGGAAGUGCUACCUAUUGAAUCUAUUGAUCCAGCAUUAUCAACAAAGUGUUGAUGGACAUCUUCAAGAUUUGGAGAACAUUGAGUGGUAUGGCUAUGCAGCUCUUUUAUGUCUUCCAAAUCUUUCUCAUUCACAAUUCUAACACCGCACUUCUUCACCUUAACACAGGGAACAUCCGGGUCUGUGAAAGACAAUUCAAGCUCAUCGCAUUCCUGAUCUAAGCAAUCUAUUGUCCAUAAAUUAUUAAUUUCACAUUCACCACAUUUAUCCUCUAAGGAAAAUGGAUAUAAUUUAUCACGCGACCAAUAUCGAAGAAAUAGGUGAUCCUUCGUUAUGGGCUGGUUAAAACGUUUCCCAAACAACCAACUACUUGCAUCGACACGUCGAAGAUCUGUAUCUCGAAAGACAGAUCCAUUUCGACCGGCUUGUCCAGAAUUUCUACAAUGGAUAACAGCUCUGCAGUUGAUAAACUUAUCCCGGGAAGCAUCAUCAUUGACAAAAAUGCAACAGGAAGCUACUCCAAUCCAUUGACUAUCAUUUUGAAUAUUGAGUGGUAGAGGUAUCCUAAUUGUAGAGCCACCUCUCUGUUGGCUAAACCAUUCUGGGAUUUCACUUCCAGGUAUAAUAACAUCAAACAUUUGUCUUGAAUUUGCAAAUGCCUGCAAAAUGAAACUUCAGUCACUUGGUAAAUAAAACCAUAAAUUCCCAAGUAUGAAAGGGAAAGAAAGAGAGAUUAAUUAACCUUGAGAUGUUUUUUCAACAAUGUUAACGCAUUGAUGUUCUCCGCCAAUCUGUAGCAGUUAAUGGCUUUAAUGGAAGCUAAAUCCAAUAAAUUGCAUACUUUUGAUGGACUUGCAACUCCUUCAAGUGAAGCACAACCAUCUAUGCACACUCUUGCUAUACUUGUUAGAAGCUCAGGCAACGAUUUAAGCUCUUUGCAACUUGAUAACAUUAGAAGUUUAAGCUUUGGAAGUCGAGUAAUAGACGCAAGUAUGCUGAGGAAAUUGUUACCACUAAGAUCAAGAUGUGUCAAGGAGGAUAGGCACAAAAUAUCACUAUGAAUAUCUCCUUCACGAAGAUUACAGUCCCUUAGCUUCAACUCUCUUAAUGAACUCAAACUUGACAAUGAAGGCAACAUCAGAGGCAUAUUUGGUCGUAACUUAGAUGAUGGUCCUUUGCACCCAUUGAAAGAUAGAAUUUUAAGAUUUUCCAAUUGAAAAAUCAAGGAUGGUGGUUCUGUUAUCGCUGUUUCACUCAAGUCAAGCUCUUCCAAAAACUCUACUUGCUGCAAAUUCACUGGCAAAUAUUUAAUUUUAUAACAACUAGAAAGAUCAAGAGUUUUUAGAUGUUCCAUUUUCCCAUCAAUCUCCGGAAACCUUACAAGACUUGAGCAACCUGAAAGAAUUAAUGUUUCAAGAGAUUCCAUUCCAAUUCUGGUUGGAAGACUCCUAAGACUUGUGCAAUCUCUUAAAUUUAAAAGUUUAAGCAUCUUAAGCACUCUGAUUGAUGGAUGGACAUCUACCAAUCUGGUACAACCUUCCAUAAUCAAAGCUUCAAGUUUUGGUGUUGUUGUGAAGUCUGGUGUCUUGAUCAGGUAUUGAGACCUGAUGAAGUUGGUUCAGCAUGCAGCAAACUCGACAGCAUGCAGGCCAUGAAGACCAAGACAUGCAGGAGCUGCUGAUGCAAGCUUAUUUUGUAAUUCCUAGUCAAUGAAAGGUAAUCUUAGUUCAUUUCUAACUAAGUUAGGUUGUUGACUGAUGUAAUUAGCUUUUGUAUGAGCUGUAAACACAACUUUGUAUAAGUUUACAAGCCAAAAUUUCAAGUUUCCAUGUAAUUAGUGGAGGUAGGUGAUGUUUAGGUGAUUACUUACUGUUUUUGACAAGCUUAGUGCUUGGUUUAUGUAUUGGCAUUGUGCCAUUAUUCAAUUUAUGAAUGAAGUUCAGGUUGUUCAUCAAUUUUCCUCUUCAUUUUUCUUAGUUUUUCUUCUUUUUUGCUCGAAUUCUCUUGUUUGCUCAGCAAGUCUCGAGACUUGCUCGACAAGUCUGUGCUGAGUCUGUUAGUUUCAGUUACAGCACCAACAAUUGGUAUCUAGAGCCUAUUUCUUAAGGGAUCUGUUAUACAAAUCCAUGGCUUCAUCAAGCUUUUCACCAGCUGCACCUCAAGUCUUCAAUGGAGAAGGCUAUCACAUAUGGGUGGUCAAAAUGAAGACCUACCUGCAGGCAUACGAUCUGUGGGAGGUGGUCAACUCAGAUGUUGAACCAGAACCACUUAGAGGCAAUCCAACAGUGGCUCAGAUCAGGCAGCAUGCUGAAGAAAGGACCAAGAGGCACAAGGCUAUGUCUUGCAUCCAGAACUCAGUGUCUGAUGUGAUUUUCACAAGGAUUAUGGCCUGUGAAUCACCAAAACAGGCCUGGGACAAGUUGUAGGAAGAGUUUCAAGGGACAGAGAGGACAAGGCAGCAACAGUUGUUGAACUUGAGGAGAGAUUUCGAGAAUUUGAAGAUGAAGGAAGAAGAAACUGUCAAGCAAUAUUCUGACAGGAUUAUGGCUGUGGUUAACAGCAUCAGGCUCUUAGGAGAGCUGUUCAAUGAGGCUAGGAUAGUGGAGAAGGUUAUAGCAACUCUGCCUGAGAGGUAUGAGGCAAAAAUCUCAUCUCUCGAGGACUCAAGGGACCUGUCCACCAUUUCCCUAACAGAGUUGAUCAAUGCUCUAUAUGCUCAAGAGCAGAAGAGAGCAAGCAGACUGGAGGAGCACCAAGAAGGUGCCUUUCAGGCAAGAACAAAUACUGCCUACAAAGGAAAGAAGGCCUGGAGAGACAAACCAAAGAAUAAUGCUGCAACGAGAGAAGGUCAGACUUGCAAGCACUGUAGAAGGGUUGGUCAUCCAGAAGAAAAGUGCUGGCUUAAUCCAGAUGCUGUAUGUCAGCAUUGUAAGAAGAAGGGUCAUGUUGAGAGAGUCUGCAAGAGCAAGGCCAAAUCGAAGCAGAAUCAGUCUCAACAGAUGAAAGCUGAGGCUCGAGUAGCUAAGGAGGACAGUGACCAAGAGGAGCAAGUCUUUGCUGUGUCAUGAUCAGCUGCUCAGGUAAGGUCCUCAUCUGGUUGGCUCAUAGACAGUGGUUGCACUAACCAUAUGACAUAUGAUGCUGCGAUUUUCAAGUCUUUAGACAGAAGCUGCAGAACUAAGGUCAAAAUAGGAAAUGGUCAUUUUAUUCAAGCUGAAGGCAAUGGUGAUGUGCUGAUAUGCACCCCCACAGGUGCCAAAGUAAUUUCAAAUGUGCUCUUGGUGCCUGAAAUUGACAGAAACCUGCUCAGCAUAGCUCAGUUGCUGGAGAAAGGUUAUUCUGUUGUGUUUAAAGACCACCAGUGCCAAAUCAGUGAUCCAAGUGGAUCCAAACUGAUGGCAGUUCCUAUGGCUGAUAAGAGCUUUGUAGUUGACUGGACUAAGGAGUCUGACAUUGCCUACACAGCCACAUCUGAUGAAUCCAAGUUGUGGCAUCAAAGGCUGGGACAUGCCAACUUCAGAUCGAUGGCCCGAAUGGUCAGAGAAGACCUGGAUGAAAACUUCAUCAACUCAGUGGACCAUGAUGAUGUAUGUGAAGUAUGUCAGCUAGGAAAGCAGGCCAGACUCCCAUUUCCCUCGACUCAAGCCUGGAGAGCCUCUGAAAAACUCCAACUGGUGCAUACUAAUGUGUGUGGCCCUAUGAAGACUGAGUCAUUAAGUGGAAACAGGUAUUUCAUACUGUUCAUUGAUGAUUUCUCGAGAUAUUGCUGGAUUUACUUCUUAAAACAGAAAUCAGAGGUGGCCUCAGUGUUUUGGAAGUUCAAGACUACUUUUGAGACUGAAACAGGCUGCAAGCUGAAGACCAUAAGGUCUGAUAAUGGGACUGAGUACACCUCAGUUCAGUUCCAAUCCUUCUGUGAUAAGGCAGGCAUCAAACAUCAACUUACCAACACAUAUACACCUCAGCAAAAUGGUGUAAGUGAAAGGAAGAAUAGGAGUUUGAUGGAUAUGGCCAGGUGCUUAUAAUUCAGAAGAAUUUGCCUAGAACACUAUGGGCAGAAGCAGUUAACACUGCAACAUACAUUCAAAAUAGACUACCAACAAAGGCUUUGGAUCAAAAGCCCCCAUUCGAGGCCUGGUUUGGCUUCAAGCCAUCACUGGCUCAUCUGAAAGUCUUUGGAUGCAUCUGUUAUGCACAUGUACCUGCUAUCAAAAGGGACAAAUUGUCUGAAAGGGCUCAACCUGGUGUUCUGGUGGGCUACAGCACUGUUAAGAAGGGCUAUAGGAUCUUGGAUCCUUCAACAAACUAGGUGACAGUUAGCAGGGAUGUGGUAUUUGAUGAAAGGUCAUGUUGGAACUGGGAAAGACAUGAACCUGAAGAAGUUUCUGAAGAACUUGCAACAGACCAAGCUGAGCCAGACCAAAAUAUUCCAGAAAUGGACAUUGAUGAUGAACCAGUCAGAGGAACAAGGCCAUUGACUGAGAUUUAUGAAAGGGCUCAUGUAGCCAUAGCUGAACCAAGCAACUUUGAAGAGGCUGAGGCUCAGCAAGGGUGGAAGCAGGCAAUGGCUGAGGAGAUCAGCAUGAUUGAGAAGAACCAGACCUGGGAAUUGGUUGAAAGGCCAGUCAAAAGGAAGGUGAUUGGGGUGAAAUGGGUGUACAAAGCCAAGCAGGAUGCUGAUGGUACCUUGAACAAGCUGAAAGCAAGGCUAGUUGUCAAGGGGUUCAGUCAGAGGUAUGGCUUAGACUACCUGGAGACCUUUGCACCAGUGGCCAGGCUUGACACCAUCAGACUACUGAUUGGUUUAGCAGCACAGCUCGAGUGGAAGAUCCAUCAGCUCGAUGUAAAAUCAGCCUUUCUGAAUGGUUUCCUAGAUGAAGACAUCUAUGUUGAACAACCACAAGGGUUUGAAAUAGCUGGCAGAGAGCAUAUGGUCUACAAACUGAAGAAGGCCCUAUAUGGAUUAAAACAGGCUCCAAGGGCCUGGUACAGCAGAAUCGAUGGCUACUUGACUGAUCUGGGAUUCGAUCGAAGCAAGAGUGAGCCAACACUGUAUGUCAAGAAACAAGGGACACAAACACAACUUAUUGUGUCCCUGUAUGUUGAUGACCUUCUGGUGACAGGAGGAGAUCGAGCAGUGCUGGCUAAUUUCAAGACCAAGAUGCAGGAAGUGUUUGAAAUGUCUGAUCUUGGGGAGAUGUCCUAUUUUCUUGGAAUGAAGGUAUCUCAAGCACAGAAUGAGAUACUUCUAAGCCAGAGAAGCUUUGCCACAAAGACUCUGACCAAGUUUUCCAUGCAAAACAGCAAGACAACUAAAACACCUGUUGCUGUUGGAGAAAAACUAUCGAGCCAAGGUGUUUUUGAGAAAGUAUGUGAAACAACCUACAGGAGUCUAGUUGGUUGUUUGCUAUACUUGACUGCCACUAGACCAGACAUCAUGUAUGCUGUAGGAUUACUCUCAAGAUUCCUGCAUUGCUGUAAUGAAAAGCAUUUUCAAGCUGCAAAGAGAGUGCUGAGAUAUGUCAAAGGCACUUUAAACUAUGGUUUGAAGUAUAGCAAAGAAGGCAAUCUAAAGCUGGUUGGCUACACUGAUAGUGACUGGGCAGGCUCGAUAGAUGACAUGAAAAGCACCUCAGGGUAUGCUUUUAACCUUGGAUCAGCCAUGUUUUGCUGGAGCUCGAAGAAGAAAAGUCUAGUGGCUCAAUCUACUGCUGAAGCAGAGUAUGUGGCAGCAGCAAGUGCUGUCAACCAAGCCAUAUGGCUAAGGAAAAUCUUGGCUGACUUGAAUGUGCAUCAAAAGGAAGCUACUGAGAUCUUCUGUGACAACCAAUCUGCAGUAGCAAUUGCUAAAAAUCCAGUGUUCCAUGGAAGAACAAAGCAUUUCAGCAUCAAGUUGCAUGUUGUUCGAGAAAUGGAGCAAGCUCAGGAAGUAAAGCUGAUCCACUGUAAUUCAGAGGAUCAACUUGCAGACAUUUUAACCAAAGCCCUUAGUGUCACAAGGUUCGAAUGUCUAAGAAAGAAGCUAGGUGUUUGCUCCAUGCAAACCAAGGAGGAGUGAUGAAGUUGGUUCAGCAUGCAGCAAACUCGACAGCAUGCAGGCCAUGAAGACCAAGACAUGCAGGAGCUGCUGAUGCAAGCUUAUUUUGUUUAUUUUGUAAUUCCUAGUCAAUGAAAUGUAAUCUUAGUUCAUUUCUAACUAAGUUAGGUUGUUGACUGAUGUAAUUAGCUUUUGUAUGAGCUGUAAACACAACUUUGUAUAAGUUUACAAGCCAAAAUUUCAAGUUUCCAUGUAAUUAGUGGAGGUAGGUGAUGUUUAGGUAAUUACUUACUGUUUUUGACAAGCUUAGUGCUUGGUUUAUGUAUUGGCAUUGUGCCAUUAUUCAAUUUAUGAAUGAAGUUCAAGUUGUUCAUCAAUUUUCCUCUUCAUUUUUCUUAGUUUUUCUUCUUUUUUGCUCGAAUUCUCUUGUUUGCUCAGCAAGUCUCGAGACUUGCUUGACAAGUCUGUGCUGAGUCUGUUAGUUUCAGUUACAGCACCAACAAGACCCUUUGAGGUUGAUCAUUUUCAACUUAUACAAGGGCUGUUGAAGACAAUAAUAAAUUAGGCCGAAGACAUAAUAAUGCUAAUUUUUGGUUUUUUUUACCUUAAUCAAAGUUUAAUCAUUUAUAUUAAAAUAAACUAAAACACAAGGAUAAGAUGAGUUAGUUCUUACUCUAUUCCCCUUCCAUAGUUGUUCAAUAUGACUAUAUGGUAAAAGAAGUGCAACAAGAUUAUCUGGGUGGAAGUUAGAAGGCAAAAAUCUUAAAGGAUAUCCUGUCCAAUCUAAAAGCCGUAGUUCAUUAGAAAGAUAUUUGAGAUGAUGAUCACAAUUUGAUACACAAAACACUUGGAGCAAUCUCAAAUUUUUCAUCUUCGAGAAGGUAUCGUUGCUCAAAUUGAACAUCUUACUUGAUUCCCUAAUAAUCAUGAGUAAAACAAAAAUGAGCUUCAAAAUAUACAAAAACGUUCAAUAUCUAAAAGCUAUGUUGUAUCGAUAUUUUUUUAUGUACCCACAUCCGGUACUUAUAUGUAAUGCGUAUAUGAAUAUGGUAUUCCGAUAUGAUUGAAUAUAUUAGACAAUACUUAAUCUAACACUUAUUUCACACUUUUAAUUACCUAAGCCUAAAAAACCUAGAACUAAAAUUUUGAUUUAUGUUUAGUGCAUUGAUGUGUAAUUCUAUACAUUACUAGCGAAAUGAUGGCAUUAUUUGGAUUUACUUUUGAAAACUUUUAAUGAUAUGUUAUGGUCUAGUUCAUUGAUAUAUACUGUCAUUACAUCAUAUAAAUAAACCAUUAAUUUUUACAAAGACAAUGACAGUAAUUUUUUUAUAAUUUCUGUUGAAAGAGUAAUGUGUUUCUUUAUAAAUUUCAUAAAUAUAAGAUUGAAUAAUUAAGCAUUAAGAAUGUGUUUGGUUAGGUGAAAAAGUAAAGGGAUAUGAGAAUGAAGGAUGCUUGGUAGAAAAAAGAAAGAGAUGAUCAUUUACGUGUAUGUUUUCCUACCAUUUAUUGUCGAUGAUCAUGCCUUCAACCACUUCGGUAGCCUAGAAGUAAUCAAGAAUAGACAAUAAGAAAAUAAAAUAAAUGCUCUAAAUUGUACGAUAAAACUUUUGAAAAUUUACACACAUGUUCAACAUUAUCACAAUAUUUUGGUUGGAAUAUAGUAAAUAAAAUAUUUUAUAAUGAAAGUAAUUCAAUAAAAUUAAAGAUACUCAAUGUCACUUGAGGAUCAAUAUAUAAAACAGUUAGACUAAGCUUUGGAUUUAGAUCAUAUAUUAAUAAAAGAAAUUUUUGUAUGUAACUCUUGUUGAAUGAUUUACCGUGUUUUUUUUUAGGACAUGAUGGACAUCCCUUUCCUUCCAUAAUCUACAACGUUUUCCGGGUUCAUCAAAACAUUUUUCUUCAACAAUUUUUCUUCCCAUUUCUUGCAACAAGGCAUGCAUCCACAAAUAUUUGUUAUCAUCAUCAACUUUUAUGAGAGAUUUCUUAAUAAGAACAUCGAUUCCAAUAUCUGGAAAAAACCCACAACCAUCCAAUACUUUCAUUACCAAAUCUUUUUUCUCCCCAUUGAAAAAGCAUGCUAUAUCUAGAAAUAUAUUCUUCUCCCUUUCUUCCAAGCUAAUUCGUAGUGUGUCAAGAAUUUCUUUGUUAGAAUCUUGUUUAAGUCUUUCGAUUGCACUUCUCCAUUGAAUUAUAUCUCUACUGCACAAAAAUGAACCCAAAACUUCAAGAGCUAAGGGGAGACCAUCAGCAUAAUGUGCAACUUGUUUAGAAAGCUCAAUGAAAUCAUAUUUUGGCGUUGUAUCACUAUCAAAAGCUUUCAAAUUGAAAAGCCUAAGUGCAUCGUUGGGAUUCAGUGUUGUAGGCUUAUACACAUCAUCGAUUCGAUAAGAUCUGAGCAAAUGUUCAUCUCUUGUUGUUACAAUGAUCCUACUCCCUAAAUUGAACCAAUCACGCCUUCCAACCAAGCAUUUCAAGUGUUGUAUGUUAUCAACAUCAUCAAGAACAACAAGAACCUUUUUACCAGACAACCUGUGGCUAAUUAUGGCAUUCCCUUCAUUAACAUUGAAAAAAUUGAAGCAUUCAUCUGGCAAAAUUUGAGUGAGGAGUUGUUUCUGUAAAGAAACAAGUCCAUGUUUGUUUGAAACUUCUCGAAUAUCAGCAAGAAAGCAUUUACCUUGAAAAUGAGCUAACAUUUGAGUGUAAGCAACCCUUGCAAGAGUUGUUUUACCGAUGCCACCCAUUCCGCAAAUUCCUAUAAUGCGGACAUCGUCUUCCCCAAUAUUUAUUUUCGAAUACAACUCCUCCAAAUGUAAACUAAUUCCAACCAACUCAUCAUGAACAACUGGAUAUGUCUGACAUAAUUUUGCUGAUAUCUUCUUAACAACGUCUCUAAUAAACUCUGAUUCGUGCCUACAAUGAAAUUAAAAUCCGAUAUGCACUUUUUCAUUUUUAGUUUAGUGAAUCAUGAAGUAUAAUAUGGUUGGAAGCAAACAAAAAGUAUGAAUAAGACAGUAAGAUACAUUAUAGCAUCAAAAUACACAACUUGCUCGUUAGUUAAAAUAUGGGAAUUCUCAAUUAAACACAAAAUUAUAAAAAUAACAUGCAAUCCAAUAAAAAAAAAACAAUUUUUUUAGUCAUUAAAAUUAGGAAAUAGAGAAGAUAAGAAAGAAAUACCUAUUAUUUAAAUGCCAUCCCUUGAUGUUAGCCACUUCAGUCAAAGCAUUUCGCCACUUUUGGAUCGUGUCUUUAUCUUCCUUGUAUCUUUCUUCGUGUUUGGCAAAGGCUUCUUCAACCUUUUCUUUUUGUUUUCUUAAAUCGGAUGGAUCAACAUGGUAGAAAAUUGGAAAUACUUUAUGACCCUUGUCAUUUUUUUGUUUAACAAUCUCCGCAAGCUCCUCCAAGCACCAACCUGAAAAGGCAUAGGUCUCGGAAAAAAUGAUUACCGAGCACCAUGAUUGCUGAAUUGCGUUGAAGAGUUCCGGUGCGAUCUCUUCACCAGUUUCCAACUUUGGAUCAUCUCUAAAAGUGACGAUCCCAGUUCUAUUUAGAGCAUCGUAGAGAUGAUCCGUAAAAUUCUUGCGAGUAUCUUCACCUCUAAAACUCAAGAACACAUCGUAUUUCUUUCUAGAAAUGGAUGAGGAAGUCGAAAGUAACGACGACAUGAGGAUGUAUGAGAAGAAAAAUAUGUGGAUGUAGUGUUCAAAAUCAGUCGCUCAAUACCUCCGAAACAAUAAGUAUAUGAGCAUGAGGGGAGAAAAACAGAUGAAAUUUCGAGGGAAGAACAAAGGGAGUAGGUGAAUCUAUCAGUACAAUAAUAUCUAUGAAAAGGGAGUAAGUGUGGAAAUUCGGGGUCAUAGAUGCUCUUUCCGGGAAGACUCCAAGAAGGUGAGAGUUCACAAAAUGAAGCCUACAAUUUUUCUGAAAAUUAAAUUCAUUAAUUUAUUGAGAACCAUAUAAUCCAGGCGAAACUCAUAGUAGAUGAUGAAUAGUAAACUCUAUCAAUACAAUAAAGGCUUUAGCCUUAACAAUAAUAAAACAUCAUGGCACGUUAACAAUUAGUUUUGUCACAACUCAAGUACGAUAUAUUUAGAGUAAUUACAAACACUUAAUUUGAUAAGGAAAUCAACCUCGGAUGGUCUAAAGCAACGAGCAAAAAUUGACAAAAGAAUCGAACGUACGCCAAAUUAGAGAGGAUGACAAUAAAAUCAUCUCUAAAAUCACUUGUAAAACUAAGAUUAUAUGCAUAAACACAAUUAUUAAAUAAUUGAAAAAAAUAUAUAAAACUUAACAACAUGAAAAUAGAUCCUACAAUUAUCAUCAAGUAACAUGUUGGACGGUUUGUGUUUUAUUAUUAUUAUUAUUAUUAUUUUAUAUUAUCAUAUCUACUUUAUAAUCAGUAGCUUAUGUUACAUAGGUGAUUUUACGCAUUUAAUAUUUGAUUAAUUUUUUUAAAUAUUAUACUUUUAAUUGAAGUAAUUAGUAUAGAAUAAUAUUUUUCAUUUAAAUUAUUAAAUAUAUGUAAAAUAUAUUAAUUUAUCAAUUCAAACAAAUAUUAUAAUAAAAAGUUUUUAAAUAAUAAUUAAAUAAUUUUUAACAUAUUCCACAUAUAUUAUAGUUUUCCUUUAUGUAGCUAAUGCAAUGUAAUAUUACUCAAAAUAAUAACUACUUAACAUAAUUGUCAGCAACCUCUUGGCCUAUUUACAAAAACUUGGUUUUGUAGGUACGAGAGCUUGGGUUCAAUCCUAAGCAAUCCUAUUUUCCUCCCUUAAAUAUAUAUAUAAAAAAACUGAGCACAAUAAACUCUAAUAAUAAUUAUAAUGAUAAUUUUAAAUUUAGUAAUAUAAAAAAUAAAUAUAUUUUUCAAACUCGUUGUUAUAUAUAUAUAUAUAUAUAUAUAUAUAUAUAUAUAUAUUACAAAUUAAGUAUUAAAAUUGUGUUUUACGUGUCAUAGCAUUUCACCACCAUUUGAUCUUAUCUUUUAUCUUCCUUUCUUCGUGUUUGGUGAAGGCUUCUUCAACUUUUUCUUUGUUUUCUCAAAUCGGAUGGAUCCACAUCGGGGGCCAUAGAUGAGCCUUAGAUGUUCUUUCCGAGAAGACUCCAAGAAGACGAGAGCUGUUGUUAACAUUUAUAGAGUUUUUCUUGGUUAAAAUGUGCCAGAAGUCCCUGCAUUUUUUAUAAAAUUAAAAUUUAAUUCCUAUACCAUUAAUCACUAAAUUAUGGAUCAAGUUUUGCAGGUAUCUUCACCUCUAAAACUCAAAAAAACAUAAUAUUUCUUUCUAGACAUGGAUGAGGAAUUCGAAAGUGACGAUGACAUGACGAUUUAUGUGAAGAAAAAUAUAUAUGGAUAUAGUGUUCAAAAUCAGAAAAUAGAUGGCUCAAUACCUCAGAAACAACGUAGAAACAAUAAGUAUAUGAACAUGAAGGAGAAAAACAGUUCAAAUUUCAAGGGAACAACGAAGAUUUUUGUCAGCAAUUUCUCUAUACAUUUCCAUUUUUUCUUCCAAAUGAAAGCGCGUAGGUGUGGAAAUUGGGGGAUGAUAGAUGAGUGAUAGAUGUUGUCUCCAGGAAGAAUCCAAGAAAGAGUCCACAAAAUUGAGCCUACAAUAAUUAUAAGUGUUGGACCGUUUGUGUUUUACAUUAUCAUAUUUACUUCAUAAUUAUAAAGUAUUAACUAAUUGUGUUUUACAUGCUUAACUAGUUUCUUAUGUAACAUUCAUCUAAUUAUUUUUAUUUUAUUAAUUAGUGUAUUUAAUUAUUAUUUAAAGAUAUAUGAUUAUUUAUUUAAAAAUGUAUAUUAUUUUAUAUAAUGUAAAAUAAUUAAAAUAUUUUAUUAGACUUAACACAUACUUUAGUACUUGAGUUUGACACUUUUUUUUUUAAUGUGAUACUUAUGUUAUUUUUUGGUCCAAUCAGGUAUUUGUAUUUGACAAAAGUUAUAUAUUUUGACACCCAAAACUAAUGAUGUUAAGUGUUUAAUUCGAGUUUUAGGGCUGGUUUGAUGAAAAUUAAUUGCUAAUUAUGUAUUUUCAUCAAACCAACUCUAAAACCCGAAUUAAAUUACAUCCAUUGGACUUUAUUUGACAAAUUAAAUGCAAUAUUAAACAAAUCCAUAAUUAACACUAAAUUUAUUCUAUUAACAAAAUCAUGAAAAAUUCAAAGUUAAUAAUAUUAGCAAUUAACUUUCAUCAAAUCAAUUCCCAGACUUAAACUAAAUGCUAAAAAGUUAACAUCGUUACUUUUGGAUACCAAAAUAUACAACUUUUGUCAAAUAAAUGUAACAAAUUGAACAAAAAAAAAAGACAAAGAGUACCACAUUAAAAAAAAAGUGUCAAACUCAAGUACCAAAUUAUGCAUUACAUUAUUUUGUUACAAGAUAUUGUUUAAUUAUAAACUUCAAUAUUUAAAUUAAAAACAAGAGUCUUGUUUGGUGGGAUGUUUUCUUGCUGCUAGUGUGGUCCACUUCCCAAAGAUGAAGAAUACAUUGGCAAAUUUGUGACAUCCUUUAAGGUGUGUGCAGAUCUCGAAUAUGGGAGAGAAUAGAUAUUUGUUUAGAUUUUUCAAUAAGGUGAACAUUGAUAGGGUGAUUAAUGGAGCACCAUGGACUUUCAACAAUCAUUUGUUAGUGUUCCAUCAUUUGGCUAUUAAUGAAUAUCCCAUGCAAGUACCAUUGAUUUUUCAUGGUUUUGGGUUUAAGUACAUGAUAUUCCCCUUGGAUUUUUCUUUGAAGUAGUGGCAAGAUAGUUUGGUAAUUUUAUUUGAGAAUUUUUCGGAUUAUGAUUUGAAGCAGAUUUCGAGAGGUGUUGGUCAAUAUUUGCAAAUAAGAGUUAAAUUAGAUGUGAGUUCCCCAUUGAAAAUUAGUAGGAAGAAAAUUUAGGUUUCCUCAUCAAGUUUCAUAUAUGCGAGAUUUCAGUAUGGAAAACUCACAUUAUUCUAUUUCAUAUGUGGCCGUAUAGAGCAUGGAGAAACUUUUUGUCUAGUUAGGUUUGUCACACCCCGAGUUUGGUGGAUCCGAAUUAUGGCAUAAAGUUGCAAAGAUGAUCUAUUUGAAGUAUUAUAGUUUGCCAUUUUUGGUCUUUCAACGAGUACGAUUGGGUGUAAUGUACCUGCCGCUUAGGAGAUUAAAUAUUUUUGUCUCAAAUCAUUAAGUAAUUCUAGUAAAGGAUACCACCAAAUGUUUAACAUCGUGGUUUGUCUGAGCAUUGUGUGUAACAGCCCAAUUUUCAGUGGUGUUGGAAACAGUGGUUUGAGACCACUAAAUCUGACAAGUUAGCUCAUAAAUUUUACUAUAUAGUGUUUAUGAGUCGAUUGUGAAUUUAGGGAGGCUUAUGAAUUAUUGAAUUAUGCUUUAGAAAUAUUUGUUAGAUUAAUUGGUUUUGAAAACGAGGUAUCGAGACAUCAAUUUUAUAAACCGAGCCUUAAAUAUUUUUAUAAAUAUUUAAAGAGUGUCAUUAAGGUAGUAUUAAAAUUUUGUUAGAAAAUUUUAUCGUUUCGAUAGUUAAUUAAUUAAAAAGAACUAAAUUGAAAAAGGCACAAAACUUGCAAAGGUGAUUAAAUAGCAUGAAUAGUAAAUUAGGGAGGACUAAAAGGGAAAUUAGACACCCAAGGAAUGGCUGAGGCGGCAUAAGCAGAAACAAUAAUCUUGGAAUUAGGUGAGUUAAGGGCAAAAUUGUAAAUUUUUCCAAAUUAACUUAAAUAAAUUGAAUUCUAUACUUUUACAGGCUAUUCUUCUUCAACUAAAUAGCCAAAAAUGCCAUAGGAGAAGGUUUUAAGCUGGUUUUAUUUAUUUUGCUUCAUGUAAGUUCAAUUCUUGCUCUUUUAUUGUAAUUUUUGUGUUUUUAAGACUUUUACAAUUAGGUCCAACUAUCUAAUUCAUUAUUUUUUUUAUUUUAUGGGUAAUUUUGAAAGUUACCAUUGAUGAGUGCUGGGUUUUUGGAUGAAUUAACAUAGAUUUGAAGUUUUAAUUUUGUUAUAUGAUGAUUUUAUUAAGUAAUUUAAAUAGAAAUUGAUUUUAGGACCAAAUUGUGAAAAAGAUUAAAUCUUAGGGUUUGGUAUUAAAGUCUAUUUAUUAAAGGCUGUGUAGUAGCUUAUAAUAUUUAUAUAAAGUGUUAAUUGAGAAAAAAUAGCUCAUUUGAUGAGUUAAUUACCAAGGGACUAAAUCAUAAAAACUGUAAAAAUUAGGGUAAUUGUGUAAUUUCAAAAUUUAAAGGGUAUAAAUUGUAAAGUGAAUUAUAAUUGAAUUAGAUGCUAAUGAAUAAACAAUUUUACAUUAUAGAUCAAGACCCCAAAGAAAAUCGUGAAAAAAGAGAAAUUAGCUAAAUAGUCAUUGGAUUGCAACAAAUUCGACAAAUUAGUCCAAGUAAGUUCAUAUGGUUGAACUUUCAUGAUUAAUUGUUGAUUUAUGAAUGAUAUAAUGUAUUAUUUCAGGUUUUUGUUUUUGAAAUAUGAUUAUUGUAAAUAUAUGAAAAUUGAAUUGAAAAGUUCAAAUUAAGUGGAACGUAUGAUUGAGUACGAUCGUUCCAUGACACAAGAUGAAUUGACAGAUAAGACCAUGGUAGGACCAUGGCAAUGUUUGAAUGUAAGACCAUAGUUGAGAUGUGACAUUUUAAUGAAAAGACUAUAACUGGGUUAUGCCACCUUGAACGUAAGACCAUGGUUGGACUAUGGCAGUAAAUGUAUAUGUGUAAGACCAUGGCAGGGCCAUGACAAUUGUGCAAGACCAUAGUUGGACUAUGGCAUUAAGAAAAUGAUGUACUCAAAUCUGUAAGACGUUCUCUAAUUUGGCAUGAAUUGGUAAGUAUUACAGGGAUUAAUGUGAAAGAAAUUAAAUAGUUAUUGAUAUUGAGCUCAAUUAUGUGAAUUCAUCAAAAGAAGUUGUGAUUGGCAGGAAAUGUUAUGAAAUGCUUAAUCUAAAUGAAUUAUUUAGUAUGUUCGGUAAGAUUUAUAUUUAAAUCCUAUGAACUUACUAAGCUUCAUUAAGCUUACUCGUGUUGUUUAUUAUUUCUUGUAGAUUAGCGUAAGGUUAGAGGAUCGGAUCAUCACAUCAAACUACACUUCGUUAUUUCUGGUAGUUUUUGUAAUGUAAAUUUUGGUUUAUAUGGCAUGUAUAGGGUUGGUUUGGUGAUGAAAUAGUUUGAAUUAUAGUUAUGAAUAUUAAAUAUUCGUAUGCAUAUAAAUAGUAGCAGUAUUUGAUAUAUAUAUUUUUUUUCCUGAGUACUCGGUUUAGUCCCAGACCACUUUUAAUGUCUAUUUUGGGCCUUGGAGGUUCAUUUUAGGGACUACAUGAAUGAGUUUGGUUGUUUUUUUUAUUGAGAUACGAAUAUGAAAUGUAUGAUUGUUUGAGCUAAAAGUUCGGUAAUACUUCAUAACCUUAUUCUGAUAACGGAUAAUGGUUAGGGGUGUUACAUUGUGCUAGUUAAGUUGAACAUGAUCUGGUUAAGAACCAACUGGAUUGGCUGGUCAAACAUUUAUUGAGAAAGGACUUUCAUUUAUGUUUCUCUUAGAACCUGUAGGCCAUUAAGAAGGACAAUUUUAAAUGUAUUGACAUUUGUUAAGUUCCCACAGGUUGAGUGGGUUAUAUAUAUGGGUGAGAAGGGUCUAUUGGUGCGGUCGUUGAAAGCACCAAAAAUAUCAUAUCGCUAAUAAAUAAUGAAAAAAAUAGUAAAAGGGAAGUAGGGUCAAAUCCUCAGAGACUGUAUUUGUACAAUAUCUUGUUCCGUGAAAUCUCAGGCAGAAUCUUGCCCAAGAAAACCUGCGUUCCUAAAAAAAAACAAAGAAAAUAAUAGAAUUAAAAGUUUGGAUCUGGAAACGAAAAAUAAAAUAAAAACAGAAUUAAGAAUAUUGAAUCGAAAAUUUGAGAAAUUAAAAAUACAGUUGAGAGAAAGGAAAUUCUUAUGGGAAAUUCCAGCCUCCAGUUGUCUCGUUCCGCCUUGGGUUCAAUCUUCGGCUUUUAGAUGAUCCUUCCCAAAUCGAAUAAGGCAGUUAUAGUGGAAGAGGACGCCUACGACCACCAGCUCCAAGGAUUUAGACUUAUGAUUUGGUGGAACCUCACUCUAGCCAACAAUCGCUUCUAUUGGAUCGUCUUAUGCUAGAUCAACGCUUCUCAAUGGCGAAUCCCACGCCAUUUUGUCUCUUGGGCUCGCCAACCUCUGACGCAGUAAGCUAACGAACCGACUGUGCAACCUUCCCAAAACAUGCAAAGUGGCCACCUUUGCAUACGUUGAAAAGCUUACUUCUUAAGGGACAUGGACAGAAGCGUCAGCCCCGUAGUACGGAGAAACGAUGAAUACUCAUUGAGAAGGCUAAGUACGGANNNNNNNNNNNNNNNNNNNNNNNNNNNNNNNNNNNNNNNNNNNNNNNNNNNNNNNNNNNNNNNNNNNNNNNNNNNNNNNNNNNNNNNNNNNNNNNNNNNNUGGAAAAGAAAAUAAAUAAAAUAAAAAUCAAGAUUUUAUUAAAAUGAAAUAUGAGAAGAACAAAAGCAUAGACUUUUGGGGAGAGAGUGUUUACAAAAAAGAUGGAUCCUCUUUUGAGUCACUUCACCCCCUAUUUAUAGUGCUAGGGGAGAUAGUCUAAUCCUACUUAAAUUCCCAAAAGAUAAAUACAUUUAAUUAAAGAUAUAUAAAUUAAAAUCCUAAAAUUAAAUAAUCCUUAAUAAUUAUCUUAAUAUUAAUUAUCCUAAUAUAAUUAAAAUAGAGUAUGAUAGAAUAAAAUCUCUUUUUUUUUGCAUUUCAACCCUUGUGUCCUCCAUGCUUGUACUUUUGGCACCAACUUUUCCUUGUGUCGCACAUUGGCCCAUUUUAUCUCUAAAUUCAUGCUUUUGGCUUUUAAUUUUGCUUUUGCCUCAAAUUUAGUCCCUAUGAGAUAAAAGAUCAUAAAUAGCUCAAAUUAGCAGGAUCAUACUCAGAAUAAAUACAUAAUUAAUACAUAAAAAUACGUUAUUCUAAAGUGUUAUCAAAUUCCCCUACUUAGCCCAUGCUUGCCCUCAAGUAUGGUUUCUAUCUACUGUGAAAGUUAGAUUCUGCCAUAAAAGAAAUACUACUUCAAAGUUUUAUAAAAAUCAGUCAAAAAUGCAUAUGAAAAAUAAAGAAAACCCUAAGCUUGCUUUAAGUAAAACAAAAAAAGUUUUUCCAAUUAAUACACACAAAAAUUAGAAUCGACUUUAAUUAUUUAAUGAAAAUUAGGUAAAUUACCAAACCUACCAAGACACCCUAUUUGUUUCCUCCUUUAGUCCCCAAUUUAUAUAUAUAUAUAUUGUGCUUUAAGAAUAUACUGAACCUUUUGACGCGAAGAGAGAUGACAGCCAAGCAUCCUACCCCGGUUACUCAGCCCAAUAGACUCCUAAUUUAUUAUAAUUUUUUUCUUAAGAACACAUCGAACCUUUUGACGCAAAGAGAGAUGACAGCCAAGCACCCCACCUCGGUUACUCAGCCCAACAUGUUCUUAAAAAUUAAUUCCGGUUAGCGGAGUUUUACCUAACACGUCACACAACCUUUUAACGCGAAAUAGGAUGACAACCCAAGCACCCUACCCUGGUUACUCGGUCGGUCACGUUUUUAAGCUGCACUCAUAACCACGGAAACAUUAAACGACAUUUUAAUAAUAAUUUUUUUAUGAGGAUUUUAGAGAAAAAAAUAAUCAAGUGUAAAAAAAAAUAAGUUUCAGUAAUUACCUUAAUAGUCAUCAACAUAUUUUAGCAUGCAAAUAUAUUAAGUGUCCACUUUGUAUUAAACUUGACCAAUUUUACGAAAAGCAAGAUAAAGUUAACUCUAUGAAUCAUAAUUAUUUUUAGCCUAAUAAGAAAAAAAUAGUGGAGAUGACAUCAAUUAUGGAAAAUCCGUAAUUUCCUCAGAAAAUAAAAAUCUUACUUAUAGGUCAAACAGUAGGCAAUUCUUGGUAAAAAUCUUGGGAAUGAAAAGAGGCAGGAAGUUCUAAAAAAAUAAAUAUGGACAAAAUGGAGCCUCAAGCAGCAACACAGCCAAAAAUAAUCACAGCAACAACAACAACAACCAAAAUCACAGCAGAGUACCCCCUACUGAAAGCACAUUGUCCUUAAUGUGGACGAAAAGAAAUAAAUAGGUAGAAAAGUUUAGAAAAACUCCCUGUGUUGUUUCUGUCGAUCCAAUAUGAUGGGAAUGAGCUCGGUCAGUUGCUGGCCAAAGGUUUCAAGUUGGGACUCAAUGCGCUCUAAGCAUUGCUGAACGGUUUUCUUCACAUUUUUUCUCUGUUUUAUCUAAGCAAAAGAAGAAAAAUUUAUUAAUAUCCAAAUAAGUAAUAAAUAAAGUAAAGAAAAAAUAAUAAUAAUAAAAAUUAGGGUGCCUUCCAACAAGCGCUUGUUUAACAUCGUUAGCUCGAUGCCGUUAUUUGUUCUAUGGUGGUUCCAAAUGGAUUUUCUCAACCGUGUGGGCUUGAAAAUUCUCAUAAAACGGCUUCAACCACUGGCCAUUGACUACGAACCAAUUUUCAGAUUCUUCACUCUUUAUUUCAAUCGCUCUAUGUAUGAACACUUAAGUAACAAUAAAAGGUCCUUGCCAUUGUGAUCGAAGCUUACAUGAGAAUAACUUUAACAUGGAGUUAUAAAGUAAAACUUUUUGUCCUACCGAAAAAUGCUUCUGAGUUAUUCUCUUAUUGUGAAACAACUUUGUCUUGUCUUUAUAAAUGUGAGCAUUCUCGUAGGGAUCAUUGCAAAUUUUUUCUAACUCUUGGAUGUCUAAUUUCCUUGCCUUUCCUGCGGGUUCUAACUCCAUGUUACAUUGUCGAACGACCCAAUAGGCUUUAUGUUCCAAUUCGACCAGAAGGUGGCAAGUUUUUCCAAAAACAAGUCGAUACGGGGUCAUACCAAUCGGUCCCUUAUAUGUAGUUCGAUAGGCCCAAAGUGCGUCAUUUAGCUUAAGGCUCCAAUCUUUUCGGCUAGGACGAACUAUUUUCUCCAAAAUAGUCUUGAUUUCCCUAUUCGAGACCUCAACUUGACCAUUCGUUUGGGGAUGGUAAGCCGUAGCUAUAUGGUGGUAGACUCCGUAUUUUGACAACAGUGCAUUCAUGACCUUAUUACAAAAGUGGGUGCCGCGAUCACUGAUUAUGGCUCGAGGCGUGCCAAACCUAGAAAAAAUAGUUCGUUUUAAAAAAUCCAUAACAGUUAUGGCAUUAUCAUGGUGAGUAGGCUUUGCUUCUAUCCACUCAGAAACAUAGUCUACUGCAAGAAUUAUAUAUACAUUGCCAAAUGAAGAAACAAAUGGGCCCAUGAAAUUGAUGCCCCAAACAUCAAAUAUUUCACAUACAUGAAUCGGGGAAAGGGGCAUUUGAUUUUGUUUAGUGAUGUUACCUGUAUGUUGGCACCCAUCGCAAGACUUACAGAAUUUAUAUGCGUCUUAAAAAAUUGUGGGCGAAUAUAGCCCACAAUCUAACACCUUAUGAGGGUCCACUUAGGGCCAAAGUGACCUCCGCAAGCUUCAGCAUCACAAAAUUAAGGAUAGAAGUUACGUCGAUUUCUGGAACACAUCUUCGUAUUAUCUAGUCUGAACAGUGUUUCCACAAGUAUGGGUUUUCCUAAAUGUAAUAUCGAGCGUCGCGUCUAAGUUUGUCCCUCAUGGAACGUGCUAACCCAGUGGGUAACGAUCCUGUUGCUAGAAAGUUUACUAUAUCUGCGUACCAUCGGAGACAUACCUCAGUCGAGAAUAGGCUCUCAUCAGGGAAUUAAUUCUUUCUUAAUGGGGAUGUCGUCAAAAGGUACUUUUGUUCUGCUUAAGUAGUCAGCCACUAAAUUUUCGCAUCCCCUUUUGUCUCGAAUCUCGAUGUCAAAUUCUUGGAGCAGCAAAAUCCACCUAAUGAGCCUCAGUUUUGCUUUAUUCUUAGCGAUCAAGUACCUAAGGGUUGCAUGAUCAGAAAGAAUAAUUACUUUAGAUCCUAAUAAAUAAGGCCAAAAUUUAUCUAAAGCAAAUACAACUAUUAAGAGUUCUUUUUCCGAAGUAGUGUAGUUGCUCUGCGCAGUAUCUAGGGUUUUCGAGGCAUAACAUAUGACAUGUGGUUCUUUUUCUAUCCUUUGCCCCAACAAGGCUCGUACACUGUGCUCGCUGGCAUCGCACAUAAUUUCAAAUGGGUAUUUCCAAUCUGGCAGUUGCACUAUAGGAGCGGAGACUAACUUUUGCUUGAGUGUAUUAAAUGCCUACUUACAUUUUGGGCCAAACUCAAAUUUCUUAUCCUUCUACAACAACUUACAUAAUGGUUCAGCUACCUUCGAGAAGUUUUUUAUAAAGCGCCUAUAGAACCUUGCAUGGCCAAGGAAAGAACGAAUUUCCCUCACAGUAGAUGGAUAAGGCAAAGAAUUUAUAAUAUCAAUUUUGGCCUUAUCGACCUCAACUUCUUUAGAUGAAACAACAUGACCCAAAAUUAAACCUUGGUCUACCAUAAAAUGACACUUUUCAUAAUUUAAGACAAGAUUAAAUUCUAUGCACCUACUCAAAAUUAUAGUUAGGUUUUUAAGUCAUUCAUCAAAACAACUCCCAUAUACAGUAAAAUCAUCCAUAAAAACUUCGAUAAUUUUUUCAUAUAUUCAGAAAAUAUACUCAUCAUGCAUCUUUGGAAGGUGGCCGGCGUAUUCCAAAUACCGAAUGGCAUCCUUCUGUACGCAAAUGUACUGAAUGGGCAUGUAAAAGUGGUCUUUUCCUGGUCCUCCGGUGCGACUGGAAUUUGAAAGAAACUUUAGUAUCCAUCAAGACAACAAAAGUGAGUUUUUCUGGCUAUUCUUUCAAGCAUUUGAUCUAUAAAAAGAAUAGGGAAAUGAUCUUUUCUAGUGUAUAAGUUCAACUUCCUGUAAUCAAUACAGACGCGCCACGUAUUUUGUACUCGGGUAGGUACCAAGUCACCUUUAGCAUUUUUCUUUACUAUCACGCCCGUUUUCUUAGGCACGACUUGAACCGGACUUACCCACUUACUAUCAAAAAUAGGGUAAAUUAUGUCAGCAUUCAGAAGUUUGAUUAUUUCCUUUUUUACUAUCUCCAUCAUAUUCGGAUUUAGCCGUCUUUUCUCCUCUCGCCUUGGUUUUGUGUCUUCCUCUAAGUAGAUCCUGUGUGUGCACGUCAAAGGGCUUAUCCCUUUUAAGUCUGCAAUGGUCCAUCCAAUCGCCUUCUUAUGACUUUUUAGUACAUGGACCAAACUUUCCUCUUCAUGUGUAGAGAGUCUAUUGGGGAUUAUGACUGGUAGGGUAUUACCCUUCCCCAAAAAUGUAUAUUUCAGAUGCACAGGAAGUGGUUUCAACUCCAACUCUAGUGCCUAUAUAACAGAAGGUAACAUUUUAGUAUUUAGAGAUAAUAACUCAUUAACAACUUCAAAUUCAUCAAGUUUAGAAUUAUCUCCAUAAAUUGACUCAAAAUUUUCUUCCACCAAAGAGUCAAUUAUGUCGAUAUGAUUUACACUCAAGAUUUCGCUUGGAUGGCUAAUGGCGUCGUAGACAUUAAACUUUACGAUCUCCUCAUCAAACUCCAUUGUGAGAGUUCCACUUCGAACGUCGAUUUUAGUACUAGUUGUACUAAGGAACGGUCGACCCAGUAGGAGAUCUAAAGAUCUAGGAGUGCUAUCCUCCUCCAUUUUGAUCACAUAAAAAUCUGUAGGGAAAAUAAGCCAAAACAUCCUCAAGGACUCUUUUUGGAAACACAACAACCUGUCUGCCAAAUGAAUGGUAACACCUGUUUUUGUUAAAAAACCCAUAUUAAGUGAUUCAUAAAUAGAAUAUGGCAUUACAUUUAUAGAAGUCUCUAGAUCACACAUAGCCUUCUUAAUUCCCAGAUAACCUAUUUUGCAUGGUAUUGCAAACAUGCCCCUAUCCUUGUAUUUUGCCAGCAUUUUUCGCUGUAAUACUGUAGAUACAUUCUCACCAACACUCAUCCUUUCAUUACCUGUUAAUUUUCGCUUGUUAGUGCAAAGAUCUUUAAGAAAUUUAGCAUACCGCGGUAUUUGCUUGAUGGCGUCCAACAGUAAAAUGUUGAUCUUGAUAUUCUAAAUGUUUCAAGGAUUUCUUUGUACUCUUUACCUCUUCGACACUAGUUGAAUCGUUCUGGAAAUGGAGGUUGAAUUUUAGGUAAUGGAGGAUUCAGUCAGACCUGUUCAUCUUUCUCGGGUUUUUUGGGUGAUUUUUUUGCCAAGACUCCUGUUAGGAAUCGGUUCCAGUACCUUUCCCCUUUGCAAUGUCAUUGCAUUUGCAUUUUGUCUAGGGUUUGGUUCUGUUUGUGACGGCAGCUUCCCUUAAGAGGUCAAUUUCUCGAUUGAUGUGGUUAGCUCUCUGAUGGACGCCUCAAUUUUCUGUUGAAAAUCCUUCGCCUCUUUUUGGAAAUUAAGAGUUUGCUAUUAGAUUUACUGUUGAAAAUCAAGAACAUUAGCUGCUAACUUAUUGACCAUGGUUUCUAGAGAAUUACCUGAACCUUGCGGCUGUUGCAGAAACUGAUUUUGGUAUGGCUGGUUAUUUCGUAGAUUGACCCCAUAACUUAAGUUAGGAUGGUCCUUCCACCCUGGGUUGCAGGUAUUAGCGUAGGGGUCGUAUCACCUUUGUGGUGGCCCAGGGAAAUUUCCCACAGCAUUUAGAUGGGUCGUGGUAUCAUCAUACAAACUGGGAUAUGCAUCAGUUGCAUGAUCAGUUGUAGCACAUAUUCCGUAUAAUCGGGCUGUCUUCGUUUUUUCUACAAUAAGAGAGUUCAUCAUAUUAGAAAGUUUAUCAACUUUAUCAUCUAAGGUUGAAUUACUUAGCUGGUGAACCCUUUUAGGAGGUUUAGUAUUGGCUCGAAACUGCUGAGAAUUUGCAGCCAUCGUGGAGAUCAAGUCUCUCGUUUGUUGGGGAGUCAUGUUGUCCAAUGCUCCACCACUAGCGACUUCUACCAUAUUCAUCUCAAUGGGCUUCAAACCUUCGUAAAAGUAUUGGAAGAGAGACUGCUCCAUUAUACCAUAUUGUGGGCAGCUUGCACACAACUUUUUAAAUCGCUCCCAAUAAUCGUAAAGGGACCCAACUUCUUUUUGCAUUAUUCCAACGAUCUCUCUUCUUAGCUCAGUUGCUUGAGAUGCUGGAAAAAACCUGUUUAGAAACAAACGAGAUAGAUUAGCCCAAGUUGUAAUAGAUCCAGAGGGUAAAUGAAAUAACCACUCCUUAGCAGAAUCUACUAAGGAGAAAGGAAAAGCACGUAAUUUAAUCCGAUCCUCAGUUACCCCCUGAGGUUUCAUGCUAAGACAAACCAUAUGAAACUCUUUCAGAUGCUUGUGGAGAUUUUCAUUUUGCAACCUACGAAAAGUUGGCAGUAACGGGAUUAAACCUGACUUCAACUCAAAAUCAGUAUCCAUAGUAAGAUACGCGAUGCACAAUGGCAGUUGUUCUGUCGGAGCUUCAGUAAGUUACCGAAUCGUUUGAGUCAUUGGUUGGUGUGCUAAAUUCGGGUUUUCGUUAACCCUAGCGUUAAACACUUCUUCUGGUGAGUCAACUUCUACCUUUUCGCUUUCAAAUGUUCUAAUAGGGUUUUCGUUAACCCUAGACUCAACUUGGUCAUUGACUUCGAUUUCUGGCGAUGGUUUACUUUGAGUUCCAACCACCACUGACUGCUUUUUUCGUAACUUUGUCUCCUUGCGAUUGGCUCUAGCAGUCUUCUCAAUUUCUAAAUUGAACGCAAGAGUACCUGGAGCAAAUCUGGUCAUAAGAAACAAAAAAAACAAGAUUAGUACGUUGCCAAUCCCUAGAACGAUUCCAAAAUUUGGUGCGGUCGUUGAAAGCACCAAAAAUAUCCUAUCCCUAAUAAAUAAUGAAAAGGAAUAGUAAAAGGGAAGUAGGGUCAAAUCCUCAGAGACUAUAUUUGCACAAUAUCUUGUUCCGUGAAAUCCUAGGCAGAAUCUUGCCCAAGAAAACCUGCGUUCCUGAAAAAAAAAUAAGAAAAUAACAGAAUUAAAGGUUUGGAUCUGGAAACGAAAAAUAAAAUAAAAAUAGAAUUAAGAAUAUUGAAUCAAAAAUUUGAGAAAUUAAAAAAGAGUUGAGAGAAAGAAAAUUCUUAUAGGAGAUUCUAGCCUCAAGUUGUCUCGUUCCGCCUUGGAUUCAAUUCUCAACUUUUAGAUGAUCUUUCCCAAACCGAAUAAGCCAGUUAUAGUGGAAGAGGACGCCUACGACCACCAGCUCCAAGGAUUUAGACUUACGAUUUGGUGGAACCUGACUCUAGCCAACAAUCGCUUCUGUGGGAUCGUCUUAUGUUAGAUCAAUGCUUCUCAAUGGAAAAUCCCACGCCAUUUUGUCUCUUGGGCACACCAACCUCUGACGUAGUAAGCUAACGAACCGACUGUGUAACCUUUCCAAAACAUACAAAGUGGCUGCCUUUGCAUACGUUGAAAAGCUUACUUCUUAAGGGACAUGGAUGGAAGCAUUAGCCCCGUAGUGCAGAGAAACGAUGAAUACUCAUUGAGAAUGCUAAGUACAGAUUCUAAGCCUCAUGAACCCUUUUGGGGUUUUUCGACAACCUUUGGCUAGAUGGGUUUAGUGGCUCAUGGUUGUGGUAGAAAAGAAAAUAAAUAAAAUAAAAAUAGAGAUUUUAUUGAAAGGAAAUAUGAGAAGAACAAAAGCCUAGACUUUUGGGGAGAGAGUGUUUACAGAAAAGAUGGAUCCUCUUUUGAGUCACUUCACCCCCUAUUUAUAGUACUAAGGGAGAUAGUCUAAUUCUACUUAAAUUCCCAAAAGAUAAAUACAUUUAAUUAAAGAUAAAUAAAGAUAAAUAAAAUUAAAUCCUAAAAUUAAAUAAUCUUUAAUAAUUAUCUUAAUAUUAAUUAUCCUAAUAUAAUUAAAAUAAAGUUUGAUAGAAUAAAAUCUCUUCUUUUUGCAUUUCAACCUUUGUGUCCUCCAUGCUUGCACUUUUGGCACCAACUUUUCCUUGUGUCGCACAUUGGCCCAUUUUAUCUCUAAAUUUAUGGUUUUGACCCUUAAUUUUCUUUUGCCUCAAAUUUAGUCCCUAUGAGAUAAAAGAUCAUAAAUAGCUCAAAUUAGUAGGAUCAUACUCAGAAUAAAUACAUAAUUAAUACAUAAAAAUACGUUAUUCUAGAGUGUUAUCAUCUAUUGAGAAUUUUUCUUCUAUUUGUUCCUUCAAUAUUGUUCUCUGUUUCUUCAAGUUAAGUGCUAUUUCAAUCUCUUCAAGUUAGAUGUUAAAAUGCAGGGAUCAGUUAGAGGUCACUCUAUCUCUUAGUAAGUAACAUGGUUUUGCAUGUUAAGUUUUGAAGGAUUUAUGAUGUUAAGAGUUUAAUGAGAAAUAGGACUAAAACAAGGUAUUGCAUAGGGUUUAUCUAUGAUUGAGAUGUUGAAAAUUUGUGUAUAUGGAUUUUAAUAGGGAAAUUGUGUUCUUUUAGUAGCUGUUGCUGCUAGGCCAAAAAAGAUGUUCGAGUUUGGAGCUUUGAACUAUAGUUGGUGAGUAUCAGGUGAGUGUUUAUCUUAACUCUUGCAUGUUCACUGUUUAGAUAUAAACAAGCAUAAGUGAUAAUGAUAUCUUUGAAGAUUGUUAAGAAUGUGAAAACUAAAUGAUGCUAUAUGUAGUUAUGAUGGAAUGUAUGAAACUCAGUGUGAAUAGAAUGUUGUUCGUAAAUAUAUAUGUAAGAAUCAAAUAAGUAUGAAUAAUCUGAGAAGUGGGGUUGGAGUAACAUUCUUUUGUGAUGUCUCUGGUAUGUCAGGUAUAUUGCUAACUAGACUGAUAUAUCACGAUAUGAGUGUAUGUGUAAGACCAUGUGAUGGAAACCCAUGACACUGUAUGAUAUGAAAACACCCACGGUGUAUCCUCUAGUGAAACAUAGUCUGGAUUGGCAGGUCACGAUACAUGAAGUGAAUAAGUCCAUGUGUUUAAGACCAUGGCAAGAUGUGUUUGUAUGAAUACUCAUGGUAAAGCCUCUGUUAUGAUAAAAACUGGACUGGCAGAUCACGACAUAAGGUUUAAGUAUAAGACCAUGACUAAGGAACCAUGACAUCUUCUGUGAAAGUUCGUCGGGACAAUAAACACGUAGUUCUAAAUGUGUCCUAUAUGGCAUGAUCAACUAAGCCUUUGUGGCAUAUUUUGUUUGGUCCUUGUGGCGUGUUCGACCAAGUCUUCAUGAGAAAUGAUGACUAUCUGUCUUCUUUAUGGUAAGUCCUGGAUGUAUUCUGGGUAUGUUGUGAUAUGAUCAAGGUUAAAAUGAGUCGAAUUAAGCCUAUGAAGUAAUCAAAUAAGUUCAUUAAAGAAUAUUUUUGGAAAAGAAUUGUGUAUCUGUUUGUCUGAAGAAUGGGGAAUCCGCCUCGGUAAUGUGUUAGUAUAGAAAGAGUGUAUUGUGGUUAUGGAAGCUAUGAGAAAUUGGCAGUUGGAGUUCUAAUGAGCUGUAUAUAUAGUGUUGAAAUCUGGGUACGUGAUAUCCACCAUAUUUGAUUAGUAUCUCAUUCGAUUCUAGAAUUUCAAAGUAAAUACUCCAUUUGUUAAUUCAGGUUAUUACGUAUUUGUUGCCAGAGGUACAAAGAACUCUUUGAUUGAUCUGGUUAGUUAGUUAUCAGUGUGCUAUUGUGUUGGGUAUUGAAUUAGAAUAUAGAAUGAAGGAAAAACUGAUAAUAUUCAACUCAACGUGGGAAUCUACCAAAACGUAAGUAUCCGUCAAUGAAUUGUAUGCCGUCUCACUCAAGAAUCUUAUGAAAUUGGAGCUAUUCGUCAUCUUGGGUUGUUGUUCGAUGAAUUAACCUGAAGGUCUCAAACGAUCCAUAAUUAAUAUAAGUAUGUGUUAAGCUUAAGUUAGCAAAUAAUUUAUCUUUCAAAAAGGGUAUGGAAAGAUCGUAAAUCAUUUAGGUAGUUAAGAGAGUAUGAUUAUGAUAAGAGUGGUGUGUCUGGCAUAUAGGAAGUGUAGUCCAGGUAUUACUGAUUGAUACAUGACAGAAUCACUCAAACAUCACAGGAGAUACUUGAAAGAGUAGGAUCUUACAUUGGUGAACUCGAUGCUCUUAGGACCAGGUCAUCUGCAAACAUAAUGGAGUCAGAGAGAUGGAAUCCUCCGGGUAGGGGUUGGUUUAAUUACGAUGUAGCUUUUCAAAAGCACUCGUUGAGAUCAUGCACAUGGAUUAUCAUCAGAAAUCAUGAAUGGGGCACUCUUGUAUCCUCAAUAAGACAGAACAAGCACAUACGUACUGAGUUUGCGGCGGAGGCUCUUGCAUGCCUUCAAGAAAUUAGAUUGGGGUUAGAUCUGGAGCUCCAAGACGUUAUUGUUGAAGCCUCGAAGGGAUGCUCUAACGGUGGAUAAAAACUUCUGUGCAAAAAUAGAGAUGGAUCAGUUAUCGAUGCGUUCAUUUAAGAGUCAAAUCCCCUAAGUCAAAGUUGCAAGAAAUGCAUGUUUAAGCAUACUUGAGCUAUGCUAAAUUUAUUGAUGUAAAUUAAAAUUAUUACUUGAGUACAAUUUUAAGUAUCUUAAUUAUCACUAAAUUAAUAUUAAAGUUACAUAUCAAUUAAAAUUUAAGUUUAAAUUUAUAAAUAACAUCUAAUAGUUAGAUAUAUUUAAUUAAAUAGCAUGUAAAAAAAUUAUCAAUAAAAAAUUAAAAAUUGUCAACAUUAAUAAGUUAGAAUUAUAUUUUUAUAAAGAGAAUAUUAUAUAUAAAUAUAUAUAAAGAAAAGCACCGGUUAAAAUUGGAGCGUGAUAUAAAGAGAAUAUUAUAUAUAUUGUGAAAAAUAUAGUGUUUCCGGUUUUAAUCUCAUCAUGAUGACAUUUUAUAAUUUUUUUAUUAUAAAAAGUAAAAAAGUAAAAAUACUAUUAUAUAAAUAUUUAUAAAAAUAAUAAAAUUUUUAAUCAUUUCCCAAAUUUUUAUUUCAUUAAUUAUAUAUUUAUUUAUUAAUUAGUCAAACCAACCUUAAAACUGAAAUUAAAUCACAUUCAUUGGAAAGUAUUUGACAAAUUAAAUGUAAAAUUAAAAAAAAAUUUAAAAUUAGCACUAAAUUUAUUCUAUUAAUAAAAUCAUGAAAAGUUCAAACAUAAUAAUAUUAGCAAUUAACUUUUAUCAAAUCAAUCCUAAAACCCGAAUUAAACACUAAAAAGUUAAUAUCGUUACUUUUGGGUACCAAGAUAUAUAACUAUUGUCAAAUACAGAUAACAAUUUGGACCAAAAUAUAACACGGGUAUCACAUUAGAAAAAGUGUCAAACUUGGAUACCAAAUUAUGUAUUAAACCAUUUUAUUACAAAAUAUAUUGUUUAGUUAUAAAUAUCAAUAUUUAAAUUAAAAAAAUGUAAUUCAAAGACGAAUAUAAAGUGCAAUUCAAUAUUUAUCGAAUUUUAUCUACUCAAAAUAUUUAUUUAGCCCUAUUUGAUAAACGAAAAUUCAACUAAAAACCUUAAUAUUUUUCAUAAUUUUAUUUUUUAAAAUAUAUUUGAUAACUGUUAAUAAAAAUUACUUUGUAGAAUUUUUUUCACAAAGAAUGUAAAAAAUAAUAAGUAAAUAGGAAUCUAUUUAAUUUUUAAUAAAGAAUAUGUUCAAUUCUUUUUAUUUUAUUUUAUUUCUUUUUAGACUAUAUUGUCCCAAUUUUUUCUUCACUUUGCUCUUUUAUUCAACAUAAUCUCUGCACAAUAUUUAUUUUUCAUAAUGUUUAUAAUAUUUUAUAAAUAAUAUUAUAAUUUACUAUAAAUAUUUCAUCUUUAUAGUAACCUUAUUUAAAAUAUGACUUUGAUUAAAAUAAUGUGUAAUGUUUAAAAAUUAAGGAUAAAAUUGUAAAAUAGUUUUUUUAAUAAUUUAAUAUUUAAAAUUAUCAAAUAAUCUAAUUAUAUUCAAUUAUUAAUUUUAAAUGAUAUAUCAAACAUAUAUUAUAACUUAAUUUUUCCGCACUUAAGUUUUUUAGUUUAUCAAAGGGGACUUUAAUUUAAAUAUAUUAAUAAAAAUAUUUUCUUACGUUAAGUAAUAACUAUUUAAAAUAAUAAAAUAUUUUUAUUUAUAGACUUGAAUAGUUUAUAUUAUAAUGAAAAUAUAAUUAAAGAAGAAUAUAUAAUGUAAAUCAAUAUUUAUAUUUAGUUACAAUGUAAUAUUAAAAAUAGUAGUUUAAAUCACAAUGAAGUAGAAUUAAAAAUGAAUAUAAAGCGUGAUUCAAAACUUCAUCAAAGUUUUAUCUAAUUUUAAUAGAAAUAAAUAAAAAUAUUCUUAUGUUAAAGUAAGAAAUAAUUAAAAUAAUAAGAUAUUGCUCAUCUAUAAGAAAUAGUAAAUAUUUUUCUAUCUCCCAAAUAGCAAGACAUCUUUCAGAAAAGGCGAUCAUAAUUGGCUAGCAGUUGUGGGAUUGGGAGAGAGGGGGAACAAAAGAUAAUCUCUUUUUUACCGGCAUUUAUAAGCACCGGUGAAAGACCGGUAUUGAUUUUCCUGGCAAUCAUGAACCACUGGUUGACCGUCGUAGGCGGAUGCCAGUAAAAAUUUUCUGACGAGCUGACCAUAGGUGUCGGUAAAGUGUGAACAUUUACCGACAAUAGUCAAAAUCAUAAAAAAUACCAUAUAUCUCUUACUAAGUCCCACUAUAUCGUAUACAAAAGAAUGUGAUGGAACUUACAAAGUCGAUUACAACAAAAUAAAGGCUCUUACAAAACAUAAAGUUUGAGUUUUAAGCAUUCUGAAAUACAUCCAAACUAUGCGAAAAAGCUUGAAUCUGUUAAGUUUAGUUCCCAUGCAAAGGUGGCCAUGCACGACAUGCAAAGGUGGCCAUGCACGACAUGCAAAGGUGGCCAUGCACGACAUGCAAAGGUGGCCAUGCACGACAUGCAAAGGUGGUCAUGCUCGAAGAAAUAGCAGCAAGCAGUGGUGCCAUUGUGUGCAGCAACUGAAGUUUGAAGCUGCCAAUCCACUUGCUGUUUUUAGUUCCAUUUUGAUUGUUUUGUAAUCUAGUUCAUGUUGAACUAAGUAGGUAAAUGUUUUGAUAUUGAUUGACUGAAAAGUCAGCAAUGCAAGUUGUACAAGCUAAUCUUGUAAGUUUCAAUGCAAAUUAGUGGAGUUAGGUAGUUGAUGUGAUUACUUGUUUGUUUUACUUGUUGACUGAAAUAUGUAAUGGCUUAAUGCCUUGUUGUGUGUUAAUGAAAAAUAUCAGCUCAUUUUUCAUUCAUUCUUCUUCUCUCUUUUCUGUUAAUUCACUUGCUAGUUUCAUUUUCUGUUUUUGCUUCUGAGUUUGUUUCUUCACCAAGGCUCGAGGCUUGCUAUUCAAGCAAGAUACAAAACAGCCUGUUAUUGUCUCUUUGUUCCAACAGAAUCCUUACUUAUUUGUUGAUGCAUUUCCAACCUGCAUAGAAAAAAGAAUCAACAUGAAGCAAACAAAUUACAAAUUAGAGAAUGAAAACUGAAUAAGCAAUCAACACCCAUACAUCACGCACCAAGGAUGAACAUGAAACACACUGACAAAUUUUAAUCCCCUUCUAGCUUGUUAAUAAGAAGCAGAAGCCAAAAUUGUAGAGUGAAAGAAGAUAUGAACAAGAACAUAUUCACUUUUAACCAAGCACAUAAAUUGUGGAAACCUCCUUUGCAUGGCCUUGAUGAAAGAGAUAGGAGGCUUAUAAUCAUUAAUCUCAAUGGCUUUUCUCAAAACUGAUAUCAGUAAAUACAACGAAACAUGAAGAUAAGAUUAUGUGAUGGAAGAGAAUAGAAUGUACAGAUCCUAAAAACACUUGUGCAAUAUUGUACUCCAUCAUAUCAUAUCUUUCCCCAGCUUAAAAGAAGUUGAACUUAGUUUUCUUCAAAUAUAAAUAGUGGAAUUUGAGGUGAUGAUAAUCGAAUUUCAGCAUGAUUUCUCAAGGAUUAUUACAAAAAAAAUAUGGAGCUUCUGAAUUCAUUAAAAAAGAACAAGGUAAGCAAUUAUAGAUAAUUGUUCCUUGGUUAAUUCUGUUGUUAAGGUGGAAAUGAUCACAGCAUUGUUAAGCUCUUGCAACUUCUAAACAGAGGCAAGGGCCCUGUCUGUACCAACAUCACUCUCAGAAAACACAAAAUUGCUGGAUAAAUCCCACAAUUCCACUACCCCUUCAUCAUGAAAACUCAUUGGUUUGACACCAGCGAGAAUGAGAUUCUUUGCUGCACAAUGAAGAAUAAAAUUGAUCAGUAAUGGCAAUUUGGUUCUUUUGCUAUAUGUAGUGUAGAGCAGUUAAUAAAAAUGAAUAAUAAACAUUGCCACCUACUGUGGGGGAAAUGAAAGAGUAAAUUAUUAAAGUCCAGCAUUUUUUGAAAAAUUUAAAAAUAAAGUGCCCUUAAAACUAAUAUAUUGUUGAGAGUUGGACUGCAAUGCAACAUGGUGCCAGCCACUAUCGAGAUCAACAGCAGCUAUCGAGCUCAACUGUUUUAGCUUGGCAUGCAAGGUUGAUUUUUGGACCGAAUGAAGCAAUCAGUUUUUAGCUAUUUUGUUGUAAUGUUAUUUAGCUUAGUCCAAUUGUAACUAACUCUCAAAGUUAGUAGGAUUAAGUUUGUGAUUUGAUUUUUGAUGUAAAAGCUGAUAUGUCAGCUUAUCUUUGUAGUUGUUUAAGUUUGUAUUAGUUUUAGUUAAGUGGGAGCAGUUAUGUCAUUAGGUAACUGUCAAAUUAAGCCAAAAUAACUCUUUUAUAUUUUCAAAUUAUGAAUGAAAAUAGGUAAUGUUCAGUUACAAUUUUCUUGCUGUACAUUCAAGUUUCAUUUGCUGCUUUGCCAAUUUUUCUUUUCUGCUUCGAUCAAUCUUGCUUCUGCUUGGUAAAUUUGUUUGCUCGAUGCUGCCAAUGUUCCAACAAAUGGUAUCGUGAGCCCGAAUCUUUGAGGGGCCUAUGCAUUCUGUUGUUUUUCAAACCAAAAGCAAAGCUAAAAUUUAGAAGUGAUAGAGGUCUUUGAACUCAGUCUAGCAAAAUGAGUUUCACUCCACCACCUCCACCAGUGUUCACUGGAGAAAACUAUCACAUUUGGAUAGUCAAAAUGAGGACUUACCUUCAGGCACACGAUCUCUGGAGUGUAAUCGAGAAUGAUGCUGAACCACCUCCAUUGAGGGCUAAUCCCACCAUUGCACAGAUGAGGCAGCAUGCUGAGGAGAGAGCCAAGAAGCAUAAGGCUAUGGCCUGCUUGCAAAAUGGAGUCUCUGAUGUGAUAUUCACUCGCAUCAUGGCCUGUGACUCACCAAAGCAGGCCUGGGAGAAGCUGAAGGAGGAGUUCAUGGGGACUGAUAAGACAAGGCAACAGCAGGUGAUCAAUCUCAGGAGAGACUUUGAGAAUUUGAGGAUGAAAGAGUCUGAGACCAUCAAGCAGUAUUCAGACAGGAUAAUGGCCAUUAUCAACAGCAUAAGGCUCCUGGGAGUGGAUUUCACAGAGAGCAGACUUGUUGAAAAGGUCAUCACAACUCUCCCUGAGAAAUUUGAGUCAAAAAUCUCUUCACUUGAGGACUCGAGGGACUUAUCAGCCAUUUCAUUGUCUGCGCUGAUAAACUCCCUGUAUGCACUUGAGCAAAGAAGGGCAAAUAGGCAGGAGGAGAAUCCUGAGGCUGCUUUCCAAGCUAAAGCCAGUGAAGGCUCGAGUGUGAGUGCAAAAGGCAAAAAGCGUUGGCACAAUAGAAGGUCCAAGUCAGGAAGAGAUGAAGCAAAAAGGGUGUUCCCACCAUGUGUUCACUGCAAGAAGACAACACACUCAAAAAAAUAUUGCUGGUUUAGGCCAGACAUACAAUGCAGAAAGUGCAAGCAAUUUGGUCAUAUGGAGAAGGUGUGCAAGGGCAAGCCAAAAGAAAUCACUCAGCAACAAGCUCGACCUGCUGAGGAUUUGCAAGCUCAGGAGAAGCAUGUAUUUACUGCAACCUGCUUUGUUGGCACAACAAAGGCCAGCAAUGAUUGGCUGCUAGACAGUGGUUGCUCACAUCAUAUGGCAGCAGAUGGGAAGCUGUUCAAGGGCCUAGACAGAAGCCUCCACUCAAGGAUCAGAAUUGGAGAUGGCAAGCUAAUUGAGGCUAAGGGUAAGGGCAAUGUGCUGGUUAGCACUGGUUCAGGUAACAAGCUGAUCUCAGAUGUGCUUUUUGUACCUGACUUAGACCAGAACUUGCUUAGUGUAGGCCAAUUAGUUGAAAAGGGCUAUACAUUGGUUUUUAAAGAUGGCUGCUGUAGUGUUCAAGAUAUGCAUGGUCAAGAAUUAGUCACAGUCUCUAUGACUGAUAGGUGCUUUAUGCUGGAUGUUAGCCAAGUGGAAAGAAAGGCAUACACCAGCCUUGCUGACAGCACUGACUUGUGGCAUAGAAGACUAGGCCAUGCCAAUUUUAGAUCUAUUAAUCUGUUGCAUAAACUGAAUUUGGUUGAUGACAUUUCAAAAAUUGAGGCUAGUGGGAAUGUUUGUCAGGUUUGUCAGCUUGGUAAGCAGGCUAGACUGCCUUUUCCUGCUGAUAGUGCUUGGAGAGCUCAAAAUAAGCUCGAAUUGGUGCACUCUGAUGUCUGUGGCCCUAUGAGAACACCUUCAAUCAAUGAGAACAUGUACUUUGUCCUGUUUAUAGAUGAUCUAACAAGGUUUGUGUUGGUCUACUUUUUGAAGCAAAAGUCAGAAGUGUUUGAGGCAUUCUGCAAAUUCAAGGCAUAUGCUGAAAAUCAGUCAGGCUGCAAAAUUAGAGCCUUGAGGACUGAUAAUGGUAAUGAAUAUAUGUCUGAGAGAUUUCAGAAGCUUUGUGACAGUGCUGGGAUUCACCAUCAGCUUACUACAGUCUAUACUCCUCAACAGAAUGGUGUUUGUGAGAGGAAAAAUAGGACUGUGUUGAACAUGGCCAGGUGCCUAUUGUUUUAAGGUAAGCUUCCAAGUCAGUUUUGGGCUGAGGCAGUUAACACCUCAGUAUACCUGCUCAACAGGCUGCCAACUCAAGCAGUCAAGGAUAAGACUCCUUUUGAAGCUUGGCAUGAAGUCAAACUAGUGGUAACACACCUGAAAGUGUUUGGUUGUGUGUGUUAUGCUCUUGUUCCAGUGGAAAAGAGAACCAAGCUCGAGAGCAGGGCAACUCCAGGAAUCUUUGUUGGCUAUAGCAGUAACAAGAAAGGUUAUAGAGUGUAUGAUCCAACAACAAAGAAGGUUUUGGUCAGCAAGGAUGUAAAAUUUGAUAAAGAAAAGGUGUGGAAUUGGAAUGGUGCUGAAGAUGACAUGUCUGAAAUGGACCAGUUAGACUUGGUUGCUGAACCUACAGAAGAAGGAUCGAGUGAUGAUGCUGUUGAUGAUACACCAGUGAGGGGCACCAGAACUUUGGUUGAUGUCUAUCAGAGGUGUAAUAUUGCUGUGAUUGAGCCUUCAGACUUUGAAGAAGCUGCCAAGGACAGGAACUGGAUGAAAGCUAUGGAGGCUGAGCUGGAAAUGAUCACCAAAAAUCAAACAUGGGAAUUGGUGAGUAGACCAGAACACAAGAAGGUCAUAGGAGUUAAAUGGGUGUACAGGGCCAAGUACAGUGCUGAUGGCUCAUUGAACAAGCACAAGGCUAGGCUUGUGGUGAAGGGCUACAGUCAGCAAUAUGUGGUGGACUUCCUGGAAACAUUUGCUCCAGUAGCAAGACUGGAGACAAUCAAGCUUCUGUUUGCUUUAGCAGCUCAGAAGCACUGGAGGGUUCACCAAUUGGAUGUAAAGUUAGCAUUCCUAAAUGGCUUUCUUAAGGAGGAGAUCUUCAUCGAGCAACUAGAAGGUUUUGAAGUUGCUGGACAUGAAGACAAAGUGUACAGGCUUAGAAAAGCCCUUUAUGGCCUGAAACAGGCACCAAGGGCCUGGUAUGACAGAAUUGAUGCUUACCUGAUCAAGCUUGGAUUUGUGAAGAGUUUUAGUGAGCCUACCCUGUAUGUUAAGAGGUCAUAAGUUGAAACCUUGUUGAUUGUCUCCUUGUAUGUGGAUGACUUGUUGGUGACAGGGAGCAAAGUUGAACUCAUUGAUGAAUUCAAGCUUCAAAUGCAACAAGUGUUUGAGAUAACUGAUUUGGGGGUCAUGAUAUACUUCCUUGGCAUGGAAGUUCACCAGUCUGAUCGAGGCAUCUUCAUCAGCCAACAAACAUUUGCUUUAAAGAUUCUAGGUAAAUUUUGCAUGCAUAACUGUAAAGCAGUCAACACACCAGUGGCUCAAGGAGAAAAGCUGACAAGCAGUGGUAAUCAGCAGAGAGUUGAUGAGAUGCACUAUCGAAGCCUAGUAGGUUGCCUGUUAUAUUUGACAGCAACCAGACCAGACAUCAUGUUUGGUGUUAGUCUGCUAUCUAGGUUUAUGCACUGUUGUAAUGAGGUACAUUUGAAGGCUGAAAGAGGGUCCUUAGAUAUAUCAAAGGCACUGCUAGCUUUGGUGUGAUGUUUGAAAGUGGGAAGGAACUGAAACUAAAAGGUUACUCAGACAGUGACUGGGCAAGAUCCCUCGAUGACAUGAAGAGUACCUUUGGAUACUUCUUCAAACUUGGAUUAGGCAUGUUUUGCUGGAAUUUAAAGAAGCAACAAACUGUUGCUCAGUCCACAGCUGAAGCAGAGUACAUUGCUACAGCAGCAGUAGUCAAUCAGGCCAUUUGGCUUAGGAACUUACUUCAAGAUCUUAAUGAAACACAAGCUGAUGCAACUGAACUUUGGGUGGACAACCAGUCAGCAAUUGCCAUAGCCAAAAACCCUGUGUUCCAUGGUAAAACUAAACACUUUAAAAUUAAGUUGCAUUUUGUUUGGGAAGCUGAGCAAACAAGGGAAGUCAGCCUUGUGCAUUGGAACUCAGGAGCAAAAUUGGUUGACAUACUGACAAGCCCUUAGGGGCUGCUCGAUUUGAAUCAUUGAGAAGUGAAAUUGGAAUGUGUUGCAUAUAGUCCAAGAAGGAGUGUUGAGAGUUGGACUGCAAUGCAACAUCGUGCCAGCCACUAUCGAGAUCAACAGCAGCUAUCGAGCUCAACUGUUUUUGCUUGGCAUGCAAGGUUGAUUUUUGGACCGAAUGAAGCAAUCAAUUUUUAGCUAUUUUGUUGUAAUGUUAUUUAGCUUAGUCCAAUUGUAACUAACUCUCAAAGUUAGUAGGAUUAAGUUUGUGAUUUGAUUUUUGAUGUAAAAGCUGUAAUGUCAGCUUAUCUUUGUAGUUGUUUAAGUUUGUAUUAGUUUUAGUUAAGUGGGAGCAGUUAUGUCAUUAGGUAACUGUCAAAUUAAGCCAAAAAUGUAACUCUUUUAUAUUUUCAAAUUAUGAAUGAAAAUAGGUAAUGUUCAGUUACAAUUUUCUUGCUGUACAUUCAAGUUUCAUUUGCUGCUUUGCCAAUUUUUCUUUUCUGCGUCGAUCAAUCUUGCUUCUGCUUGGUAAAUUUGUUUGCUCGAUGUUGCCAAUGUUCCAACAUAUAUGUUGUAGUGGGCAAAAAUCACGUCGAUUGCUGCAUGGAUAUGUCGCUGAACCAAUCGUCGCAACUCAUUGCCAAAGGUGCAUCAAACCAUACAGUGGCACUACUCUAUAUAUAGCUCAUCAGCGUCUCUUAUCAUUUGCAUAUUCGAGGAAGUUAAUUUUUCUGGUUACAUUAGCAAAAGGUAAGGCUUAUCAGUGAAGAUGAAAGAUUACGGGUGCGGUAUCAGUUCAAUAGCCAUGAUGCUAUUGGUGGUUGCUCUGCCGUUUUUGGGUCCGCUUAGAAUGCCACCGUUACAGCCUCCUCCCGCUUACAUUUUCCUCAUCUUCACUUUCGUCUUCCUCUUCCUUUUCAUCUACCUCUCUCAUGCCUCCAAAUGAUGAUCCAUGGCUAUUUCAUUUGCUUUCCAGUAUUAUUAUUCUCUUUUAUUCAGUCGUUAUCUUAAACAAAACUAUUAACCGUACAAAUAUAUAUAUUUGAAGGAUGAUAUUUCAUACUCAUAUUAUGAGCAAAGAUAUCUAAAAUAAUUAUUUUAUGUAAACAACGUAAAUGUGCAAAAGAAAAGGAAUUAAUAGGACAAAGGUGGUUAAAUAGUUAUACUAUAGUUAAUGCUUCUUCCACGACUGGCCCAUUAUAAAAUUGAAAACUUUUUGCAUUUGUUUUGGUUGCCGCUCUUCUUCCUCCGCCUCCUCGUAGACAAUAAGUUUUCGUUUUAUGUGAGAAGUGUUACCUACUGAUCCAUCGUGGUGAGCAGAGUGUUGGUGGAUGUGUUCAAAAUUUGGAGAAGAUUGAGCGCUAUGGCACUGCAACUCUUUUAUUUCUUCCAAAUCUUUCUUAUACACUAUUCUAACACCACACUUCUUCACCUUAGCACGGCGUCCAAAUCGAUCUACGAAAGACACCUCAAGCUCAUCGUAUAUUUUAUCUAAGCAAUCUGUUGUCCAUAACUUAUUGGUUUCACAGUCACCAAAUUUAUCCUCCAACGAAAAUGGAUAUAAUUUAUCACGCGACCAAUAACGAAGAAAAAUGUGAUCUUUUAUUAUGGGCUGGUUAAAUCGUUUACCCAACAACCAGCUUCUCCAAUCAAUCCGUCGAGGAUUUCUACCUCUAAAAAUAGAUCCAUUACAGCUGGCUUGUUUAGAAUUUCUACAAUAGAUAUAUGCUCCACAACCGAUAUAUUCCUCAUCCCUUGAAGCAUCAUUAUUGACAAAAAUGCAGCAGCAAGCAACUCCAAUCCAUUGACUAUCUUUCUGAAGGUUGAUAGGCAGCGAUAUUUUAAUUGAAGAGUCACUUGUUUGUUGGCUAAACCAUUCUGGGAUUUCACUUCCGGGCAUAAUAAUAUCAAAGAUUUUUCUUGAAUUUGCAAAUGCCUGCAAAACAAAACACAAGUCGUUUGGUAACUAAAACCAUAAAUUCUCAAGUAUGAGAUUUUGUAAGGAAGAAAAAAGAGAUUAAUCGACCUUAAUAAGUUUUUUCAGCAGUGUUAAUGCAUUGAUAUUCUCAGCCAAUUUGACGUAGUUAAUGGCACUAAUGAAAGCAGAAUCCACUAAAUUGCAUACUUUUGAUGGACUUGCAACUACUUCAAGUGAAGAACAACCAUCUAUCCACACAUCUUCUAUACUUGGUCGUAGCUCAGGCAACGAUUUGAGCAUCUUGCAAUCUGACAAUCUAAUAGAAUAAAGCUUGGAAAGUCGAAUAAUAGAUGCAGGUAUGCUGAUGAAAUUGUUACCCUUAAGAUUAAAACGUCUCAAAGAGGAUAGACCAGAAAUAUCACUAGGAAUAUCUCCUUCACAAAGACUGCGGUCCCUUAGAUUCAACUCUUUUAAUGAACUCUGAAAACAAAGGCAACAUUGGAGCCAUGAAAUGCGUCCUUCCUCUUUGGAUUACCUUGAAAAGAGAAGGCAGGUUUGGUAGUAACUUAGAUGAUGGUCCCUUUCUCCCAUUGAAAGACAAAACUUUAAGAUUUUUAAAUUGACAAAUGAAGGAUGGUGGUUUUGUUAUGGCUGUUUCACUCAAGUCGAGCUCUUCCAAAAACUUUGCUUGCUGCAAAUUCUCUAAUAAAUUUUCAACUCUAUAACAACUGGAAAGAUCUAGAGUUUUUAGACAUUCCAUUAUCCCAUCAAUAUCUGGAAACCUAACGAGACUUAAGCAACCCGAAAGAAUUAAUGUUUCAAGGGAUUCCAUUCCAAUUUUGAUCGGAAGACUCCUAAGACUUUUGCAAUCUCUUAAAUCCAAAAGUUUAAGGUGCUUAAUGACUCCUGUUGGAACUGAGAGUAACUAACAGCAAGUUUAACCAAGAAACUUGAGCAGCAAGUGUCGUGACUUGUAACAGAAACAAGCAGAAAACAAAACAUAAAUUUUGUUUUAAGAAAAGCAAGAAAGAUGGAGAGAGUUUGAAUGAAAACUUAAUUCAAUUCAUUCAUUCAUUACCAUUACAAGAAUAGCUUUAAGCCAAUACAUAAGUCAAGCUUCUAGCUUGUCAAAAAAACAGUAGGUUAACCAAAACAAUACCUACCACCACUAAGUUUCCUAGUAAAUUGGAAUAAUAACUUGUACAAAUGAAUAAAGCUGGUAAACAGCUCAAUCACUAUCAAAAUUACAUCAAAUAUCAUCUUAUCAUAGUUCAAAAUGAACUAGAUUACAUUACAUAAACAAAAAAUUCAAAAUGAAGCUAAACAUCCUUGCUUUCUCGUGCAAACUGCUGCUUCUGCAUGGUGGUCUUCAAUGCUGCAUGCUAACCACCUUUCAACACUCCUCCUUGGUUAGCAUGUUGCUGACUCCCAUCUUCAUUCUUAAGCUUUGAAACCUUGAAACAUUAAGAGGUUUUGUUAAAAUAUCAGUUAAUUGUUCAUCAGAACUGCAAUGAACCAGUUUUACUUCAUGAGCUUGUUGUUUUCUCGAACUGCAUGAAACUUAAUGUUAAAAUGUUUUGUCUUUCCAUGAAAAAUAGGGUUCUUUGCAAUUGCAACAGCCGAUUGGUUGUCACACAUUAUCUCUAUUGCUUCCUCUUGUUCAAGGUUGAGGUCGAUUAGAAUUUUUCUAAGCCACAUGGCUUGAUUAACAGCUGCAGCAGCUGCUACAUAUUCUGCUUCUGUAGUAGAUUGAGCAACCAGUGCUUGUUUUUUUGAACUCCAACAAAAUACUGCUGAGCCAAGAUUAAAAAGAUAGCCUGAAGUGCUUCUCAUAUCGUCUAUCGAGCCAGCCCAAUCACUGUCACUGUAACCAACCAAUUUCAAGUGUUUUGCUUUGGUAUACAGCAUUCCAUAGCUCAGGGUUCCUUUGAUGUAUCUGAGAACUCUCUUGGCAGCUUUAAAAUGACUUUCAUUGCAGCAAUGCAUGAACCUUGAGAGUAAGCUCACAGCAUACAUUAUGUCUGGUCUAGUGGUAGUUAGAUAUAAUAAACAACCAACUAGACUCUUAUAAGUUGUCUCACACACUGGUUCAAAAAAACUUUGACUCGAUAGCCUUUCUCCUAAAGCAAUUGGUGUGCUAGUGGCUUUGCAAUUCUCUAUUGAAAAUUUGCUGAGAAUUUUCAUGGCAAAGGUCUUUUGACUUAACCAAAUUCCUUUCUUUGAUUGUGUUACUUCCAUGCCUAAAAAAUAGGUCAUCAACCCCAAGUCUGACAUUUCAAAAUGCUGUUGCAUUUUGGUUUUGAAACUGAUCAGCAUCUCUUGAUCUCCUCCUGUCACCAAUAGGUCAUCGACAUAUAAUGACACAAUGAGCUGAGUUUCUGCCUUGGUCCUUUUGACAUACAAAGUUGGCUCGCUAAUACUCCUCUCGAAUCCCAAACUGAUUAAAUAACUAUCAAUCCUGCUGUACCAGGCUCUUGGAGCCUGUUUUAAGCCAUACAAGGCUUUCUUCAACUUGUAUACCAUUUUUUCUUUACCAGUCACUUCAAAGCCUUGAGGUUGUUCCAUAUAAAUUUCUUCUUCAAGAAAUCCAUUGAGAAAUGCUGACUUUACAUCGAGCUGAUGUAUCUUCCACUGCCUUUGUGCUGCUAGUGCAACUACCAAUCUGAUGGUGUCAAGCUUGGCCACUGGUGCAAAGGUCUCCAGGUAUUCUGAUCCAAACCUCUGACUAAAGCCUUUGACAACUAACCUUGCCUUUAAUUUGUUUAAACUACCAUCAGCAUUCUGUUUGACUCGAUAAACCCAUUUAACUCUAAUGAUUUUCCUGUUUGCUGGUCUUUCAACUAGAUUCCAGGUCUGAUUCUUUUCAAUCAUGCUGAUCUCUUCAAUCAUUGCCUGCUUCCAACCCUCCUGACUUUCUGGUUCUUCAAAACAACUUGGUUCAGCAAUGGCCACUUGUGCUCUUUCAUAAACAUCAACCAAUGAUCGAGUCCCUCUGAUUGGUUCAUCAUCCACAUCCAUUUCAAAUGUGUCUUGAUCAGUUCCAACUUGAUCUGAUGUAAAUUCUUUAGUUACAGCCUUUGGUUCAUUUUUAUCCCAGUUCCAGCAUGCCUUUUCAUUGAACACAACAUCUCUACUCAUAAGGAUCUUGUUUGUAGAGGGUUCUAGCAUUCUGUAGCCUUUUUUAACUGUACUAUAGCCUAUCAGAAUCCCUGUUUGAGCUCUUUUAUCCAGCUUUCCUCUUUUCACAGCUGGAACUUGUGCAUAACAUAUGCAACCAAAGGUUUUGAGAUGAGCCAGUGAUGGCUUGAACCCAAACCAAGCUUCAAAUGGAGUCUUCUGAGCUAGGGCCUUGGUUGGAAAUCUAUUUUGAAGAUAGACUGCAGUGUUUACUGCUUCAGCCCACAAGGUUUUAGGCAGAUUCUUCUCAAACAAGAGGCACGUUACCAUAUUCAUCAAACUUCUGUUUUUUCUUUCACUGACCCCAUUCUGUUGAGGUGUAUAUACAUUAGUCAGCUGGUGUUUAAUGCUUGCAUUCUCACAGUAGGCUUGAAACUAAGCUGAGGUAUACUCAGUUCCAUUAUCUGACCUUAGUGUCUUAAGUUUGCAGCCAGCUUCAGUUUCCACAGCAGCUUUAAACUUUAAAAACACAUGAGCCACUUCUGAUUUGUGUUUCAUAAAGUAAAUCCAGCAGUAUCUUGUAUGAUCAUCUAUGAAAAGAAUAAAGUACCUGCUCCCAUUGAGAGAUUCGGUCUUCAUUGGUCCACACACAUCAGUGUGCACAAGCUGCAACUUCUCUGAUGCUCUCCAUGCUGUGUUUGCAGGAAAUGGCAACCUUGCUUGCUUUCCUUGUUGACACACCUCACAAAUUUCAUCAUUUUUCACUGUUUUAAUGAAAUUUUCAGCCAACCCUUUAUUAAUCAUCUGAGCCAUUGAUUUGAAGUUAACAUGUCCAAGCCUCUUGUGCCAUAGUUUGGAGUCAUCAAUGGAGGUAAUACAGGCUGAAUGUGAGUCACUUGGCCAGUCCACUUCAAAGCACUUAUCAGUCAUGGUGACUGUCAUGAAGUUUGAUCCACUUGGAUAAAAAAUUUGGCAUUCUUUCUGCUUGAACACAACUGUGUAUCCUUUCUCUAGCAGUUGAGCUAUGCUAAGAAGGUUUCUGUCAAUCUCAGGCACUAAUAGCACAUUCGAGAUGACUUUGUUACCUGCAGGAGUGUGUAUCUGCACAUCCCCUUUUCCUUCAGCCUUUAUAAACUGACCAUUUCCAAUUUUUACUUUGGUUUUACAAGCUCUGUCCAAAGUUUUGAAAAUGGUUGCAUCUGGUGACAUGUGGUUUGUGCAUCCACUGUCUAGCAACCAGCCUUUCAAGCCGUUCUUUUGGUUUGCUGAGCAUGACACAGCAAAAACCUGUUCUUCAUGAUCACUACUAUCCUCAGCUACUCGAGCUUCAGCUUUUGGUUGCUGAAAUUGGUUCUGUCUCGGUUUACUUUUAUUUUUGCAAACCUUUUCUACAUGCCCUUUCCUUUUGCAAUGUUGGCAUACAGCAUCUGGUAUGAACCAGCAAUCUGCUUCAGGAUGACCAGUCCUUUUGCAGUAUCUGCAGGGUUGAUCCUUCCUUCUUGUGUUUUCAGACCUUGACUUGUCCCUCCAAGUCUUUUUACCUUUAUGAGCAAAGGUGCUCGAUGUUGGCUUGGCUUUGGCUUGGAAGGCUCCUUAUUGGUGCUCUUCUAGUCUGUUGGCCCUUCUUUGCUCUUGUGCAUACAAGGCAUUGAUUAACUCAGUUAGGGAGAUGGUUGUCAAGUCCCUUGAGUCUUCGAGAGAUGAGAUCUUUGCCUCAUACCUCUUAGGUAAUGUGGAUAUGACUUUCUCCACUAUUCUGGCUUUACUGAACUGCUCUCCUAGGAGCCUUAUGCUGUUUACAACAGCCAUAAUUCUGUCUGAAUACUGCUUGACUGUUUCUUCUUCUUUCAUCUUCAGAUUUUCAAAGUCUCUUCACAAGUUUAGCAGCUGUUGUUUCCUUGUUCUCUCAGUCCCUUGAAACUCUUCUUUCAGCUUGUCCCAAGCCUCCUUUGGUGUUUCACAGGCCAUGAUUCUUGUGAAAAUCACAUCUGAAACACAGUUUUGUAUGCAUGACAUGGCCUUGUGCCUUUUUGUUCUUUCAUCAGCAUGUUGCCUUAUUUGAGCAACUGUUGGAUUUGCUCUGAGAGGUGCUGGCUCAGCAUCUGAAUUGACUACCUCCCAUAGGUCGAAUACCUGCAGGUAAGUCUUCAUUUUGACUACCCAAAUAUGGAAUCCUUCUCCAUUGAAGACUGGUGGUGCAGCUGGUGAAAAACCUAAUGAAGCCAUGGUUUCUAGUACUGAACUACAACAGGUCCUCUAAGCAUAUGGCUCUAGAUACCAAUCAUUGGAACUGAGAGCAACUAACAACAAGUUUAACUAAGAAACUUGAGCAGCAAGUGUCGUGACUUGUAACAGAAACAAGCAGAAAACAAAACAUAAAUUUUGUUUUAAGAAAAGCAAGAAAGAUGGAGAGAGUUCGAAUGAAAACUUAAUUCAAUUCAUUCAUUCAUUACCAUUACAAGAAUAGCUUUAAAGCCAAUACAUAAGUCAAGCUUCUAGCUUGUCAAAAAAACAGUAGGUUAACCAAAACAAUACCUACCACCACUAAGUUUCUAGUAAAUUGGAAUAAUAACUUGUACAAAUGAAUAAAGCUGGUAAAUAGCUCAAUCACUAUCAAAAUUACAUCAAAUAUCAUCUUAUCAUAGUUCAAAAUGAACUAGAUUACAUUACAUAAACAAAAAAUUCAAAAUGAAGCUAAACAUCCUUGCUUUCUUGUGCAAACUGCUGCUUCUGCAUGGUGGUCUUCAAUGCUGCAUGCUAACCACCUUUCAACAACUCCGAUGGAUGGAUGAACAUCCACUAAUUUGGUACAACCUUCCAAAAUCAAAACAUCAAGAUUUGAUGCUAUUGUGAAGUCUAGUGUCUUGAUCAGGUUUUGGGACCCUUUGAGGUUCAUCAUUUUCAACGUAUACAAGGGCUGUUGAAAACAAUAACAAAUUAUAAUAAUGCUCUUUUUUUUUAUCUUAAUCAAAGUUUAAUUAUUUAUAUUAAAAUAAGCUAAAACGCAAGGAUCAGAUGAGUUAACUCUUACUCUACUUCCCUUCCAUAGUUGUUCAAUGCAGCUGUAUGGUAAGAGAAGUGCAACAAGGUUGUCCGAUUGGAAGCUUGAAGGCAAUGAUCUUAACGGGCAUCCUUUCCAAUCUAAAAGCCGUAGCUCAUUAGAAAGAUAUUUGAGAUCAUCACAAUUUGAGAGGCAAAGCACUUUGAUCAAUCUCAAUUUUUUCAUCUUUGAGAAGGCAUCGACACUCAAGUUGAGCAUCUUACUCGAUUCCCUAAUAACCAUGAGAAAAAAAAAAGAGUUUCAGAAGAUACAAAAAUAUUCAAUAUCUACAAGCUAUGUUGCAGCGAUAUUGGUUUUUAAAGCAUCCAUACCCAAUACUUAUAUCUAAUGCAUAUCCAAAUAUGGUAUUGAGAUAUGUUUGAGCAUACCCAUGAUAGACAAUACUCAGAAACACUUGCAUCCGACUUUUAAUUACCUAAGCCUAAAAAAACUAGAAUUAAUAUUAAUAGUACAUAUUGAUAAAUUUAUAUGUUUUCUUACCUUUUAUUGUCGAUAACCAUGCCUUCAAUCACUUCGGUAGCCUAUAAGUAAUCAAUAAUAGACAAUAAGAAGACUGAUAAAACUUUUGAAAAUUUACAUACACAAUCUUUUGGUGGAAAUAUAGCAAAUAAAAUAUUUUGAACAAAGUAAAACAUUUUCUAAUGAGAGUAAUUCAAUAAAAUUAAAUGCUUAUAUUACAAAUUAUUAUUAAUAUUUAUGAUCAACAAAUGAAAAUCAUCUUAAAGCUACUCAAUGUCACUUAAGGAUCAAUAUAUAAAUCAAUUAGACUAAGCUUUGGAUUUACAUCAUAUAUUGAUAAAAAAAAUUGCAUGUAAUUUUUGUUGAAUGAUUUACUGUGUUUUUUGUUAGGACAUGAUGGACAUCUCUUUCGUUCCACAAUCUACAACGUUUUCCAGGUUCAUCAACACAUUUUUCUUCAACAAUUUUUCUUCCCAUUUCUUGCAACAAGGCAUGCAUCCACAAAUAUUGGUUGUCAUCAUUGACUUUUAUGAUAGAUUUCUUAAUGAGAACAUCAAUUCCAAUAUCUGAGAAAAACUCACAACCAUCCAAUACUUUCAUUACCAAAUCUUUCUUCUCCCCAUUGAAAAAGCAUGCUAUAUCUAAAAAUAUAUUCUUCUCCCUUUCUUCCAAUCCAUCAAAGCUGAUUCUUAGUGUGUUAAGAAUUUCUUUGUUGGAAUCUCGUUUAAGUCUUUCGAUUGCACUUCUCCACUGAGCUAAAUUUCUACCACACAAAAAAGAACCCAAGACUUGAAGAGCUAAGGGGAGACCACCAGUGUAAUUUACAACAUGUUCAGAAAGCUCACUAAAAUCAUCUUUCAGCAUUGUGUAACUGUCAAAAGCUUUCAAAUUGAAAAGCCUAAGUGCAUCGUUGGGAUUCUAUGUUGUAGGUUUAUACACAUCAUCGAUUCGAUAAGAUCUGAGCAAAUGUUCAUCUCUGGUUGUUACGAUGAUCCUACUCCCUAAACUGAACCAAUCUUGCCUUCCAAUUAAGCAUUUCAAGUGUUGUAUAUUAUCAACAUCAUCAAGAACAACAAGAACCUUUUUGCUAAACAAUCUAUGGCUAAUUAUGGCAUUCCCUUCAUAAACAUUGAAAAAGUUGAAGCAUUCAUCUGGCAAGAUUAGAGAAAGAAGUUGUUUCUGUAAAGAGACAAGUCCACAUUUGUUUGAAACUUCUCGAAUAUCAGCAAGAAAGCUUUUACCUUCAAAAUUAGGUGACAUUUGAGUGUAAACAACCCUUGCAAGAGUUGUUUUACCGAUGCCACCCAUUCCGCAAAUUCCAAUAAUGCGGACAUCGUCUUCCCCAAUGUUUAUUAUCGAAUACAACUCCUCCAAAUGUAAGCUAAUUCCAACCAACUCGUCAUGGACAAUUGGAUAUGUCUGACAUAAUUUUGCUGAUAUCUUCUUAACAAUGUCUCCGAUAAACGCUGAUUCGUGCCUACAAUGAAAUAAAAGAUCGCUGCUAUCUUUCAAAUGCACUUUUUCAUUUUUAAUUCAGUGGAUCAUGAAAUAUAAUAUAAUUGGAAGCAAACCAAAAGCUAGAAUAAGACAGCAAGAUCUGUUAUAGCAUCAAAAUACACAACUUGCUCAUUAGUGGAAAUAUGGGAAUUCUCAAUUAAACACAAAGUUGCAAAAAAUAACAUGCAAUCCAAGAAAAAACAAUUUUUUAGUCUUAAAAUUAGGAAAUAGAGAAGAAAAGGAAGAAAUACCUAUUAUGUAAAUGCCAUCCUUUGAUGUUAGCUACUUGAGUCAAAGCAUUUCGCCACUUUUGGAUCUUGUCUUUAUCUUCCUUGUAUCUUUCUUCGUGUUUGGCGAAGGCUUCUUCAACUUUUUCUUUUUGUUUUCUUAAAUCGGAUGGAUCCACAUCGUAGAAAAUUGGAAAUACUUUAUGUCCGUUAACAAUUUUUUGUUGAACAAUCUCAGCAAGUUCCUCCAAGCACCAUCCUGAAAAGGCAUAUGAUUCCGAGAAAAUGAUUACCGAGCACCACGACUGCUGGAUCGCUUUGAAGAGUUCCGGUGCGAUCUCUUCGCCAGCCUCCAGCUUUGGAUCAUCCCUAAAAGUGAUGAUACCACUCCUCUUUAGAGCAUCGUAGAGAUGAUCCGCGAAGUUCUUGCGGGUAUCUUCACCUCUAAAACUCAAGAAAACAUCGUAUUUCUUUCUGGAAAUGGAUGAGGAAGUCGAAAGUAACGAUGACAUGACCAUGUAUGAGAAGAUAAAUAUAUGUGAAAGGAGAAAAACAGAUGAAAUUUACAGGGAGCAACAGACGACUUUUCUUAAAAAAUUCUGUAUACGUUUCCCACCUUUUACUUGUCCAAUAAAUUCGUGGGCCAUAGAUGAGUUAGAUUUUCUUAUAGAUUUUCAGAGUUUUUUGUUAAAAUUUGCCACAAGUCCCUGUCCUUUUUUAUAAAUUUAAAUUUUAGUCCCUAUACUAUGGGUAAGUUUUUGUUUUGGCCACUUUAUUAAAAAAGUUUUAAUUUGAUCAUUGAACUUUUCAAAAUUGUUUUUUUGUCACCCGACUAUUAAGUGACACUUUUUUAGUUAGUAUAAUAACAAAUUUAAUCCUCAAUUUUUAUAGUUUUUUGUCAAUUUGACCCUGAUUUUAUAUAAAAUAAUAAAAAUUGAAAUUCAUUUUAAAAAAAAUUAGAGAACUCUAAAAUUUUAAAUUAAAAUAAAAGUAAAUAAAAAUUUCAAAAAUAGAUAAAUGAGAAAGUGAGCGAAAACUGUUUAUAAACCUUCCAAAAUUUCUCUCAAAUUAUUGGUUCUAUAUAUAUAUUUUUACCUCUUUUGUUUCAUGGUUCUUUCGUUAUAAGAAAAGAAAAUUCAAAAUAUAGUUUUUUUUUUUUUUGCUAUUUGGACUUAUAAAAAAAUAAUUAAAUUUUUGAAUUGAGUCUGAAAAAAGGAAAUUUUAUGGUAUAAUUUGUAUUUCUUUUUUAAAAAUGGCAUUAGAGUCGAUUUCUUAAGCCUCUGUAAUAUCAAUUUUCAAUGUUCUUCAAGGACAUGAAACUUGACUUGAAAAUAUUACUAAUUUAGUUUCAAGAAACAUUGAGGAAACAAGUAAUAAUCUAACAUUUUUUUGGUUUUGUUCUAUUUUUAAUUUAUUCUAGGGUUGUAUUGAAUAAUAAUUUUCUAUAUUUCCCAUACAGUUCUUCACAAAUUUAGAGAGAUUCGUGGACAGAUGUUCAGUAGCAUGUAUUGGGGUUAUGAAGUGAAAUGAAUAUGUUGUGAUUUGGGCCCAUACCAUCUCCAUUUCAGUUUUCAUUUUCACCUUUCACAUUAUUUUAUUUUAUCUUAAUUUCUUUUCAUCAUUCUUUUCUUUUUGCUUUUGAUUGUUGGAAACUUGGAGUACUUGGGCAUUCCCAAGCCUCGCUUUGGGACUUCUUGAUAGCACACCGGCCUUAUAGCAAAUUAAAUGGGAUAUAAACAUUGUGACAUUAAUCUCAUAUUUUGAAAUAUUUAAUACAAGGUUUUCAGAAUUAGAUUGGUGACUAAAUUAAUCAAUUCAUUGAUUUUUUAUUGGUUUAUUCGAUUUAAUUAAAUAAAUUAUUAAAAAUUAUAAAUAUUAAAAUAUUAGAUAAUAACGGUUGAUUCAACAUGUUUCGAACAUUUUGUGAGUCAAAUGGUAAAUACACUUUCAGAAAAUCUCCACCAUAUCACAUCUUUCCCCAGCUUGAAAGAAUUUCAACUUAGUUUUUUUCGGAUAUAAAUAGUAGAAUUUGAGGUGAUGAUAAUCGAAUUUCAGCAUGAUUUCUCAAGAAUUGUUACAAAAGGUAUGGAACUUCUAAAUUCAUUAAAAAGGAACAAGGUAAGCAAUUAUAGACAGUCGUUCCUUGGUUAAUGCGGUUGUUAAGGUGGAAAUUGAUCACAAUAUUGUUAAACUCCUGCAACUUCUAAACAGAGGCAAGGGCCCUGUUUUUACCAACAUCACUCUCGGUAAACACAAAAUUGCUGGAUAAAUCCCACAAUUUCACCACCCCUUCAUCAUGCAAACUCAUUGAUUUGACACUAGCGAGAAUGAGAUUCUUUGCUGCACAAGCAAAAGAAAUAAACGUCUAAGUGAGAUACCACAACCUGUAUGGAUUCGACUGUGGGAUUCGUGGACACCUCUACAUUGACAUGAUGAAAGACAACAACAUGCAAUAAAAGAUGUAAGAGAAAAAACCAACGUUAUGUCAUGAAAAAGAACAACCCCCCCCCCCUCCCUCCCCCCCAAAUGGACCCUCCUGUUAAAAUUAAUCACUAAUGGCAAUUUUCAUCUUUUGCUAUGUGUAGUGUAGAGAAGAAUAAAAAUGAAGUUAAUAAAUAAACUGAGAGUUUUCAGCCAUUGGCAUGGACAUUUGCCACCUAAUGUGGGGGAAAUGAAAGAAUAAAUAUAGUACAAGGAAGAUUACCGGAUCUCUUUAACUAUCAAUUUAUAAAUUCAGGCAUAAGUAUAUUGCAGGUCUAAAAUAUGAAAGUAAACAUUCGAACAAGAGAUAAGUAAAAAACAUAUUCUUGGUGCAUGGAUAUCCAGUGAUUAAUCUUCCAUUUAAGUGUCUAAGAAAGUAAUAAUUCAAUCCAAUUAAUUCCUCAAUCAGCCCAAUUACAUAAGCAUGCAGCCUACUACUCUAGUAGUACUAUACGACACAGCAUCCAACGUAUCACAGAAGAAAAUCUUUAGCAGCAACAUGUUGAAUGUGCGAUAGAGGGGGCACUAUCAUCAGGUUAUCCAAUAACUUUUAUUUUAAGCUGAAUCCUCUUGUUUUUUAUUUUUUGCAAAGUCAGUGAAAUACACUGAAUCCCCUUGUUAGAACACUAUUCUUACCGGCCGACGAAUUAAUAAGUUUGAAAUUGGAAAAAUCUUAUAGAUCCCCUCUUAUAUGCCUCUGACCCAAACAUACAAGCAACAGAAUCAUCACCAGAUCAAAAAUUUUGACUAAGAACUAGCGUAAAGCUAGUGAGGUUACAUAUACACUCAUAACGCCUAAAAACCCAAGAAAUAAUAAAAAUAACCACCUGUAAAUAACUCCUAAAUGAACUCAUUAUAACGAAUUUCAAAACACUAAAAUUUAAUACAAAACUAAUAUAUAUAUGUUUUAGAGGGCAAAAAAUCACGUCGGUUGCUGCAUAGAUAUGUCGCUGAACCAAUCCUCGCAACUCUUUGCCAAAGUUGCAUCAAUCCAUAUAGUGCCACUACUCUCUCUAUAUAUAUAUAGAUCAUCAACGUCUCUUAUCAUUUGCAUAUUGAAGGAAAUAAAAUUUUCUGGUUACAUUAGCAGGAGGUAAGGCAUACCAGUGAAGAUGGAAGAUUACGGGUGCGGUAUCAAUUCGAUAGCCAUGAUGCUGUUGGUGGUUGCUCUGCUGCUUUUGGCUCCGCUCGGAAUGCCACCGUUGCAGCCUCCUCCCGCUUACAUUUUCCUCAUCUUCGCUUUCGUCUUGGUCUUCCUUUUCAUCUACCUCUCUCUUGCCUCCAAAUGAUGAUCCAUGGAGAUUUCAUUUGCUUUCCAGAAUUAUUAUUCUCUUUUAUUCAGUCGUAUCUGAUGAUAAUAUGCUUUGCUCGGGAUAUUAACCGCCAAUAAUACACGGUUAUUUGUUGUUUUCAGUCGUUUAUUAAUUAAUUAUAUGAAUUUGAUGGAAGAAUGUUUGGGUUUAUGUAGGACGUAAAUAAACCAUGCAAUGCAUGCAUACUUAUGUUGCGACACGACGCCUUUCACUAAUAUGAUUCUUUCACUCACUCCCAUUGACUUACGUACGUUGCAUGCGUUGUCCCUUCAGGCCUUCUAUUUACUACUGGAUUAAUAUUGUCGUUAAUUCAUCAAUCAUGUCUUAAAAAUCAAUUUGAGUAAAUUAAAUUUACAUAAGAAGACUAGCGAAAAAAGAAGAUUAGCGAAAGAAGAGCUUUAGUCCCUCCAUACUUAGGUUGUGGUCAUGAACUUAGAUUCAAAAUAUGGAUUUAAAUUUAGUCUAUGCUUCCUGCUGCAGUUGUGGUUAACUUUCAAGAAAGUACAUAUUCGGGAAAGCCAAACAAUUCAAGAUCACUUAAAUUGUACGGAUCAUACAUUGUCAUCAACUGUAGUAGAUAACAAGUAGGUGGAAAGUUGCAUAUAUGGGUAAUUAGAGAAGUAGCAGGUUGAGCAGGAAAAAUAGAUGAAUCGUACAUGAGAGAGCAAGCAUUUGGGUUAUCGUCGCUAAAAAUUUGAGGAUAAGCAAACUCGGAGUAUCUUCUUGCCAUCGUCUCCAUCCAUCUCCUUUGCCUUGAUCUUCUUCUUUCUUCUCUCCUGCAUCUUUCUUCUUUUCUUCCUUGUUUUCUUCGUCAUUCACUAUACAUUAAUUAUGGUAUUAUACAAAGAAAAAAAGCGCCAACUACGGAUUCAAUGGAAUUUGUAGUGGAGAUUCCUUUAAAAUCUUGAGACAUAAAAUUUUACUAAAUUUCAAAAAUAAAAUUUAAAAUAUUUGGUUGAAUUUUGAAAUUAACGAGUUACCAAUUUUGAGUAUGGUAAGGAUGCUAUAAUCUUUAAUUUAUAAAAAUUGAAAGGGAUUUAUAAAAUCUGAUUUUAUAGAUGGCCAAUUACACAUGGCCAACAAAGAUUUGUUUUAUUAUAUGUGAAUACUUAAAAUUGAAAUUUAAAAAUAUGUACGAAAUUAAUAAGAUAUCAAUUUUGAGUGUCGUAGGAGUACUAUAACUUUUCCUACCCAUAACUGAUUCUCCAACUUAAUUUUUUUCUAGAUUUAAACACGGAUCUUAAAAUUGUCCUUAAAAGACAUUUUAAAAUUUCUUUAUAAAAUUUAAUUCUAUGGGUGACUGGUCACAUCUAGUAAAAAAAGAUAGGUGAUGAGUUUUAAUUUGAAACAUUAAUGCAUUGUAAUUUAAUUACUAUUAGAUUCCUUGAUUCAUUUAUUCUAAAAGCAUUCACGCUUUACUCGACCAAAGUCAUCCAUUCAUGGGAUGCCUUCCUUUGCACUCAAGCAAUGCUCGACUUGGAAGGCACUUGGAAGGCAAUCGAAGUUGCUUGUGGUAGACGGCCGAUCGAAGCUAGAGCGCCGGUAGAUGAAACCUUUCUCGCUGACUGUAUAAUGGAUUGCUAGGAUAAAGGAGAUAUUCUGGCCGCUGUCGAUGGGAGGUUGGGAAAGAAGUUUGUGUCUUAUGGUCACCAUUCCUCCAUUAACAAGUACAGAGUCGCUUGUGUCUUAUUCAUCAUACAAAUUUUUUUUUUAAGGAUUUAUGAUCCAAAUUCAAAAUAUUUGGGAUAGAGCGUAUUGCAGCUUCAAAGGCCAAAGUUGUUGUAAAUUUACAACAAUUGUAUAGAGUGUUGCAUAAGCCCUCGAAGCCCCCAUGUUCUUGUUGGAGUUGGAAUCCUCAUUUGUAACAGGCGCUGUAUCAAAUAUUUCAACCAUUAAUCAAAAGCUUCUUUUUCAGGGACUUGAUUUUUUGCAUCUGAAUCGAAGGUUUGAAAAGUUAAAUUCUUUGGGGUGCCAUUCAAUGGACUAAGAAAGCUGAAAUGAUAUUUUUAUCUUAUCAUUUUUUAUUUAUUAAAUGUGUCGUAUUUAUAUCAAGGAUUUUAUUUUAAACUUUUAAUUUCAAAAUGCUUUUUGCCUUCUUUGAUUUAGUACUCUCUAUAUCAAUUUCAUGUUUGUGAAAUUCAUCCAUUCUAAAUGCAUUUUGCCUUUCGUUUUCAAUAGGGUGAUGAUGGAUAUGUUCAAAGUUUGGAGAAGAUUAAGUGGUAUGGCACUGCACCUCUUUUAUUUCUUCCAAAUCUUUCUCGUACAUUAUUCUAACACCACAGUUCUUCACCUUAACAGAAGAAGACCUUUUUGAGUCUUGGAAAGACAUCUCAAGCUCAUCGCAUUCAUGAUUAGAGCAAUCCAUUGUCCAUAAAUUCUUGGUUUCACCUUUAUCCUUUAAGGAUAAUGGAUAUACUAAUUCACGCGAGAAAUAACGAAGAAAAAGGUGGUCCUUCGUUAUGGGUCGUCGAUCAAAAUUAAGGAAAUUGAAAUUGACCUUUCGAGGAUUUUUAACUUGAAAAACAGAUCCAUUACUACUAGGUUGUCCAGAAUUUCUAGAAUGGAUAUAAGUUGGACCACCGAUAACCUUUCUCUUGGAAUCACCAUCAUCGCCGAAAAUGCAGCAGAAAGCAACUCCAAUCCAUUGAUUGUCAUUCUGAAUAUUUAGAGGCAAAGGUAUUUCAAUUACAGAGCCGCCUUUCUGUUGGCUGAACCAUUAUGGGAUUUCAUUUACAGGUAUAACAACAUCAAAUCUUUUUCUUGAAUUUGCAAAUGCCUGCAAAUUAAAACAUCAAUCGUUCUUGAAUUUGCUAAUUAAUAAAAUAUCUGUUGCGUUUAAAUCAUUAAACAAGAAUCAAAACAAAGAAUUUGUGUUUGAAAGAUGAAAAAUAGAAGCAAAAAUCGUAUGUUGGAUUGAGAGAAGAAGAUGACUUAUCUCAUUACUUGAAUAAGUAACAUAACAUAUACAUAAAUAGUUCUAUUAUAUUGGAAGAAAAUAAACAUUGCUUGUGCAAAUAACCAAGCUGUAAAAUCAGCUUAAUGAUAACAUAAAACCUACUAAAUCUGCUAAGUACAUGGCUGAACCUUAGCAAAACAAAAAGUUACAAUCAAAUCAAACAUAAGUCACAUGUUACAAAAGUAAAUCCACUAUGGACAUUGGCAUGUUGCAUGCAUGCUGCUGCAUUGUUGCCAACUUUCAACACUCCUCAAUUGGCUACAAAGUAGCAGACUCCAAUUUCCUUCCUCAGAUACUCAAAACUUGUGGCAGCCAAUGGCUUGGUCAAAAUGUCUGCGAGCUAAACCUCCGAGCAACAAUGAAUCAAGUUAACUUCCUUUGACAAUUCUGCCUCCCUUACAAAAUGGUGCUUGAUACUGAAGUGCUUGGUCUUGCCAUGAAAUACAGGAUUCUUGGCAAUGGCAACAACUGACUGAUUAUCUACUUUGAUCUCUGUUGCUUCCACUUGAUCAGCAUUCAAGUCAUUCAAAAGCUUCCUAAGCCAAAUUGCUUGAUUAACAGCAGUAGCAGUUGCAAUAUACUCUGCCUCUGCAGUGGAUUGAGCUACUGUCUGUUGUUUCUUAGAACUCCAACUAAAAACUUCUAAGCUUAGAGUGAAAAAGCAGCCCGAUGUACUCUUCAUGUCAUCAACUAAACCAGCCUAGUCACUGUUUGAAUACCCAACCAGUUUCAGUUCUUCAACUUUCACAAACUUCACUCCAUAGCUUAAGGUUCCUUUGACAUACCUUAGGACCCUUUUAGCAGCCUUGAAAUGAGUAACAUUACAAUUCUAUAGCUCUUCUUAUCAACUCGAGCAUGGUCACUGUUGCUGGAGAGUUUUUCUCCUUGUGCCACAGGAGUGCUAGCAAGUUUACUAUUUGUCAUGCAAAACUUGUUUAAAAUUUUUGAAGCAAAAGCCUGUUGGCUUAUGAAGAUGCCAUGUUCAUUCUGAUUCACUUCCAUACCAAGGAAGUAGGUCAUCAAUCCUAGAUCAGUCAUCUCGAAAACAUCUUGCAUCUGCUCCUUGAAUUCUUUAAUCAACUCACUUAUACAACCAGUAACCAACAAGUCAUCCACAUACAGAGACACAAUCAACAAGGUUUCUUUCUCAACCUUCUUUACAUAGAGUGGAUGCUCAUUAGUGCUCUUCUCGAACCCCAGCCUUGACAAAUAAGCAUCAAUCCUAUCAUACCAAGCCCUUGGAGCCUGUUUUAGGCCAUACAAGGCCUUCUUGAGCUUGUAAACCUUAUGCUUUUUACCAAGAACCUUGAACCCAUCAGGUUGCUCAACAAAGAUCUCUUCCUUGAGAAAUCUAUUCAGAAAAGCUGAUUUAACAUCCAACCGGUGCACUUCCACUGCUUCUGAGUAGCUAAAGCAAACAAUAGCCUUAUGGUGUCUAGCCUUGCAACUGGUGUAAAUAUUUCAGAGAAAUCGGUGCCAUACUGUUGACUAUACCCUUUCAAAACCAAUUUUGCCUUAUACUUGUUCAAUGACCCAUCUACAUUGUUCUUGGUCCUGAACACCCAUUUUACACCAAUAACUUUUCUGUUUGCUGGCAUGUCAACCACCUCUCAUGUGUCAUUUUUGUGAAUCAUCUUCAUUUCUGCCUCCAUUACUUCUUUUCAAUAACCCUCCUUUGCAACUUCAUCAAAGUUGAAAGGCUCAAUAAUGGUCAUAUCAUACCUCUCGUAGAUGUCAUAAUAGUCCUUGUACCUCUGACAGGUACAUCAUCAUAAUCAUCCUCAGUUUCAGCUUCAGUCUUAGCAUGCUGUAAACCAAGAACAUGCCGGUCUUGCUCAAACAAGCUUGCAUCCGUUCCAUCCCAUUCCUGACAACUGCCCUCAUUGAAUUUCACAUCUCUACUUUCAACAAUCUUCUUAGUGGAUGGAUCAAAGACCCUAUACCUUUUUUUAUUCUACUAUAGCUAACACAGACUCCAUGUAUGGACCUUUUUUCUAGCUUGAUUCUCUUCUCAGCUGGCACCAGUGUGUAGCAUAUGCAACCAAACACCUUCAAGUGUGAGACAGUUGGCUUAUGUCCAAACCAAGCUUCAAAUGGAGUUUUACCCUUGACUGUAUUAGUUGGCAGCCUAUUUAGCAAAUACACAGAUGUAUUUACUACCUCAGCCUAAAAAUUGUUAGGCAUUUUGCCUUCAAAUAAUAGACACCUGGCCAUAUCGAGAAUAGUCAUGUUCUUUCACUCAUAAACACCAUUCUGCUGUGGUGUGUAGAUGGUGGUUAAUUGGUGCUGAAUUCUAGCUUCAUCACAAAUCUUCUGGAACCUUUGAGACACAUAUUCAGUCCCAUUAUCAGACCUCAAUAUCUUCAACUUGCAACUGGCUUGAUUUUCAGCCAAUUCCUUGAACUUGCAAAAGAAGUCAACCACAUCUGACUUUUGUUGCAAAAAGCUUACCCAACAAAAUCUGAUGCAAUCAUCAAUGAACAAUGCAAAAUACCUACUGCCAUUCAAAGAGGAGGUUUCCAUAAGUCUACAAAUAUCUGUAUGGACCAGUUGGAGCCUCUCUUGAGCUUUUCAAGCUUUGUUAACAGGAAAAGGUAGUCUGGUCUGCUUGCCAAACUGACAGACUUCACACACAUCAUUCCUAGGCUCUGUCUAGGACAUGUCUUCAACUAAGCUCAUCUUGUGUAGUAAACUUAGUGACUUAUAGUUCACAUGCCCCAGCCUCUUGUACCACAAACAUGAUUCAUCAGUCAAAGCUGUAUAUGCGUUUGCUUCUAACUGAUUCACAUCCAAGGUAAAUGAUUUGUCAUGUAUAGCUACUGUCACUAUUACUUAAUCAAAAGCAUCAUUAAUCACAUAUGUCUUUUCUUCAAAAAUAAGGGAGUAACCCUUUUCUAACAACUGACCAAAACUAAGUAGAUUCUGGUCAAUAUCAGGUAAAAAAAGAACUUCUGAAAUGGUUUUGUUACCUGACUGAGUGCAGAUCACAACCUUGCAUUUGCCUUUCGUCUCGAUGAACUCACCAUUCCUAAUUUUGAAUUUGGACACAAAACUAGUGUCUAGCUCCCUGAACACGCCUUUAUCUGAAGCCAUGUGAUGAGUGUAGCCACUACCAAUCAGCCAAUUCUUCCCGACUUUGCUCAAACUUGCAAAACAAGAGGCAGUGAAAACAUGCUCCUCUUGAGCUUGAACAUCCUCAGCAACUUGAGCUUGAUUCUGCUGCUGUGGUUGUUUUUUUACUUUAUUCUUGCAAACUUUUUCAAUAUGGCCAAGUUUCUUACAGUUUCUACAUUGAAUGUCAGGCCUGUACUAGUAGUACUUUUCUAAGUGAGUGGACUUUUUGCAGUGAGUGCAUGGUGGAAACUUCCUUUUAGCAGCAUCCUUCUUUUCUUUUUCUUUCUUUUCUGACCAAUGCCUCUUGCCCUUGUUGCUUGAGCUCGAGUUUGAGCUUUCUCUGCUUCUAGCUUGAAAGGCUCCUUCAGAAUACUCCUAUAUUCUGUUUCCCCUUCUUUGCUCUUAUGCAUAGAGAACAUUUAUCAGCUCUGUCAAAGGUAUAGCUGAUAGGUCUCUAAACUCCUCCAAAGAAGAGAUUUUUGACUCAUACUUCUCUGAAAGAGUUGUAAUGACUUUUUCAGCUAUCCUUUUGUCACUGAACUCAUCCCCAAGAAGCCUUAUGUUGUUGACUACAGCCAUAAUCCUGUCAACAUACUACUUGAUGGUUUCAAACUCUUUCAUCUUCAGAUUCUCGAAGUCCCUCAUUAGGUUUAUCAACUGCUGCUACCUGGUCUUGUCUGACCCUUGAAACUCUUUCUUGAGUCUGUCCCAGAUCUAUUUUAGAGUGUCACAAGCCAUUAUCCUUGUGAAUAUCACAUCUGAAACUCCAUUUUAAAGGUAUGACAUAGCCUUACACUUUUUGGCACAGUCUUCAUUAUGCUGCCUAAUUUGAGCUAUGGUUGGAUUAGCUCUCAAAGAUGGUGGCUCUGUGUCAGCUAGAACAACACUCCAUAGAUCAUGAGCCUGCAUAUAUGUCUUCAUUUUCACAGCCCAAAUGUUGUAGUUUCCACCAGGAAAGACAGGUGGUGGUGGUGGUGGUGGUGGUGAGAAACUCAUUUUUCUACAGCAACUAAAACAAGCCAACAAAAACAACUUCCGUUUCUUUUCUUUCAAGCACGAGUCACUCAAGGAAUAGCUUACAACAAAAGGCCCUAAAAGAUGAUAGGCUCUUGAUACCAUUUGUUGAGUUUAAAUCAUUAAACAAGAAUCAAAACAAAGAAUUUAUGUUUGAAAGAUGAAAAAUAGAAGCAAAAACCGUAUGUGGAUUGAGACAAGAAGAUGACUUAUCUCAUUACUUGAAUAAGUAGCAUAACAUAUACAUAAAUAGUUCUAUUACAUUGGAAGAAAAUAAACUUUGCUUGUGCAAGUAACCAAGCUGUAAAAUCAGCUUAAUGAUAACCUAAAACCUACUAAAUCUGCUAAGUACAUGGCUGAACCUCAGCAAAAAAAAAAGUUACAAUUAAAUCAAACAUAAGUCACAUGUUACAAAAGUUCAAUGACUGAAAUACACCAUAGACAUUUGCAUGCUGCAUGUAUGCUACUGCAUCGUUGCCAACUUGCAACAAUAUUGGUGGUUCUGUAACUAAAACCAUGAAAAAAGAGAGAGAGAUCAAUCAACCUUAAUAUUGUUUUCAGCAAUGUUAUUGCACCAAUGUUCUCUGCCAAUCUGUGGCUGCUACCGGCCAUAAAAUAAGCCUAAUUAUGUUUCCACUCUGUUGUCAUCCUUGUUAGAAGCACAUGCAAUGAUUCAAGCUCACUGCAAUUUGACACUCCAAGAUAUUGAAGAUUGAAAAGACGAGUAAGAGACGUAGGUAUGCUGGUGAAAUUGUUACCACUAAGAGCAAGAUAUCUCAAUAAGGAUAGACCAGAAAUAUCACUAGGAAUAUCUCAUAUACCCAUAUUGCACAGGCUGUAAUUUGACAACUUAUCUUCAAGCUUGGAGAGUUGAGUAAGAGAUGUAGGUAUGUUGUUGAAAUUGUUACCGCUAAGAUCAAGAUCUGUCAAAAGGGGAUAGAUAAGAAAUAGUACUAGGAAUAUCUCCUUCACCAAGAUUGCAGUCCCUUAGUUUCAAGUUUGUUAAUGAACUCAAACUGAAUAAUGAAGGUCAUAUUGGAGCUAUGGAAUUCUUCCUUCCUCGUUGGCUUACCUUGAAAAGAGAAAGGUGAUUUCUUUUUAACUUAGACGGACCCUUGCAUCCAUCGAAAGAAAAAACUUUAAGAUUUUUCAAUUGAGAAAUGAAGGAUGGUGGUUCUUUUAUGGUUGUUUCACUCAAGUCAAGCUCUUCCAAAGAUUUUGUCUACUGCAAAUUCUCUGGCAAAUAUUCAACUUUAUAACAACCAAAAAGAUGAAGAGUUUUUAGAUGUUCCAUUUUCCCAUCAAUCUCUGGAACCCUGUCAAGAUUUGAGCAACCUGAAAGAGUUAAAGUUUCAAGGGAUUCCACUCCAAUUUUGGUUGGAAGACUCCUAAGACUUUUGCAGUCUCUUAAAUCCAAAAGUUUAAGUUUCUUAAGCAGUCCAAGUGACGGAUGAACAUCUACUAAUUUGGUACAACCUUCCAUAAUCAGAACUUCGAGAUAUGGGGCCAUUAUUAAUGGUAGUAACAUUUUAAUUAUUUUAAUAUACUUUUACUUUUAGAAAUUUUGUCCCAUUCUUUUGUUUCAUGUCAUGUUCGAAAAAGAGUAUGAAUAAUAGGUUUGGAGUAGUAAAAAAUGGCUCAUUUAAUAUCAUAAUAAUAUUUGUUACAUGUCAAAUCGAUUUCAUGUUGUCUUAAUAUCUGGAAUUUGUUUUCUAAUUUUUAUUAUUAUUAUUUUUCGAAACAUUAUUAUACAUUUAUAUCAUAUUCGUUCUUUUUGAUACAAUGCCUAGAACUAUCCAUAGUCCCUCCCUCACCCUUAAAUAGGAGGAUAACGUGCUUCAGCGUACUCAAACUCACGUCCUCCUGCACUAGCAACAAUACUGAUGCCAAUCGAGUUAGGACUCAAACCCACGUGUUCUUAAACAACUAGGUUUGACGACCCUAAGAAGUUAUCAUAGGCUAGACGAGGUCGGGAGGUAAGCGAGUAUAAACCAAUCGAUUAAUUAGUUAGAGGUCGGGAGGUAAUAAUUGACUAAUUAGUAGCUAAUCUACCGUAAAACCCUAAUCCGAAGUUUAUUACGAAUCUUGAAGCGAGUUAAUCUUUCUAAUUGAUUUUUUUUAAUUUUAGUGGAUUGUUAUUUUUCUUAUUUAAAUUCUCUCAUUAAUCUAUUUUAUGGUUUAUCGUAAUAUAGAGAUUAAUUACUACUACUUAGACUUAUUAUUGUAGAAAGGUUUCCGUAGAUUUAUUCCAUCCUCUCUUGGGUACAAUCCUUAGAAUACUUUCAAAUAUUUUGUUAUACUAACUAUAUUACACUUUGACCCGUGCACUUGCAAACACCGCUAUUCUAAAUUCUUAUAUAUUUUUGGUGUAUUAUUUUAAUAUAAACAAUAACCCCUUUAGCACUACCUUGGCCAACUUUAGCUACAGACCCCUGCUUCAAACGAAUUGGGUCAGUGGUCCGACCUUCUCCACUACCUCCAGCCUCAACCAAGACACCCUUUCCUUUUUUAUUAGCUUCCAUAAUUAUCUCCCUUAUUUCCUCCCCCGAAUUAGCGUUGCCUGGCUUCCAAGGAUCCCUGAAAUUACGCCUUAACUUUCUCUCCACAAGCAUCCAUGGUCUGUAGACUGGUGACUCCUCUGGUUUAUCAUCUUCCACCAUCACCGCCAUAUCCGCCAUAGAGUGUUUCGCAUAAGCCCUCGAAGCCCCCUUGUUCUUGUUAGAGUUGGAAUCCUCAAUUGUAAAAGUCACUGUAUCAAAUAUUUCAACCAUUAAUCAAACAAUAACAGAGAAACUUAACUAAAUAGGAGAAAAAAUCAAUUUGUACGAAAGGGCUAGUGAAGUAGUGUACACAAUUAUUGCUUCUUCCCUGAUCGGCCCGUUAUAAAUUUGAAAAUGUUUUGCAUCCUUUUAGGGUGCGGCCCUUCUUCCUCGGUUUCCUCGUCGAUAUCACGUUUUCGUUUUACAAGGGAAGUGCUGCCUGCGGAUCCAUCUUUUUCAGUAGAUUGAUGAUGGAUAUGUUCCAAGUUUGGAGAAGAUUGAAUGGUAUGGCUCUGCAGCUCUUUUAUUUCUUCCAAAUCUUUCUCAUACAUUAUUCUAACACCACACUUCUUCACCUUAACAGAAGGAUACCCUUCUGAAUAAGAUUGGAAAGACAGCUCAAGCGAUAAAUUCUUGGUUUCACAUUUAUCCUUUAAGGAUAAUGGCGAGAAAUAACGAAGAAAAAGGUGGUCCUUCGUUAUGCGUUGUCCAUUAAAAUUAAGGAAAUUGAAAUCGACUAUUCGACUAUUUUUAACUUGAAAAACAGAUCCAUUACUACUAGAUUGUCCAGAAUAUGUAGAAUGGAUAUAAGUUGGACCACCGAUAACCUUUUUCUCGGAACCAUCAUCAUCGCCGAAAAUGCAGCAGAAAGCAACUCCAAUCCAUUGACUGUCAUUCUGAAUAUUGAGAGGCAAAGGUAUUUCGAUUACAGAGCCGCCUCUCUGUUGGCUGAACCAUUCUGGGAUUUCAUUUCCAGGUAUAAUAGCAUCAAAUCUUUUUCUUGAAUUCGCAAAUGCCUGCAAAUUAAAACAUCAGUCGUUCUUGAAUUUGCAAAAUAAAAUAUCGGUGGUUCUGUAACUAAAACCAUGAAAAAGAAGAGAGAGAUCAAUCAACCUUAAUAUGUGUUUUCAGCAAUGUUAUUGCACUCAUGUUCUCAGCCAAUCUGUAGCUGUUAGUGGCUAUAAAGUAAGACCAAUUAUGUUUCCACUCACUUGUCUUCCUUGUUAGAAGCACAGGCAACGAUUCAAGCUCUCUGCAAUUACACAGUCCAAGAUAUUGAAGAUUGGAAAGACGAGCAAGAGACGCAGCUAUGCUGGUGAAAUUGUUACUAUUAAGAUCAAGAACUUUCAAUGAGGAUAGACCAGAAAUAUCACUAGGAAUAUCUCCUUCACCCAUAUUGCACAGGCCGCAACUUGACAACUUAAGAUCUUCAAGCUUGGAGAGUCGAGUAAGAGAUGCCGGUAUUCUGUUGAAAUUGUUAAAGCUAAGAUCAAGAAAUGCCAAAGAGGAUAGACAAGAAAUAGCACUAGGAAUAUCUCCUUCACCAAGAUUGCAGCCCCUUAGUUUCAACCUUGUUAAUGAACUCAAACCGGAUAAUGAAGGUAGCAUUGGAGCUAUGGAAUUCAUCCUUCCUCUUUGGCUUACCUUGAAAAGAGAAAGGAGAUUUCUUUUUAACUUACACGGACCCUUGCAUCCAUCGAAGUAUAGAACUUUAAGAUUUUUCAAUUGAGGAAUGAAGGAUGGUGGUUCUUUUAUGGCUGUUUUACUCAAGUCAAGCUCUUCCAAAGAUUCUGCUUGAUGCAAACUCUCUGGCAAAUAUUCAACUUUAUAACAAUCACAAAGAUUAAGAGUUUUUAGAUGUUCCAUUUUCCCAUCAAUCUCUGGAAACCUCGCAAGAUUUGAGCAACCCGAAAGAAUUAAAGCUUCAAGGGAUUCCAUUCCAAUUUUGGUUGGAAGACUCCUAAGACUUUUGCAAUCUCUUAAAUUCAAAAGUUUAAGUCUCUUAAGCAUUCCAAGUGAUGGAUGAACAUCUGCUAAUCUACUACAACCUUCCAUAAUUAAAACUUCGAGAUAUGGGGCUGUUGUGAAGUUUGGUGUCUUGAUGAGAUUUUGAGACCCUUUAAGGCUGAUUAUUUUCAACUUAUACAAGGGCUGUUGAAAACAAUAAUAGAUUAGAAAGAAAAGAGAAAACAACAUAAUAAACCUCAUUAUUAUUAUUAUUAUUAUUAUUAUUAUUAUUAUUAUCUUGUUCAAAUUUUAACCGUUUAUAAUAUUAAACAAAUUAAUUGUUUAUAUUAAAAUAGGCUAAAACAUAAGGAUUAGAUGAAUUUAAUUCUUACUCUAUUUCCCUUCCACAGUUGUUCAAUGCGACUAUAUGGUAAGAGAAGUACGACAAGGUUGUCCGGUUGAAAGCUUGAAGGCAAUGAUUUUAAAGGAUAUUCCGUCCAAUCUAAAAGUCGUAGCUGAUCAGAAAGAUAUUUGAGAUCAUCACAAUUUGAGAAACAAAGCACUCUGAGCAAUCUUAAUCUUUUCAUCUUCGAGAAGACAUCGUUACUCAAUUUGAAUAUCUUGCUUGAUUCCCUAAAAACCACAGGCAAACAAAAAAUGAACAUUAAAAUAUACAAAAACAUUCCAUACCUAAAAGUUAUGUUUCUCCAAUACUAUUUUUUAAGGGCUUUUAUCCGAUACUUAUAUCUAACAUGUGUCCAAAUAUAAGCAUUGAUAUAUGAUCCUUCAAGAACUCUUUAAAUACAUGAAAAGGCCUUUUAAAAAAAUCAUACAUACCCAACUUAGACAUAUAUAUAUAUAUAUAUAUAUAUAUAUAUAUAUAUAUAUAUAUAUAUAUCUAUCAAACACUCACUUUUGACUUCGAAUUACUUAAAGCUUUAGAAACUAGAAAUAAAUCUUGAAUUAUAUUAGUGCAAUAAUAAUGCGUAAUUCUAUUUAUUGUUAUUGAACGAAACAGUAACACGUCAUUAAAAAUGAAAUCAAUUGGUUUUAUUUUUAAAAACUUUGAUGACAUAUUAAAAUUUUAUUCUCUGUGAUAUACCAUCCGUGCAUCAAAUAUAAGCACUUAAUAUUAGCAAUGAUAUAUUGCUAUUGUGUUUCUUUUGAAAGAUUAAUGCGUUGCUAGAUAAAUUUCAUAAAUAUAAUAUUAAAUAUUAAACAUUCAAGAUAUUUUCAUUGAUUUUUAUUGGAUACUUUUACUAAAAAAAACCAAUAACAAUAUUAAUAAUACAAUAUGUAUAUUUUUUUACCUUUGAUUGUCGAUGAUCAUGCCUUCAAUUAUUUCUGUAACCUAAAAAAAGUAAGAAUAGAGAAUAAAUUAUUUUAAUUAAAGUAAAACAUUUCCAAUGAGAGAAUCGAAUUAAUUACUUAUUUUUUCAAAUCCUUAUUAACAGUUACCAUCAACAAAAGGAAUUUAUCUCAAUGCUAUUGAACGCUACUUUUUUAUGGACUGCUAUAUUAAUCAACUGUACUAAACCUUACUCAAUUUUAUUUCAGAAAUAAAGUAAAACAUUUUGUAAUGAGAGUAAAUCAAUCAAAUUAAACACUUAUUUUAUAAAUCCUUAUUAAUAUUUAUAUUCAACAAAUGGCAAUUAUCUUAAAGCUACUCAAUGUCACUUAAGGAUUGAUAUGUAAACCAAUUAAACUAAGCUUUAGAUUUACAUCAUAUAUUGAUAAAAAGAAAACUUUGUAUGUAAUUUCUGUUGAAUGAUUUACCGUGUUUUUUGUUAGGACAUGAUGGACAUCCCUUUCCUUCCACAAUCUACAACGUUUUCCAGGUUCAUCAACACAUUUUUCUUCAACAAUUUUUCUUCCCAGUUCUUGCAACAAGGCAUGCAUCCGCAAAUAUUGGUUGUCAUCACUGACUUUUAUGAGAGAUUUCUUAAUGAGAACAUCAACUCCAAUAUCUGGAAAAAACUCACAACCAUCCAAUACUUUCAUUACCAAAUCUUUCUCCUCCCCAUUGAAAAAGCAUGCUAUAUCUAGAAAUAUAUUCUUCUCCCUCUCUUCCAAUCCAUCAAAGCUAAUUCGUAGUAUGUCAAGAAUUUCUUUGUUAGAAUCUUGUUUAAAUCUUUCGAUUGCACUUCUCCAUUGAAUUAUAUCUCUUCCGCACAAAAAUGAACCCAAAACUUCAACAGCUAAGGGGAGACCAUCAGCAUAAUGUACAACUUGUUUAGAAAGCUCAAUGAAAUCAUAUUUCUGCGUUGUAUCACUAUCAAAAGCUUUCAAAUUGAAAAGCCUAAGUGCAUCGUUGGGAUUCAGUGUUGUAGGCUUAUACACAUCAUCGAUUCGAUAAGAUCUGAGCAAAUGUUCAUCUCUUGUUGUUACAAUGAUCCUACUCCCUAAACUGAACCAAUCACGCCUUCCAACCAAGCAUUUCAAGUGUUGUACGUUAUCAACAUCAUCAAGAACAACAAGAACCUUUUUUCUAGACAACCUAUGGCUAAUUAUGGCAUUCCCUUCAUGAACAUUGAAAAAAUUGAAGCAUUCAUCUGGCAAGAUUUGAGUAAGGAGUUGUUUCUGUAAAGAAACAAGUCCAUGUUUGUUUGAAACUUCUCGAACAUCAGCAAGAAAGCAUUUACCUUCAAAAUGAGGUAACAUUUGAGUGUAAGCAACUUUUGCAAGAGUUGUUUUACCGAUGCCACCCAUUCCGCAAAUUCCUAUAAUGCGGACAUCGUCUUCCCCAAUGUUUAUUUUCGAAUGCAACUCCUCCAAAGGUAAAAUAAUUCCAACCAACUCAUCAUGAACAAUCAGAUAUGUCUGACAUAGUUUUGCUGAUAUCUUCUUAACAAUGUCUCCGAUAAACUUUGAUUCAUGCCUACAAAGAAAUUAAGUUCUGAUGUUAUCUUUCAAAUGCACUUUUUCUUUUUUAGGUUAGUGAAUCAUGAAAUAUAAUAUAGUUGGAACCAAACAAAAACAAGAAUAAGACAGCGGGAUCUGUUAUAGCAUCAAAAUACACAACAUGCUCGUUAGUUGAUGUAACGCCCACUUCAGAUUUGUUAAAUUUUGUCAUUAAUCAGCAUUUGUAGUAGUGGUUUAGUGUCUUAGUUUUGUUUGAGGUCUUGGGUUUAAGUCAUGUUUUUAUUUUGGGGAAUUAAAUUAUUUUUGUUAGACCAUGGUCAAUUGUUUAGGUUGGAGGUGUUGGAUUGGGUUUUGUUUUGAACUCUUAAAAAACGAUGGUAAGAUAGCAGGUUGUUGGAUUAGAUUUGAGAGGGAUUUUGUUCUUAUUUUUAUUCUUUUUAUUUUAGUUUUUUAUCUUUCCCAAAAUUUCCCACGUUUGCCUCAACUUUGCUUCACGUUUUUGUUUUCUUCUCUCUCAUUUCUUCGGUUCUUUUGUUACUUCUUUAUGGUACAGCUUCUAUUUGGUUGGCCCCAAUCCUUAGCGGUAAGGUUUUAUCAUCUUUUACUGUGUUCUUUUGUGAAAUUGUUCGUUGGGAAUUUGGGGAUUUCGGAAUUUUGUGUUAUCUAAUUAAUCCACUAUGUUUUAGGAGAAGUUCAAGACGUGAUUGGUGUUCCUCCAGCGACUUAGGAUUCGCAUAGAAGCUGUUCGUUUAAUGGUAAGUGUGUGGAUGUAUUUUUGGAGGGUUGUAUAAGCUCGGUUGUGGUCAAUUCUUAGUUAGAUUUCGCAAAUCAUUACUAAAAUUGAUUGUGUUAAUUGUCGAUUUAGGUGGGGGAUUACUCGUUUUUGGAAUCGUAUUCGGAUGUGUAACGAAAAACCCGAAAAAUAGCAAACGAUAAAAGUCGAAAAACUGCAUUGUCGACGCCACACGGCCGUGUGCGAAAUUGUUUAGCCACACGGUCUGAGCCAUUUGGGCCCGUGUUGCCCACAUGGUUGUGUGUGAGACCAUGUGGUUCCAAAAUUUUGAAUUUUUCCCUAGGGUCGUAAACAUCGUUUGGAUUGAACGUAGAGUUUCCGUAGGGCCAGUAUGUUAUAAAUUAAGCUAUAAAACACGUAUUCUGACCAUUUGUUAGCAUAAAAUUAGAUGUAUGUACGCAUGUUUGAAAUGAUAUGAGAGAAGUAAAAUAUUUAAUAUGCUAUGUAUGAUCUGAUAUACGGUAAGCAUGACUUGAGUUUGAUAUUAAGCAUGUAUGACAUAUACAUUUCUGACAUCUAUUAUUACUAUAUGUUUGUGCAUUUGGGGAUGGGAUUGUGUAUAUGGAGGAAGUGUGAGUAGAUAUAUUUCUACCGUAUUUGGUGGCACAACCAUACAUAUUUCUGUAUACGGUGAUAAAUCACCUAAUAAACUGACAACUGAACUACAAAUAAUUUGGAAAGUGUCAUACCGACACUAAACGGUGUGUAGGGGUGGAUGAGUAUAUAGUACCAUGUAUGGUGCCUUGGGAUGGUCGGAGAUAAUGUGUAGCAGAUGGGGGUAGGACUAUAAAUUUGCAUCUGUUAUGUUCUAAUAAGCUCCGUUUCUAAUUUAUAUAUGUUUGAAUGAUUUUUGUAUGUGAUGUUAUACAUUGGGUUUCGAAAACUCCCUCUUUGUUUGAUUGUCACUUUUAGGUAACCCUCAGACUUAGGCGGACCGGUGCGACUGAAGCUCGGUUAUAAUAUUUUGGUUUCUUCUGACUUACUUAAAAUUUAGAAUUUACGUGUUUUGUAAAAUUUGGUCUUUCUUUGGUCAUUUUGGGACUGUUUAAAUUUUUGGACUUCACUUUAUGAUUUUAAUUGUUUUAUUGUUUUUUGUGGGUUUAUAAUAUGUUCUGUGAAAUGUUGAUUUUAAAAUAUUAAACUGUGUUUUCAAAACUGGACUUAAAUAAGAUUUUUCCCUUGUAAACUCAGAUGUUUUAAAAAUAUACUUAUAUAUAAAUUACGGUUUUAAUAAUCGGAUAAGAAAGAUAGGCUUACAAACAAAUCGAAUUUUUAUGUAACGGAAGUUAACGACGUUUUGUAAAACUAAUGUACUCAGGGUUUUUAAAUAAUUUACGGUAAUAUCUCCGGAUCUGACCACAACAUCUACACCAAGUUUAAGGUUACAACUAAAAUAUGAGAAUUGUCAAUUAAAAACAAAGUUAUAAAAAAUAACAUGCAAUCCAAAAUAAUAAUAAUAAAUUUUUUUAGUCACUAAAACUAGGAAAUAGAGAAGAAAAGAAAGAAAUACCUAUUAUGUAAAUGCCAUCCCUUGAUGUUAGCCACUUCAGUCAAAGCAUUUCGCCACUUUUGGAUCUUGUCUUUAUUUUCUUUGUAUCUUUGUUCGUGUUUGGCGAAGGCUUCUUCAACUUUUCCUUUUUGUUUUCUUAAAUCAGAGGGAUCCACAUCGUAGAAAAUUGGAAAUACUUUAUGACCCUUGUCAUUUUUUUGUUUAACAAUCUCCGAAAGCUCCUCCAAGCACCAACCUGAAAAGGCAUAGGUCUCCGAAAAAACGAUUACCGAGCACCAUGAUUGCUGAAUUGCGUUGAAGAGUUCCGGUGCGAUCUCUUCACCAGCUUCCAACUUUGGAUCAUCUCUAAAAGUGACGAUCCCAUUUCUAUUUAGAGCAUCGUAGAGAUGAUCCGUAAAGUUCCUGCGAGUAUCUUCACCUCUAAAACUCAAGAAAACAUCGUAUUUCUUUCUAGAAAUGGAUGAGGAAGUCGAAAGUAAUGACGACAUGAGGUUGUAUGAGAAGAAAAAUAUAUGUAGAUGUAACGUUCAAAAUCAGAAAACAGAUGGCUCAAUACCUCAGAAACGAAGUAGAAACAAUAAGUAUAUGAGGGAAAAACAUGAUAAUAACUAUGAAGGGGAGUAGGUGUGGAAAUUCGGGUGUAUAGGUGUGGAGCCUACAAUUAUUAUUAAGUGAAGUGUUCGAAAAUCUAUUAAAAUAAUAACUAAUUAAUUAAUAUUAAUUAAGUGAUAAUUAAUGUGCUUAAAAUUCUAUUAAAAAAAUAACUCUAUUUUACAUCAAUAAAAUUAGCAUAACUUUUAUUUAUGUUAAAAAAAUUUUAUUUAAUAAUAAAUUAUAAUUAUAAUUAUCACAAAAAAUUUUCCCUAAAUUUUAUUCUUAGGGUUCUAUUGAAGUUAUAACUCAAUUUUAAAAUUAGCAUAAUUUUUUUAAUUAAUAAUUGUAAUUGUAAUUAUUUUUAGAUGGGUAAUUAUCAUAACUUCUAUUAAAUUAUAAUUAUUUUAUUUUGAUAAAAUACCUAAAAUUACUCAUAACAUUUCCUCAACCCUUAAAUAAGAAGAUAAAUGUACUUCAGCAUACUUGAACAUACAUCCUCUUGCAUUGGCAACUAUAUCGAUGCCUACCGAGAUAAACUCAGUCAACAAUUAUAAUUGUUUUUAAAUGUAUAAUUAUCUUAAGUUUUAUUUUGUUUAAACUUUCUUUAACCAAUAAUUCUAAAUUAAAUAUUAUAAUUAUUUUUAAAUAUGAAUUUAAAAAUAGAGGUUAUUUUCAAAAUUAUUUUCAAAAUCGAUUUUUAUAUAUAUACAAAUUACACACUCAUCUUCCUUUCUAAUAAAUUAACAAGUGCCAAAUUAUUCGACUCCGCUUGAUUAGUGCUGUUCAAAUCUGCUUUAACUUUACCUCCAUAAUACGCGGAGACCACGAAAAGCACUCAUUCCUUAAUACCAUAGUUCCCACGACGCCACUAUUGAAAACAAAGGCAUUUCUGUUAGUCAAAAGUUUCCAGCAGGCCACAGCAAAAAGAUUACCCCAUUCACAGUAAAAGCUGCUUGAGUUUCGGAGAAAUUCACUGUUCUCCCAUUUCCUAGUGCCCAAUAGACACCAUCUACUACAUCUUCCCAAAUAUUGGACAAAGCCCUCCAGAAAAAGUUUCUAUCUUUUCUUGCUUGGCUCGGCAUUCAUUAAAAUAGUUUCCAAGGCUCUUUACCCAUUGCGUUAACAAAUUUGCAUUGGCUGAAAUUUUUCAACUUUGGUGACAACAACUUCAAUAGAGAAAUUCCAUCAUGGUUUGGUCACUUUGCUGAGCUUCGAGUCUUACAGUUGCACAUUAACAAUUUCAGUGACAUUAAAAAAUUUAUAAACCAACAAUUUAGUUUUAGCUCUUUCAUAUAUCUCACAAAGAAAUUAAGGAUGAGGAGAUACCUAACUCUAUUAUUAGCCAACUAUGGUAUUGUGGAGGUGACUAUGAGUUUUUGACACCAAUUAAGAGUUGCAUUGAAAAUCUUACUUUUUUUAGGAAUAUUAUUAAAGCAGGUUAUUCCAAUUAGCUUAUCUUAGAAGUUGGCUUAAUUGACAUAAAUAAAAAAAUAUAUAUUUACUCUAACUUUGCAAGAACUAAACUUAAUGGUUAUUGUUUUAAAGUCAUGCUUCAAAAAUUUCAGCCGAUACAAAUUUGUUAACGCAAUAGGUAAAGAACCAUGGGAACUGUUUUCAUGAACUUAGAGCCUGCGAUAUCCAUGCUUGAGAAAUUCAGAGCGGUGACUCUGUGGUGUUUGGAUCCGCAGGUGACAACAAUUCGGUUACAAAUAGAGGUAGAAGUAGACCAAUUUGAUUAUUAAGAGGUUGUAAGGAUCAUGGCGAUGUUGGGUGAAUUCACAGACAAAAUAGCCUCAAAGGUUGCUAUUUGACAGAGAUUGAGAUGCACUGUAAAAGAAAAUUCCACCAAUUACCCUCUUGGAUUUCAACACCUGACAAGGCUUUCACCCAAAAAAGUGCUCUAAGCCUGGUAAGAAAGAGAAUCUCUUCAACCCGAACAAUUUUCGCAUUAAAAGUAAAAUCGUUACGCGCCAGCUAUAUGGACCAUAACCCCGCUGCAUAACAGAGGAGCCACCACUGCUUAAUAUCACCUUUAAUUUUAUUUUUCAUAGAAGUUUGGCUUUAAAGUUAAUGCCAAAUGGAUUUAUGGAUGGUUUUUAGACAAGGCUUGAGGGAUGGUUUUUAUUUAUAAAUUUAGAAAGCUUUAAAUGUAAUUUAUUUGGUAAUUAUUAUAAUGCAACGAUUAAAGAAAGAAAGAACAAGUUAGUGCAGAAUUUUCAAAAUUGGAUGGCGCUGGAAUUAUAAGUUGCAUUAAUGAAUAAAAGAAAGAAAAAGUUGUGCAGAACUUUCAAUUAUAAGUCACACCAUAUUCACUAAAUUAUACUGCUUGCCCCACCUUUUCUUUUCAAAUAUUUAUUUAUUUAUGGUGGCGGGGUUCAUGCUUUUAAUUUGUUUAUUACUAUGAUUAUGAAUAAAACUUUAUUUUAAUAUUUGUGGUGUUUUAUAAGUUGUUACAGGGAGAUGUUUUAUUGGGAUAAAUUACAUUAAAUAUCACUAAAUUAUUAAUAAGUUUAUAUUUUGGUCAUUGAAUUUUAAAAAGUUAUCAAAUGAUCACUAAAUUAUUUUAAAAUUUUUAUUUAAGUCACUAAAUUAUCUGAAAAUUUUUAUUUAAAUUAGUGAUUUGUUACAUUUUUUAUUUUUCUUUUAAUUAUACAUAUAUUUAUUAGGAAAGGGUCAAAGUUUUUUAUUUGUUUAUUAUUAGGGAUAAAUAUCAAAUUUAUAUAUGAACUUUGGUUCAAUGUGCAAUUUGAUACAUGAAUUUUGAUUUGGUGCAAUUAUUCAUAUAAAAUUUAAAUUGUGGUUCAUAUAUAUACAUGAAACUCUAAUUUUGAUUCAAUUGUACACAUUUAGAAAAAUGAAUACAUAUAAUUAUUUUCACAUUGGAUAAAAGUUCAUGUCUUCUGUUAUUAUCAUGGGUGAUACAUGGAUUUAAAGGAGCUCAUGUGUUCAUAGUGAGGAACUAUUAUUGAGUGUUGAUUUUCACUUACCGUAGUUAAAGUGAGUUGGGAGAGAGUUUACUUAAUUGUACAAUGGUGAGGUUGCACCAAGUUAGGCUUGAAUAAUUUUGUUGUAUUGUGAAGUUUAUAGUGGAUUCUAUCUCUUUGGGUAAGGCUUGGCAGAUGUAGGACGAGUUUCAAACUAUGUAAUCAUCUUGGUUGUGCUAUUUAUUUUGCUUGUUGCAUAGUAUGUGCCAACUCAAAAAUUUAUUUUUGUUUUUCAAAAUAUUUAAACUUAUAAUUAUAUCAAUAGUCUCCAUUAAAAUUUAUCUAUUGAAUUAAAUAAACAACUCAAAAAUUAACUUGUCUACACCUAAUUAUAUAUAUUAAACUUUUUUAACUUUUUGAAUUUUUGAGGAUUUUUGUCUCCAUUAUUGUAAAAAUUUAAAUUAAUUCCCAAAAUAUGUAAUGCUUGUAAUUAUUUUUGGUUGGGGAUCAACCCGAUUAAGCAACGAACAAGUAAAAAUAGCGAAAGAAAUUAGGAACUUGAACACACAAAUUUAAUGUGAAAAAACUCUCCGAAGAGGAUAAAAAACCACAAGCAAAUAUAGUUUUACAAUAAUGACAAAAGAACGAAGAGUACAAAAGAUAGAGAUAAAAAUUAAACCCCAAAAACAAAGAACUCUCAAAACAUAAACACAAAAUUCUCCAAAAGUGUUAUGAGUUCUAAUCUCUAAUGGGUGUAUUUUCUAAUGUUGUAAAAAAGUCUAUUUAUAAGCUAAAUUUGUAUGUCAAAUAAUAAUAAAAUAAUCUAGACUAAUCAGAGUUUGAUUGAAACAAAUAAACAAAGUUUAAUUGGAAGAUUAUUUCUCAAAUUUGACUGAAAUAUGAGUCGUACUCAACAAAUCUCCACAUGGACUCGUAUUUCCACAGCGCCACCUUUGCCAAAGCCUACCACGAGCCUAUCUUGAACUAUGCAGGGAAUUAAUUGAGUUGAAUUUGCGUUUAGAAGCUGUAAUACUUCUAGCCUUUGACUUGUGCACUGCCAAAUCAAAACUAACCCGGGUCUGAUUUUCACAAACACAAUGCUCUAAUUUUUCAAAACCUACAUCUAAAAGAGAACCUUCGCUCCAAACGAGUUAACUUUGACUCCGUAAUAGAUGAGGGACUUUUGAUUUCCCAAAUCGCUGUAGAACCUUUAAGAAUAUAAAGACUGCCGAUCCUUUUACCUUUUAACAAAACGAGACCCCCACAAGGCACCUUAAUGUCGCUCGACUCGAUAUUGAUUCUGCAACUUUUCGAGUCUAAAUUACCUAAGGAGAUGAGAUUCUUUCGUAAAUCAGGUACAUAUUUGAUAUCUGAGAGUGUCCUAAUCAUCCCAUAGUGUAUCCUAAUUUUAAUAGUACAAAUACCAAUUACCUUACUAGAUGAAUCGUUUCCCAUGCGCUCAACUCCACCUUCAACCAAACUGUAUGUGGAGAACCAUUCUCUGUUGGAACACAUGUGGAAAGAACAUCCCAAAUCUAGGAUCCACUCGGACAUAAGCUCAGAACUAUCGCUUGUAGACACUAAUAAAAAAUCAUCACCACUUUUGUCGGCCAAAUUAGCACGAGCUACAUCUUCCUCAUUGCUCUUAAUAACUCUUUUAUUUCGUAGUUUAUAACAAUUUGCUUUGAUGUGACCUAACUUCUUACAAUAGCGACAUCUUUUGUCUCGCUUCUUUGAUGUUACCAAAACAUAAGCUUGCCUAUUUUCCUUGCUAUUCAAACCAAACUCAUUGUCGAAUUUAACUUUGCUCAACAAAUGACCCUUCACAUCCUCAAAUGAGAGAUUAUCUCUCCUAUAAUUCGUAGUUUCCCUGAAAGACUUGUAUAAAGGAAGUAAAGAGCACAACAAUAGCAUAGUCUGAUCCUCAUCGUUGAUCUGAACCUCAAUGUUAUUUAAAUUAUUUAAAAGAGUAAUGAAUUGACUGAUGUGAACUCUAAGAAGCUCACAUUUGUUCAUGCGAAACGUAAAUAUACGUUGUUUUAAUACAAGACAGAUGAGGUCUUCUCCAUCAAUACCUCCUACAAUACCCUAUUCGUGAGGCACAACUAGAUUGCAGAUAAGGCCUUUUCAUCAAGCUCUUCCCAUUCUGACUGAUCUAUAUUUUUGAGCUUUUUCCCGGUAACAACCUUUUUCAGGCCGGUCUAAACUAGAAUUGUCAUCAUCCGAACUUGCCACAGAUUGAAAUUUUUGACACCAUCGAAUUUCUCAAUGUCAAACCUUGUUGCUGUCAUCUCUGAAUGAGCUAAUCUGCAAAAAUCGAACUAGCUUUUAUACCAUUUGUUGUGAAUCAACUUGAUUAAGCAACGAACAAGUAAAAAUAGCAAAAUAAAUUCAGAAAUUGAACACACAAAUUUAACGUGAAAAAAACCCUUCCGAAGAGGAUAAAAAACUACGGGCAAAGAUAAAUUUACUAUAAUAGAAAAAGAACGAAGAGUACAAAAGAUGGAGGUGAAAACCAAAACCCUGAAAAUCUAAAAACAAAAAAACCCUCCAAACGUGAAUACAAAAUUCUCUAAAAGUGUUAUGAGUUCUAAUAUCUAAUGGGUGUAUUUUCUAAGGUUUUAAAAGAGCCUAUUUAUAGGUUAAAUUUGUAGGUCAAAUAAUAAUAAAAUAAUCUAAAUUAACUAGAGUUUGAUUGAAACAAAUAAACAGAGUUUAACUGAAAAAUUAUUUUUCAAAUUUGACUGAAAUAUGAGUCAUACUCAACAUUUUUUAAAUAUGUGAUUUUUUAGGUUGGAAGAUGAGAUUAGUGUAAAAAUUUAAAUACAAUAAUUUUUGAGUCCUUAGAUUAGGGAGGGAAAAGAAAAGAAAAGAAAAGAAAUUGACAAAUAUGACUUCCAACCACAAGACUAAUGGUGUCGAAGUCUAUUUUGUUAUUUUUAUUUUUUUGGAUAAAUCUUAAAAUUAUUUAUGAACAUUGGUGCAAUGUGUAAUUUAAUAUAUGACUUUCGAUUUGAUGCAACUAUAUAAAUAAAACUUUGAUUGCGGUUCAAAACAAAAUGUUAAUACAUACAUUACCCGUAGAGUCAAUAUAGUCUUUUAAAGAUGUCGCCCACCCACCCACUAAGUAAUAAUUAAAUAAAAAAGUUACUAAUUUUAUAUUAAAAACUUAGUUAAGGGACGGUCUUUCUUUAUAAAUUUUCUGCAGUUUUCAAUGUAAUUUUCUGGAUGAUAAUGAUUAGCAGCACAUGAUGCUAUGAAUAAAGAAGAACAAGUUGGGCAGAAUUUUCAAUUGAAUUUACUAUAUUAUAUAUAUUUUUUAGGGUAAAAGUGGGAUUGGCCAAGAAUCGAAUUUAAUUUUAGUGCUAAUUGAAAAUUCAAUCACAAGUGUUUAUUUCUCCAUAUAAAGUUUAAAUUACUCUUUUACUACUAUACUCUUAUUAUUAUUUAUUAAUAAUGUUGAUGUAGGUUAGCGUCUUCAUAUUUGUUACUAAUGGUAGUAGCAUUUUAAUUAUUUUAAUAUACUUUUAUUUUUAGAAAUCUUGUCUCAUUCUUUUGUUUCAUGUCAAGUUCGAAAAAGAGUUUGAAUAAUACGGUUGGAGUAGUAAAAAAUGGUUCGUUUAAUAUUACAAUAAUAUUUGUUACAUGUCAAAUCGGUUUCAUGUCGUGUUAAUAUCUAGAAUUUGAUUUCUAAUCUUUUAUUUUUAUUAUUAUUAUUAUUUGAAAUCUUAUUAUACGUUGUUAUCAUAUUCGUUCUUGUUUACAUAAUGCUAAGAACUAUCCAUAGUCCCUCCCCCACCCUUAAAUAGGAGGAUAAUACGCUUUAGUAUACUUGAACCCACGUCCUUAUGCACUAGCAAUAAUGCCGAUGCCAAUCGAGUUAGGACUUAAAUCCAUGUAUUCUUAAACAACUAGGUUUGACGACCCUAGGAAGUUAUCAUAGGCUAGACGAGGUCGGGAGAUAAACGAGUAUCAAUCAAUCGAUUAAUUAAUUAGAGACCAGGAGGUAAUAAUUGACUAACCAGUAGCUAAUUCAACCUAAAACCCUAAUUUGAAGUUUGUUACAAAUCUUGAAGUGAGUUAAUCUUCCUGAUUGAUUUAUUAAUUUUAGUCGAUUAUUAUUUUCUUAUUUCAAUUCUCUCAUUAAUCUAUUUUAUAGUUUAUAGUAAUAUAGAGAUUAAUUAUUACUACUUAGACUUACUAUUGUAAAAAGGUUUUCGCAGAUUUAUUCCAUCCUCUAUUGGGUACGCUUCUUGUAAUACUUCCAAGUAUUUUAUUGUACUAACUAUAUUACAAUUUUACUUGUGCACUUGCGAACACAGUCAUCCUAAAUUCUUAUAUAUUUUUGGUGUAUUAUUUUACUAUAUAAACAAUAACUUGUUUAUAUACGGUCACCCGCUUCCCCUUAACCACUCCCUUGGCCCACUUUAGUUACAGACCCCUGCUUCAAACGAAUUGGGUCAAUGGUCCGACCUUCCCCAGUACCUUUGGGAUUGGGAUGCCCAUUCAAUGGACUAAGAAAGCAGAAAAGUUUUAUCAUAUCAUUUUUUUUAUUUAUUAAAUGUGUGGUAUUUAUAUCAGGGAUGAUUCAAGUAUUCUACUUUUAAUUUCAAAAUGCAUUUUGCCUUCUUUGAUUUACUACUCUCAAUAUCAAUUUCGUGUUGGUGUUAUGAACACCAAUAUAUUUCUAGUUCCAUCACAUCAAUCAAUGUUCCCAAUAUAAUGAAUCUAUUUGUACCAUCAAACAAUCACAACGAAACUUAACUAAAUAGGAGAAAAAACCUAUUUGUACGAAAGCUCUAGUGAAGUAGUUUACACAAUUAUUGCUUCUUCCCUGAUCGGCCGGUUAUAAAAUUGAAAAUGUUUUGCAUCCGUUUAGGCUUCGGCCCUUCUUCCUCUGUUUCCUCGCCGAUAUCACGUUUUCGUUUUACAAAGGAAGUGCUGCCUGCGGAUCCAUCGUUUUCAGUAGAGUGAUGAUGGAUAUGUUCAAAGUUUGGAGAAGAUUGAGUUGUAUGGCACUGCACCUCUUUUAUAUCUUCCAAAUUUUUCUCAUACAUUAUUCUAACACCACACUUCUUCACAUUAACAGAAGGAUACCUUUUUGCAGAUUGGAAGGACAUCUCGAGCGAUAAAUUCUUGGUUUCCCAAUUAUCCUUUAAGGAUAAUGGAUAAAAUACUUCACGCGAGAAAUAACGAAGUAAAAGGUGGUCCUUCGUUAUGGGUCGUCAAUCAAAAUCAAUGAAAUUGAAAUCGACCCUUCGACUAUUUUUAACUUGAAAAACAGAUCCAUUACUACUAGAUUGUCCAGAAUAUGUAGAAUGGAUAUAAGCUGGACCACCGAUAACCUUUAUCUCGGAACCAUCAUCAUCACCAAAAAUGCAGCAGAAAGCAACUCCAAUCCAUUGACUGUCAUUCUGAAUAUUGAAAGGCAAAGGUAUUUCAAUUACAGAGCCGCCUCCCUGUUGGCUGAACCAUUCUGGGAUUUCAUUUCCAGGUAUAACAAAUCAAGUCUUUUUCUUGAAUUCUCAAAUGCCUGCAAAUUAAAACAUCAGUCGUUCUUGAAUUUGCAAAAUAAAAUAUCGGUGGUUCUGUAACUAAAACCAUGAAAAAGAAAAAAGCGGGAUCAAUCAACCUUAAUAUGUGUUUUCAGCAAUGUUAUUUCACUCAUGUUCUCAGCCAAUCUGUAGCUGUUAAUGGCUAUAAAGUAAGACCGAUUAUGUUUCCAAUCACUUGUCUUCCUUGCUAGAAGCACAGGCAACGAUUCAAGCUCACUGCAAUUACACACUCCAAGCCUUUGAAGAUUGGAAAGACGAGCAAGAGACGCACCUAUGCUGGUGAAAUUGUUACCAUUAAGAUCAAGAACUUGUUGAAGAAAACUCUUGAGAAAGAAUGGAUUCAAAGAUGAAGAAGGAAAGAGUCGAGAGAGAAAGAAACUCAGAAGCAGAGAAGCUGAAUUCCAGUGUCAAUUUUCAUGCUCAACCACUUUUCUGUUACAAUUAAAAUAGUAGAGCCAUAACCAAAAUAUACUAAACGCACCCGUUUGGUUCAAUACAAAACUCACCGUAUUACUAAUUGUCUUAACUAAAAUGCAGCACUUAACUAAUUAUUAUAAACCACGUAAAAAUAAUAGAACCUGCAUGAAAACCAUAACAAUUUUCCCCCUUAAAAGAAAUCCUUGUCCUCAAGGAUUAAAGGUAGGAAACCUGCGUUGCAACUCAGAUAGCUUUUCCCAGGAAGCAUCCUCCGAAAAAGUGUCUGCCCAUUCCACAAGUACUUCCACUGCAGCCUGAUUGCCUUGUCGGACCAGUCUCCUAUCCAAAACUUGCACUGGAGUCUUAAGAAGAGCCCCAUCCGAAGCAACCGGUGGUAGCAUUGGGGUACUCACUGCUGAACCAAUAUGCUUCUUUAACUGGGAAACAUGGAAAGUGUGAUGAAUUCGGGCUGAGACGGGCAAUGUUAACUUGUAAGCCACCUGACCUACUCGAGCUUCCACGGGGAAAGGUCCACAAUACUGAGGUGACAAUUUUUGGUUCCUGAACUUGCGGAAUGAGUGUUGGCGAUAAGGCUAAAGCUUCAGAUAGACUAAGUCACCCACCUGAAACUCCCUUUCUGUUCUUUUUCUGUUAGCCAUUUGUUUCAUUCUGUCUUGAGCUAGAGACAAGUGGAACUUAAGCACCUUGCGCAUAAUCUCCCUAUGCUGUAGGGUGCGAUCUACUGAAGCUACUGGAGAUGCACCAACCACAUAGGGAAGAUGGAUAGGCGGAUGCUGUCCAUAAAGAGCCUCAUAGGGCGUUGUUUGAAUUGCUGAAUGGUGUGUUAUGUUAUACCACCAUUCCGCCAAUGGCAACCACGAUAACCAUGCUGAAGGUUUCUCCCCAACCAUGCAGCGCAAGUAUCCCUCCAGACACCUAUUUAACACCUCGGUCUGUCCAUCUGUUUGGGGGUGAUAAGCUGUAGAUUUCUUCAGCUUGGUGCCCAUAUGUUUGAACAACUCUUGCCAAAAUUGACUCAGAAAAAUCUUAUCCCUAUCGGAAACAAUGCUCUCCGGAAUCCUAUAAAGCUUGUAAAUAUGUGUGAAAUACUCCUGUGCCACUGUAAGAGCCAAGAAAAGAUGAGCAAGUGCUAGAAAAUGACCGUACUUGGUCAAUCGGUCAACUAUGACCAAGAUGGUUGAUUUUCCCUGAGAAAUGGGCAAUCCCUCAAUGAAAUCCAUGCUGAUAUCAGACCAAACUCGUUCAGGGAUAGGCAACGGUUGCAAAAACCCAGGCGAGGCCGCAUUGUCUGACUUACAUCUUUGACAUGUCACACACUCGCGAACCCAAGCGUGGACAUCUUUGGAAAGGCCCUUCCAGUACAAGAUAGCCGAAAUUCUCUGGUGAGUUGCUUGAACUCCAGAGUGGCCUCCCAAGGGUGUGUUAUGGAAAAUGUCAAAAAUCAGCUUUCGCAGUGUUGCAUCCUUGCCAACCACGACUUUGUUUUUCCUACGCAAAAAGGUGUCAUGCCAUGAAUAUUUGGGAUGCAACUGUGGCUGCGCACGUACCUGUUCACAAAGUCGCGCAAGCUUCUGAUCGCUUUCAUACAACCCUACAACCCUAUCCCAAAUCGUAGCCCAAUCUGACUCCAAUUUACCCUCACAUUGCAACAACUGAUGCUCCAGUUCUGAAGAUUUCCUGGAUAACGCAUCUGCCACUAUAUUUUGCGCUCCUUUUUGAUACAUAAUGGAAUAAUCAUAACCAAGCAUUUUAGCCACCCACUUUUGUUGAUAGGGCGUAAUGGCUUGUUGCUCUGACAGGAACUUCAAACUCUGAUGAUUCGUUUUAAUUACAAAGUGUCUACCCACGAGAUAAGAGUGCCAUUUUUUACUGCUAGUAACACUGCCAUCAUCUCCUUAUCAUAGAUGGACAGCGCUUGGUAUUUCACUCCCAAAUCCUUACUAAAGAAGGCUAUUGGCUUCCCCUGUUGUUGAAGAACAGCGCCCACUCCUUGGCCACUAGCAUCUGUUUCAACACAAAAUUGUUCCUGAAAGUUCGGUAAAGUUAGAAUUGGAGCUUGACAAAUAGCUAACUUGAGUUGAUCGAACGCUCGUUGUGUCUGUCCGGUCCACUCCCAUAACACACCCUUCUGCAAGAGAGCAGUAAGCGGAUUAGCCAGCAACCCAUAACCUCGUAUAAAUCUUCUGUAAUAACCCGACAAGCCAAGGAAUCCUCGUAGUUCUUUAACUGAUUUAGGAGGAGGCUAGUCCAAGACACUCAUCACCUUUGAUCGAUCCAUGCUCACCGUACCCUGAGCAAUGAUGUGGCCUAAAUAUUCCACACGUGUAGCUCUAAAACUACACUUAGACCUCUUGGCAAACAACUGAUUUUCUCGAAGCACCCGCAGAACUUCUCGAAAAUGAUCCAAAUGAUCAGACCAGCCUCUCGAAUAAACGAGGAUAUCAUCAAAAAAUACCAACACUGAUCGCCUUAACAUAGACUGGGAAACUGAAUUCAUCAAAGCCUGAAAACUUGACGGUGCGUUGGUUAAGCCAAAUGGCAUGACCAAGAACUCGUAGUGACCCUCAUGGGUUCGGAACGCCGUCUUGAACACGUCUUGUUCAUUCAUUUUGAUUUGGUGAUAGCCAGAACGUAGGUCCAACUUAGAGAAAGAAUGUGCUUGUCCUAAUUCAUCUAACAACUCCUCAAUGAUGGGAAUAGGGAAUCUGUCUUUAACCGUAAGCUGAUUCAACUGUCUGUAGUCGACACAAAGACGCCAGCUUCCAUCCUUCUUCUUGACCAUAACCACUGGAGAAGCAAAAGGGUUGUUGCUGUCUCGAAUAAUUCCAGACUGUAACAUUUCUCGGACUAGUUUCUCAAUUUCAAUUUUCUGUACUGUGGGAUACCGAUAGGGUCGCAUUUUCACCACCUUCGAUUCAUCCACUAACGGAAUCUUGUGGUCAUGAAGUCUAGGAGGCGGUAAGUGAGUGGGAACUUGAAAAACAUCUUCAAAAUCUUCAAGCAAUUUUUUUAACUCAGGGAGUGAAGACUCUGAAUUCAACUCAAUCACAGUCUGGUCACAAGAAGUUAACAGCAUCGGACGAGGUCCAAAACUUGACAAACUCAAACAUUUAGAAAAUCGGCCACUCGAAACAAUCUGCAUUAGCCCGGGAACAGUACCCUGUAAUCUGCAUUUUUGGUUUUUAAGCUGGAAUUGCAUAGUUAAUUCUGCAAAGUCCCAAACAAUCGACCCUAAUGACAACAACCAUUGAACUCCCAAAACUAAGUCAAACCCUUUGACCGCGAGCACUAAAAAAUCAGUGGUGAAUUGAUUCCCCUGAGCUUCCCAUCGCACUGCCCUACAUACUCCUUGAGUGGUCAAUUUGACACCAUUUGCUACCAUCACCUUUAAGGUAGGUUCCAAUUCAAUGACCCACUGUAACCGUCUAGCGACCCGAAAAUCAAUAAAAUUAUGUGUGCUGCCUGAAUCUACCAAAACUACCACUUCAACUUGGUCGAUCGUUGCUGGAAACCUCAUGGUAUUGUGACCUUGUAAGCCGUACAAUGCAUGCAAAGAUAACGUCGGCAUAGAAUUACCCGAACCCAAAUCCAUCGAUUCCAACUGGUCGGAACAGUCCUGAAAAUCAUCCAAAGAAGAACUCCUUGAUUCAAAGUGACCGUCUUCCCAUGGCUCCACCACUAACUGAUACACCUGGGAUUUAGAACACUUGUGUCUAGGAGAAUACUUGAGACCGCACCAGAAACAAAGACCUCUCUUUCUCCGCUCUUCCAACUCUGCCUGUGAUAGAGAUUUGGAAGGCAUUUUCAUAUUGCCUCUUCCAGUUACUGACUCAUUUGUGGAGUUAGAACUGUUAGGUCCUCUAAAAUUUUUUGUUACAGGUAAUAACGGUCUACCUACAUUCGCUCCUGUUGGUGGUGCAUUGUCACGCUUAGCUGGACCAAACACAAUAUUUUCCACUUGUUGAGCUAAGUUGAAUCAUUCAACUAAUGACUGAGGCUUAAACAACCGGAGAUAUUGACCAAUCUCAGGCUUAAGAUUACUGAGAAAUAUACUCAGGGCAUACAUUUCAGGUAAAUUAAGCUGAUUCAACAGACUCAAGAAUCCAUCAUGAUACUGGUUGACAGAACCGGUUUGCUUAAGGGUCACUAACUCCCCCAUUGGGUCAAGAAAAGAAUCUGACCCAAAUCAUUCUCUCAACCCCCUAGCAUACAUUUCCCAUGACAGUUGAUACAACCCUCCAUGUUUUCUAGCAAAGAAAUGAUGCCACUUAAGGGCUUUACCUUCCAACAUCACAAGUCGAACCUUAGCAUCGUUCCCAAUCUCUUCUGCCUCACAAUAUUGCUCAAGUUUUGACCACCAUCCACGGAAAUUGACACCAUUGAACGUCGGACAUGGCAUUCGGAAAGACCCACGAUCCGUUGCUGCAGGCAUUCCCUGAGACAAGGAAGGAGAAUGACCCAAAUCCGCCAUUGGAGACACAAGCACAUGCUCCUGUGGUGAAAAUCCUGGCGGAGACCCUAGAAUACCCUUCCCUUUGCUACUACCCGCACCUCCCAUGGCCACCGAGGGUCCCUGACCAAAAUAUUGCUCAAACAGAGUGUGCAAUUCAGUCCUAAGCUCGGUAUGUACCUCUGAUUUAAUAUCUUCCUGUAGUCCCUUCAAACAAGCAUCAAACUGAGAAAUCUCUGAUUGAAUGUGAGAAAGUUCGCCCUAGAUCUGACCCAACUCCUUUUGCAUCCUCGUGGUUACGCUGUCGCCGGUCAUGAAGAUCGAAAAGCUCUGCUACCUUUGUUGAAGAAACUCUUGAGAAAGAACGGAUUCAAAGAUGAAGAAGGAAAGAGUCGAGAGAGAAAGAAACUCAGAAGCAGAGAAGCUGAAUUCCAGUGUCAAUUUUCAUGCUCAACCACUUUUCUGUUACACGUAAAAUAGUAGAGCCAUAACCGAAAUAUACUAAACGCACCCGUUUGGUUCAAUACAAAACUCACCGUAUUACUAAUUGCCUUAACUAAAACGCAGCACUUAACUAAUUAUUAUAAACCACGUAAAAAUAAUAGAACCUGCAUGAAAACCAUAACAUAACUCUCAAUGAGGAUAGACCAGAAAUAUCACUAGGAAUAUCUCCUUCACCCAUAUUGCGCAGGCCGCACCUUGACAAACUAAGUUCUUCAAGCUUGGAGAGUCCAGUAAGUGAUGUUGCUAUUCUGUUGAAAUUGUUAACGCUAAGAUCAAGAAAUGCCAAAGAGGAUACAUAAGAAAUAGCACUAGGAAUAUCUCCUUCACCAAGAUUGCAGCCCCUUAGUUUCAACUUUGUUAAUGACCUCAAACCGGAUAAUGAAGGUAGCAUUGGAGCUAUGAAAUUCAUCCUUCCUCUUUGGCUUACCUUGAAAAGCGAAAGGAGAUUUCUUUUCAACUUAGACGGACCCUUGCAUCCAUCGAAAGACAAAACUUUAAGAUUUUUCAAUUGAGAAAUGAAGGAUGGUGGCUCUUUUAUGGCUGUUUCACUCAAGUGAAGCUUUUCCAAAGAUUCUACUUGAUGCAAAUUCUCUGGAAAAUAUUCAACUUUAUAACAACCAGAAAGAUCAAGAGUUUUUAGAUGUUCCAUUUUCCCAUCAAUCUCUGGAAACCUUGCAAGAUUUGAGCAACCCGAAAGAAUUAAAGUUUCAAGGGAUUCCAUUUCAAUUUUGGUUGGAAGUCUCCUAAGACUUUUGCAAUUUCUUAAAUUCAAAAGUUUCAGUCUCUUAAGCACUCCAAGUGAUGGAUGAACAUCUACUAAUCUGGUACAAUCUUCCAUAAUCAACACUUCGAGAUAUGGGGCUGUUGUGAAGUCUGGUGUCUUGAUGAGGUUUUGGGACCCUUUAAGGCUGAUUAUUUUCAACUUAUACAAGGGCUGUCCCAAAACAAUAACAGAUUAGAGAAAACAUAAUAAGCCUCAUUAUUAUUAUUAUCUUAUUCAAAUUUUAACAGUUUAUAUAAAAAAUUUAAUAGUUUAUAUUAAAAUAAGUUAAAACAUAAGGAUUAAAUGAAUUUAAUUCUUACUCUGUUUCCCUUCCAUAGUUGUUCAAUGCGACUAUAUGGUAAGAGAAGUAUGACAAGGUUGUCCGGUUGAAAGCUCGAAGGUAAUGAUUUUAAAGGAUAUCAUGUCCAAUCUAAAAACCGUAACUCAUUGGAAAGAUAUUUGAGAUCAUUACAAUUUGAGAGGCAAAGCACUCUCAGCAAUCUCAGCAAUCUCAGUUUUUUCAUCUUCAAAAAGACAUUGACACUCAAAUUGAGCAUCUUGCUUGAUUCCCUACAAAACCAAAGGCGAACAAGAAAUAAGCAUUAAAUAAUACAAAAACAUUCAAUACCUAAAAGCUAUGUUUCUCCAAUACUAUUUUUAAAGGAUUUUCAUCCCUUACUUAUACCUAACAUGUGUCCAAAUAUGAGCAUUGAUAUAUGAUCCUUCAAGAACUCUUUAAAUAUAUGAAAAAACUUCUUAAAAAAGUCACACAUACCCAUUUUAGACAUAAAUACCAUUUGACUUCGAAUUACCUAAGUUUCAAAAACUAGAAUUAAAAUCUUGAUUUAUAUUGGUGCAAUGAUAAUGCAUAAUUUUAUUUAUUAUUACUGAACGAAACAAUAACACAUCAUUAAAAAUAAAAUUAAUUGGUUUUAUUUUGAAAAUUUUUUUAUGACAUAUUAAAAUCUUAUUUAUAAAGAUACACUAACACUGCAUCAAAUAUAAGCAUUUAAUAGUAACAAGGAUAUAUCUCGAUUGUGUUUCUUUUGAAAGUGUUAUGCGUUGCUAGAUAAAUUUCAUAAAUAUAACAUUAAAUAUUAAGCAUUAAUGGUUUUUUUCCAUCGAUUUUCAUUGGAUACUUUUACCAAAAAAAAAACCAAUAAUAAUAUUAAUAAUACACAUCAUAAAUAUGUAUGUAUGUUUUCUUACAUUUGAUUGUCAAUGAUCAUGCUUUCAAUCAUUUCUGUAACCUAAAAAAGCAAGAAUAGAGAAUAAAUAACCUUUUGGUCGAAAUAGAGUAAAUAGAGCAUUUUAAAUAAAGUAAAACAUUUCGGAUGAGAGAGAUUCAAUUAAAUUAAAUACUUAUUUAUACAAAUCCUUACUAACAGUAAUCAUCAACAAAAGGCAUUUAUGUGAAUGCUACUCAACGUCAAUUUUUUUAUGGACUGCUAUAUUAAUCAAUUGGACUAAGCCUUACUCAAUUUUAUUUCAGAAAUAAAGUAAAAUAUUUUCGAAUGAGAGUAAUUCAAUAAAAUUAAAAACUUAUAUUACAAAUCAUUAUUAAUAUUUAUAAUUAACAAAAAUGGAAAUUAUUUUAAAGCCACUCAAUGUCAGUUAAGGAUCGAUAUGUAAACUAAUUAGGCUAAACUUUAGAUUUACAUCAUAUAUUGAUAAAAAGAAAAUUUUGUAUAUAAUUUUUGUUGAAUGAUUUACCGUGUUUUUUUUUAGGACAUGAUGGACAUCACUUUCUUUCCAUAAUCUACAACGUUUUCCAGGUUCAUCAACACAUUUUUCUUCAACAAUUUUUCUUCCCAUUUCUUGCAACAAGGCGUGCAUCCGCAAACGUUGGUUGUUAUCACUAACUUUUAUGAGAGAUUUCUUAAUGAGAAUAUCGAUUCCAAUAUCUGGAAAAAACUCACAACCAUCCAAUACUUUCGUUACAAAAUCUCUCUUCUCACCAUUGAAAAACAUGCUAUAUCUAGAAAUAUAUUCUUCUCCUUUUCUUCCAAUCCAUCAAAGCUAAUUCUUAGCGUGUUAAGAACUUCUUUGUUAGAAUCUUAAGUCUUUCGAUUACACUUCUCCAUUGAACUAUAUCUCUAUCGCACAAAAAUGAACCCAAAACUUCAAGAGCUAAGGGGAGACCACCAGCAUAACAUACAACCUCUUCAGAAACCUCAAUGAAAUCAUCUUUUGGCACUGUAUCACUAUGAAAAGCUUUCAAAUUGAAAAGUCUAAGUGCAUCGUCUGGAUUCAAUGUUUUAGGCUUAUACACACCAUCGACUCCGUAAGAUCGGAGUAAAUGUUCAUCUCUUGUUGUUACAAUGAUUCGACUCCCUAAACCAAACCAAUCACGCCUUCCAACCAAGCAUUUCAAGUGUUGUACAUUAUCAACAUCAUCAAGAACAACAAGAACCUUUUCACUACACAACCUGCGGCUAAUUAUGGCAUUCCCUUCAUGAACAUUGAAAAAAUUGAAGCAUCCAUUUGGCAAGAUUUGAGAAAGAAGUUGUUUCUGUAAAGAAACAAGUCCACGUUUGUUUGAAACUUCUCGAAUAUCUGCAAGGAAGCUUUUGCCUUCAAAAUGAGGUGACAUUUGAGUGUAAACAACCCUCACAAGAGUUGUUUUACUGUUGGUGCAACAACAGAAUCAAGUAGACUCAGCAAGUAUCUUGUCGAGCAAGCCUCGAAACUUGCUGAGCAAACAAACAAUUUCGAGUUAAAGAAAGAAGAGAAUAAGCUGGGGAAAUUUUGAGAGAAUAUUGAUGAACAAAACUGAUUUGAUUCAUACAUAAAACAAUGGCUUGAAGCCAGUACAUAACUCAAGCAUAAGGCUUGUCAAAAUCAACAAGUAAUUACCUACCUCCACUAAUUACAUAGAAACUUGAAAUCUUAGCUUGUAAACUUAUACAAAACUGUGUUUACAGCUCAUACAUAAGCUAAUUACAUCAAUCAGAAAGCUAACUUAGUUAGAAAUGAACUAACACUCAUUUCAUCAACUAAAUAUAACAAAAUGAACAAAAUGAGCUUGCAUCAGCAGCCCUUGCAUCUGUUCCAGCUUUGCUUGGUCUUCAUGGCCUGUAUGGAAUCGAGUGUUGGCUUCAUGCUGACCAACUUCAACACUCCUCCUUGGUUAGCAUGGUGCAAACACCUAAUUUUCUUCUUAAAUGCUCAAACCUUGUGACAUUAAGGGCUUUAGUCAAAAUGUCUGCAAGCUGGUCCUCUGAAUUGCAGUGAAUUAGCUUCACUUCCUGAGCUUGCUCCAUUUCUCGAACAACAUAUAGCUUAAUGCUAAAAUGCUUUGUUCUUCCAUGGAACACAGGAUUUUUGGCAAUUGCAACAGUAGAUUGAUUGUCACAGAAGAUCUCUGUUGCUUCCCUUUGAUCCAUAUUCAAAUCAGCCAGGAUUUUCCUAAGCCAAAUGGCUUGGUUGACAGCACUUGCUGCUGCCACAUACUCUGCUUCAGCAGUAGAUUGUGCCACCAGACUUUGCUUCUUCGAGCUCCAGCAGAACAUGGCUGAACCAAGGUUGAAAGCAUACCCUGAGGUGCUUUUCAUGUCAUCUAUCGAUCCAGCCCAGUCACUAUCAGUGUACCCAACUAGAUUUAGAUUUCCUUUCCUGCUGUACCUUAAGCCAUAGUCCAAAGUGCCUUUGACAUAUCUGAGCACUCUCUUGGCAGCCUGGAAAUGCUUCUCAUUGCAACAAUGCAAGAACCUUGAGAGCAAUCCUACAGCAUACAUUAUGUCUGGUCUAGUGGCAGUUAAGUAUAGCAAACAACCAACUAGACUCCUGUAGGUAGUUUCACAUACCUUCUCAAAAUCACCUUGGCUCGAUAAUUUUUCUCCAACAGCAACAGGUGUUUUAGUUGCCUUGCUGUUUUGCAUGGAGAACUUGGUCAGAAUCUUUAUGGCAAAGCUCCUCUGACUUAGAAAUAUUCCAUUUUGUGCUUGAGUCACCUCAAUUCCAAGAAAAGAGGACAUCUCCCCAAGAUCAGACAUUUCAAACACUUCUUGCAUCUUGGUCUUGAAAUCAACCAGCACUGCUCGAUCUCCUCCUGUCACCAGCAGGUCAUCAACAUAUAGGGACACAAUGAGUUGUGUUUGUGUCCCUUGCUUCUUAACAUACAGUGUUGGCUCACUCUUGCUUCGAUUGAAUCCCAGAUCAGUCAAGUAUCCAUCGAUUCUGCUGUACCAGGCCCUUGGAGCCUGUUUUAAGCCAUAUAGGGCCUUCUUCAAUUUGUAGACCAUAUGCUCUCUCUCAGCUGUUUCAAACCCUUGUGGUUGUUCAACAUAGAUGUCUUCAUCUAAAAAACCAUUCAGAAAGGCUGAUUUCACAUCGAGUUGAUGAAUUUUCCAUUCGAGCUGGGCUGCUAAGGCAAUCAGCAGUCUGAUGGUGUCGAGCCUGGCCACUGGUGCAAAGUUCUCCAGGUAGUCCAGGCCAUACCUCUAACUGAACCCCUUGACAACCAACCUUGCCUUCAGUUUGUUCAAGGUUCCAUCAGCAUUCUGCUUGGCUUUGUACACCAAUUUCACCCCAAUUACCUUCCUUUUGACUGGCCUUUCAACCAAUUCUCAGGUCUGGUUCUUCUCAAUCAUGCUGAUCUCCUCAGCCAUUGCCUGCUUCCAUCCUUGCUGAGCUUCAGCCUCUUCAAAGUUGCUAGGUUCAGCUAUGGCUACAUGAGCCCUUUCAUAAAUCUCAGUUAAUGAUCUUGUUCCUCUGACUGGUUCAUCAUCAAUGUCCAUUUCAGGAGCAUUUUGUUCUAGCUCAGCUUGGUCUGCUGCAAGUUCAUCAGAAACUUCCUCAGGUUCAUGCCUUUCCCAGUUCCAACAUGACCUUUCAUUGAAUACCACAUCCCUGCUUACUGACACUUUGUUUGUUGAAGGAUCCAAAAUCCUAUAGCCCUUCUUAACAGUGCUGUAGCCCACCAGAACACCAGGUUGAGCCCUUUCAGACAAUUUGUCCCUUUUAACAGCAGGUACAUGUGCAUAACAGAUGCAUCCAAAGACCUUCAGAUGAGCCAGUGAUGGCUUGAAGCUAAACCAGGCCUCGAAUGGAGUCUUCUGAUCCAAAGCCUUGGUUGGAAGUCUAUUUUGAAUGUAUGUUUCAGUGUUAACUACUUCUGUCCAUAGUACUUUAUGCAGAUUCUUCUGAAUCAUCAAGCACCUGGCCAUAUCCAUCAAGCUCCUAUUCUUCCUUUCACUUACACCAUUCUGUUGAGGUGUAUAAGUGUUGGUAAGCUGAUGUUUGAUGCCUGCCUUAUCACAGAAGGCUUGGAACUGAGCUGAGGUGUACUCAGUCCCAUUAUCAGACCUUAUGGUCUUCAGCUUGCAGCCUGUUUCAUAGGGCCACACACAUCAAUGUGCACCAGUUAGAGUUUUUCAGAAGCUCUCCAGGCUUGAUUCGAGGGAAAUGGCAGUCUGGCCUGCUUUCCUAGUUGACACACCUCACACACAUCAUCAUGGUCCACUGAGUUGAUGAAGGUUUCAGUCAGGUCAUCUCUGACCAUUCGGGCCAUCGAUCUGAAGUUGGCAUGUCCCAGCCUUUGAUGCCACAACUUGGAUUCAUCUGAUGUGGCUAUGUAGGCAAUGUCAAACUUCUUUUUCCAGUCAACCACAAAGCUCUUAUCAACCAUAGGUACUGCCAUCAGUUUGGAUCCACUUGGAUCACUGAUUUGGCACUGCUUGUCCUUGAACACCACAGAGUAACCUUUCUCUAGCAAUUGAGCUAUGCUGAGUAGGUUUCUGUCAAUUUCAGGUACCAGGAGCACAUUUGAGAUCAUUUUGGCACCUGUGGGAGUGCAUAUCAGCACAUCACCUUUACCUUCAGCUUGAAUAAAGUGCCCAUUACCAAUUUUGACUUUGGUUUUACAGUUUCUGUCUAAAAACUUGAAGAUUGCAGCAUCAGGUGUCAUGUGAUUGGUGCAUCCACUGUCUAGGAGCCAACCAGAUGAGAGCCUUUCCUGAGCAGCUGAGCAUGACACAGCAAAGACUUGCUCCUCUUGGUCACUGUCCUCCUUAGCUACUCGAGCCUCAGCUUUCAUCUGUUGAGACUGGUUCUGUCUUGAUUUGGUCUUGCUCUUGCAAACUCUCUCAACAUGACCCUUCUUCUUACAAUGCUGACACACAGCAUCUGGAUUGAACCAGCAUUUUUCUUCUGGAUGACCAGCCCUUCUGCAGUGCUUGCAAGUUUGACCUUCUCUUCUCGCAGCAUCAUUCUUUGGCUUGUCUCUCCAGGCCUUCUUGCCUUUAUAGGCAGUAUUUGUCCUUGCCUGAAAGGCACCUUCUUGAUGCUCUUCCAGUCUACUUGCUCUCCUCUGCUCUUGAGCAUAUAGAGCAUUGAUCAACUCAGUCAGGGGAAUGGUGGACAGAUCCCUUGAGUCCUCGAGAGAUGAGAUUUUUGCCUCAUACCUCUCAGGCAGAGUUGCUAUUACUUUCUCCACUAUCCUAGCUUCAUUAAACUGCUCUCCAAGGAGCCUGAUGCUAUUAACCACAGCCAUAAUCCUGUCAGAAUAUUGCUUGACAGUUUCUUCUUCCUUCAUCUUUAAAUUCUCGAAAUCUCUCCUCAAAUUCAGUAACUGUUGCUGCCUUGUCCUCUCUGUCCCUUGAAACUCUUCUUGCAACUUGUCCCAGGCCUGUUUUGGUGAUUCACAGGUCAUAAUCCUUGUGAAAAUCACAUCUGACAUUGAGUUCUGGAUGCAAGACAUGGCCUUGUGCCUCUUGGUCCUCUCAUCAGCAUGCUGCCUGAUCUGAGCCACUGUUGGAUUGCCUCUAAGUGGUUCUGGUUCAACAUCUGAGUUGACCACCUCCCACAGAUCAUAAGCCUGCAGGUAAGUCUUCAUUUUGACCACCCAUAUGUGAUAGCCUUCUCCAUUGAAUACUUGAGGUGCAGCUGGUGAAAAGCUUGAUGAAGCCAUGGAUUUGUAUAACAGAUCCCUUAAGAAAUAGGCUCUGAUACCAAUUGUUGGUGCAACAAUAGAGCCAAGUAGACUCAGCAAGUAUCUUGUCGAGCAAGCCUCGAAACUUGCUGAGCAAACAAACAAUUUCGAGUUAAAGAAAGAAGAGAAUAAGCUGGGGAAAUUUUGAGAGAAUAUUGAUGAACAAAACUGAUUUGAUUCAUACAUAAAACAAUGGCUUGAAGCCAGUACAUAACUCAAGCAUAAGGCUUGUCAAAAUCAACAAGUAAUUACCUACCUCCACUAAUUACAUAGAAACUUGAAAUCUUAGCUUGUAAACUUAUACAAAACUGUGUUUACAGCUCAUACAUAAGCUAAUUACAUCAAUCAGAAAGCUAACUUAGUUAGAAAUGAACUAACACUCAUUUCAUCAACUAAAUAUAACAAAAUGAACAAAAUGAGCUUGCAUCAGCAGCCCUUGCAUCUGUUCCAGCUUUGCUUGGUCUUCAUGGCCUGUAUGGAAUCGAGUGUUGGCUUCAUGCUGACCAACUUCAACAUUUACCGAUGCCACCCAUUCCGCAAAUUCCUAUAAUGCGGACAUCAUCUUCCCCAAUGUUUAUUUCCGAAUACAACUCCUUCAAAGGUAAGCUAAUUCCAACCAAUUCAUCAUGAACAAUUGGAUAUGUCUCACAUAAUUUGGCUGAUAUCUUCCUAACAAUGUCUCCGAUAAACUCUGGUUCAUUCCUAAAAUGAAAUAAAAAAUUGUUUCUAUCUCUCAGAGGCUCUUUUUCAUUUUUAGUUCAAUGAAUCAUGAAAUAUAAUAUGGUUGGAAGCAAACAAAAAGCAAGAAUACGACAGUAAGAUAUAUUAUGGUAUCAAAAUACACAACUUUCUCGUUAGAAUUCUUAAUUAAACACAAAAUUAUAAAAAAAUUACAUGCAAUCUAGAAAAAAACAAUUUUUUAGUCAUUAAAAUUAGGAAAUAGAGAAGAAAUGAAAGAAUUACCCAUUAUGUAAAUGCCAUCCUUUGAUCUUAGCUACUUCAGUCAAAGCAUUUCGCCACUUUUGGAUCUUGUCUUUAUCUUCCUUGUACCUCUCUUCAUGUUUGGCAAAGGCUUCUUCUACUUUUUCUUUUUGGUUUCUUAAAUCGGAUGGAUCCACAUGGUAGAAAAUUGGAAAUACUUUAUGUCCGUUAGCAUUUUUUUGUUGAACAAUCUCAGCAAGCUCCUCCAAGCACCAUCCUGAAAAGGCAUAGGUUUUUGAAAAAAUAAUUACCGAGCACCAUGAUUGCUGAAUUGCAUUGGAGAGUUCGGGUGCGAUCUCUUCGCCAGCGUCCAGCUUUGGAUCAUCCCUGAAGGUGACGAUCCCACUACUCUUUAGAGCAUCAUAAAGAUGACCGGUGAAGUUCUUGCGAGUAUCUUCACCUCUAAAACUCAAGAAAACAUCAUAUUUGUUUCUAGAAAUGGGCGAAGAAGUCGAAGGUAACGGCAACAUGAGGAUGUAUGAAAGGAGAAGGAUAUCUCUAUCUGGUGUUCAAAAUCAGAAAAUAGAUCGCCCGAUCCUCGCAAAGAAACUAGAAAAAAGUAAGUAUAUGGGCAUAGGGGCGGAAAUUAGGGGUCAAAGAUGAGUGAUGGAUCUUCUUUCCAAUCCAAGAAGGUGAGACUUGGUACAGUGGAGGCUAUUAAAAAUGUUGGACGGUUUGUAUUUUACGUAAUUAAUAAUUAUAGAGUAGAUAAGAUUUUGACAAUAAUCAUUAGAAUAUGUCUUUAAUAAUUAUCCUUCGUUAUGGGCUGCUUAAAAGGUUUACCAAACAACCUACUACUUGCAUUUACACGUGGAAAACUUCUAUCUCGAAAGAAAAAUCUAUUUGGGCUGGUUAAGAUUAUUUUUGGUGGAGAAUCGAACCGGUUAAGCAACGAACAAGUAAAAAUAGUGAAAAAAUUAAAAAAUUGAAUACACAAAUUUAAUGUGAAAAAACUCUCCGAAGAGGAUAAAAAACCAUAGGUAAAGAUAAUUUUACUAUAAUGGCAAAAGAACGAAGAGUACAAAAGAUAGAUAAAAAUUAAAUCUCAAAAAUAAAGAACCCUCAAAAUAUAAACCAAAAUUUUUCAAAAGUGUUAUGAAUUCUAAUCUGGUGUAUUUUUUAAUGUAAAAAAGUCUAUUUAUUGACUAAAUUAGUAUGUUAAAUAAUAAUAAAAUAAUCUGAACUAAUUAGAUUUGAUUGAAACAAACAAAUAGAGUUUAAUUGAAAUAUUAUUUCAAUCACCAAAAAAGUGCUCUAAGCUUGGUAAGAAAGAGAAUCUCUUCAACCGGAGCAAUUUUCGCAUUAAAAGUAAAAUAGUUACGAGCCAGCUAUAUGGACCAUAACCCCGCUGCACAGCAGAGGAGCCACCACUGCUUAAUAUCAUCUUUAAUUUUAUUUUUCAUAGAAGUUUCGCUUUAAAGUUAAUGUCAAAUGGAUUUAUGGAUGGUUUUUAGACAAGGCUUGAGGGAUGGGUUUUAUUUAUAAAUUUAGAAAGCUUUAAAUGUAAUUUAUAUGGUUAUUAUUAUAAUGCAACGAUUAAAGAAAGAAAGAAAAGUUUGUGCAGAAUUUUCAAAAUUGGAUGGCGCAAUGAAUAAAAGAAAGAAAAAGUUGUGCAGAUCUUUCACCAUAUUCACUAAAUUAUACAGCUUGCCCCACCUUUUCUUUUCAAAUAUUUAUUUAUUUUUGGUGACGGGGUUCAUGCUUUUAAUUUGUUUAUUACUAUGAUUAUGAAUCAAAUUUUAUUUUAAUAUUUGUGGUGUUUUUUAAGUUGUUACAUGGAGAUGUUUUAUUGGGAUAAAUUACAUUAAAUAUCACUAAAUUAUUAAUAAGUUUAUAUUUUGGUCAUUGAAUUUUAAAAAGUUAUUAAAUGAUCACUAAAUUAUUUAAAAUUUUUUAUUUAAGUCACUGAAUUAUCUAAAAAAAUUUAUUAAAAUUGGUGAUUCGUUACAUUUUUUUAUUUUUCUUUUAAAUAUACAUAUAUUUAUUAGGAAAGGGUCAAAGGUUUUGAUUUGUUUAUUAUUAGGGAUAAAUGUCAAAUUUAUAUAUGAACUUUGGUUCAAUGUGCAAUUUGAUACAAGCAUGAAUUUUGACUUGGUGCAAUUAUCCACAUGAAAUUUAAAUUGUGGUUCAUAUAUAUACAUGAAAUUUAAUUUUGAUUUAAUUGUACGCAUUUAAAGAAAUGAAUACAUAUAAUUAUUUUCAUAUUGAAUAAAAGUUCAUGUCUUCUGUUAUUAUCAUGGGUGAUACAUGGAUUUAAAGAAGCUCAUAUGUUCAUAGUGAUGAACUAUUAUUGAGUGUUGAUUUUCACUUACCGUAGUUAAAGUGAGUUGGGAGAGAGUUUACUUAAUUGUACGAUGGUGAGGUUGCACCAAGUUAGGCUUGAAUAAUUUUAUUGUAUUGUGAAGUUUAUAGUGGAUUCAUCUCUUUGGGUAAGGCCUGACAGAUGUAGGACGAGUUUCAAACUACGUAAUCAUCUUGGUUGUGCUCUUUAUUUUGCUUGUUACAUGUGCCAACUCAAAAAUUAAUUUUUGUUUUUCAAAAAAUUUAAACUAAGAAUUAUAUCAAUAGUCUGCAUUAAAAUUUAUCUAUCAAAUUAAAUAAACAACUCAAAAAUUAACUUGUCUACACAUAAUUAUAUAUAUUAAACUUUUUUAACUUUUUGAAUUUUUUAAGGAUUUUUGUCUCCAUUAUUGUAAAAAUUUAAAUUAAUUCCCAAAAUAUGUAAUGCUUGUGAUUAUUUUUGGUCGGGGAUCGACUUGAUUAAGCAACGAACAAGUAAAAAUAACGGAAGAAAUUGAGAAAUUGGACACAAAUUUAACGUGGAAAAACUCUCUGAAGAAGAUAAAAAACCACAGGCAAAUAUAAUUUUAUUAUAAUGACCAAAGAAUGAAGAGUAUAAAAAAUGGAAAUAAAAAAACAGAUAAUUUUACUAUAUUUGGAGUUUAAAUAUACAAGGUUGAAAUAAAGCAAUGGUGGAGUAGGAAGGCAGUGUUAUUAAAUACUAAAUAAUUGUUUUGUGAAAAUGGGAUAUUUUUACUUUUUUAUCCAUUCAGACAUAUCACUGUUCCUGUCUUCCUUUUCAUGUUUUUGUAAAAAACAGAUUCCCACCAGUCCUUUCUCUUUGGUAAAUGUUGAUUGCUGAGAGGACAAUCUUUUUGCACAUUCCCGAACUCUAUGGACAUGAUUUUUUGCAUCUCAAUCAAAGGUUUGAAAAGUUGAAAUUAUAUUUAGGAUUUUAUUUUACUUCCAAAUGAUAUCCAAGUUUUGAACUUUCAUGUUCGUAUUAUGGACACGAAUAUAUAUUAAUAGUUGCGGAUAUAAAGAAUACUUAAUUAAUUAUGGUAAAUAAGAAUCUAUUUGUGCAAUUAAACAAAAACAGCGAAAAAGAGAAACUUAAUUAAAUAGGAGUACUGCUUCUUCUCUGAACGACCCAUUAUAAAAUUGAAACUUUUUUCAUCUGUUUAGGUCCUCUGUUUCCUCGUGGAUAUUACGUUUUCGUUUUACAGGGUAAGUGCUACCUGCGGAUCCAUCCUUGUCAGUAGAGUGAUGAUGGAUAUGUUUAAAGCUUAGGGAAGAUUGAGUGGUAUGGCACUGCAAAUCUUUCUCAUACAUUAUUCUAACACCACACUUCUUCACCUUAAAAGAAGGAAAACCAUCUGCGCCUUUGAAAGACAUCUCAAGCUUAUCGUAUUCAUGAUCAGAGCAAUCCAUUGUCCAUGCAUAUUGUAAUUCACGCGAGAAAUAACGAAGAAAAAGGUGGUUGUUCGUUAUGGGCUGCUCCUAUUCCCCACCUAAACCAAUGAAACUGGGAUCGACCGUUCGAGGAUUUAUAACUUGAAAAACAGAUCCAUUAUGACUAGAUUUUCGGGAAUUUCUAUAAUGGAUAUAAGUUGUACUACCGAUAACCCUUUCAUCGGAACCACCAUCAUUGACGAAAAUGCAGCAGAAAGCAACUCCAAUCCAAUUUGUUUGGUAUAUGUGAAACGUUUUGUGAGUUUGUUUUUUAAAAUAAAGGUAAAUUUCAACAAUUAUUUUUUAAUCAUUAUUAUUAAUAUAAUUGAAAUCACAUGUGACAAUAGAAAAUAGAAAAUAGUGAUUAUGAAAAAUUGGAAUGUGCAAUACUCUUGAUGUGUUUAGAAAAGGUUAUAGUUAUAGAAAAAAUUAUAUAACCAUCAUGGCAUUGGUUGAAUUUGUUAACUUAAAAGUUUUAGAAAUCCAAUGUUUUAGAUUUUAAUCUCAAUUUUUUAUAAAAAGAUAAAAAAAAUUUACUAUAAUAAUAUUUGUUACUUUUAAAAGUAGUAAAUUUUUUAGUCAUUUUUUUAAAAUAAGUUAAUAUCUAAUUGACUUAUGACUGAUAAGUAAAGUAUAAUAUAAAGUAUGUUUGGUUAAAAAUAAAAUUAUAUGAAAAUGAUAUAUAUUUAAAUAUAGAAUAUAUUAAAUUUAAUAUAAUGUAAGUUAUUAAUAUAGUAAAAUUGGAAAUAAUUUAAAGAUAAUUAUUAUAUUAGAAAAUAUAGGAAUUAAAGUUGAGGCAUUUUAAGAAAUUUACCAAAUUUUAUAUAAUGUAAAUCAUAAAAACUGUUCCUUAAUACCACCGCGCACGAUUAGCGCUGUUGGAACCGUUAGUCCCCUGCUUUAACUUUACCUCCAUAACAUGCUGAGACCAUGAAAGGCACUCAUUCCUUAAUACCAUAUAUAGUUCCUGCAACGCCACUACUGAAAACAAAGGCAUUUCUAUUUUACCAAAGUUUCUAUCAGCCAUAGCAAAAAGAGUACCCCAAUCAGUUCCUUCCACAGAAAAAGUUCUUUGAGCUCCAGAGAAAGUCAAUGCUCUCCCAUUUCCUAGCGCCCAAUAGACACCAUUUACUACAUCUUCCCAAAUAUUGGACAAAACCCUCCAGAGAAGCGAGCGAUUAGAAGGAUGUAUUGAAGCCGACCAUCUACUUAUUACCCCAUACUUGUUUCCAAGGACUUCAACCCAUAGCACAUUCACGUUAGAAAUGACAUUAAAAGCUACCUUAAUCAUGCAAGCUUUGUUGUGGUCUCGUACUUUCCUCAACCUAACUCCACCAUUCUUCAAAGGCAUACAAAAUUUAUACCAGCUCACUAAAGUUGGUUUCCGAUUGCCAAAUGUUGACCCCAAAUGAAUCCUCGAACCAGCUUCUCAUUUUUGUUGCAAUUGUUUAAGUGAUCACCUAAAACAAGACCGUACAAAGAUUGAUCGGUCUAAAAUGAGAUAGUAAUUCCUGUCUUGCCACCUUGGGAACCAACACAAUAAGAGUUUGAUUCAAAAUAGAGGCAAACAUUUGAUAAUUUCAUUCUAUUGGUUUUUAAUUUGAAUAGUUCAUUCAUUUAAAACAAUCAUAAUUGUGCAUCAAUUAUGAAAGAAGUCAGAAGAAAAUUGUGCAGUAAUCAAAUGCAAUUUUCUUCACUUUUAUCACGUCUUUGAGUUGGAGGAAAAGAUGGUCCAAUUGAGAUACACUUGAAAAGUUUAAUGAUGAAUGAAAUGAAUUCGCUAUUAUGUUAUGUCAACACUGUUAAAUUAAUAGUUCAAUCAGCAUUUUGCGUUAAAAAAUUCAUAAUUUGACUCAAUAAAAUGUUAAAAGCCAAAUUACUAAAAAGAAAUGAAUACGGGUCAACUUGUCAAAUUUUAUAAACACUAAGAACCUUUUUUAUCAUGCCUAAUUUUAAUGGUUUUAUUUACAAUACAAUUAAAUUACUAUUUGAAUUUACAUUUGAAAAACAACUUUCAUUUCAAUAUGUAUAAUUUACGUUACAUUACAUGAUAAAAACAACUAAUUAUAUUUUGCUAAUUCCCUAAAUUCGUCCGAGCCUAUAAUUGCUUAAGUGUCCGCUUCCAUUCCAACUUGAUGACUUUUGUUGGUCCCUCACUUGCAAGAUCCUUUGAGCAGACUUUCAUGCUUCUAUUGGUCUAGGGGACAAACAUAAAACACCAUUUUUGUUGCAUUGAGAUCAUCUAUAUUAACUUACCUCAAAUUGAGGAAUUUUUGUUGAUAUCACAUAAAUACAAUCAUUGGAAAUCUUACUCAUAUAGACCAAAAAUCAUAUUUUUAUUUCUCUAAACAAUAACAUUAGACAAUAACAAAAAUGAAAUUAUAGAAUUUUGAAAAAAAAAUAUUGGAUAUGAAAAUGUCUCUCACAUGGAAAAGAUUUUCCAAAUAAUUAAGAGAGCGUACUUUAUUUUUAUAUUUGGGCAAGUGUUACAAAUAAAUGUCUAAACUUAAAUACUUUGUAAAAAAUAUAAAUUGAAGAGUUGGAAUAAUAUUGUUUAUACUUCAAGCCAUGAAAUUUAAAUGGUACUUUUGUUAGAAGGAAUUAAACCUACUAUUAAGGACUUAUAUUUAAUCUUCCAAAUAUAUAAAAGAAACAAUUUUGACUAAUUAAAUUGAACACAUAACUUGAUCUCAAAUAAAAAUAAAAUAGUUUUUAACUCCGAAAUUAUGAUCUAAUCCUCAUUAAAGGAUUUUCACCUUAUUAUUACAACCUAAAAAUAAAAUAUAGAUGUAAGUGAAUAUUAUAAUGAGAAUAAAGUUUUAAUAAAAAAAAACCAAUCAAAAUGUACACAUUUCAAUUAUGUGAAAAGGAAUGAAUUAAGUGAAUAAAAUUUUAAAUGGCAUUUUUUUUAAAAAAAUAGUAUAUAAUUAAAAUAAUCAUAUCUCAUAUGCAAAUAAGUCUAGAAUGAUUACUUUAAAUGAAAUAAAAGAUGUAAACAAGGUAGAUGAGUAAAAAAAAAAAAUUAGUAGGACAAGGUUGGUUAAGUAAUUUACCAUAGUUAAUGCGUCUUCCCGGAUUGGCCAAUUAUAAAAAAUUGAAAAAAAAGUUGCAUCCGUUUUGGUUGGGGCCCUUCUUCCUCCGCUUCAUCGUAGAUAUUAGGUUUCUAUUUUAUGUGAGAAGUGCUACCUACUGAUCCAUGGUUGUGAGCAGAGUGUUGGUGGAUGUGUUCAAAUUUUGGAGAAGAUUGAGUGGUACGGCACUGCAACUCUUUUAUCUCUUCCAAAUCUUUCUCAUACACUAUUCUAAAGCCACACUUCUUCACUUUACCACUGCAUCCCAUGAAAGACACCUCAAGCUCAUCGCAUUUUUUAUCUAAGCAAUGUGUUGUCCAUAAAUUAGUGGUUUCACAGUCGUCAUAUUUAUCCUCCAAGGAAGGAUAUAUUGUAUCACGCGACCAAUAACGAAGUAAAAGGUGAUCUUUCAUUAUUGGUUCACACAGCCCCCAGCCUCUCCAAUCAAUCCGUCGAUAAUUUCUACCUCGAAAGAUAGAUCCAUUACAGCUGGCUUGCUCAGAAUUUCUACAAUAGAUAUAUGCUCCACAACCGAUAUAUUCGUCAUCCCUUGAAGCAUCAUUACUGACAAAAAUGCAGCAGCAAGCAACUCCAAUCCAUUGACUAUCUUUCUGAAGGUUGAUAGACAGGGGUAUGUUAAUUGAAAAGGCACUUGUUUGUUGGCUAAACCAUUCUGGGAUUUCACUUCCGGGCAUUAUAAUAUCAAACUUUUUUCUUGAAUUUGCGAAUGCCUGCAAAAUAAAACACAAGUCGUUUGGUAACUAAAACCAUAAAUUCUCAAGUAUGAGAUUUUGUAAGGGAGAAAAUGGAGAGUAAUCGACCUUCAGCUGUUUUUUCAGCACUUUUAAUGCAUUCAUAUUCUCGGCCAAUUUGAAGCAGUUAAUGGCUCUAAAGGCACCCGAACCUAUUAAAUUGCAUACUUCACGUAGUGUUAAUGCAUUGAUAUUCUCAGCCAAUUUGAAGCAGUUAAUGGCUCUAAAGGCAGCCGAAUCCACUAAAUUGCAUACUUCAAGUGAAGAACAACCAUCUAGACACACGUGUCCUAACCUUGUCGGUAUCUCAGGCAACGAUUUAAGCAUCUUGCAGUAUGACAGUCCAAGAAACUGAAGCUCGGAUAGUCGAGUAAGAGAUGAAGGUAUGCUGAUGAAAUUGUUACCACUAAGACCAAGAUGUACCAAAGAGGAUAGACCAGAAAUAUAACUAUGAAUAUCUGAUUCACCAAGAGUGCACAUGUUGCAAUUUGACAAGUCAAGAAACCCAAGCUUCGAGAGUCCAGUAAGAGACGCAGGUAUGCUGAUGAAAUUGUUACCACGAAGAUCAAGAUGUUUCAAAGAGGACAGACCAGAAAUAUCACGUGGAAUAUCUCCUUCACAAAGAUUGCAGUCCCUUAGACUUAGCCGUCUUAAUGAACUCAAACCUGACAACAAAGGCAACAUUGGAGCCAUGGGAGUUGUCCUUCUUUCUUGGAUUACCUUGAAAAGAGAAGACAAAUUUGGUCGCAACUUUGCUUGCUGCAAAUUCUCCGAGAAAUUUUCAACUCUAUAACAACCAGAAAGCUCUAGAGUUUUUAUACGUUCCAUUUUCCCAUCAAUCUGCGGAAACCUUACAAGACUUGAGCAACCCGAAAAAAUUAAAGUUUCAAGAGAUUCCAUUCUAAUUUUUCCCGGAAGACUCCUAAGACUUUUGCAAUCUCUUAAAUUCAAAUGUUUAAGGCUCUUAAGCACUCCUAUUGAUGGAUGAACAUCCACUAAUUUGGUACAGCCUUCCAAAAUUAAAACUUCAAGAUUUGAUGCUGUUGUUAAGUUUGGUGUCUUGAUCAGGUCUUGGGAACCUUUGAGGUUCAUUAUUUUCAACUUAUACAAGGGCUGUUGAAGACAAUAAUAAAUUAGAGAGAAAAGAGAAAGCAUAAUAAUUCUCAUUUUUUUUUUUGUAUUUUUACCUUAAUCAGAGUUUAAUAAUUUAUAUUAAAAUAAGCUAAAACACAAGGAUAAGAUGAGUUAAUUCUUACUCUAUUUCCCUUCCAUAGUUGUUUAAUGUGACUAUAUGGUAAAAGAAGUGCAACAAGGUUGUCUGGUUGGAAGCUUGAAGGCAAGCAUCUUAAAGGAUACCCUGUCCAUUCUAAAAGCCGUAGUUUAUUAGAAAGAUAUUUGAGAUCAUCACAAUUUGAUAGGCAAAGCACUUUGAACAUUCUCAAGUUUUUCAUCUUUGAGAAGGUAUCGGCACUCAAAUUGAGCAUCUUGCUCGAUUCCCUAAUAACCAUGAGUAAAACAAAAAUGAGAUUCAAAAUAUACAAAGACAUUCAAUAUCUAAAAGUUACGUUGCACCAAUAGAUGAUCAAUUUCCUUUAUAAAAAAAAAAUCAUUCCAAAUUGGAAUGAGAAGGAAGACAAUGAGAGAGAUAUUUUAUUUUCAAAUGUUUUAUUUUCUUUCCUUCUCACUUUUCGCUAUACCAAGCAAUAGUGAGGAGGAAAAUAUAUUUUCCAUUCAAUUUUCCAUCUUUCCAUCUUUCCAGUCAAGUUUUCCAUCCCCUCAGUUUUCCACCCUUCUGAUUUUAUUUCUACUCUGCCAAGCAAAGCCAAAAGGUUUUUUUGUUGUUGUUUUUUUAUUAGAAUUUUUACAAAAAAUAAUAACAAUAUUAAUAGUACAUAUUGAUAAAUUUAUAUGUAUAUUUUCUUACCUUUUAUUGUCGAUGAUCAUACCUAUG